AUGUGUCGUAGUAUCAAUGUGUAAGUUUUAUUAGUUGAAAAAGGAAGUAACAAACGUGUAGCUACUCCAGUGUUGAGUUUGACUCAACUAGCAGGGAGCAAGUAAAAUAAUGUGAACGUUUACAGGGCAUCCAAGUAAAUGAGUAUGCUUCUCGUAAUUGAGCUGAACCUAACGUUGUGAAAAUGGACAGGGAGAGAUUUAUGCACAGAUGAUCUGAAUCAAGUGUCGUGAAAAUACUGGAGUAUUCUAACUCUACAUGUUACAGAAUGCUUGCUAACUGCACGACUCCUAAACCGAGUCAAAAAAUAUCGUGAAAACUUGUCAACCUCGUAUAUGUACUAACUAUGUACUAAGAGCAUAAUAAUCAUAACAAGAGAACCCAGCUCGUAACGAUUCAAAAAGAAAAACGAAAGAAUGAAAAGUUUGAGACUGCACUAAAAAGUGGAAGGCAGUGUGAUUUUAAGCAUGAGAGAAAACAGGUGCAGGAAGAUCAGUGAACGCCCCUCUGCAAUGGUCAGGAAGUGGUGGAAGAUCUGGACUCUUUGCCAGCGACGCAUGGUCACUAAUAGAUGUAAGAUCGGGACUCAUCGGCGGUGAAGCAUGGCCAUUAGGAGGUGACAUAGAGCCGUUCGUUGGUGAUGGUGACGUGCGACCGCCAGGAGGGGAUGCACGACCAGCUUUACGCUGCUGACGAAUGAUAUGGCGAAUCUCUGAGCCGCACAACUCUUCCGACGAGGAACGAGGCAGUAAAACAGGAGUCGGAGAAAGCGUCCUGAAAAAUUCACAACUACAUGUAAAAAGAACAAAUCCACAUAAAAACUCAUUGAAAGAGAUAAAAUACAUCUUCACGCAAUCAAACCACACUGAUCAAAGUAUGCCCUCCAAAGUAUGUUAUCUCAUAAUGAUCCAAUUCCCGUGCACAAUGCAUCCCUGUUCUACAAUGUAACACAUGAUCGUAAGGCAAGCUAGAAACGUUUACACACUACACCGUCUCAAAACUGAGCUCGUACUCAUAACCUUGUCCUAGAUAUCAUGCUCAUUGUAGCACCAACCUAACCAGAACAUGAAACUCUAUAUGGAAUACUCAUCGCUUUAACAGUUUUCACAUUGGUGCCACCAGAAACACCAGACCAGAUCACUGAAAAAAAUAGCUGGACAAUCAACUUCUCCUCAGAUUCAUGUCCCAACAUGACUCAUCUCAAAUAAGCGAAUUGUAGUGGCCAAACCAUCUGGUAAAUAAUUCGCAUGCUUGCACCGCUGACUAUACCCAAUAACUAGAUGCCUUAGCAAGUAAGUGCUGAGUUUCUUACUGUCGUAAACUCUCCACGAUAUACGACGCAUAAAGGUCCCUGCGAAAAGCACACCAAUAUCCCUUAGCCUCCACAAUCGCACACAGGACUAACAAUCCGAGAAAAGCAGAAAAAACAACCAAAAAGGACCCCAGACACCUCAUCAACCUUCCAAAACCAACUGCCAUCCUCCAACACAUCUCAACACAUCAAAUAGGAAUUCUCGACAAGAACGCUUACAUGGAGUGACUGAUGGCUUGAAUCGCAGCUUCGUGGCCCAGGAAGUUAUCCACCGUUACUUCCUUGUUCUCAUUCUUCUUGUCUGAUUCACCCCAAACCCAUCCCUGCCGGUUACAAACGUCACACAUCACCACAAGCAAAGACACCUCCCUCUCUCACGUCCACAUCUUGGACCAUUAUGCACAUCACCGCGUCACCUCACUCGGCACUUACAAUCCUCAAAGAACCGCCGAAUCUCCGCCAAUCGGUGCGGUGGAAGCUCGUUGAUGUCCUUGAAAUGUCUGUACUCGGGGUCGUCGGCACACACGGCGAUGAUCUUGUCGUCCUUCUCACCCUGCAUUCCGAACAGAUCUCACGUUGCUAACCCGCAGAAAACACAUCCACAACCUUUUCCACGACACAAACAGCCACACAGUGCGAGCGCAACAGCUUCUAACCUGAUCGAUCAUAGGCAUCAACCCAAUGGCUCUAGCUCGGACAAACGAUCCAGGCAUCACGGGUUCCUGCAACCAAGUCAACCAUCAGUGCUGCCCCCAAAAAGUAAUGCACACCACCUUCCAAGUGUCCAACAAAUCCCAUUGCUUCUCCACCACAUCAAGGCCUACAUUCAAGAACAACUAAAAUCACAAAUUCCUGCGACCACGAACACAAAUCACACCCUUUCACCGGCCAUCGCUGCUAGACUCACAAACUCGCCACAUCCAAGACAACAUCCACCUCGGCAAACGACUUGUCUACUGCGACCCAUAGUUCUCACAACAAACUGCCACCGAUCACACCGGAGCGAGGGAUAUGUUUGACACCCAACCCACUACUCCUGAGCACGAAUGCGGUAUCUCCACAAUCGGCCAAUCAACCACGCUUCUCAGCACGACACCUCACACUUCAGCCCGCACACUCCAUUCAAACACGCCUCUUCUGCUCUCAACUCAUCCAAUAGCGGGAUUACGCACAGUCGUGCCACUAACUUCAUUCACGCACAAAGGACUCUACCUGCAUGAUGACCAGAACAUCGAUGGGAUCCUCGUCCUCGCAAAGGGUGCGUGGAAUGAAACCAUAAUUGUGCGGGUACACCACAGACGAGUAUAGGAUACGAUCCACCUGCACAGCAACCGAUGUUCAGAACAAUGAGCGGUCGAAACACAGCAUACAUCUCGUCAACAUGCAUUACCAAACCCCUUCAGAAAUCUCCCAAUCUAAACAUUCACCUUCAUCAGACUGCUCUUCUUGUCAAGCUCGUACUUCACCUUGCUCCCUCUGUUGAUCUCGACAACCUGCACGUGUGGCUCAAUCUUUAUUGAAACAUAGAAAGCAAACUCCACACAAGCAAGUUAGGACCAGCAAGGUUGCACUUCACAAAUAGAAUGUGGUAUGAGAUGAUUCUUCCCAUGCCAACCCUUAUCUUAUAUACUAGUACCAAGGUACCAUGUGUUACAACCCAUAUGGGAUAUCUCUUAGGACCAGCCCUCUCCUUGUAUUCUAAGGUACUAUAGACCAGCAACUAACCUUGUAGGAUAUCCCUCAUUACUCAUAUACUCUAUUGACCAUUAGCAACAACUAAAUGAAUUCUUUCCUUCAACACUCCCACUUUGCUACUGGUCAAUUAGCUAUCAAUCCUAAUGCCUUACUCAAUAUGUUGUGUCUCUCUUUCACCAAGGCUUUUGUUAGCAAAUCAGCCAACAUGUCUUUGGUUUCACAAUACAUCAUAUCAAUAACUCCCAUCUCUAUCUUCUCUCUUAUAAAGUGGUGUUGAAUAUCAAUGUGCUUGGUUCUUGCAUGAUGCUUUGGAUUCUUUGCAAAAGCCAAACAUCCUUGAUUGUCACACCUCAAUGGAGUGGCCUCCAAUUGCACAAGUCCAAUAUCUUCCAAUAACAACCUCAACCAAAUUGCCUCCAUUGCUCCAUGACUUGCUGCCAUAUACUCCGCCUCCAUUGUGGAACUUGCAAUGGUUGGUUGUCUCUUACAAUUCCAAGCUAUGGCUCCCAUUCCAACAAAGAAUACAUAGCCCGUUGUUGAUCUUCUAUCAUUUGUAUCUCCAGCCCAAUCCGCAUCACAAUAUCCAUGUAAUACAAUGUUAUUUCCUCCAAGACAUAGUUUAUGGUUCAAAGAGCCUUUCAAGUACCUCAUGAUUCUUUUGAUGGUUGCCCAAUGCAUAGGACCUGGUUUUGCCAUGUGUUGACUUACAACACUUACUGCAAAUGCAAGAUCCAUCCUUGUACCCACCAUUGCAUACAUGAAUGAGCCCACUGCUGCCUUGUAUGGUAUGCCUUGCAUUUGAUGCUCCACUUCAGCAUAUUCCUCAUCCGUGAGCUUCAUCAACUUCAAGUUGGCUUCCAAAGGAGUUCCAAUGGGCUUGCAAUCUUGCAUAUUGAAUCGUUUCAAUACUUCUUCAAUGUACUUGCUUUGACUCAAUGUGAUGGUCUUUGAUACUCUAUUCCUUGUAAAUUCCACACCCAAACAAUAAUGAAGCUCUCCCAAAUCACUCAUUUCAAACUCUUUCUCCAAUUUCUUCUUCAACCAAUCUAAUUUUACCAUGGUGUUGCUUAAGAUGAUUAAAUCAUCUACAUAGAGGAUUACAACCAGCAAGAAGUCCUUGGCUUGCAACACAUACAAAGAAUGGUCAGCUUCACUUCUUAUAAAACCUUCCUUCACAAAGAAUGAGUCAAUGCGUUGAUACCAUGCUCUUGGUGAUUGCUUGAGUCCAUACAAUGACUUCUUCAACUUGCAUACAAGGUUGGGUUUGUCUUGAUCAAUAAAUCCUUGAGGUUGCUCCAUGUAGAUGUCUUCUUCCAAUUCUCCAUUCAAGAAGGCUGUCUUGACGUCCAUUUGAUGCAUCUCCAAGUCUAUUGAUGCUCCAAUUGCUACUAUAGUUCUAAUGGUAGUGAAUUUGGCCACUGGAGCAAAUGUCUCAUUAUAAUCUACUCCAGCAACUUGUGAGUAGCCUUUGGCAACCAAUCUUGCUUUGUACCUCACAACAUUGCCCAUAGCAUCUCUCUUGGUUCUAAACACCCACUUACAUCCAAUUGCUGAACGAUUUGGUGGAAGUGGAGUCAACUCCCAUGUCUUGUUGUCCAUAAGAGAUUUGUACUCUUCUUGCAUUGCAAUCUCCCACUUCAUUGCAUCACCACACCUCAUUGCAUCACACAAAGUCAAUGGAUCAUCAAGAAGAGCAACAUUGGCCUGAUCUUCACUUACUUGUGGAAAGAUGUGGUUCUUCCACCAUUCACCUUGUGGUCUUCUUUCACGUGUUGGAUAUCUUCUUUCAUGCAAAGAAGAUGAGCCUUCAUAUACCUCUUGCUGCCUUCUAUGGCUCAUACACUUCCUUCUCUCAUUCAUUGGUUGAUAUUCUUCAUCUUCAUUCUCUUCAUUGUGUUUGUUGUAUCUUGCUGGAAUUGAAGUCUUUAUAGAGUUGGGCUCUUCUUCAAUGAUAUCUUCAUUUCCAUCUUCACUUUGAGAAUGCUCUUCUUCAUCUUCUUCUUUGUUUGCUGAAAUUGAAGAUGUGUCCACAAACACACCACUACUCCCACUUGGACACAUCUCCCACUUUUCACUUGCACUCUUAUACUCCAAGAACUCUACAUCACGACUUUUGAUGAUCUUUUUGGUGUCUAAACACAUGAGCCUAUAUGCCUUGGUGCCUUCACAAUAUCCAAGGAAUGCACAUCUUGUGCCCUUUGCAUCAAGUUUGCUUCUCAUACUAUCUGGAACUUUAGCAUAUGCAAUGCAUCCAAAAAUCCUCAUAUGAGAUAAACAAGGUUUCUUACCCGUCCAAGCUUCUUCGGGAGUCAUUCCUUCAAGUGCACUUGUGGGACACCUAUUUCUUGUAUAUACGGCAUUUACCACAGCUUCCGCCCAAUACUCAUAUCCAAGCUUUUGAGCAUGAAUCAUACUCCUUGCCAUCUCCACAAGGGUGCGAUUUGCUCUUUCAGCAACUCCAUUUUGUUGUGGAGAAUAGGGAGUGGAGGUUUGUCUUGCAAUGCCUUCAUGCUUCAAUAACUCAUCAAAGUCUUUGGACAAAUACUCACCUCCAUUGUCCGAUCGCAGCACCUUAAUCUUGUGCUCACAUUGCUUCUCCACAAGUGCUUUCCACUCCUUAAACUUAGCAAAACACUCACUUUUGGCCUUGAUGAUAUAAAUCCAUACCUUCCUUGAAAAGUCAUCAAUAAAUGUGACAAAAUAUCUUGCUCCACUCAUAGAUGGUGUUUUCAUGGGUCCACAAACAUCCGAAUGCACAAGCUCCAGCAAUUGAUUUGCUCUUGUUGCAAUUCCACUAGGAAAUGGUGUCCUAUGUUGUUUGCCUUGAAUGCAACCUUCACAAGAUAGAUUCAUAGUAGAAUGGCCAAGGUCUAAGCCACUUACCAUGGAUUGAAGCUCCUUCAUGCUUUUGGCAUUCAAAUGUCCAAGUCUUUGAUGCCAAAUGCCCACCUUAUCUUCAUUUGAUGGAAAUUCAGCAAAAGCAGCAACCUCUACUCCAUUGAUGCGCUUGCAAUUGAUAAUAUAGAGAUUGCCAUCUCUAAUCCCUUUUGCUACUUCUUUGCCUUCCAUGGUUCUCACAAAACAUCCAUUCAUAUUGAAUUGCACUUUGCACCCAUGACUUACAAGUUUACUCACCGAAAGGAGGUUCUUCUUCAUCUUUGGCACAUGCAACACAUCCUUGAGUGUGAUCCUCUUGCUUAUGCCCUUGACCACUACUUCCACUACAAUGGUGCCCAUUCCAAUGGCUUGUACCAUACCAUUAUCACCUAACCAAACCUUAGUUGCUGGAAUUUGUUGAUAAGUGUUAAAUGAACACUUGUAUGGAGUCAUGUGUUUGGUACAUCCAGAAUCCACGAUCCAUUUGCUCAUAUCAAGCAUGGAAGAAGUUUGUUUUGCCAUGAAUGCAAAGUCAUCACCUCCAUGGUCAUGAAAAGCAUUAUUGGCAUUCUCUCUUUCUCCUCUCUUUGCCUUGAAACAAUUCCUAGCAAAAUGCCCUGGUUUUCCACAAAUAUAACAAGUUUUGGGAAGAUUACGUUGAAUGGAAGUACUUGCCUUACUUGGUCUCGUGAAUAGUGCUGAUUGCUCUCCAAUAGACUCCUUUUGCUUUCUUUUGGUCACUUCAUGGGCUAGUCUUGCCGUGACAUAGUCCAAAGUAAGAUCUUUUCUUGAAAUUGACUCCAAUGCCACAAUGAGGGAGGAAUAGGAGUCCGGAAGGCUUGAGAGCAAUGUCAUCACAACAUCUUCUUCAAGUAAAGGCUUGUCAAUAACAGCAAGUUGGUUUGCAAGUGCUUUUACCUUAUUCACAUGAGCCAUGAGAUUAUUGAAACAUAGAAAGCAAACUCCACACAAGCAAGUUAGGACCAGUAAGGUUGCACUUCACAAAAAGAAUGUGGUAUGAGAUGAUUCUUCCCAUGCCAACCCUUUUCUUAUAUACUAGUACCAAGGUACCAUGUGUUACAACCCAUAUGGAAUAUCUCUUAGAACCAGCCCUCUCCUUGUAUUCUAAGGCACUAUAGACCAGCAACUAACCUUGUAGGAUAUCCCUCAUUACUCAUAUACUCUAUUGACCAUUAGCAACAACUAAAUGAAUUCUUUCCUUCAACACUCCCACUUUGCUACUGGUCAAUUAGCUAUCAAUCCUAAUACCUUACUCAAUAUGUUGUGUCUCUCUUUCACCAAGGCUUUUGUUAGCAAAUCAGCCAACAUGUCUUUGGUUUCACAAUACAUCAUAUCAAUAACUCCCAUCUCUAUCUUCUCUCUUAUAAAGUGGUGUUGAAUAUCAAUGUGCUUGGUUCUUGCAUGAUUCUUUGGAUUCUUUGCAAAAGCCAAACAUCCUUGAUUGUCACAUCUCAAUGGAGUGGCUUCCAAUUGCACAAGUCCAAUGUCUUCCAACAACAACCUCAACCAAAUUGCCUCCAUUGCUCCAUGACUUGCUGCCAUAUACUCCGCCUCCAUUGUGGACCUUGCAAUGGUUGGUUGUCUCUUACAAUUCCAAGAUAUGGCUCCCAUUCCAACAAAGAAUACAUAGCCCGUUGUUGAUCUUCUAUCAUUUGUAUCUCCAGCCCAAUCCGCAUCACAAUAUCCAUGUAAUGCAAUGUUAUUUCCUCCAAGACAUAGUUUAUGGUUCAAAGAGCCUUUCAAGUACCUCAUGAUUCUUUUGAUGGUUGCCCAAUGCAUAGGACCUGGUUUUGCCAUGUGUUGACUUACAACACUUACUGCAAAUGCAAGAUCCAUCCUUGUACCCACCAUUGCAUACAUGAGUGAGCCUAUUGCUGCCUUGUAUGGUAUGCCUUGCAUUUGAUGCUCCACUUCAGCAUAUUCCUCAUCCGUGAGCUUCAUCAACUUCAAGUUGGCUUCCAAAGGAGUUCCAAUGGGCUUGCAAUCUUGCAUAUUGAAUCGUUUCAAUACUUCUUCAAUGUACUUGCUUUGACUCAAUGUGAUGGUCUUUGAUACUCUAUUCCUUGUAAAUUCCACACCCAAACAAUAAUGAAGCUCUCCCAAAUCACUCAUUUCAAACUCUUUCUCCAAUUUCUUCUUCAACCAAUCUAAUUUUACCAUGGUGUUGCUUAAGAUGAUUAAAUCAUCUACAUAGAGAAUCACAACCAAGAAGAAGUCCUUGGCUUGCAACACAUACAAAGAAUGGUCAGCUUCACUUCUUAUAAAACCUUCCUUCACAAAGAAUGAGUCAAUGCGUUGAUACCAUGCUCUUGGUGAUUGCUUGAGUCCAUACAAUGACUUCUUCAACUUGCAUACAAGGUUGGGUUUGUCUCGAUCAAUAAAUCCUUGAGGUUGCUCCAUGUAGAUGUCUUCUUCCAAUUCUCCAUUCAAGAAGGCUGUCUUGACGUCCAUUUGAUGCAUCUCCAAGUCUAUUGAUGCUCCAAUUGCUACUAUGGUUCUAAUGGUAGUGAAUUGUGCCACUGGAGCAAAUGUCUCAUUAAAAUCCACUCCAGCAACUUGUGAGUAGCCUUUGGCAACCAAUCUUGCUUUGUACCUCACAACAUUGCCCAUAGCAUCUCUUUUGGUUCUAAACACCCACUUACAUCCAAUUGCUGAACGAUUUGGUGGAAGUGGAGUCAACUCCCAUGUCUUGUUGUCCAUAAGAGAUUUGUACUCUUCUUGCAUAGCAAUCUCCCACUUCAUUGCAUCACCACACCUCAUUGCAUCACACAAAGUCAAUGGAUCAUCAAGAAGAGCAACAUUGGCCUGAUCUUCACUUACUUGUGGAAAGAUGUGGUUCUUCCACCAUUCACCUUGUGGUCUUCUUUCACGUGUUGGAUAUCUUCUCUCAUGGAAAGAAGAUGAGCCUUCAUGCACCUCUUGCUGCCUUCUAUGGCUCAUACACUUCCUUCUCUCAUUCAUUGGUUGAUAUUCUUCAUCUUCAUUCUCUUCAUUGUCCUUGUUGUAUCUUGCUGGAAUUGAAGUCUUUAUAGAGUUGGGCUCUUCUUCAAUGAUAUCUUCAUUUCCAUCUUCACUUUGAGAAUGCUCUUCUUCAUCUUCUUCUUUGUUUGCUGAAAUUGAAGAUGUGUCCACAAACACACCACUACUCCCACUUGGACACAUCUCUCACUUUUCACUUGCACUCUUAUACUCCAAGAACUCUACAUCACGACUUUUGAUGAUCUUUUUGGUGUCUAAACACAUGAGCCUAUAUGCCUUGGUGCCUUCACAAUAUCCAAGGAAUGCACAUCUUGUGCCCUUUGCAUCAAGUUUGCCUCUCAUACUAUCUGGAACUUUAGCAUAUGCAAUGCAUCCAAAAAUCCUCAUAUGAGAUAAACAAGGUUUCUUACCCGUCCAAGCUUCUUCGGGAGUCAUUCCUUCAAGUGCACUUGUGGGACACCUAUUUCUUGUAUAUACGGCAUUUACCACAGCUUCCGCCCAAUACUCAUAUCCAAGCUUUUGAGCAUGAAUCAUACUCCUUGCCAUCUCCACAAGGGUGCGAUUUGCUCUUUCAGCAACUCCAUUUUGUUGUGGAGAAUAGGGAGUGGAGGUUUGUCUUGCAAUGCCUUCAUGCUUCAAUAACUCAUCAAAGUCUUUGGACAAAUACUCACCUCCAUUGUCCGAUCGCAGCACCUUAAUCUUGUGCUCACAUUGCUCUCCACAAGUNNNNNNNNNNNNNNNNNNNNNNNNNNNNNNNNNNNNNNNNNNNNNNNNNNNNNNNNNNNNNNNNNNNNNNNNNNNNNNNNNNNNNNNNNNNNNNNNNNNNUCAAAUUCUCCGUCCAUUCUUUCUUGCUUUGCUUGUCGUGAAAGUAUUAAAUGUAGCCAGUGCUCUCUAUAAUAUUUAUUGUAGUUCACAAUAAAUAUUGUAGUUACUAUGUUUGGAAUGUAGUGAGGAGAAAUUGUUUAUCUUCUCCCCUUCUCUUUGUAUACAAGAGACAACUACAUCAUUAUAUUCUUGUUUUUGUGUGUGUAUUUGUACAUAUUACUUCUAGCUACUGUUAUAUCUCUUCAAACAUUCUCAACAUAUUCUCAGCACGACUGCUCCUAUGCACUAGUCUUGGUUCUUACAAACCUAUGUGCACCUUGUCCUUUGCAUUUUCCUUGUUUUUUUCUCUACAUUGCAUUGCUCUAUGCCCUACUACUACUACACCUAGCAUAUUUUGCCCUCUUGUUACUAUAUCCUAUUGUUGUUGUGCCAUGCUAUUUUUGUGCCUUGCCUAUUACCUCCCAUUGUGUGCCAUUGUUGUUUGCCACUAUUCCUAUCAAACUAUCAUGCCUAUUUGCAAAAUUAUUGUGCCUAGUCGUCUACCACUACAGUCUGCCACUAUUACUACCAUCUAUUGUUGUUGUUGCAGUCCAUCACAAAUCCUUGUUUGUGUGAAAAUAAUAAAAUAAUAAAAUAUCUUCAAAUUUUUAAUAUUUUUUAUUUCAAGUUCAAUUUUAUUAUUUUAUUUGGCUUUAUAUUUGAAGGUGUAUUUUAUUCAACCUUUUUUACUUGAUCUUAUAUUUUCUUCACAAAUUUAUUUAUAAUAAAUGUUUCAACAUCCUCAACCACUACUACUAUAUUUCCAACUAUCACCACUACAUUCAAACAUUUAUAAGCUUUUGUAUUUCUACCAUUGGCUGUUGAUAAAAAUAAUUAUUUAUUAUGUACAAAAAUAGCAAAAAUAAAUUUAUUUGCAAAACAACUCAUAGAUGCAAUUUUGUUUAAAGAAUCUCCUAUUGUAAGUACUUUUAUUCUUCUUGCUAUCCAUUGAAAACUACUUCUUUUCUUUUGUCAUCAUCUUAUAUCUACAUUGCAACAUCAAUAUUUGGAAAUAGAAAAUCCAACCAAGUUUUGAGAAAUUUUUAAAUCCAAGUUUGAUCAUUAAAAGACCAUUUUUCUUCAAUAUGCAUGUCAUGAUUCGACAUAUUUAUGUAUCUUAAAUUUUCUAAAUUUAAUUUUUUUAAUAAUAAAAUAUAUCAUAUUAUCUCAUAACUAUGGUUGUGUGGACAAAGCAUCUCUAAAGAAGAAAUAAUUGAGAAAACUCUCUCUACAUUUCUUCUUGCAUUUUUUGUAUUUAUACAAUAACAUAGGAACAUGAAAUUUCAUAAUCAUCUUAAUUUCAUGUCCUAUCUACAUUUUGCAGAGAAACAAAAUGAACUACUCUUGUAUAAUGUGGAAUCCUGUCUUGUUAGAACCAAGGUUUUAGAAUCUCAUGUAUUUAAUAUUUCAAAGUCUAAGAAAAAAUUAUACAAAGAUGGAAAAAGUACUCAUAAGCACCAAAGUAAUCAUGGUUAUGACUAUUUUCUCCCAUAUUGAAAGAAUAAAUGUUCUAUUAUUAUUACAAUAAAAAGUAAAAAUCAAAGAUGCAUUCUUACUAUAAAUGUGGGAUGAUUGGACAUUUAUUACAUGUAUGCCAUACUUCAAAAUAUUUUAUUGAAAUAUUUCAAAAAAAUAAGAAACUUCUAAUUGAGGCUUAUAAAAUUUAUACUAUAAAUGCGUCUGUAGUUUCAAUUGGUAUUGAUGAUUUAGAGGCUUAUAUGAAUAUAAAAAAAAAAAAAAAAAAAAAAAAAAAAAAAAAACUUCUAAUGAUGAAUCAAAUGAUGCACUCAUUGAUUAUGCAACAACACAUGUUAUCUUGUGGGAUAGAUAUUUUUUUUAUUAAAAAAUAUUCAAUUUGGAAAACUAAAAUUUUUAUGACUAUGGCUAGAUCAAAUAUGUUUCACUUCUAAGAAAAAAGAGCAAUAGUAAAAUUGCUUGUGGAUUCCAUCAUGAAAUGUAAACAUGUAAUAUUUGCACUAUUAGGAUCUAGGAGUUUGAUUAGUUAUCAAAAUGUGCAUGCCAAUGGUUAUUACCUCUCAAUCAUCAAUCUAAAUAUGUAAAAGAUUUUGGUUUUUAAACAAAAUCAUAAAGUUCUUCAAAAGCAUUUGUUGUGAAAAAUGGUUUAUAUUGGAUUGCAAUCCAACCUCCCAUUAUAUUUGAUUUUGCAUCAUUUAUGACAAAAAGUCAUAUUUUUUUAGCAUAGACAAUUGAGACAUCCAAGAUCUGUAUUAUUUUAGAAGAUAAUUCCAUGUAUAACUUGGUAUAAUUUAAGACUUAUAAAUGUAGAUUCUAUAGAAUUAUGUCGUGCAUGUAUAUAAGACAAGAUGAUUGCUUGGUCUUCAAUUUGAAAACUCCCACAAGAAUUACUACCAAUGCUUGAAAGGUUGAAUGGUGAUAUUUGUGGUUCUAUCAAUCCAAUAUCUAAAUUAUUUUGUUAUUUUUUCAUCUUUGUUGAUGCAUGAGGCAAACAAUCAUAUGUUUCAUUAUUAUUAAUCUGAAACAUAGUGUUUGUCAUUCUUAUAUAUACCCUUAUUCAUUUUUUAGCACAUUUUCUUGAUUAUCUUAUCAAAACAUUAUGUAUGGACAAUGCAAAAGAAUUUUUAUCAAAGUCUUUUGAAAACUAUUGUAUUACAACAAGAAUUGAGUUGACAUGUUUUGUUCUGUAUAAACAUACUCAAAAUGGACUUACAAAGUAAUUUAUAAAGCAUACACAACUCAUUAUGUGAUAACUUCUUCUUCAAAAAAAUUUAUCUAUAUCUAUGUAGGAUCAUACAGUUCUGCAUGUUGUAGCAUUAAUAUGCAUCCGUCCUUCUUUAUUUGAAAUUAUUACACCUUAAGAGCUCAUUUUAAGUCGUGUUUCAAAUACAUUUCACCUACAUGUGUUUGAUCGCUAUGCUUGGCUUCCAAUAUUAGAACCUCAAUAACAUACCAUUAAAGCUCAUUGACAAGAAGAUAUAUAUAUUAGUUUUGAUUCAUCAAGUAUUAUUUGUAUUGUUGAUCCAACAAUUGGUACAUAAUUACAUGCACAUUUUUAAAAUUUUUAUUUUGAAGAGAAUGUAUUUUCAUCUCUUUGAAGAAGAGUAUCUAAUUGACAAAGAAAUACAAUACUUAUAUUUGAAGCACCAAAAAUAUUUACAAUAAAUCUUGAUCUUAGAAUAGCUUUGAUUGAAACUGAAAUUGUCAAGAUUUUGUAUCUAAAAUGGAUUGCAAAUGAAACAUUUGAUGGCUUCAAUGAUAUGCCUCAUAUUACAAAAGUUUCCAUUAAUGAGGCUUAGAAUGCACCUCUUCAAUUUACAAUACUACUAAUUAAUAUACCUCGCAUUAUAACAUCAAAAAUUAAAAAGACUCAUGGACUAGAUAAGCAACUAUAUAAAAAGAAAGUUAUAACAUGUACUAAUUCUUGUAUUUUUUUUGUCAAAGUUCCUACUAAACCUAUAAGACCAUGAAUUAUAUCUUUAUUUCAUGCAAUAGAAAAACUUGAAAUUAGGAGGAAUAAAAUUAAGUUGAAUAUAAAAUUAUCUAUUCUAUAUUGUGCUACAAACAACAUUUGGAAUAGACCAUCUAUUAGAAUAGAUUAAUUAUUUGCAUGCAUGAUUGUAAAAGCUCUUUUUUACAAAGAAGAAGAUCUUAAACCACAAACCAUAGAAGAAGCAAUGUAUCGCUCUAAUUGGUUAAAAUGGAAAAAUACCAUUGUAGAAGAGUAUGUCUCUUUGCAUAAAAAGAAAAUCUUUGGUCCAAUUAUAGAUACUCUUAUAUUUCGCCUCAUAGAAUAUAAGAUGGUAUUACUAUGCAAAUAAGAUGCUAUUACUAUACAAAUAAGAUGCUAAGAGUCAAAUAAUCCACUAUAAAGUUCAUCUUGUUGUUCAAGGAUUUAUCCAAUGAUUUGGCAUUAAUUAUGAAUCCAUAUAUUCUCCACUCAUGGAUUCAAUUAUAUUUUGAUAUAUUAUUCGAAUGACAAUUUAUGCCACCCUUGAGAUGUAUUUCAUGAAUAUGGAAACUAUGUAUUUGUAUGGUUUUUUUGAUAUAGAUAUUUAUAUAAAUGAUCUACCUAGUUUAAAAAUAAGAAUUCUAAAUGCACUUGCUUCAAAAAAAUAUCAUGGUAUUAAUUAUAUAGGAUCCUAUAUAAUCUAAAAUAAUUUAAACUCACAUGGUAUUGACGUCUCUAAUAUUAUUUAAUUACAAAUAAGUUUGUAAGUGAUCCACUAAUUUCUUGUUUGUUUAUCAAACAAAAUAAAAUUAAUUUUGUGAUCAUUGCUAAAUAUAUUGAUAAACUUAACCUAGUGGGUACUAGAUUUACAUGUGUUGUAGUUAUUAACCUACUAAUCUUUGAGUUUGAGAUGAAAGUACAAAAAAAAAUAAAAAUAAAAAUAAAAACUUUCUCCAUUGAUCUAUAAAUUAUACAUUUUACAAAUAAUAGCAUUUUUCUCUACCAACUAAUGUAUAUUAGAUAAAUCUUAAUAAGAUUCAAUAUGAUUGAUGUUUAUCCUUUGUCAAUACCAAUGAUUGGACGUGGUCAUGAUGGUGAUAAUCUAUAUUUAUUAGGAGAUCAGUAUCCAUACCUUGUAACAGUUAUAACACAUUUAUAUUUAGCCACAUCUACAAGACCAAAUAUUGUAUUUGUAAUUAGUUUUCUUACAAGAUAUAUUAUAUGUUCAAUACUACAACAUUGAAAUGACAUCAAACAUUUAUUAUGUUAUUUGAAUUAUAUUGAAGACUUAGGAUUAUAUUACAUACAAUCUGCAAAUCCAAAAUUGAUUAGAUAUUAUGAUGCAAGAUAUAAAUUUGAUAUUACAAUAGUUAAAUCUUAAACAAGCUAUAUAUUCUUAAGACAUGGAACUGCAAUAUCAUGAAAAUGAGUGAAACAAACUAUAAUUAAAAUUUCAUCCAAUCAUACAAAAAUUAUUAUCUUACAUGAAGCAUCUCAUGAAUGUAUUUGGUUGCAAUCAAUUGAUAAACUCAUUUAGACAACUUAUAGACUUUCACAUGAUGAUUCUCCAACUAUCUUAUAUGAAAAUAAUAGUACUUGUGUUACAUAGAUGCAAGUUAUUUUCAUUAAAGGCAAUAUGAUAAAGCAUAUUGAUCCAAAGUAUUUUAGUUAUAUUUAUGACUUGAUUACUAAUCACGCACUUAAGAUUAAAAAAAUUGAAUCUGCAAAUAAUCUUAUUGAUUUCUUCACCAAAGAUCUCCCUUUGUGCCACCAUUGCCGACUUAUUUAUGGCAUUGGCAUGUGGCCACUUAUUUUUCUUGAGCAAAAAAUUAAUAAAUUCUUUAAGUAAUUACAAAAAAAAAAAAUGAUGUUGUAUUCUUUUUCCUUCAUCUAUGGUUUUGUCCUUGAACACAAUAAGAUUUUUCCAAAUAAGGUUUUAAUGAGGCAACACUUGUUGAUCUUGCAAGAUUACAAAAAAGUAUAGAUCAUAAUUCUAUGCAAAUUUUAUAUAAUAUAAAUAUUAUGACAAGCAAAGAGGCGUGUUGAGAGCAUUAAAUGUAGCCAACGCUCUCCAUAAUAUUUAUUAUAAUUUACAAUAAAUAUUGUAGCUAUAGUGUUUGGAAUAUAAUAGGAAGAAAUUGUUUAUCUUCUCCCCUUCUCUUUGUAUACAAGAGACAACCAUAUCAAUAUUGUCUUAUUUUUGUGUGUGUGUGUGUGUGUUUGUGUAUAUUACUUCCAACUAGUCUUAUGUCUUUCCAAACAUUCUCAACAGCUUGCACAAGUAUGACUUAAAUUUGAAAUAGAUUUGUUGCUGUAGCUACAGAUUAAUUGCAGGCUCAUAAUAGAACAUACAUGUGCCUGGAUGUGUCUAACAGUUGACAGAGGAAGUCAUUGAUUAGUUUGUAGUUCAUCAGAGACAAUGCAUAUAAUUUGACAAUUAGGUCUAUGUUUCUGCUAAGUUGAGGUGCUUUGAGGUGCUUUGAGAUGAUGAUCUGUCUUGUAAAAUUGUCUCACAUGCUUUAUGUGUUUUGAUAAAAUAUGACCCUUCUCAAUGCUGAUUCAGUUUCUAUACUGAGACUGUGUCACCAUUGUGUUAUUUUCAUUAAAAUCAAGGUUCAGGUCAAUUUAGGAUUAUUUCAACAAAUUCCUGCACGGUAGAAGGCAAUUGGGUACAUUAUGGCUAAGUUGAUUGUGUGGUAAUGAGGCACAAACUGGAACACAAUGGAAACCAAGAAUGUGCUUCCAUAUGUUCUAAAAAUACUCGCUGGUUUUGUAACACUGGACACUGCACAUUGUCCUGCCACAAUCAUAGGCAAUCAUAAGUGAGUGAUUGGUGGGCAGCUGAGGUUGGCUCUUCUCUGAUUGUGAAGGAUCAAACCUUCUAAAAGAAAGCAUUCCUGAACCACAACCAUGGCUGAGCCACAUCAGCAGGGAGAUGGCCAACUCAGGAUGAAUAAACCAUCCUGAUGGACUCAAAAGAGAAAAGGGAGUGCCAACCAGCUUCUGCAUAAAAAAAGAAAUUGCAUGAUGUGUGUAGCUUGGAAGCAUGUGCCAAAAUCAGGAUGCAUAAAGAAAUCCAACAAUCAUAGCCUGUGGUUUUUCUAUGCAGCAACUCCAAUGCAGUGCUGCCCAAAAUCAUUCUACUUCCACAUAGGUUUUUAGAUGCUAAUGGGGAUGAAUACCCUGAAAAUGCGGUUGAAUAAGCCACACGUGUCCAAAUUAAAUGAAUAACCACAUAGAUGUUCCGGACUUCAUCAAAAUGAGACUCCAGAUUUGAUUUUAUUUUAUUUUUUGACAUGAAAACAAGGUAAACCCAGUGUAUUGAUUGAAUGGAGGAGUUACAAUAGACAGCUUACCGGUUAGUAACUGAGAAGGUGGAGGUGAGGGUACAACAUCAAGUAACUGUUGUUACCAUUCAAAGGUGAAUCUUGAGUUCAAUCCCUAGAUUUUGUAAGCUUUAUUGAACAACAAUAAUUUCCAAGCAGUUAUAAAUUGGUGAGUUGCUGAAGCAGUAACCCACCAGUACCUUCACUUACAAACAAAGAUGUGUGCGACUGCUUGCAGAUGAAGUCACCCAGGACUGAAACAAUCAUGCUAAAAUGAACAAAAGCAGCCCAUAUUACCCCAAUCCUUAGCAGCCAUUAAUUAGACUUACAGUCUGCUCAAAUUAGAAGUCGGUUAGAGAGGUCUCUCACAUGGGGCUAUAGGGUAGUUGGGAAGUUGGAACUUUCAUAGGUUCCCUGGACGCAGGCAAUCAACCACUGUAGAGGGACCACAGCGUGUUGGGCUAAAGCCAGUUGAGCUUUGUGAGAACCGGAAAAAUUGGCUGAUGUGGAAGUGCUCGGAUUGGAAAAAUGCCAGCAAAUGGGCAGACGGCCAGCAUGGAUGAAUUAAUACCCAGAUUAUGAACAAAAUUGAAGGUGAGGGUAUAGUUCAAAUAGCAUAUUCCUAGCUCCCCUUGUUAUGGAGCCAACCGCCCUGCCUGUAGCUGGAGCUACUUCCUUAUAAUAGUGUUUUCAACAACCUUUGUGUAUGGGAGCAACACUAGACCAAACCACACUGAAACUUGGGCCAUUGAUUUCCUCUCCUUCAAAACGGGAUUUAGUCACUCAUUAUAUUUUCUCUGGGGGAGUUGCUCCUUUGAGCGUGAACAAUUCCAAGUUUCAAAGGGUGUGAUUUUGGUAAAUUUAUACUUAGAUAUGAAGGGAUUUAAAGUGGGGCGUAUUUUGAUGGGUGGAAGAGUAAUCAAACCUUAGCACAGGGAAUUACUCCAUACCACCCCUCAUACUAGAGAAUGACCUGGGUGAUUUAAAUGAUAACUACUUGAAACUAUUGAAGACAUAUAUAUAUAUAUAUAUAUAUACAAAAAACUUGAAACUGUGUGAGAUUACCCUUUGGUGUACAUGAUCCACCUUAAUAUGAACUUAAUCCAACAGGAGAAUUGGACUGUUCAUCUUAGAGGGUAUUUAUCUCCAGGAGUGCAAUUUCUAUUUGAACAAUUUUCAUUAACGAUUGCAAAUUUUAGUGCAUCCAAGAUGUCAGCAAAUUUGAUGACCUGAACCAUCUUUUGAUGAUUUUUUAAAAUGAAAUAAGUUGAUCAUUUAUUUGUAGAAUAACAAUGGCUAUGACAAAUGUGAUAAGAAAUGCUAGACUUGAAACCUGUUAGUGCAAUGGAAUUAUGUCAUGUGCCAGAUAGUUUAGUUGGGAGGGAAACAAAAUAUAUGGGGACCUGAAUUGUGAAGGUGGGGAGCAUGUCAUUGUACACAUAUCACUGUAAUUUAUACAACCAAAAUUGUGGACUUCAAGUGAUAAAUUGGUGGUAAACACUUCUCAUAUAUGCUGUAUAUAUCACCCAAAAGUCAUAUCUCAUCUAUGUUUUCUUCUAAAAUAAAUACUACAAAUAAAAACAUCUUUUAUUACAAACAGUUGAAUUUUAAAAAAUGAAACAAAUCAUAUUUCACUCGAUUUUUUUUCCUCCAAGGCUUUGUAUCAAGCUUGGAAAUGAAGAACACCUUCAAAAAAAGGCAUUUUCUCAUUGGGUUUAUGUUCUCAGUGUAUGGUUCUUCACUUGUAUAGCACGCAUGAGGUGUAUUUGGAACCCAUUCUGAAUUUUGCAAAUAACCAAUAUGAGUAUCCACACUAUUUCCUUGCCCAUUAUGAUUUAUUUGGACAGUUCAUGCAAUAAAGGAAGCUAAUUGAUGGGUACCACCACAAGGCACCCAAUAAAUGAGAUCAUGAGGUAUUCCCUACUCGCAUGGGUACUUUUGAGGUAUUCAAAGCAGAAUCGCCCUUUGAGUUGGAUUAAAGCUCAAGAAUGAGCAACCAUUUGACAAGCUUCAUGUCUUUUCCUUGCAAUGAAGGAGUUCACCACCUCCUCCUCAGAAAGAAAGAAAAUCAUAACUCUUUGCAGGUGAAAAACAAAUGAUAAGAAGGAACCUUUCUUGCAUGAUACAAUGUUAUACCUUUUAGUGUUUCAGAGAUUUGCUGGGCACGUUUUGCUUUUUCAACAAUUGCUUCACAAAGGAAGCAUAAAAUAGAAUAACCGUAGAAUUUGAGAUAAGGACUAGUAAGUUGGCAAAGCUGUUGAUGAGGAGGUGGGGUAGGGAUGUUUCUAGUAAAUAAUACCCACCUGUGACUGAGCUUUGGGGGAGUGCCAGGUUGGCAUUGUCAUGUGCAGUGCUGGAAUAGAGGAACCACUGGUGGCCAUUCACCUCUUGGGCUCCUUUCUUUAGGGGCCUCCAUACAGUGUCUCUAAGCUUCACAAACCCAUCGUUGGCUCCUGAAUGUCAACGAACAACAUGAAAACAUAUAUAGCAUUGAGAUUUUUCAAAAAUAAAAUGUGAUGCAACAAUACAGAUACAGAAAUGCAUACAACUAGAGAAGCAAAGGACCUUGGAGGUUUAUGAACCAUUGUUUUUUGAGAAUGGUGAGAAAGUGGAGGUGAAGAGAAAUAAACUUGGAACAGAAUGAAGAGGCAAUCAAGUCACAGAAGGCAAUGGGAAAUAAGUAUUAGCUGUUCAAAUCAAAUGAGAGAUGAGAGUUGGCACCUUUCAACUACAACUAUAUUGAUUUAGAUUGUGAUUAACUUUUUUGCAUCACGUAUGUUUUUUGGAAUUAUAUUCAAUGUUUUUAUAAUUGCAAAUCAUGGUGUCUUCGAAAAUCAAAAGAAAAAGAGUGGCUUUUAAUACUUAUAUGAUUUGAAACAAAAGAGUGUAGAUUUUUGAAGAAAUUUUUAAUUAUGUGUAUUUUAAAAAGAGUGAAAUUAUAAAAUAUUGAUAGUCUCUUAAUGAAACUUGAGGUCAAAUAGGACCUGAGCUUAUUCCAAUACAUUAAAUAGUGGUGAAGAAGGUCAAAUGAAAGUUAAAAACAAUAUAAACCCUAAGUCGUAUUUAAAAUUGUGAUAUUGAUACAAAAAAAUUUAUCAUGAAAAUUAGACAUAAAAAAUUUAAUUAAUGAUAGUAGUGAUGAUUUGAAAAUUUCAGUUGAUAGAAAAAUUCUAGUAAUUUUGAUUAAAAGCCUCAUUAUUUCAAUUAAAUUGUAAAAUAAAUAAUUACUGAAGAAAAUUGAAAAAAUAAAUUAGAUCUUAAAAAAUAAAAAACUUGCUAAAGAAAUUUAACCAAAAUCCCAUAAUUCUUUAUUUCCAAGAACAUUUUAAGUUAAAUAAGUUAAUUAAAAAUUUAUAUAUUAUUUAAUUUUAUAUCAUAUAGAAAAUUCUUUAUUUCUAAUAAAGAAUGAAUACUUGGAUUGAGAAUGGCAGUCUAUUGGAAAAGAAAAGAAAAACAAAACAAAACAAAAACUGCGUUAAUUAGAAUAGAUAUAAAGUCUGUAGACAGCAGGACAAUCCUAUUUUCGAUUGAAAUUAAAGUAUCACUUAUUCAAUAAUAGAUUUCUAUGGUAAACAAUAAAAGAUCAUAGUUAGUUAUUUGCACCAAAUUUGCUUUUAAACAUUCAUUGUAUGUUAUAUUAUAACUUUACAAUGUCAAAUAUUUUAGCUAAUUUUAAAUUUUCAUAUAUAUAUAUAUAUAUAUAUAUAUAUAUAUAUUUAAGGUAAUGGUGAUUUCUCCUAAUACACAAAAGAAUACACUAUAAAAUAAAUUUUGGCCUAUAUUUCUAAAGAGUUUAAAAUUUUAAAUCCAAUUUAUAUCUAUUAUAUAUAUAAUAUAUAAGUUCUAUAAUAAUAUUUAUAUUAAAAAAUAAUUAAAUUUUUAUAAUAAAAAAUAAUUUAAUUUUUAUUUUAAAAAAUAAUUUAAUUUUUAUUUUAAAAAAUAAUUCAAUUUUUAUAGAAAAAUAAUUUAAUAUUUAUAUUAAUAAAUUUAGAAAUAUAGUUAGUUUUUAAAAUAAUUAUGGUUGAUAGUUCUUAGAUUAUAAACUACCAAAAGUUUAAUUAAUACUUAAUUUUUAUUUUAAAGUUUUAAAAUUUAAUUAAUUAAUAAAAUUAAUUCAUGGAACGUGUAUGAAUAAUUUAGUAAAAAAUUGAUAUGUUUAAAAAAGUUAUAUAACAAAAAUAUAAUUUUAAAAAUAAAAUAUUUCAAUAAAAAAUUAUACAAAAAUACUUUGAAUAAAGUAAAAGAUGAAUGAUUAGUAUUUCAAUAAAUAUUUAUCAAGAUUACUAUUUUUAAUAUUAGAUACAAAUUUUUUUAUAACUUCUACUAAAUUAAAUAAUUAAAAAAAUUAGAACUUAUAUUUCCAAAUUAUUGAUAUUUCUAAAGAUAAAAAUAAUUAAUAUAAAAUAUCUUGAUUUCUAUAUUUGAAUUAAUAUUAUUUUAUAAAUAUAAAUAAAAUUAUAUAUUAGUCUUAUUACCUUAAUUAUUAGCUUAAAUUUUAUUCCAAAAAGUAAAUUUGAGACAAUUUUAUAAAUGAUUAUAAUGUUUUUGGAAAUAAAAUUAAGUAGAAGCAUGUUGAAGUAUAUUAGUCAGAAAUACAUUAGUCAGAAAAUAAAUUUACCAGAAAACAUCUAAUUAAUUUUUUAAGUUAAAAAGAUCUAAAGAUAUUCUUAUAUGUGUUCAUUUGUUAUAUAAAAUUUCUUAUAGGAGUUUCUUAUAUAUAAAAAAUUAUUACAAAAUAUCUUAUAAAUUAAAUAUUUAGUAUGUAAGUCUUAUUGCAUCAAUGAUAUGAAUCACAUGCAAUUAACAAAUUAAUAUAUUCUUAUAUUAUUAAAAAGAAUAGAUAUUCACUCAAAUAUAGUACAAUAUUAAAACCAAAAUGAUUAUUGCUGAAAGCAAAAAGAUUAAAGAUUCUUGAAAUAAAACUAAUAAAAAAUAUAUAUAUUAAUAAGAGUAAAGAAGACCUCACUUUUGCUUCCAUAUAUACUAUCUAACUAAGAGUUAUGUGGCAAAAUUCUAUAUGCCCUUAAAUAUAUAUCUAACUUGCAAGACAAUUCUCUUAUAAGCAUCUAUUCAGCUUCUAAGUAACUUCUCUAUAGGUUAUUAUUAAAUUUACAUAUUUUUACUUAUUUCUAUCUAGCUUCUCUUAUCUAAAUAAAUACAACUAUUAAUUACGUCGAUGAAAUUAUCUCUUUUUUUAAGGACAAGUUUCAUCAAGAGUAGUGAUCACAUAUUUGAAAAAGUCUAAGAUACAACAUGUUGUAUUUAUUACAUACUUUGAUCUUUAUUCUCUUUGAAUAUAAUUGAUACAUCUUUUCAGUAAUCAAUAAUGCCUUAUAUCAAGUUAAAAAGACUACCUAUUUAUUUGAUUAUUAUUUAAGCUUCAUAACUUCUUUCAAAUAUAUCAUUUAAAAUAUCAUCUAUGAUGGUUUUCAUCUCUAAUAAUUUCACCAAACAUUGAAAGUCUCUUUUAAAGUUGUAAUAUUAAACACAUUAUAUUUCACCAUCUAUUUAAGAAAAAACAUGUCAUUUUAAAGAAAUUUUAUUCCUAUUAAAUCGUCUUAAAAGCUAAAACAAUUUCAAUGACUCAUUUGAUAAUUCAACAAAUUAUAGCUCUAAGUUGAAUCUCUUGAUUAUUUAUUUUUUAUUCUUUUAGCACCACAAAUAUAUAAAAUCUAUAAACAAAAAUAAAAGAUAGAAUACAAUAUCUAUUGAAUAUUAUUUUUUAUAGUAAUAAUUUUUUGAUGCUUUAUCUUAAUUUUGAUAGAUGUUGUUAAUAAAAAAUAUCAACUUUUAUUGUUUUAUUUGCUAUAUUCUUAAUUAGCUCUCAUGAACAUUCAUUAAUAUCAUAUUUGCAUCAAUGUACAAGUUAUUGUAACCUAUUUUAAUGCUUCUUUAAAUCUAAGACUUUUUAAACCUCAAAUUCUUAAUUAUUUUCUAUUUCUAUAGAAAGAGGUGGUAUUUGUUUUCUUUUUGAUAUAUCCAUUAUCUUAUAUAAUUCAAAAAGAAACAUUUAUAACAUAAGAUAAUUUUUUUAUAGAAUCUAGUAGGUGUAAUCAAUAAUUAAGUAUUUUGAUUUGUUUACAAAUAGAAAAUGGUUUUAGUCUAUUAUAAUCCAACUUGUUACAAAUGCAAUUAGUUUUGAUGUUAUGAUGUAGAAAUUAUACCUUGUUGCUAAUGUAGAAUUGAGAUUGUUCCUAGAAAUAGACAUCUACAUUGAUCUUUUGUUAUUUUUGAAUUUACUUUAAUUAUACUUUUAUUACUAUAUAUAGCCAUAAUAAAUAAUUUUUUAAAUAUUUUGUUAUAUGAUUAUUAAUUCUUAAAAAAUCAAAAGUCUCAAGAUGUGGAUAAUAAUUAUGAUUAAUAUAAAAAAUAUUUAUUGAAUAGAAGAAUCCAUCAUAUUAUUAUAAGAAAACUUUUCCAAUGGCUAAAAAUUAAUCCAAUCAUCUUGAUAGUAGUUGAUAGUAUAUUUUAAAUACUACUUCAAAACUUGAUGCACUUUUUUUGCUUGUCAAUCAAUUUGAAGAUAAAAAAAAUUGAAUGUAAUUUUACAUCCACCUUGAAUAUAUAUAUAUAUAUAUAUAUAUAUAUAUAGAUAUAUUUUUCUAAAACUAUAAUAUAAAUUGAAUCUUUUUAUUCAGUAUAAUAUUCUUUAAUAAGUUAUUAUAGCAAUAAAUAUUUUCAAAAAAAUAUUUAGUUUUUUCUUCACAUGUGAUAGUUUUUGUACAUAAUACAAAAUUUGCCAUUUUAAUAAAAAAAAUCUAUUAUCACAAAGAUAUAAUCAUAUGAACUUGAGAUUAGAAGAUCCAUGAUAAAAUCUAUAGAAGCAAAAGAUUAUGAUUUUUUUUACUAUAAGUAAUAGUUAAAAUUUAUAAGCUCAAUGACAAGGAGUAUUUAAUCUUAAAGAGACAUUUAAUGAUUGUACAAAGUCUUUAAUUGACUUUUGCAUUUGAAGGUGCCAAAAAUCUUUUGAUAUUAAUUCCAAGGUCUUAUUGUAUUCAAAAUGUCACUCAAUUGGAAAAUCGUAGUAAGCUUGAAAAAAAAGUAAUUGCUUUAUUUUCUAAAAUAUAUUAAUGUCUCUCAAAAUAAAAAAGAUUAUAAGAUAUAAAAGAAUUAUUUAUAAUAUUAUAAUAUCAAGAGUAUGAAUAAAAAUAAAAAGAAUCUUAAAAUAUUCUUAUAUAAGUGAAGAAGAAUAAAUAUUCAUUCCAAAAGCAAUAUAGUAUUAAGAUUCGAAUGGCUAUUUUCAAAGACAAGAAGAAUAUAGACUCUUAAAACUAGACUAAGAAUAAGAAAGGCAUUGACAAGAAUGAAGAAGGCUUCAUUCUUACUUCUAUAUAUACUAUCUAACUAAGAGCUAAAAGGUAAUAUUCUAUAAGACCUCCAAUGCAUAUCAAAAUUGUAAGACACAUGUCUUAACUUAUAAGGCAAGUUUUUUAUAUGUACACUAGAUAGUUGGCUUGUUCCAUAGGCUACUAAUACGUGUGAUACGUGGCUAACUUGUUGACCAAGUUUUCAACCUAUAAAUACAUGUAAAGUCAAAGAUUCAUCUUUAAAGCUUCUAGAAAGCUUCUCUAGAAAAUAUUAUGAAAUUAAUUUAUUUUUACAUACUUUUGCCUAAUCAUAUAUGUAAUAUUAGAAUAUAUAUAUAUAUAUAUAUAUAUAUAGGGAGCAUUCAUUGUAUGUCAAAAAAAUCCAAAAUGCAAUAAAUUAUAUUUGCCACAUACUUUGAUCUUUAUUCUUUUUGAAGAUGGUUGAUAGGUCCUCUCAGCCAUUGAUAGUGUUUUAUAUAUAGGUCAAGAGACAAUCCUAUUAUUUGAUUAUUAUUGAGGCCUUCAUAACUUUUUUUUAAUAAAAUAUUUAAAACAUCGUUAGGAGUUGUUUCCACCUUAUUGGAAGUCUCUUUUAAGAUUGUGAUAUUACACAUGUUAUAUCUUGGUAUUUAUUUGAGAAAAAAUAUAUUAUUUUUGAAGAUCUUUAUUUCAAUUACAUCAUCUUGGAAGUUGUAACAAUCAUAAUAUUUUAUUUUAUAAGUCAAAAAAUGAUAACAUUUGAAUUGAAUUUUGUUGAUUGUUAAUUUUCUGUCUUUAGCAUAAUAAAUACAAAAAAACUAUAUAAAAAGAUAAAAAAUAGAAUUUUAUCUUUUCUAAAUCUUGUUUCUUUUAUUGCAAAGAUUUUAUAUCAAUCAUCUUGGUUUUGAUGGAUGUUAUUGAUGAAAAGUCUCAAAUUUUAUUGAUACAUUUGUAAGAUUCUUUGUUGGAUGUCAUGUGCAUUCAUUAAUAUCAUAUCCAUGGUAAUGAACAAGAUAUCUAACCUAUAACGGUGUUGCCUUGAAUUUAGGACUUCUUCCAUCUUAAAGUCUUGAAUAUUAUCCACGUCUAUAGGAAGAAGUGGCAUUUGUCUUCUUUUUAAGAUAUUCACAAUCUUGUAUGGCUCAAGAAGAGACACAUUGUCAUAUUGUGGUUUAGUUACUAUGUGAAAAUAAUAUAUGUAUAUAUAUAUAUAUAUAUAUAUAUUAUAUUUAUUAUAUAUAUAUAUAUAUAUAUAUUAUAUUUAUUAUAUAUAUAUAUAUAUUAUAUUUAUUAUAUAUAUAUAAUUUAUUAUACAAUAUAGUGAAAGCUAUAUUAUUCGAUUUUAAUUAGUUAUAAAUGUAAUUAGAUUAUUACUUUGAAGUAAUUAAUAAAAAAUGGCUACUAUUGAGGUUGAUUUUUAUGUUGAUAAGAGUUUUAUAUAUUUAGAGCCAUCUUUAUUAGAUAUUUGUGACUCUUAAAAUCUUGUUAUUUUUUUUUUAUUUGAUAUUUAGGACACAUAUUAUGUAAAACUUAUUUAAAAAAUAGAUUAGAGGAAGAUUUUUGCUAUCAAAAGAAAUAUUUAUGCCAUCCAUAUAGAUGAAUGGAGAUGGAUGAUAAAAAUCUCUAUUCCUAUUGGCCAAAAGUCAUACCCAAUGGGCCUCAUGGAAGGUGCUUGUGGCCUUAUUAGAAAUUCGGAUUAUUUUUUUGAAGAUAUUUAAGUAUCAAAGGCUAAAAUCAACAAUUUUAGGUUUUGGAUAUGAUUUUGGUAUAAAUUUUAAAUAAUUUGGAGUUUUUAUGAAGGAAAUAUAGGCGCUUAAAAUCAAGGUGUUGAUUUUUUAUCUAUUGUCAUUCUUUGGAGUACAAUGCAUGCAUACAAAAAGUCAUCGCCUCCCGGUAGUAACCUUUGNNNNNNNNNNNNNNNNNNNNNNNNNNNNNNNNNNNNNNNNNNNNNNNNNNNNNNNNNNNNNNNNNNNNNNNNNNNNNNNNNNNNNNNNNNNNNNNNNNNNNNNNNNNNNNNNNNNNNNNNNNNNNNNNNNNNNNNNNNNNNNNNNNNNNNNNNNNNNNNNNNNNNNNNNNNNNNNNNNNNNNNNNNNNNNNNNNNNNNNNNNNNNNNNNNNNNNNNNNNNNNNNNNNNNNNNNNNNNNNNNNNNNNNNNNNNNNNNNNNNNNNNNNNNNNNNNNNNNNNNNNNNNNNNNNNNNNNNNNNNNNNNNNNNNNNNNNNNNNNNNNNNNNNNNNNNNNNNNNNNNNNNNNNNNNNNNNNNNNNNNNNNNNNNNNNNNNNNNNNNNNNNNNNNNNNNNNNNNNNNNNNNNNNNNNNNNNNNNNNNNNNNNNNNNNNNNNNNNNNNNNNNNNNNNNNNNNNNNNNNNNNNNNNNNNNNNNNNNNNNNNNNNNNNNNNNNNNNNNNNNNNNNNNNNNNNNNNNNNNNNNNNNNNNNNNNNNNNNNNNNNNNNNNNNNNNNNNNNNNNNNNNNNNNNNNNNNNNNNNNNNNNNNNNNNNNNNNNNNNNNNNNNNNNNNNNNNNNNNNNNNNNNNNNNNNNNNNNNNNNNNNNNNNNNNNNNNNNNNNNNNNNNNNNNNNNNNNNNNNNNNNNNNNNNNNNNNNNNNNNNNNNNNNNNNNNNNNNNNNNNNNNNNNNNNNNNNNNNNNNNNNNNNNNNNNNNNNNNNNNNNNNNNNNNNNNNNNNNNNNNNNNNNNNNNNNNNNNNNNNNNNNNNNNNNNNNNNNNNNNNNNNNNNNNNNNNNNNNNNNNNNNNNNNNNNNNNNNNNNNNNNNNNNNNNNNNNNNNNNNNNNNNNNNNNNNNNNNNNNNNNNNNNNNNNNNNNNNNNNNNNNNNNNNNNNNNNNNNNNNNNNNNNNNNNNNNNNNNNNNNNNNNNNNNNNNNNNNNNNNNNNNNNNNNNNNNNNNNNNNNNNNNNNNNNNNNNNNNNNNNNNNNNNNNNNNNNNNNNNNNNNNNNNNNNNNNNNNNNNNNNNNNNNNNNNNNNNNNNNNNNNNNNNNNNNNNNNNNNNNNNNNNNNNNNNNNNNNNNNNNNNNNNNNNNNNNNNNNNNNNNNNNNNNNNNNNNNNNNNNNNNNNNNNNNNNNNNNNNNNNNNNNNNNNNNNNNNNNNNNNNNNNNNNNNNNNNNNNNNNNNNNNNNNNNNNNNNNNNNNNNNNNNNNNNNNNNNNNNNNNNNNNNNNNNNNNNNNNNNNNNNNNNNNNNNNNNNNNNNNNNNNNNNNNNNNNNNNNNNNNNNNNNNNNNNNNNNNNNNNNNNNNNNNNNNNNNNNNNNNNNNNNNNNNNNNNNNNNNNNNNNNNNNNNNNNNNNNNNNNNNNNNNNNNNNNNNNNNNNNNNNNNNNNNNNNNNNNNNNNNNNNNNNNNNNNNNNNNNNNNNNNNNNNNNNNNNNNNNNNNNNNNNNNNNNNNNNNNNNNNNNNNNNNNNNNNNNNNNNNNNNNNNNNNNNNNNNNNNNNNNNNNNNNNNNNNNNNNNNNNNNNNNNNNNNNNNNNNNNNNNNNNNNNNNNNNNNNNNNNNNNNNNNNNNNNNNNNNNNNNNNNNNNNNNNNNNNNNNNNNNNNNNNNNNNNNNNNNNNNNNNNNNNNNNNNNNNNNNNNNNNNNNNNNNNNNNNNNNNNNNNNNNNNNNNNNNNNNNNNNNNNNNNNNNNNNNNNNNNNNNNNNNNNNNNNNNNNNNNNNNNNNNNNNNNNNNNNNNNNNNNNNNNNNNNNNNNNNNNNNNNNNNNNNNNNNNNNNNNNNNNNNNNNNNNNNNNNNNNNNNNNNNNNNNNNNNNNNNNNNNNNNNNNNNNNNNNNNNNNNNNNNNNNNNNNNNNNNNNNNNNNNNNNNNNNNNNNNNNNNNNNNNNNNNNNNNNNNNNNNNNNNNNNNNNNNNNNNNNNNNNNNNNNNNNNNNNNNNNNNNNNNNNNNNNNNNNNNNNNNNNNNNNNNNNNNNNNNNNNNNNNNNNNNNNNNNNNNNNNNNNNNNNNNNNNNNNNNNNNNNNNNNNNNNNNNNNNNNNNNNNNNNNNNNNNNNNNNNNNNNNNNNNNNNNNNNNNNNNNNNNNNNNNNNNNNNNNNNNNNNNNNNNNNNNNNNNNNNNNNNNNNNNNNNNNNNNNNNNNNNNNNNNNNNNNNNNNNNNNNNNNNNNNNNNNNNNNNNNNNNNNNNNNNNNNNNNNNNNNNNNNNNNNNNNNNNNNNNNNNNNNNNNNNNNNNNNNNNNNNNNNNNNNNNNNNNNNNNNNNNNNNNNNNNNNNNNNNNNNNNNNNNNNNNNNNNNNNNNNNNNNNNNNNNNNNNNNNNNNNNNNNNNNNNNNNNNNNNNNNNNNNNNNNNNNNNNNNNNNNNNNNNNNNNNNNNNNNNNNNNNNNNNNNNNNNNNNNNNNNNNNNNNNNNNNNNNNNNNNNNNNNNNNNNNNNNNNNNNNNNNNNNNNNNNNNNNNNNNNNNNNNNNNNNNNNNNNNNNNNNNNNNNNNNNNNNNNNNNNNNNNNNNNNNNNNNNNNNNNNNNNNNNNNNNNNNNNNNNNNNNNNNNNNNNNNNNNNNNNNNNNNNNNNNNNNNNNNNNNNNNNNNNNNNNNNNNNNNNNNNNNNNNNNNNNNNNNNNNNNNNNNNNNNNNNNNNNNNNNNNNNNNNNNNNNNNNNNNNNNNNNNNNNNNNNNNNNNNNNNNNNNNNNNNNNNNNNNNNNNNNNNNNNNNNNNNNNNNNNNNNNNNNNNNNNNNNNNNNNNNNNNNNNNNNNNNNNNNNNNNNNNNNNNNNNNNNNNNNNNNNNNNNNNNNNNNNNNNNNNNNNNNNNNNNNNNNNNNNNNNNNNNNNNNNNNNNNNNNNNNNNNNNNNNNNNNNNNNNNNNNNNNNNNNNNNNNNNNNNNNNNNNNNNNNNNNNNNNNNNNNNNNNNNNNNNNNNNNNNNNNNNNNNNNNNNNNNNNNNNNNNNNNNNNNNNNNNNNNNNNNNNNNNNNNNNNNNNNNNNNNNNNNNNNNNNNNNNNNNNNNNNNNNNNNNNNNNNNNNNNNNNNNNNNNNNNNNNNNNNNNNNNNNNNNNNNNNNNNNNNNNNNNNNNNNNNNNNNNNNNNNNNNNNNNNNNNNNNNNNNNNNNNNNNNNNNNNNNNNNNNNNNNNNNNNNNNNNNNNNNNNNNNNNNNNNNNNNNNNNNNNNNNNNNNNNNNNNNNNNNNNNNNNNNNNNNNNNNNNNNNNNNNNNNNNNNNNNNNNNNNNNNNNNNNNNNNNNNNNNNNNNNNNNNNNNNNNNNNNNNNNNNNNNNNNNNNNNNNNNNNNNNNNNNNNNNNNNNNNNNNNNNNNNNNNNNNNNNNNNNNNNNNNNNNNNNNNNNNNNNNNNNNNNNNNNNNNNNNNNNNNNNNNNNNNNNNNNNNNNNNNNNNNNNNNNNNNNNNNNNNNNNNNNNNNNNNNNNNNNNNNNNNNNNNNNNNNNNNNNNNNNNNNNNNNNNNNNNNNNNNNNNNNNNNNNNNNNNNNNNNNNNNNNNNNNNNNNNNNNNNNNNNNNNNNNNNNNNNNNNNNNNNNNNNNNNNNNNNNNNNNNNNNNNNNNNNNNNNNNNNNNNNNNNNNNNNNNNNNNNNNNNNNNNNNNNNNNNNNNNNNNNNNNNNNNNNNNNNNNNNNNNNNNNNNNNNNNNNNNNNNNNNNNNNNNNNNNNNNNNNNNNNNNNNNNNNNNNNNNNNNNNNNNNNNNNNNNNNNNNNNNNNNNNNNNNNNNNNNNNNNNNNNNNNNNNNNNNNNNNNNNNNNNNNNNNNNNNNNNNNNNNNNNNNNNNNNNNNNNNNNNNNNNNNNNNNNNNNNNNNNNNNNNNNNNNNNNNNNNNNNNNNNNNNNNNNNNNNNNNNNNNNNNNNNNNNNNNNNNNNNNNNNNNNNNNNNNNNNNNNNNNNNNNNNNNNNNNNNNNNNNNNNNNNNNNNNNNNNNNNNNNNNNNNNNNNNNNNNNNNNNNNNNNNNNNNNNNNNNNNNNNNNNNNNNNNNNNNNNNNNNNNNNNNNNNNNNNNNNNNNNNNNNNNNNNNNNNNNNNNNNNNNNNNNNNNNNNNNNNNNNNNNNNNNNNNNNNNNNNNNNNNNNNNNNNNNNNNNNNNNNNNNNNNNNNNNNNNNNNNNNNNNNNNNNNNNNNNNNNNNNNNNNNNNNNNNNNNNNNNNNNNNNNNNNNNNNNNNNNNNNNNNNNNNNNNNNNNNNNNNNNNNNNNNNNNNNNNNNNNNNNNNNNNNNNNNNNNNNNNNNNNNNNNNNNNNNNNNNNNNNNNNNNNNNNNNNNNNNNNNNNNNNNNNNNNNNNNNNNNNNNNNNNNNNNNNNNNNNNNNNNNNNNNNNNNNNNNNNNNNNNNNNNNNNNNNNNNNNNNNNNNNNNNNNNNNNNNNNNNNNNNNNNNNNNNNNNNNNNNNNNNNNNNNNNNNNNNNNNNNNNNNNNNNNNNNNNNNNNNNNNNNNNNNNNNNNNNNNNNNNNNNNNNNNNNNNNNNNNNNNNNNNNNNNNNNNNNNNNNNNNNNNNNNNNNNNNNNNNNNNNNNNNNNNNNNNNNNNNNNNNNNNNNNNNNNNNNNNNNNNNNNNNNNNNNNNNNNNNNNNNNNNNNNNNNNNNNNNNNNNNNNNNNNNNNNNNNNNNNNNNNNNNNNNNNNNNNNNNNNNNNNNNNNNNNNNNNNNNNNNNNNNNNNNNNNNNNNNNNNNNNNNNNNNNNNNNNNNNNNNNNNNNNNNNNNNNNNNNNNNNNNNNNNNNNNNNNNNNNNNNNNNNNNNNNNNNNNNNNNNNNNNNNNNNNNNNNNNNNNNNNNNNNNNNNNNNNNNNNNNNNNNNNNNNNNNNNNNNNNNNNNNNNNNNNNNNNNNNNNNNNNNNNNNNNNNNNNNNNNNNNNNNNNNNNNNNNNNNNNNNNNNNNNNNNNNNNNNNNNNNNNNNNNNNNNNNNNNNNNNNNNNNNNNNNNNNNNNNNNNNNNNNNNNNNNNNNNNNNNNNNNNNNNNNNNNNNNNNNNNNNNNNNNNNNNNNNNNNNNNNNNNNNNNNNNNNNNNNNNNNNNNNNNNNNNNNNNNNNNNNNNNNNNNNNNNNNNNNNNNNNNNNNNNNNNNNNNNNNNNNNNNNNNNNNNNNNNNNNNNNNNNNNNNNNNNNNNNNNNNNNNNNNNNNNNNNNNNNNNNNNNNNNNNNNNNNNNNNNNNNNNNNNNNNNNNNNNNNNNNNNNNNNNNNNNNNNNNNNNNNNNNNNNNNNNNNNNNNNNNNNNNNNNNNNNNNNNNNNNNNNNNNNNNNNNNNNNNNNNNNNNNNNNNNNNNNNNNNNNNNNNNNNNNNNNNNNNNNNNNNNNNNNNNNNNNNNNNNNNNNNNNNNNNNNNNNNNNNNNNNNNNNNNNNNNNNNNNNNNNNNNNNNNNNNNNNNNNNNNNNNNNNNNNNNNNNNNNNNNNNNNNNNNNNNNNNNNNNNNNNNNNNNNNNNNNNNNNNNNNNNNNNNNNNNNNNNNNNNNNNNNNNNNNNNNNNNNNNNNNNNNNNNNNNNNNNNNNNNNNNNNNNNNNNNNNNNNNNNNNNNNNNNNNNNNNNNNNNNNNNNNNNNNNNNNNNNNNNNNNNNNNNNNNNNNNNNNNNNNNNNNNNNNNNNNNNNNNNNNNNNNNNNNNNNNNNNNNNNNNNNNNNNNNNNNNNNNNNNNNNNNNNNNNNNNNNNNNNNNNNNNNNNNNNNNNNNNNNNNNNNNNNNNNNNNNNNNNNNNNNNNNNNNNNNNNNNNNNNNNNNNNNNNNNNNNNNNNNNNNNNNNNNNNNNNNNNNNNNNNNNNNNNNNNNNNNNNNNNNNNNNNNNNNNNNNNNNNNNNNNNNNNNNNNNNNNNNNNNNNNNNNNNNNNNNNNNNNNNNNNNNNNNNNNNNNNNNNNNNNNNNNNNNNNNNNNNNNNNNNNNNNNNNNNNNNNNNNNNNNNNNNNNNNNNNNNNNNNNNNNNNNNNNNNNNNNNNNNNNNNNNNNNNNNNNNNNNNNNNNNNNNNNNNNNNNNNNNNNNNNNNNNNNNNNNNNNNNNNNNNNNNNNNNNNNNNNNNNNNNNNNNNNNNNNNNNNNNNNNNNNNNNNNNNNNNNNNNNNNNNNNNNNNNNNNNNNNNNNNNNNNNNNNNNNNNNNNNNNNNNNNNNNNNNNNNNNNNNNNNNNNNNNNNNNNNNNNNNNNNNNNNNNNNNNNNNNNNNNNNNNNNNNNNNNNNNNNNNNNNNNNNNNNNNNNNNNNNNNNNNNNNNNNNNNNNNNNNNNNNNNNNNNNNNNNNNNNNNNNNNNNNNNNNNNNNNNNNNNNNNNNNNNNNNNNNNNNNNNNNNNNNNNNNNNNNNNNNNNNNNNNNNNNNNNNNNNNNNNNNNNNNNNNNNNNNNNNNNNNNNNNNNNNNNNNNNNNNNNNNNNNNNNNNNNNNNNNNNNNNNNNNNNNNNNNNNNNNNNNNNNNNNNNNNNNNNNNNNNNNNNNNNNNNNNNNNNNNNNNNNNNNNNNNNNNNNNNNNNNNNNNNNNNNNNNNNNNNNNNNNNNNNNNNNNNNNNNNNNNNNNNNNNNNNNNNNNNNNNNNNNNNNNNNNNNNNNNNNNNNNNNNNNNNNNNNNNNNNNNNNNNNNNNNNNNNNNNNNNNNNNNNNNNNNNNNNNNNNNNNNNNNNNNNNNNNNNNNNNNNNNNNNNNNNNNNNNNNNNNNNNNNNNNNNNNNNNNNNNNNNNNNNNNNNNNNNNNNNNNNNNNNNNNNNNNNNNNNNNNNNNNNNNNNNNNNNNNNNNNNNNNNNNNNNNNNNNNNNNNNNNNNNNNNNNNNNNNNNNNNNNNNNNNNNNNNNNNNNNNNNNNNNNNNNNNNNNNNNNNNNNNNNNNNNNNNNNNNNNNNNNNNNNNNNNNNNNNNNNNNNNNNNNNNNNNNNNNNNNNNNNNNNNNNNNNNNNNNNNNNNNNNNNNNNNNNNNNNNNNNNNNNNNNNNNNNNNNNNNNNNNNNNNNNNNNNNNNNNNNNNNNNNNNNNNNNNNNNNNNNNNNNNNNNNNNNNNNNNNNNNNNNNNNNNNNNNNNNNNNNNNNNNNNNNNNNNNNNNNNNNNNNNNNNNNNNNNNNNNNNNNNNNNNNNNNNNNNNNNNNNNNNNNNNNNNNNNNNNNNNNNNNNNNNNNNNNNNNNNNNNNNNNNNNNNNNNNNNNNNNNNNNNNNNNNNNNNNNNNNNNNNNNNNNNNNNNNNNNNNNNNNNNNNNNNNNNNNNNNNNNNNNNNNNNNNNNNNNNNNNNNNNNNNNNNNNNNNNNNNNNNNNNNNNNNNNNNNNNNNNNNNNNNNNNNNNNNNNNNNNNNNNNNNNNNNNNNNNNNNNNNNNNNNNNNNNNNNNNNNNNNNNNNNNNNNNNNNNNNNNNNNNNNNNNNNNNNNNNNNNNNNNNNNNNNNNNNNNNNNNNNNNNNNNNNNNNNNNNNNNNNNNNNNNNNNNNNNNNNNNNNNNNNNNNNNNNNNNNNNNNNNNNNNNNNNNNNNNNNNNNNNNNNNNNNNNNNNNNNNNNNNNNNNNNNNNNNNNNNNNNNNNNNNNNNNNNNNNNNNNNNNNNNNNNNNNNNNNNNNNNNNNNNNNNNNNNNNNNNNNNNNNNNNNNNNNNNNNNNNNNNNNNNNNNNNNNNNNNNNNNNNNNNNNNNNNNNNNNNNNNNNNNNNNNNNNNNNNNNNNNNNNNNNNNNNNNNNNNNNNNNNNNNNNNNNNNNNNNNNNNNNNNNNNNNNNNNNNNNNNNNNNNNNNNNNNNNNNNNNNNNNNNNNNNNNNNNNNNNNNNNNNNNNNNNNNNNNNNNNNNNNNNNNNNNNNNNNNNNNNNNNNNNNNNNNNNNNNNNNNNNNNNNNNNNNNNNNNNNNNNNNNNNNNNNNNNNNNNNNNNNNNNNNNNNNNNNNNNNNNNNNNNNNNNNNNNNNNNNNNNNNNNNNNNNNNNNNNNNNNNNNNNNNNNNNNNNNNNNNNNNNNNNNNNNNNNNNNNNNNNNNNNNNNNNNNNNNNNNNNNNNNNNNNNNNNNNNNNNNNNNNNNNNNNNNNNNNNNNNNNNNNNNNNNNNNNNNNNNNNNNNNNNNNNNNNNNNNNNNNNNNNNNNNNNNNNNNNNNNNNNNNNNNNNNNNNNNNNNNNNNNNNNNNNNNNNNNNNNNNNNNNNNNNNNNNNNNNNNNNNNNNNNNNNNNNNNNNNNNNNNNNNNNNNNNNNNNNNNNNNNNNNNNNNNNNNNNNNNNNNNNNNNNNNNNNNNNNNNNNNNNNNNNNNNNNNNNNNNNNNNNNNNNNNNNNNNNNNNNNNNNNNNNNNNNNNNNNNNNNNNNNNNNNNNNNNNNNNNNNNNNNNNNNNNNNNNNNNNNNNNNNNNNNNNNNNNNNNNNNNNNNNNNNNNNNNNNNNNNNNNNNNNNNNNNNNNNNNNNNNNNNNNNNNNNNNNNNNNNNNNNNNNNNNNNNNNNNNNNNNNNNNNNNNNNNNNNNNNNNNNNNNNNNNNNNNNNNNNNNNNNNNNNNNNNNNNNNNNNNNNNNNNNNNNNNNNNNNNNNNNNNNNNNNNNNNNNNNNNNNNNNNNNNNNNNNNNNNNNNNNNNNNNNNNNNNNNNNNNNNNNNNNNNNNNNNNNNNNNNNNNNNNNNNNNNNNNNNNNNNNNNNNNNNNNNNNNNNNNNNNNNNNNNNNNNNNNNNNNNNNNNNNNNNNNNNNNNNNNNNNNNNNNNNNNNNNNNNNNNNNNNNNNNNNNNNNNNNNNNNNNNNNNNNNNNNNNNNNNNNNNNNNNNNNNNNNNNNNNNNNNNNNNNNNNNNNNNNNNNNNNNNNNNNNNNNNNNNNNNNNNNNNNNNNNNNNNNNNNNNNNNNNNNNNNNNNNNNNNNNNNNNNNNNNNNNNNNNNNNNNNNNNNNNNNNNNNNNNNNNNNNNNNNNNNNNNNNNNNNNNNNNNNNNNNNNNNNNNNNNNNNNNNNNNNNNNNNNNNNNNNNNNNNNNNNNNNNNNNNNNNNNNNNNNNNNNNNNNNNNNNNNNNNNNNNNNNNNNNNNNNNNNNNNNNNNNNNNNNNNNNNNNNNNNNNNNNNNNNNNNNNNNNNNNNNNNNNNNNNNNNNNNNNNNNNNNNNNNNNNNNNNNNNNNNNNNNNNNNNNNNNNNNNNNNNNNNNNNNNNNNNNNNNNNNNNNNNNNNNNNNNNNNNNNNNNNNNNNNNNNNNNNNNNNNNNNNNNNNNNNNNNNNNNNNNNNNNNNNNNNNNNNNNNNNNNNNNNNNNNNNNNNNNNNNNNNNNNNNNNNNNNNNNNNNNNNNNNNNNNNNNNNNNNNNNNNNNNNNNNNNNNNNNNNNNNNNNNNNNNNNNNNNNNNNNNNNNNNNNNNNNNNNNNNNNNNNNNNNNNNNNNNNNNNNNNNNNNNNNNNNNNNNNNNNNNNNNNNNNNNNNNNNNNNNNNNNNNNNNNNNNNNNNNNNNNNNNNNNNNNNNNNNNNNNNNNNNNNNNNNNNNNNNNNNNNNNNNNNNNNNNNNNNNNNNNNNNNNNNNNNNNNNNNNNNNNNNNNNNNNNNNNNNNNNNNNNNNNNNNNNNNNNNNNNNNNNNNNNNNNNNNNNNNNNNNNNNNNNNNNNNNNNNNNNNNNNNNNNNNNNNNNNNNNNNNNNNNNNNNNNNNNNNNNNNNNNNNNNNNNNNNNNNNNNNNNNNNNNNNNNNNNNNNNNNNNNNNNNNNNNNNNNNNNNNNNNNNNNNNNNNNNNNNNNNNNNNNNNNNNNNNNNNNNNNNNNNNNNNNNNNNNNNNNNNNNNNNNNNNNNNNNNNNNNNNNNNNNNNNNNNNNNNNNNNNNNNNNNNNNNNNNNNNNNNNNNNNNNNNNNNNNNNNNNNNNNNNNNNNNNNNNNNNNNNNNNNNNNNNNNNNNNNNNNNNNNNNNNNNNNNNNNNNNNNNNNNNNNNNNNNNNNNNNNNNNNNNNNNNNNNNNNNNNNNNNNNNNNNNNNNNNNNNNNNNNNNNNNNNNNNNNNNNNNNNNNNNNNNNNNNNNNNNNNNNNNNNNNNNNNNNNNNNNNNNNNNNNNNNNNNNNNNNNNNNNNNNNNNNNNNNNNNNNNNNNNGAUGACUUUACGACCCGAAAAACGGAUAGAUUGGAAGUUAAAGUCAAUACAUAGAAUCUAAAGGCAAUAAGUGACCCAAUUUGCUAGUGGUUGUGUUUUGAGCUAUAUCUUAAGCAAUUUGAUAAGAUUUUGAUUUAAAAUUUUUAAGAAUAUAUAUUAUCAUGCUAUUAAGCUAUAUAUAAUUUUUUGUAGUAUUUGAAUUUUGAAUUUUUUGAGGUAUAAAGAAAAUAGUACUUAAAUGCUUAUAAAUUGAAGUUUAGAGCACUUGCUAGGAUUUCUAAGAUGUGAGAUAAUUGACACUAAAUUUAUUUAUUUAUAUAUUUAUUUAUUUUUUUGUAGUAAAGAUUAAAGAUUAAUACUACAUUAUCUAAAAAUUCAAAAAAACUAAUUGAUUAGAUCAAUAGAUAUGAAAUUCUAAAGUUUAAGAAGAAAAAAAUAAAAAUAAAAAUAAACCUAUAUAGAAAAACAUAUUUUGAAGGAAUUUUGCUACAAUAUGAAUAUUUUAUUCAAAAUAAAGGAAUUUUUAGAAUCCAAGGUCAUAUAUAUACAUAUAUAUAUAUAUAUUAAAAAUAGAUAUAUAAAGCUCUAAUAAAAUUUUGAUACAAAGAUAAAUUUUAAAAGGAGAUUAUGGAUUUUCUUUGAAUUUAUUAAAAAUCUAAGUUAUCAAUAAAUGGUUAGUCAUGAUUUGAUAUAACAAAGGAUAUUAGAAAAUUUCUAGAUAUUCUAAAAAUCCUUAUGUACAAACCUUCUUAAAUAUAAAAGGUUUUUAUUAGUAGAAUAUCUUUUCAUAAUAUUAUAUUUAUUUAUUCUUUAUAUUAAGAAUAAAUCACUUAUUGAAUCUUGGCUAAUAAAUCAAAGCUAAACUUUUUACAACUAAGUAUCUAGUGUGUUUUUAGAUUGUAAAUCAUUUCAUACAAUAACAAGCUUAGUUUUUUUCAAUUAAAUGUAUUCAAUAUUUUUUAUUGAGAUCUUUAUUUGCUAGAAUAAGUUAAGACUCUUGAAUCUAAAAAGAUAGAGACUUUAUAAUUUUUUGGUUGUAAAUGAAUAUCUAUUAUAUAUUAAGAUGAAGUAUUUGAGUAGAAAAUAAGAUUUUUAUUAGGUGUUGUACAAGAUUCAUAUAGCAUGGUUCUUAUUGUUAUUAGACAAACUUAUCUUCUAAUAUAUCAUCCUUUGUUACAACCAUACUCUUUAUUUUAUAAUUUUAUUGUUUUUCUAAAUAAUGUUGAGUAAUGUAUUUUGAUUUUCUAAAAUAUAAGCAUAAUUCUUUUUAAUGACUUUGAAUCUUUUCUUAUUUAGUAAAGUAUUCAAAAUUUAUUGAAUCAAUUUAUACACGUUUAGGCAUUGAUGAAUAAGUUUUUGAAAACUUAAAAGUUAACAUGACUUAAUUUACACUUCUUUAACUUGAUAUUUUUUUUUGGUAUCUUUUAAAAAGUCAAUUGUUACAUGCAAUGGCUUAAGCAAUAAAAUAUUUUAAUAAGUCUAUUUUUUAUAUUUUUAAUAAUAUGUCUUUGACAUUAUCUUUUAAUUAAUUUUGAUUUUUUUUAUAAGGGCUUUAUCAUUCUAAGCUAUGUGAUAGGCAAAGUUUUAGAAUCCAAUAAUAUAUAUGAUAGCUAAUUGUUAUUUUUAUCAUAAAAAAUAAGAUUAUUUUUUGCAAUCUUUUUUUGAUUGCUUUCUUCAAAUAAGGCAAUAAAUUCUUCUAAGAAUUAAUUUAGAUUAAAUAAGAGUCACGAAUUCUUAUUUUUAAAGGUACAAAUUAAUAAAAAAAAAUCUAAAUAGGAGUAUGCUUAUAAAUUAAACUUGAGUAAAUCCAUCAAUAUAUUAGAAAGAUGUAACUUUACAUAGAGCUUGAUUUUUGUAAAAAUCCUUAAAAUUUUGAUUUUUUUCUAUCAAAAUUUUUAAAUAUACUAAUUCUUAUCUUUAUCAUACAUGUAGUAGCAAGAUUUUUGAGAUUCAAUUUUGAAGUUGAUUACUUAUUUUUUUGGAAAAGUACCUUUAUAGUUGAUAUUAAUAAUAUGUAAAAUUUUCACCCUAAGAAUAUUGAUAAGCUUGUAUAUAUAUAUAUAUAUAUAUAUAAUUUCAGCUAUGUCAAGGACAUAAAUCACAAAGAAUCAAAGGAUCACUAGAUUGUUAAGUCACUAAAAAAAUAGUAGAUAACCAUUGAAAGGUGGUAUGAUAUAAAGAUUAAAAUUACUAUUGCCAAAGUUAAGAAGACUAGAGACUCUUGAAAUAAGACCAAGAACAAGAAAGAUAUUGACAAGAGUUUAAAAGGCUUCACUCUUGCCUCUAUAUAUACUAUCUAAUUAAGAGCUAUUUGAUGACAUUAUAAAAGACCUUCAAUUUGUAUCUAACUUAAAAGACAUGUCUCUUACUUGUAAGAUAAGUUUUUUUAUAUGUGUUCUACAUGGCCAACUUGUACCAUAAUUCACUAAUAUGUGUAAUACAUGGCAUACUUGUUGGUCUAGUUUUUAACCUAUGAGUUACCUACAAACAUGCACAAAGUCAAAUCUACAUCCAUGAAGCAUCUAAAAAGCUUUUGCAUAAGAUAUUAUCAACUUUAUAUACAUUUAUUUACUUCUAUUUAAUUCCUCUUAUCUAGAUAUUAUAAGUAUUGGUUAUGUCUAUAAUAAACUAAUAGCAAAAGAGUUGUCUAAUUUUUUUAGUAAUAACUAAUGGUACAUCUUAUAUACAAGUAAUUUUAUGAUUGUUAUAUUUUAUUGGAAAGUCAUAUUUUACUUUAAAUUCACAUUAAUUAUAUUUAAUUUUCUAAAUUAUGUAAAUAUCUUUCAUAAAAAAGACUCUUUCAAUAAUUAAUUUUUUUCUUAAGUCAUCAUAAAUGUUAUUAUUAAUAUUCAAAAUAGAAAGGUAAGUUAAAUUAUCUAAUUGAAUUAUAUUUAAAAAAAUCUUCAUUGAUUUAAUAGCUUAAAAUUGAAUAUUUUUUAAAUUAAAAUAAAACUUAUUAUUUAUUGUUGGUGCCAUUCCUCUCUAAUAACAUGAAAUAAUAAUAUUUAGAAAAAAUAUUUAAUAAGUUUUUCUGUUUUAAAAAAUAUUAUAUAUUAAAUAAAAAUUAUAAUAAAUAUAUAUUAUAAUAAACUUGAUAAUAAAUUAAAACAUAUAUUAGUAUGUUAAAUUUAAGAUUCUUAUAAUGAAUUUAAAUUGUGAGUAGAUUAGAAAGUAUUGUGAGUCUAACUUUUGGCAUUAAUUGAUAAUAAAAUUUUAUCUAAUGUAAAACUUAAUGCAUUUAUUUCUAUUAAUAAAGCAUUAAAAAAAUUAAAUGAUAUAAUAUAGAUACUAAGAUAAAAAGUAUUUUUUAAAACCUUCAAAUGUUACUUCUGCAUCUUUAUUUCACUUUAAAGUUUUUUUCAUAUUAAAAUUUUAAAUACAAUAAUAAUUUUUAAAAUAUAAUCAUGAUAAAUAUUUAAUAAUAAUUUAAAAGUUUAAUGAUUUAUUCAACAUAAAUAUUAUUUUUAGAGUUUUAAAAUCUAUAAUGAUUUACAUAUUUUUAGAAUCCAUUUAUAAAUCGUUAUUUGAUAUAAUAUAUUAUAAAAUUCUAUUUAAGUUGCAUAUAAUAUAUAUAUAUAUAUAUAUAUAUAUAUAUAUAUAUAUAUAUAUUUAUUUAUUUUGUUACAUAAUUCUAUAUAUCAAAAUUUUAUACCAUAAGGCAAUUAUUCAUAUACUUCCACACUACUAGAAUAAAUAAUAAUAUUUUUUAAAAUAAUUUAUAGAAAUAAUUAUUCUUAAAAUCAUAAAGUAUAUCACUUAUUAAAUCUUAAAAAGAAGUUGGAGUAUUUAUAAGUCUAAAAGGCAUGACAUUGUAUUCAAAGUAGUCAAAUCUAACUCAAAAUCCAAUCUUCUAUUUAUUAUCUUCUAUUUUAUUAUAUAUUAGAAUUUAUACUAUUUAUAAAUCUAUUUAAAAAUAGAUCUUUGCUUCACUUACUUACUAAAAAAAAUCUAAGUAUUAAAAAUAAAAAAUAAAUUUUUUUAAUAAUUAAUUUACUAAAUGCAUGAUAAUCUAUAAAUAAUUACUUAGAAAUAUGUUUGGCACAAUUGCAUAGGUUUUUGAAAGUCAUAUAAAAUUCCUUAUAAGUUUUUUAUUGAUUUCAUUCACUAAAGUAGAAAUAUUUUUUUACAAUAAGUUAUAAGUUGAUCCAAAAAGUAGUUGAUUUUUUCUUGAAAGUCAAUUUUAUAAUAAUAAGAUUAAUAUUUAAAAAUAUAUUCAUAUUUUUUUAAAAAUACAUUUUGAUAUUCUUUACAUUGUUUUAAGAUUCUAUUACAAUCUUUAUUUAAAUAUAAAAUUUAUGUUACAUAAAUAAUAAAUAUAUUUCUUUCUUUUAAAUUUUUUAUAUAUUCUUUAAUUAUUAUAAAUAAGGUUUUGGCUUUUAAGACAUAAGAUACGAUUUAUUUAUUUAUUUAUUUUUAUUUUUUGGUGUGAUUUUUUUUUUCGUAUUUUUAAAUAAUUUUGAUAUUAUAAAAUUACAAAUUAUUUAAAUUUAGAAGUUUUUACAAAAAUAAUUCUAAAAUAUAUACUGAUAAGAGAUUCUAUUGUGUUAAAGAAUAUUAGACUUUGAGAAUCUUCUAUAAUAACUUAUGUUAGUAGGGUUUUAUAUAUAGCAUCUCUAAAAGAUAAAGAUCAUUAGUUUAUGACUUAUCUAUCAACUAAGUCAAAAAUUGGAGAUAUGAUUGUAGAAUAGAAUUUUUAUAUAAAAUUCUACAUACCUAAAUUAAAAUCCUUGAAUAAUAGCGUAUUAUUGCUAUUAGAAUCGAAGCUGCAGUAUUAGAUUAAAAAAAUCAUUUUGUAAAAAUCAUAAGUUGUAAUUACCAAAAAAACAAAAAACAGAAAAAAAAAAAAAAACAAAACAAAACAAAACAAAACAAAAUCACAAUAAAUUUGAAUCAAACAAAAAAAAUAGAGAUCAGUUGAUAAAUUUUCAUAUUAAAUCCAUGUAAAAAUUUAAAAAUUUCUAAAAAGUGUUUAGAUUAAAUAAAUGUAUAAGGACGUAUAUCAAAAUUUAACUAAUACAUUUUUAAAUUUUAAUAGUUUUAAACGUGAUUUUUUAGGUUUAAUAAGUAAUAGUACUUAUCAAUAUUGUAUGAUUCUAGAUUUAAGUUAUUUAAAUGAAAGAUAUGAAAUGAAAUACAAAUAAAAUAAAAUAAGAAAAAAGAUUUAAUUAUGGGUGGUGAGACUAUCUUAAAAAUGUUUAAAAAUUAAAAUUUAAAUAAUUGAAUGUAAGCCAUAGGUGUUUUAGUGAGAUGUAUAAAUAAAAAUAUUUUUAGAAAAUUGGUUCUAUUAUAAAAAAUUAUUUCAAAGAUCAGAUUUUUAUUGUAUUAAAAUUUUAAAUUUAUUAGAUUCUGAAUCAAUUUUUAUUUAAUCCAUAAAUUCUAAAUCAAUUUUUUACAAUAGCAAUCCAUAUGUUCCAACUAAAUAUCAAAUAAAGAUCUUUUAAUAAUCUAAAAAUAAAAGAUAAUAUCUUAAUUAGAACUAGUUUACUAACUUACAUAAAAAAUGAAGACCAAGUAAAAUAAAAAUUAAUUAAAAAGAAUUAACAUAUGGAUAAUUUUAAAAUUUAUAUAAAAAGAAAAAAAAUCUAUUUAUAAUAUCACUUAAUUUUUUAUAUGAUAUUUUUCCCUUCUUAAAAAUUUAAGCUUAUAGAAAAAAAACAAGUUAUUUCAAAUAUAUUUUUUACAAAAUCAACUAAAAAUCAAAACAACCUAUUCAAACAAAACCAAAAUUUUUAAGCAAAAAUACUAAAGAGGAAUAUAUAUAUAUAUAUAUAUAUAUAUAUAUAUUGAUGUAUAUAUAUUUUGAUGUAUAUAUAUUUUGAUGACAUAAAAAAUAAGUAACUUAGGUCUAUCAAAAAAAAUUAUCAUAAUUUAAAGAUUAGAUUUUUUCAUAAAAAAAUUAGGCGAUUGGGAUCUUUUUUUUUAAAUAAUUUGAUUAUGUGGUCAAUGAUUUGAACUUCACUAAGGUUUAUAAGUGGUAUGUUAAGUAUUCUAAAAAACUAUGAGAUCUUAUUUUCAUCUUUCUAUCUAUAUCUAAGGUAAUACAAUCUAUUUAAAAUAUAUGCACUUAAUAUAAAUAAAUUAAAAACUAUAUCUUUUUCAUAAAUUUUAAAAAUACAUAAUAUUUUUUUAUACUUUUUAAAUAUUUUUUCCUAUUAAUUGAUAUUUUAUAUAUAUUUAUAUAAAAUAGAUAUUAAUCUUUAGAAAUUAGGAUAAUUUAUUAAAAAAAAUAUAAAAGAAAUGACCAUACAGAUAUUAAUAUUAGAUUUAAAAAAAAAAUAAUUAUAAAACCUUCUAAAACGUAAUUAGUACCCAAAAAAUCAAAUAAAUAUAAUAACCUAAUAUUUUAAAAUUAUUUUUAUAUGAAAAAAAUCAAAAUAUUAUUUUAAUAAAUUAUUAGAGAUAAUUUUUUUAAUAAAUUAUUAGAGAUAAGAACUUAAAGAAGAUGCAUAAAAAAAAUUUAUUUUAAAAAUAAAUAAGUAAUAGAAAUUAAAAAGUAUGUAUAUUAAAAAAGAAGCUAGAAAGGCUAUUGCCAAAGUCUAGAAAACUAGAGAUUUUUGAAACUAUACUUCUUAUAAGAAAAGAUUUGACAAUUGAAAAUAAGGCCCCAGUCUUGUUGCUAUAUAUACUAUCUAACUAGAAGCUAAAUGACAAUUUUUGAUAGGACCUUUGACUUAUAUCCAACUUAUAAGACACAUAUUUAAAUUUCAAGACAAGUUUCUUAUAUGUGCACCAUAUAGCUAGUACCACAAGUAGCCAGUAUGUACAAUAUGUGGCCAACUUAUUGGCUAAAUUUUUAACUUGUCAAUCAUCUUUUAAAUAUUUAUAAAGUCAAAUUUGCAUCUAUUAAGCUUUUGAAAAGCUUUUCUAUAAGAUAUUAUCAAAUUUAUCUAUUUUUACUUAUUUUUACAUAAUUAUUUUUAUAUAGAUUGUUUCUAAUAUUAAUUAUAUUUGUAAUAUAAUGUAGUAGUAAAAAGCCACAUAGAACAUUUUGAAUGGAAAAUAAUGUGGAUCAAGAUCACCUAGUCAAAGAAAAAAAUUAGUACAAAGAGCAAUUAGGAAAAAUAGUGAGUCAAACUAAGGCACAAUAUGAGGAUGCAAAGAUAGUUGAUACAAGUAGGAUAUUCUUCUAUGACUUUGCAUUAAGAUUUAAGAGAGAAAAUAUAGACAAGAUAGGAUAUUAGUAAAAAGGGUAGUGUAAUAAUGUCCUAGAGGCAUUGGUUGCAUUAUGGCAGUAAUCUCAUACAUUUUGAACUAUAAGAAGUCUGGGAAUUGAUGGUCAUAUUAGCCAUAAUGAAAUUAAGAAAAAAUUCAUAUCUUCAAAUUUUACUAUCUUACAUAUUGGAUGCAACCAAAGCUCCAUUGAAUAUUAGCAUACAUAGCUUCUUCUACAGAUUCUAAUAGGCCUUCCUAUUAUUUGGGAUAAAAAACCACUUUAUAUAAUAGACAUUCUAAAGGAAUAUUAAUUUCUUCUUCUAUUGGCAAAAAAAUGGAAAAGCUGGUCAAUAAGUUCAUAGUCAAGAUAGAAAAAUAACUCUACUUCAUUAAUUAAAAUUAAAGACAAGUUACGGAUUCUAAUAUUAAAUCUAGCAUUUUUUGAAUAAGAUACAAAAAAUUGAAAUACAUCAAAUGCAUGGUAUUUUGAACUUUAGGAAAUAAUAUCAUGUUUAUAUUACAAAAAAUAUAACCAUACAUACAAAGAAUAUUGGUUCCAAAAAAAAAAAAAAAAAAAAAAAAAAAACUAAAAAAUCAUCACAAUAUAUUUUUUCACAUAAUAUAAAACAUCUAUUACAACUAAUUGCUUAUUCACUAUAAAUAAUAUUUAUAAGAUUUAAUUCUUAAAUGCUAUAAUCAAGAUGUAAUAGCCCUCUAUAUUAGGUGCCACAAUUAUAGAGAGAACCCAUAAAUUAUCUAAUACUUAAAAAUAUCUACCAAAUACAUAUUUUGUAGUAGGCUGCAUAAUGCAUAGGCUUAUUCCAACUUCAGAUUCCUUAUCCAAUCCAUGCAACUAAAAACAUCAAAUUUUCAAAUGCGCAUGUAUAAUGAAGCUGAUUUUUAUCACAAAGCCAAGACUAACAAAUUUAGACCUUGAUACAUUGCUAUAAAAAUGACUUCAAACACUCAAUUCCUCAUCUUACUUGGAAUGAGUACAAUCAUCCAUAUGUAAGCCAUUGUCUAUUACAAAGUCAAAUAAAAAAAUUAAGACAAAUUUCUUAGAAUUAUUGAUUUUAGAUUUGAUCAAUCAAAGUUGCAAAAAACUAAGAGGAACUUAACCAAGAAGAAAUUGGCUUCUAUUUUGAAUAUUGAUAUUUAUGUAGCCAAGUGUAAUAAUCCACUUAUCUUUGUAACCAUAGAUAGAUUGUUGAUCAAACAUUGUAGAAUUAAUUUUUGCUCUUUAGUCAAUAUCAUAUCUAAAGCUAUCAUAGAAGCAUUAGGAGUAACAAGGAUCAAUCUAACCUUGUAAGUUCUACCAAUAGGCCUUGAUUGAUAAAAAAAUUAAAAAUAUAAUUUUAAUUUAUUUAAGAUUAAAGAAUUUUUUUUAUAUAAAUAUUCAUUAGAAUUUUAAAAAAUUUAUAAGAUAUAAAAAUUUCAUUAGAAUUUUUUAUAAAAAUAGAAUCUUAGUAAGUUUUAGAUGUAUUUAUCUUAGUUGAUUUAGUAUUUUUAUUUAUUAUUGAAUAUUAAUAGUAAUUUAUUAAAAAAAAUGUCUACAUUGGCCUUUUAUUUAAAUAUAUAUAUAUAUAUAUAUAUAUAUAUAUAUAUAUAUUAUUUAUAAAGAUACCUAUAAAUUUUAGUUAGUAAGAAAAAAAAACAUAAAAAAGAACCUCACAUCUUUCUAAUUAUUUAUAUAAAAAAUAUAAUUUUUAAUUCAUUUAUAUUGCUGGUAUUUUUAUAAAAAAUAUCAAAGAAAAAAAAAUUAUUAGAAUUAUAAAAAUAUUAUAGGAAUUUUUAGAAUUCAUUUAGAAUUUAUUUAGAAGUUUUUAAGAAGUUUUAGAGAAACAUUUUAAGAUUCUAAAAAAAUUAAAUUUUACCACCUUGGAAGCUAUUAUGAAGAAAUGGAGCAAGAUUUGAAGGCCAUGCAAGGUUUUUGAACUAAUUGGAUAUUUUUAAAUACCAUGGUAUUGUCAAAAACAUAAAAAAAGUAGUCCUACUAUUUAGAGAUAGAAGGACCAACAACUAAUGUAGUCUUUGUAGGAAGGGAUGUAUACAAGUCCCAUAUGGAUUGUAGCACCUUGGAUGUAGUUAAGAAGAUAAGACUAAGGCCUUGUAGCCUCUUUAGAACAUCCAUAUACACAAUAUGUAAGCCUUGUUGUGGCUUGAAUCAUUGAUCUAUAAAAAAAAUAUUUUUGAAGUAAAAUAUAUGUAUUUAUUUUUUAAAUUAUUUAUUUAUUAUAUUUAAACCUUUAUAAAUUAAAUAUAGUAAGUUAGAUUUAUAUAUUUUUACAUCAUUAGAAUAAUAAAGAAAUAAAUUUAAAUUUUAAAAAAAUGUAUAUAUAUUAUUAAAUAAAAAUCUAAUGAAUAGAUGGUGAUUUAGUUUUAGGGUGUGUAAUUACUUGAAUACAAUCCUUUGAUUUUAUUUAUUUAUUCUUCUUUUUUUUUCUUAUUAUUUUCUUAUCUAACUUUAUACCACCAAUCAUAAAAAAUUCUAAAUUAAAAAUAUCUUGUAAUUUGAAUUGAGAUGCAAAAUUCAUCUUCAUAAAUUUUUAUUAUUCUACAAAUUAAAAAUAAAAUAAAAUAAAAUAAAAAUAUAGGUGAGCUAAAACAAAUCUUAGCUAUGAUAGAAGAAACCAUAAUUUCUAUUGACUUCACUAUAAUAGACGUAACUAUCUCUUCUUAGUUUUUUCUUCUAUUUAAAGUACCUUGGUUGGAAGCAGCUGAUGUCACCAAUUCUUAAAAGAAGGAAAUAUUGACAUUGAGAAUGAUGUCUUAUAUACAACAAUUUUUUUGAGAUCAAUAAGCUUUGCACUUAAAUUUUAAUUCCUGAUACAAUAAUUUUGAUGAUGAAUUCUAUAGCUAUGUAGUAAAUUGCUUCAACACUAUCGAAGAAUAUCAAGGAAUUUUAACCUUGUUUAUACCAUGGCCAACUCCGUCCUUGAACAUUGUCUAAUGGACCAUUCUAUUAGACAUAUAUUAGAAAUAAAUGUACAUCCUCCAACCAUGAAUAUUAUAAUGCAUAGACCAUUAACAAUUGAUAUAGAUAUCAAUAGUUGAAUUAUAAAGAUAGUGUCAAGGACAAGAACUCGAUGAAAGCUAAAGAGUAAGUGAGACUUUUCUCAAAAAGAAAUAGGACAAAAUAGAAAUAUGUAUAUUAAGAAAGAAACUGGAAUGGCUAUUGCCAAAAUACAAGAAAACUAGAGACCCUUGAAACUAGACUAGAAGCAAGAAAGGAGUUGACAAGAGUGAAGAGGGCUUCACUCUUGCCUCUAUAUAUACUAUUUAACUAGAAGCCACGUGGCGAUGUUCUAUAAGACCUCCAAUAUAUGUUGACUUUCUAGGCCACAUGCCUUUGCUUGCAAGGCAAGUUUUCUAUGGAUGGACCACGUAGUUAGCUUGUUCUUUAAGCUUCCAACAUGUGUGGCACAUGACUAACUUGUUGACCAAGUUUCUAACCUAAAAGUCAACUAUAGACUCCUAUAAAGUCAAAGCAGCAUCUAUGAAGCUUCUAAGAAGCUUCUCUAGAAGAUAUUACACAAUUAACCUACUUUUACAUACUUUUAUCUAUUCAUAUAGGUAAUUAUAUGUAUGUCCGUGACAUUACCCCCCCUUCUAGGGACGAGUUCCACGAUGAGCGGUGAUUAUAUAUUGAGAAAAUCUAAUAUGUGGCGAAUUGUAUUUGCUACAUACUCUGAUCUUUGUUCUCUUCGAAGAUAGUUGAUGGGUCCUCUUAGCCAUCGAUAGUGUCCCAUUCCAGGGCGAGAAGACCACCCUGUUAUUUGAUCACUGUUGAGGCCUUCAUAACUUCCUUCAAAUAAUACAUUUGAAACACCAUCAGGAGUCGUUCCUAUCUCCAAUAAUAUCACCAAACAUCGAGAAUCUCUUCCAAGGUCGUGAUACCAAACGCGUUGUAUCUCACCAUCUAUUCGAGGAAGAACAUGUCGUUCUUGAGGGUCUUCAUCUCGGUUGCGUCGUCUUGAAGGUUGUGACAAUCGCAAUGUCUCAUCCGGUAAGUCAGCAAACGAAGGUUCUUGAGUUGAAUCCGCUGGUUGUUGGCUCUCCAUCUAAUUAGCGUCACAAAAUGCAAAGAAGUUACAAACAAGGAUAGGAAAUUGAAUGUUAUCUUGCCUCAAUCUUGUCUCUUUUAUAAGAGAGGUUUUCAUCUUGGUUUUGAUGGAUGUCGUUGAUGAAAAACUUUGACUUUAGUUGAUGCAUUUGCUAGAUUCCUGGAUGGCUCCCAUGUGCGCUCACUAAUAUCAUAUCCGCACCAAUGAACAAGAUAUUCCAGCUUAUUUCGGCGCCGCCUUGAGUCUAAUAUCUCUUCCACUUCAAAUUCUUCAUUAUUAUCUACUUCUAUAGGAGGCGGUGGUAUUUGUCUUCUUCCUUGUAUAUCCACUGUCUUAUAUGGUUCAAGAAGAGACACGUGGAAUACAGGAUGGAUCUUCAUUGACUCCGGUAGAUGUAACCGAUAUGCAACUGGGUUGAUCUGUUCAGAAACAGAAAAGGGGCCAAGCCUACGAUAGUCCAAUUUGUCACAAGGUCGAGUGGUCUUGAUAUUGCGACGAAGUAGCCAUACCUUAUCACCCACGUUGAGUUGUGGUUGCUCUUUACGAUAUACAUCUGCAUUUAUCUUUUGUCGUUCUUGAGCUUUCUUCAACUGCGCCUUCAUUAUUGCAUGUAACUCUGACAACCGAUUUGCCAUAUCUUCUGCUGCAAGAUUAUCAACUUUUGAAAAAUCAAAAGUAUCAAGUCGUAGAUGAUAGCCAUAAUUGGCAAAGAAAGGUGUUUGUUGCGUGGAAGAAUGUACCGUAUUAUUAUAAGCAAACUCUGCCAAUGGCAGAAGGUUUGUCCAAUCAUCUUGUUGGUAGUUGAUGGUACACCUUAAAUACUGUUCCAAGACUUGGUUUACGCGCUCUGUUUGUCCAUCAGUUUGAGGAUGGAAAGCUGAAGAUAGCUUUAUGUCCACUUUUAAAAUCUUGAAAAGAGUCCUCCAGAAUCUCGACACAAAUUGAGUUCCCCUAUCCGAUAUGAUAUCUUUAGGUAAUCCAUGAUAGCGAUAGAUAUUAUCAAUGAAAAGCUUAGCUGUUUCUUCACCUGUGAUAGAUUUUGUAUAUGGCACAAAAUGUGCCAUCUUGGUGAAACGAUCUACUAUCACAAAUACAGAAUCAUAAGAUCUUGAGCUUGGAAGAUCUGUGAUGAAAUCCAUAGAAACAGAAGACCAUGAUUGUUCUGGUAUAGGUAAUGGCUGAAGAAGUCCAUAAGGUCGAUGAUGAGGAAUUUUUGAUCUUGAACAAAUAUCACAUGAUUGUACAAAGUCUUUGACUGACUUCCACAUUUGUGGCCACCAAAAAUCUCUUGAUAUGAGUUCCAAAGUCUUAUUAUAUCCAAAGUGCCCUGCUGCUGGAAAGUCAUGACGUGCUUGAAGAACACGCAAACGUACUUUUCCUUCUGGAACAUAUAGGCGUCCUUCAAAAUAUAAUAGAUUAUUCUUGAACUCGAACUUAGAAGAAUCAUGAGACUUGGAAGAAUUAUUCUCGAUAUCAUGAACAAGAGGGUCUGAGGACAUACUGGACUGGAUUUGCUUGAGAAAAGUUGAAUCAACAGUCAAUGUUGAUUUCACUGCUCGGAGAUGAAAUUGCUCCGGUUUCAAGAGGACCGUUCUUUGUUGCUCAAAAGCUGCAUCUCCUUCUUUUGGUGCAAAAUAAGAACGUCUAGACAGGGCAUCGGACAAACCUUGUUGUUUUCCUGGCCGAUAAGUGAUAAUGAAGUCGAAUCUUGACAAAGACAUACUCCAACGAGCUUGACGACGAUUCAACAUGCGUGCUGACAUGAAAUACUCGAGGUUCUUGUGAUCUGUAUACACAGUGACUGGACUAGAAGCGCCUUCUAGAUAAUGACGCCAUUCUUGAAAAGAAUCCACGAUUGCAAGUUCUUUAUCGUGGAUCUCAUAAUUGAUCUCGGCUGCUGAGAAUUUUCUUGAAUGAAAAGCUAUCGGAUGAAGUUUGUCAUCUGUUCCCAUUUGUGAUAAAACUGCACCCAAGGCAAAAUCCGAUGCGUCUGUUUCCAUAAAAAAUACCUUGGAAAAGUCAACACGAUAUAAGACUGGUGCAGAGACAAACGAUGUCUUCAAGGCUUCAAAUGCUGCUUCCGCUUCUUGAUUCCAUUGGAAUUUAUCUUUACUAGUCAAGCGUGUAAGUGGAGCUGCAACUCGUGAGAAGUCUUUGAUGAAGAUCCGAUAGUAAUUGGCAAAUCCCAAGAAACAUUGGACAUCUCUUACAGUCUUUGGAAUCUUCCAAUCCAUGAUUGUUUGGACUUUCUUAGAAUCCAUCAUAAGACCAUCAUUUGAAAUGAUGUAUCCUAAAAAGUCAACUUGAGUAGUGUGAAAUACACACUUUUCCAUCUUGGCGUACAAUCCUGCAUCUCUGAGUUUUUGUAAUACUUGACGAACAUGUAUUUCAUGUUCUUCAACAUUCUUAGAAUAAAUCAGGAUAUCGUCUAGGUAGCAGACGACAAAAUUGUCUAAGAAUUCACGAAAUACAUCAUUCAUGAGAUGUUGAAAAGCAGUUGGUGCAUUCGUGAGUCCAAAAGGCAUGACAUUAUAUUCAAAAUGCCCGUACCUGGUUCGAAACGCAGUCUUCCAUUCAUCUCCUUCUUUGAUCCGUACUAGAUUAUAUGCUCCUCUUAGAUCUAUUUUUGUAUAGAUCUUAGCUUGAUUUAACUGGUCAAGGAGUCCUGAUAUCAAAGGUAAUGGAUACCUGUUCUUGAUUGUGAUCUUGUUGAGUCCUCGAUAGUCAACACACAUUCGUAAAGAUCCAUCUUUUUUCUUUACGAAUUAAAUUGGAGCUCCUGCUGGAGAUUUUGAAUGGCGUAUGAAAUUCUUCGCUAAAUUCUCGUCAAUAUAUGUCUUGAGUUCAGCCAACUCAUCUUGCGAUAAACUGUAAAUUGGUCCAAAUGGUGGCUGAGUUCCUUCCUUGAGAUCGAUUGAACAAUCGUAUGGGCGAUGCUCAGGAAGAAUAUCUGCAUUCUUUUUCUCAAAAACGUCUUGAUAAUCCUGAUAUUGACUUGGAAUGCCACUUGAAGUCUUUACGCUUUCAGAAAUAGGUGCAGCAUAAAUAGCAAAAGUUGAUCCUUCUUUUGCUGCGUGUAUAAAUGCUUUUGCACCUAUAGGUGCGAGUUUUACUAUACUAGAGUCAUGGUUUUUUACUUGGUUAAUAGAACUGUUACUAAUGCUUCGAGGAAAAUCAAGUUUACGAGAAAUCCAAUCUAUUUGAGGAUUAUACUUUUCUAACCAUGAUAAGCCUAAAAUUACUGGAUUAGAGGGAGAUCUAAUUAUAUUAAAAAUUACGCAACUACUAUGACCAUUUAUUACUACAUCUACAGGAAGUGUUUCGUGAGUUACAUCUCCAGAAGACAACGGACGACCAUCUAUGACUUCUACGUGUACAGGUUUAGUUUUUUGUAUUAAUGAUAUUCUAUGACAUCUAGCAAAUUCUUCAUCUAAAAAACAAGAUGAGGCUCCUGAAUCUACCAAGGCAGAGGCUUUGUAAUUAUUAGGUCCUAAACGCACAUCUAUUAUAAAACAAGGAGAUGGUUCUGAGGAGAGGAUAGGACCUUUAUUAGAAGUUGUACAAGAUUCCAGCCGCACGGUCCCUAUUGUAGCUGGACGUACUCGUUUUCCGACAUACUGUCUUCUUUGACAGUCGUACUCCUCAUUUUGUAGUUACGUCGCUUCUUUGGACAAUGUUGAGCAGUGUGCUUAGGUUCUCCACAAUAUAAGCACAAUCCUUCUUGUCGACGACGAGACUUUUCUUGCUCAGUAAGAGGUUUGAAACGUACCGCAUCAAUUUGCAUAUCCUCUACUUCUGAAGGUAUGUGUUGAGGAGACGUCGGUGUUGCCAUUGAAUUGUAGUAACGUUGAGGCCCACUUGUGCGACUCUCGGAUCGAAAUUCAAAAAGUCGAUUGUCGCACUUCACAGCAAAGUCAAUUGCUUGACUCAAUGUUUGAGGAUCAGGUAAAUUAAGCAUCAAUUUCUUUACCUCAUAUUGUAAUCCGUAGAGAAAUUGACUCACAAGUGCGGCAUCAUCCCACUUGAUAUCAGUUGCAAGUUGUCGAAAUUGCGAAGCAUAUAAUGUUACUGAUCGAUUGCCUUGUCGCAAAAUACGGAUCUUGUUGGUUGCAACACGAAUUGCAUCAUGUUCUCCAAAUAUGGAUCGAAACUCCGCCAAAAAAGCCUCCAGAUUAUCCAAUAUUGGAUCUCGUCGUUCAAGAAAAGAUGAAAACCAUGACAAUGCUGAACCUGAAAGAAGUGUACCAAUGAAUCUUACUUGUGACCCUCGAGUUGGAUAGCUCUGGGGUUGAAGUUCAAUCACUAGUUGGACCUGAUUGAUGAAUCCUCGAAACUUGGAUCUGGUACCAUCAAACUUCUCAGGCAAGGCAACUCUCGGUUCUCUAACACUCGAAGGGUGUUCCAUUCUGGGAGAAGGGACAUGGUUUGGUGCAGAUGUUGAAGCAGCCCCAAUCAUCUCUAUAUCUUUACUUUCUACCAUUCUUGUUGCUCCUUGUGGUGGUAAAUUGAGUUGAUGCAUCGCAAGCAUUAACUCCCUCAAUUGUUCUUGCAUCUGUGCCAUUGCACUCUUCAUUUCAACAAGCUCUGCCAUAGUAGCACUUAGAAAAGAGAAGAUGUCUAAUAACGCUCAAAACAAAUAGAAGAGAGGAAUUGAUAACAAAGAAAAUACUAAGAACAAUAUCAGUUUAAAAGAGGGUAAUCCGCAACUUCUAAUGCGCUUAUGUCUUAUCAAGAAAAAGGGGUAAUCCACUCUCAAUCAAGAAAAGACAAAGCUCUGAUAUUGUAAGUGUACUCUUGUCAAUCUGUCAAGGACAAGAACUCGAUGAAAGCUAAAGAGUAAGUGAGACUUUUCUCAAAAAGAAAUAGGACAAAAUAGAAAUAUGUAUAUUAAGAAAGAAACUGGAAUGGCUAUUGCCAAAAUACAAGAAAACUAGAGACCCUUGAAACUAGACUAGAAGCAAGAAAGGAGUUGACAAGAGUGAAGAGGGCUUCACUCUUGCCUCUAUAUAUACUAUCUAACUAGAAGCCACGUGGCGAUGUUCUAUAAGACCUCCAAUAUAUGUUGACUUUCUAGGCCACAUGCCUUUGCUUGCAAGGCAAGUUUUCUAUGGAUGGACCACGUAGUUAGCUUGUUCUUUAAGCUUCCAACAUGCGUGGCACAUGGCUAACUUGUUGACCAAGUUUCUAACCUAAAAGUCAACUAUAGACUCCUAUAAAGUCAAAGCAGCGUCUAUGAAGCUUCUAAGAAGCUUCUCUAGAAGAUAUUACACAAUUAACCUACUUUUACAUACUUUUAUCUAUUCAUAUAGGUAAUUAUAUGUAUGUCCGUGACAGAUAGUGCACAUGAGUAGCAAAAUUGGGUGCUAAAGCAAAGUGAAUAGAUAUUAAGAUGAUACUCACAACAAAAGUACAUGAGUCACAAUGCAAGAAAGAGAGAGAUAAUUUCUUAUUAAAUAUAGUAUGAACAUGAAUUGUGAGGCAAGACUUGGAUUGAAGUAGUUAUUGCUAAGAAAAGUAUAAUAGAAGGAUAGGAGCUCUUUUACAAGCAAUAAUGUAUAUGUUCAACUAAAGAUAACUUUGUUGGUCACACAACCAAAGACAAACUUGUUUUCUAACAUGGAAUUAAUAAGAAGGAUUAAUUUAUGUAUUAAGUAGAAGCCUAGAAUCUAAAGUAUAUCCUAAUAGCUCAGUAAUAUGUAUCAAAAGUAAUAUAAAAUUUUAAUUUUAAUUCUUGAUAUUAAAUCAUGUUUAAGUAUGAAUGCUACAUGUUAUCUUGUUUUAAUUUGCUAUUGCUUAUAAUCUAUUUCCUCAACAUUGAUGAUCCACCAAUACAAAAGAGAUAUAUGAAUUCAAGGGUCUUCAAUAAAUUAUGAAUUAACAAUAAAAAAAAGAAAAAUGUGAAGAUAAGAAAUUAAUUCUAUUUAUAAAGAGUAGUAAAGAAUCUUUUAGGAAUUGAUUUCUACUCAGCCAUUUCUUUUGAUCUUUUUAAGAAAUACAAAAAUCCACCAAUUUAAAUGCAUUAGUGGAAUUUUUAACCUAUCAAAAGAAAAAAAUAGACAUAAAAAUUCUUAGAUCUUUCUAUUAGUUCUUAUUUAAAUAGUUGGUUUGUUAUGACAAAAAAUUAAGAAUACUAAAACUUAUUUAAGAAAUAUAAUCAAAGCAUCUAAUAACUAGAAGGAAUAUUAAAGCUAAGAAAAUUAUAGAUGAAGUUAAAAUGGCAUUUAUAAGCCAAAUAAUCUAUUCUAUUGAUUAUCUAUAUUUUAUUUUACAUCAAUUUUAAUUGGUUCAAGAAAGUAAGGAUUUGGCUAUUAUAAAGUCUUUCUUAGGUUUUGUAUAUGUAUAUAUACUACCAUAAGAUGUAAUUAAUUUAGUAUUUCAUAUGAAAAAUAUUAUAAAUAAAUCUUAAGAAAUUUUUGCUUAAAAUGACCAUAUCUUUUCAAAAUCAUAUUUUUAAUAAAUAUUUUAGGAAAGAAGAUAAAAUCAUCAGUUUAGAUAAACACUAAUGCAAUUUUUUUGUAAAAAAUAACUUUAAAGAUAUUACUUAUAUUUUUUAGAUUUUUUUUUAAAUAUUAUAUUUUAUAAAUCGUAUAAUUUAGAUACAAAAAAUAUUAAUAGUAAUAUAUAUAUAUAUAUAUAUAUAUAUAUAAGCUAUCGAAGGAAAUCAAAUUUUAAAAAAUCAAUUACAUUUCAAAAAUAAAAGUUUAUUCAAUAGUAAUUUAGAUAAGGAGAUUUUUUGGAGCUUGUAUUUUUUAUCAUAUAAAAAAUCCACAUAUUGCUCAUAUUUUUAAAAUAUUAUGCAGAUUUGUAUAGGGGCUAUAGAGGAUUUAUAAGAAAUUUUAAAAUCUCUUUUAAAAAAUUAAUGUAUUAAUUAUUGAUAUAAAAGCAGUAAUUACAAUGGUUGAUAAAAGACUAAUAGCAAUUGGAUGGGCUGUUGGACAAGGUGAUGGAGUGCAUUUAUAUCCUUGAAAUGUAAUAGAAACUAAAUGAUUAGUUUCAUUAUUCAAUAAUUGAUAUUAGAAUAAAUAAUUAAUAUUUUUUAAAAUUACAUUUAAUUUUUUAAUACCAAAUAUUUUUAUAUUAAGAUGAAUUGCUUGAAUAAAUAUUUUAAUCUUUGAUUUGUCUUAUAUAAUCUAAAAAUAAAAAUUUAGAAAAAAUAUAUUAUCAAAAGCCAUUUUUUAAAAAUAAUUAAAAUACUAGUACUUGAAGAUAAAAAAAAAUCAAGAAAAUAUGAUUUAAGAUUAUUUUUUUGUUAUAGGUGGAAAAAAAUUGGUAAUAAAAUUAUCAAUUCUAAACUAUAUAUAUAUAAAGGUAAAUUAAAGAAAAUAAGAUUAUAAUUAAAUAAUAAAAAAAUUAAAAAGAUUGAUUUAAUAAGACUUUUAAAGAUAUUAAAUAUUAAUUCUAUUGAUAUUUUCUACAAAAUAAACUUUUUAAAGAGAGUCCAAAUUGAAAAUAUAGAAUUUUAAUAAAAGUGGUUGGAGAUUAAAAUACUAUUGUUUAAGUUUUAAAAGAUUUUAAUGAUACAUUAUAGACAAAGCAUAGAGACAUUUUUGCAUUGUAAAAAAAGAUUAAAGAAUAUCAUUAAUAGAAGAGUUUAUAUAGAAAUUCAUAAGAAUUUAUAAAUUAUUGCAUUGAGUACUAAUUACAAUUAAAAGAAAGAUAUCAAAUGAAUUAUGACUUUUUUAUCUACUAGUUGUACAGUUUUAAUAAACUAUAGAUUUAAUUUCUAUGCCAAUUAUAAUUUGGAAGAUAAAGUAUUUACCAUUGGCUGGAGAACCUUUAAAUUAUGUAGAAAUAAAGACACUAAAAUUUAAAGUAACAAACAUAUUUUUAUAUGCUUAUCUUUAUUGUUAAAAUAAGGAUAAACAUAUAAAAAUAUUGUUAAAAUAAGGAUAAACAUAGAUAAAUUGGAUAAUUUAAAAACUUCUAAAUUAUUAGUUAAGUAUAGAAUUUGAUUAAAGUUUAUUAUCUUGUAGAAUGUAGAACAAAAAAAUAUAUAUAUUUACUAAUUAUUCAUAUAUCACUUAAAGAAUAUAGAAAAAAUUCUAAAGAUUGGCCUAGUUUUCUUCUUUUUUAAUUUUGGAUUUAUAGCAUAAUACAAAACUUAGUUAAAAAAUGUAUGCCAAAAGAACUACUAUUUAGAUAGUUUCUAUUAAUACUUAAAUAUAAAUUUUUUCUUAUUUGAAUAUUUUUAUGCAUAGAUGAAUAUAUUAAGGAAAAAAUAUUGUGAGAACUUCAAAUUACACAAUUAGACAAGCUAUAAGAAGAAAUUUAUGUUGUUUUUAAAUAAAUAAAAAAAAAUUGUCACAAAAAAAAUCAUGGUUUGACAAAAAUUAUUAAUAUAUGAUAAUAGAUAAAAGUAUUAAUAUAAUGCCAAAAAAGCAUUUUCAAAAAGAUAUUUUGGACUACAAUGACUUAAAAUUUUAUCUCAAUGUAUUUAAAUUAGAAUUAUUUAAUUUUUUAAGAAAUAAUAUAAUAUAUAGGUACUUAAUCUAAUAAGUAAAGUUGUUUGUAAAUAAUUCAAGAGCCUUUAAAGUAGAAUAUUUUUAUGAAAUAGUUUUAUAAGUAAAAAAUAUUCUAUUUAUGCAUGAAUUUUUUAUUGAAAUAAUUUUUUUAUUCUUUAUUUUUUUGUUCAUUGCUAAUAUCAUUUUAGCCUUCAUUACUAUUCAUUUUUGCAUCACCUCAUUCAUUUAUGCAAUUCUUUUAUUUCUUUAGUUUUAUAGAAAUUUUUGCAUUCUUUUGCCAACAUACAUAUGCCGAAUUAUUGGUCUAACAAUUGUGCCAUGCUCACUUGGACUAUAUCAUUGUCACCAUGUUAGUUGUUGCAUAAGACAAAAAUAUGCAGCUUUAGAAUUAUUAGAGCAAGGACUAUCACUUCGUAAGGUAUUAGCUCAACUUUUUAUUAAUUCUACAAUGGUUGGUUACAUUUGCAAAAGACAUACCUUAAGCUAUUUUAUUACCAAGGCAAGCCAAUUACAAAUCUAUUUGGCAUUAGAAAAUAUAAAUUCUUAUGUAAUAUCACAACAAGCAUGAUAUAUAUUGCAAUUAAAGCUUUUGGAAGAAUUUCUUAUAAUGCCAAUCUAAUAAUGCAUAUUAAUAUAAUUUUUGUUUUAUUCAAAAUAGAUAAAUUGCAAACAACUCCAAAAAUCAAGAAGUUUUUGCUAUCACAUUAUCACCAUUAAUCUUAUUUAUAUUUUUGCAAUUUUCAAGAGCAAAAGAUUAUUAAAGACUAACAAAAAGUUAUGUGGUCCAACAAGACCAAGAUAAAUUAUUCAAGGUUAAAUAGGCAGAUUUGGUAUUAAAAGCAAAAAAGAGAAGCAUUGUUUAAUUCUACUAAUUUGGCAAGUGGCAAGUCUAGUGGUAGUUGGUUUAAAGUCUAGAAUUAUAUGAUUGCUUAAAGUAUAGAUUAACUUAUUAAAAUUGAAAGAAAAAUGGAUGCAAAUUUAUAAUGUAGGAUUUUAUACAAAGAGCUCAUAGAGACACUAGGUUAUUAUAAUUUGAAUGUUGAUGUUAUAAUUUUUUAAUAAGAUAAUAAUCCGAAGCAAACUUUCUAAAAAAAAAUAUAGUACUUUGAGUAACUUUGCUUACAAGUUCUACAAUGGCAAGGACAAUCUUUAGACUUUAAUCCAAUAGGACACUUAUAGAAGCAUCUCAAAUGUUGUUUGAAUGUUCAACUACGGCAACCAUCUAAAAAGUUAUUGUUGUAGAAGAAAGUAGAAGAGGAGUAGAAAAAAAAUUGUUUAGAAAGUAACUUUGAACCUUGUAAAUAACAUGCUUUGUUGUAUAGAGGCAAUUAUAAAGGCAACGAGAGAGUCAAAAAAGUAUUGAUUUAUAUAUAUAUGUGGUUUUAUUAUUCUUUGGAAACACAUCCAAUUACUAUCAUUCUAACACUAGACAUAAAAAAUAAUAGUAUUUGGUUCAUUAUUUAAGCAAUAUGUCAAUUAAGGUUAUGAUGAGGUUACAAGAGGAUAAGAUGUGAGAUAAAAGUAAACAUUAAGAUAAUUUUUUGAAUCAAUGUAUGUAUAAUAGAAAGUAUAUAUAAAAAUAGAUUUUAAUUAUUUAUUUAAAAAUAAAUAAAUAAAUAAAUAAAAUUAAGAAAUUAUUUUACUUUUAAUAUUCAAAUUUAAGAGAAUUAAGAUUAUGGCUGUUAUGGACACAGAAAUAUACGCUCAAGAUCUAACAAGAAGUUCAAGAAGAACUGGCAAGAACUAGAUUAACCAGACGAAUACAAGAAAAACACCAGAGAGGUGAGCUAGAGCUCCAAGAGAUGUGUUGUCGAGAAUGAAGAACUCUUCAGCCUCGAUUCCAAUAUAUACUCCUAUUUAGGAAGCUUCUCAAGCAACUUCUACCAACUAAAAAGCUUCUAGAAGAUUCUCGAGACUUGCUUCUAGAAGGUUCUAGAAACUUGUCUCUAGAAGGUUCUAAGGACUAUGUUCCUAACAUCACCCCCUCCUUUAGCUUCGAGGUCUUUGAGAAGCAAUAUUGUUGUUAAUCAGUACCAACGCAAGAAAAUGAAGAUCUGUCGCAUAACGUCUGCUAUGAACUCCAAUUGUUGUUCACGAGGCAAGUGGUUCAUCGGCCCUUGAAGCCAACGAUAGUGGCCUACUCCUUCAACUUAUGAUCAAGCAUGAACUUCCGUGUUCUCAUUGUGAAAUUGUCCUGCAAACAUGCCUUUUGCGACGUAUUGGCGAGAUUUUCAGCUGGCUCCCACGUUUGCUCAUUAAUGUCGUAGCCGCUCCAAUGAACAAGAUACUCCAACUUGCCCCGCCUUCGCCGUGAAUCCAGUACCUUUUCAACUUCAUAUUCCUCGUGCAUCUCGAUCUCAAUACUAGGUGGCGGACAUUGCACUCUUCCAAGAAAAGACGACUCUUGAUAAGGCUCCAACAAAGAAACAUGAAAGACUGGAUGUACCUUCAUAGAAGCCGGUAAUUCUAGACGGUACGCCACUAGAUUGAUUUGCUUCUGGAUGAUAAAUGGUCCUAAUCUUCAAUAGUCCAACUUAUCACAUGGUCGCUUGGUCUUGAUAUUCCGUCAAAGAAGCUAUGUUUUAUCUCCAAUUUUGAAAGUAGGUGCUUGAUUCCAAAAUCUAUCUACAGACGCCUUGUAGGAUUCUUGAGCGGAUUGUAAUUGAAGCUUCAACGUAUUUUGAAGCUCUGAUAGUUGUUUUGCAAAUCUUUCAGCUGUUGGAUUGUUAUUUGUUGACGGACUGAAUAAAUCAAGCUUUGGAUGAUACCCAUAGUUGGAAAAGAAUGGUGUAUAUUGAGUCGACGCAUGGAGGGUGUUGUUAUAUGCAAACUUGGUUAGCAGCAGAUAUGCGGUCCAAUCGUCUUAUUGAUAGUUGAUGCUGCAUUGUAAGUAUUGUUUCAAGACUUGGUUCACCCGUUCCGUUUGGCCGUCAAUUUGAGGAUGAAAAGUCGAAGAAAGUUUGAUAUCCACCUUCAGUAUCUUAAAGAAAGAUCUCCAAAACUUUGAUACGAAUUGGGUUCCUCGAUCUGAUAUGAUAUCAUUUGGUAGUCCAUGAUAUCGAUACACAUUAUCAAGAAAGAGUCUUGUUGAGACUUCACUGGAUGAUGUCUUCUUGUAAGGGACAAAGUGCGCCAUCUUUGUAAGCCGAUCUAAAACGACAAAGAUGCUGUCAAAUGAGUUCGAUGAUGGCAGGUCCUUAAUGAAGUCCAUGGAAACUGAAGACCAUGGUCAAUGUGAAAUCGGCAAUGGUUGUAGAAGUCCAUAAGGGUGAUGCCUAGGAUUCUUGAAUCUUGAACAAAUGUCGUAAGAGAGGACAAAAUCUUUCACAUCCUUCGACAUUUGAGGCCACCAAAAAUCUCGAGAAAUAAGCUUCAAAGUCUUGUUGAAUCCAAAAUGUCUCGCAGUUGGAAAAUCGUGGCGAGAUUGAAGAACUCGGAGUCGUGCUGGUCCUUUUAGAAUAUACAACCACUCUUCAAAGUAUAAAAGAUCUACCUCUACCUUGAACUUGUCAUCAUUGGCAUGCUCCUUGAUAUCAAUGGCUACUGAAUCUUCAAUGGUCAUGGCACAUACCUGAUUUAGGAAGUCAACAUCACUUGGCACAAUAGUAGCGUAAAGCCGAAAUUACUCUGGCUUCAACAAUGUCAUACAUUCUUGAUCAAAUGCUACUUCUCCAGCCUUUGGUACAAGAUACGAUCUCCUCAAUCAAGCAUCCGAUAGUCCUUGUUGCUUUCUAAGUUGAUAAGUGAUAACAAAAUCGAACCUAGAUAGUGACAUACUCCAUCGAGCUUGACGUCGAUUUAGAACUCAAGCUGACAUGAAAUAUUCCAAAUUCUUGUGAUUUGUGUAUUCAAUCAUUGGAUGUAUAGCUUUUUUAAGAAAGUGACGCCAUUCUUGGAAAGAAUCUACUAUAGUAAGAAGUCCUUAUCAUGGAUCUCAUAAUUGAUUUUAGUAGCAGAGAACUUUCGAGAAUACAAUGAAACCGGAUGGAGCUUCUUGUCUUCUCCCAUUUGUGAAAGUAAAGCUCUCAAAGCAAAAUCCGAAGCAUCAGUUUCUAAAUAGAAGGCCUUUGUAAAGUCUGGAUGUACCAAGAUUGGAACCGUAGUAAAUGUCGUCUUCAGGUCUUGAAACGCCUUCUCCGCUAGAGGUGCCCAUUCUAGCUUAUCCUUGUAUGUCAACCGAGUGAGAGGAGCAACAACUUGAGAGUAAUUCUUGAUGAAGAUCCGAUAGAAGUUAGCAAAACCAAGAAAGCAUUGUACGUCUCUAACCGUCUUCGGAACCUCCCAAGUCACGAUUGCUUCUACUUUCUUGGGGUCCAUCUUCAAGCCUUUCGUAGUCGCAACGAACCCCAAAAAUUCCAUCUCUAUUUAGUGAAAUAAACACUUCUCCAACUUGGCAUAUAGUCCUCGCUCACAUAGUUUCUCCAAGACCAAACAAAUGUGCUUUUCAUGCUCUUUCUUGUUUCUAGAGAACAUCAGAAUAUCAUCCAAGUAGAUGACAACAAAAUUAUGAAGGUGUUCCCGAAAAAUAUCAUUCAUCAUAUGUUGGAAGACUGCUGGACCAUUGGUAAGAUCAAAGGGCAUGACAUUAUACUCAAAAUGGCCAUAUCUUGUACGGAACGUUGUCUUCCACUCAUCUCCUUCCUUGAUUCGUACGAGGUUGUAAGCUCUUCUUAGAUCAAUUUUUAUAAAGAUCCUUGUACAUCCAAGUUAUUCUAAGAGAUCAAAAAUCAAGGGUAACGGGUAACAAUUCUUCUUUGUUAUCUUGUUGAGGCCUCGAUAGUCCACGCACAUCCACAACGAGCCAUCUUUCUUCUUCACAAAUAAGAUGGGCGUCCUAGUUGACAAUUUUGAAUGACGGAUGAAGUUCUUGGCAAGAUUCUCGUCGAUGUACUUCCGUAAUUCCGCCAACUUUGUCUGCGAUAGAUUGUAGAUUGGGCCAAAAGGCGAUUGUGCUCCUUCCUGCAAGUCUAUGGCACAAUCAUAUGGUUGGUGUUCCGAUAGCAUGUCGGCAUUCUUCUUUUGAAACACGUCUUGAAAAUCCUUAUAUUACUCAGGUAUACUUACUGUCGUGAUCUUCUCUCUGAUAGUUGGAGCCGCAUAAAUGACAAACGAUGUGCCUUCCUUGGAUGAUCUUAUAAACGCUCUUGCUCUAAUGAAUAAGGAUUUCUCUAUUUGAGAUUUUCUACUAUGCUUGCUCUUGGGUGGUUUUGUAGGAAAGGUCAUCUUCCGCAACCUCCAAUCUAUGGAUGGAUUAUGCUUUUCCAACCAUGAAAGACCAAGAAUAACAAGAUUUGAUGGAGUUUUAAUAAUAUUGAAAAUAAUAUGAUUACUAUGGCCCUUAAACAUCACUUCUAUAGGUUCUGAUUCAUAGGUGACACUACCAGACAAUAAAGGUCGCCCAUCUAUGACCUCAAUGUGAACAGGUUUGGAUUUUUGUACUAAAGGGAUCUUAUGACGCUUCCCAAAUUCUUCGUCUAAGAAACAAGCAGAUGCUCUUGAAUCUAAUAAUGCUAAGGUUUUCAGUUUCUAAGGGCCAUUAAAUAAAGGAAUUAUAAAGUAAAGGGCCAGUUGAGCGAAAAGAAAGGAACGUGGUUGUUGUUGCGAUAUUUCACUGUCCAGCUGCACGGUUCCUAUUGUGGCUGGGCAUCCUCGUUUUUCUGAACAAACCCACCUCUAGUCCUGACAGUGUAUCGAUUUUGCUUCUUGGGGUAAUUUCCAAUUUUGUGACCUUCCUCCAUACGUCACUUUUUUCUUCUAGAGUAAGGGAUUUGACAUGUACCGCAUCAAUUUGCAUGUCUUCUACCUCUGAAUGUGAAUUCAUGCUCCUUGCCAAUAUAGUUGGGGUAUGGCGAACUAUAUGUUGUCUUGAACGUUGGUCUUGGUAGCGAUAGAAUAGGCAGUUAUUGCACUUCACAGCUUGGCUAAUAGCUUCGUUGAGCGUUUGUGGAUCAGGAAGAGUUAAUAGCAAAUCCUUCACAUCAUCCUUUAAAUCCCAAUAGAAUUGAUUCAUCAACGCUUCUUCAUCCCAAUUCAUGUCACAUGCUAAUUGUCUGAAAUCCGAUGCAUAGACUGAUGUAGAGCGCAUCCCUUAUCGUAGAGAUCGGAUCUUUGUUGUAGCCCAUUGAACAUUGUCGUGUUCACCAAAUUCUUCCACAAAUGCAUCCAAAAAGGUUUCAAAGUUGUUUAGUAUGGACGAACAUUUCUCAAACAAAGGAGCAAACCAUGAUAGAGCUUACCCUAUAAGUAAGGUUCCAACAAGCCUAACACGUGACUCCUCCAUUAGAUAGCGUUCGGGCUGUAAAACUGUUAUCAACCUGAUUUGGUUGACGAAUCCUCGAAACUUGGAACGGGUACCAUCAAACUUGUCCGGAAGGCUAACUCGGGGCUCCUUAUGUUGUAGAACCAGCGGUGCUUGUCGAAUCUGAGGCAAAAUUACUUCUCCAAGUGCAGAAGUUUGAGGCUAGUGGAACCUAGAUUGUGCCAUCCCAGAUGCUCUAUCAUUAUGAAGCCUUGCCACGACUCCUUUAAUCUCUGCAGUUCUUUGCGAUAACGUAGUGAGGACAUUCAUGAUAGCAUCCAACUUGGACUCCGAACUUUUCGUCAUACUAAUGUCUUGGCCUCCGGCCAUUCUAAGAGAAGGACAAAAAUGACUCUACAGGAAGACAAUAUUGGUUUAGAGGAGGAUAUUCCGUAACCUCUAAAAUGCCUUAAGAGCUUCAAGAUAAGGGGUAAUCCACUCUCUCGAAGAAGAAUAAGACUCCAAUAUUAUAACAAAAGAAGUAUUAGUUUAGAGGAGGAUAAUCCGCAACCUCUAAAAUGCUAGUACACUUCCAAGCAGAGGGGUAAUCCACACUCUAAUGAAGAAGAAACUAGCUCUGAUAUCUGAGGUGAGUUUAGUCUCGACAAACUGUCACGGACACAGAAAUACAAGCUCGAGAUCUAACAAGAAGUUCAAGAAGAACUGGCAAGAACUAGAUUAAUCAGAUGAAUACAAGAACAACACCAAAGAGGUGAGCUAGAGCUCUAAGAGAUGGGUUGUCGAGACUGAAGAACUCUUCAGCCUUGAUUCCAAUAUAUACUCUUAUUUAGGAAGCUUCUCAAGCAGCUUCUACCAACUAAGAAGCUUCUAGAAGGUUCCAGAGACUUGCUUCUAGAAGGUUCUAGAAAAUUGUCUCUAGAAGGUUCUAAGGACUAUGUCCCUAACAUCUUCUACCAACUAAGAAGCUUCUAGAAGGUUCCAGAGACUUGCUUCUAGGAGGUUCUAUAAACUUGUCUCUAGAAGGUUCUAAGGACUAUGUCCCUAACAAUAGCUCAUACCUAAGAAUCUAUAGCUUUAGAGGAAGUAAAUAUUUUAGUAUAAAUAUUAUAUUAUAUAAUUUUUUUAAAUAGAUAUUUAAUUAAAGAUUAUAAUUGAUAUUAUUUUUAAAAAAUAUAUGCAUAUAUAUAUAUAUAUUAAAAAUUUAAAUUUAAUAAAAAACAAUUUAAAAUAAAAUAUUUAUUGAUAAUUUGAAUAUUUGAAAAGAAUGAUGAAAUAAGCUAAAUUUCAAAGAAAUAAUAUAAAUAAGAUUAGAAAAAACCAUGUUAGCAGAUAUAUUGUAAAAAUAAUAUAUAUUCAAAAAUAUUUAAGAGUAUUAAAUUAAAACAAAUGAGGCAAAAAUUAGAAGAUUUUAGUAUAUCAAAUAAAAUAAUUUUAAACAUUAAAUUAAAGACUUUAGCAUAUUAAUUUAUGUUUAUUAGAUGUCAAUCUAGAUUAAAAUAUUCAUUUGAAUUAUGAUUAAAAAAACAAUAGCUACACUUAAUAAAACCACUUGUGAUCUUGCAAAAGAAGUAUUUUUUUUCUACUAUCUUAUAUUUUUUUAUAGUAUUGAGUUUUCUUAAAGAUGUAUGUUUUUGUUUAUUUCAAUUAAUUAAUUAAAAUAAUCGCAUAGGUGUAUAAAGAGUAAAUAAUAUUAAAAUUAUUACAUGAAAAAGAAGUUAAGUAAAAGAAUUAAUGCAUAUAAUUAUUGGAUUUGACCUUCAUUUUAUCUUUUUUAUAAGAUAUAUUAUCAAAAAAAUAAUAAUAAUAAUUCUUUUUGUCUACUCUUUUUUUGAAAAAAGUAAAGAAAUAGAAUUAAUUAAUUUAGUACUAUUAUUUGAAUUUUUUUAUAAAAAUGAUCACAUGCUUAAUAGAAUUUGUAUACUUCUUCAUGUAAUAUAGAUCACUAAUAUCUUUUAUAAAAUAAUUCUAAAUUAUAAUAUUACAAAAAAAUAGCCACAUAUUGAAUCCAAAUGCAUAGCUCAUAAAAAUUAUUAAACUUCAAUAGGGUAUAAUAUAUGACAUUGAACUAAGUUUAUAUUGCAAUAUUAUAAUUUCUUAUUGCUACAAGUGAAUAAAAUGGCUUUACAAGCAAACAUUCUAAGUUUCUGAGUAUUUAUAGAUAAUAGUGUUUUUUUUAGAGAUAAUUAUUGUCAUACAUUGGUAAGCCAUUUUGAUCCUUCACAAAAAAGAGUGGCAUCUUAAACUGAAUAUAUAACUCUUGUGACAAGUUUUUUGUGGACUAUGCAACUCUAAGCAUGUACCACACCAUGCAAAUUAUUGACCUUAGACAUUACCAUGAAUUUAUAUUAUAUAAAUAAUAAUAUCUAUAAUGUAACUUGACUUGACAACUAAGAUUUUUUCAUCAAAUAAUCAAAUGCCAUAUGAUCAACAAAUAGUUCAAUUUUUUUAAGAGAUUUUCAAAAAAAAAAAAAAAAAAAAAAAAAAACAUACAAUAUUAUUAAGGUUUUUAGAAUGGUAGUAGUAUAGUUUGUUUUGCUAAGUUAAUCAUGUGAGAAAUGUAUAGAGUUGGUUAGUAAAUAGAAUACAAUUGUUUCAUGAUGGUUUGCAAUGACCCUAAACUACUUAAUAAUGGCAAGUUGGACCUAAAAAUUCUAAAAUAUUUUCCCAGGAGGUUUGUGGUUUGAAUUCAAAAAUUGCAUCAAGCAAAAUUUGUCAUCAUGUCAACAACAAUAUAUAUAUAUAUAUAUAUAUAUAUAUAUAUUUUCGUGUAAGUAUAGCUUUAACAUUAAGAUUCAAUUAACAUUAACAUUAAGAUUCUAAUUUUGUAAAAUUAAGACUGUAGAUUCUAUGUACUCUUUCUAAUGGAUGGCAAAGUAAUUUUACAAUAGUCUAUCCAAAUAGAUUUACUUUAAUAUUUCAAUGACAAAAAUCAUUAGUUUUAAAUAUAAGGAUAGUUUUGUAAAAAACAUUUAUUAAGUUGUACCAUGUUAUUGAUACUUAAAAUCACCUGGAUUAUUUUUGUCAAAAGUGAUUAUUAAAUGAAAAAAGUCCUUCUGGUUAGAAACUUUCUAAUUUUUUAAUAACCAAUCUAACUACACUCGGAUUACCUAAAUAAUAACCUAAAUCCCAAAUUAUGGAAGAUUACUUCGAUAAAAUUAUAUCUUUAAAAUGCUGCCGUAUGUUCCUAAGAUCCUCUACCAUUUUCCCUAUGAACAAUUACUUAGAAACACACUCGGUACAAAAUCAAUCCAACUACUAAAAUCCUAUGUAUCAGAAGUCACUGCACUACAAUAUUAUCAUUAACCGACUGGACAGCUGUAACACAAUCCAGGAAAAGAUUCAACAAUACUUAAAAUUAAAAAGAGUCAAAUAAAAGCAAUUCAGCAGUACAGACAAACAUGUGAUGAAUGCAAUAGGCAAAAUAAUUUUAGUUAAUGCGUUACAUUCUAAACAAUCCAGAACAGUUCAAAAAUAUCUCUAUCUCAUCAUCAAAAGCUUGCACAGAGUAGCUUCCAAAGAAUGUUCUGUCUUAAUAAAUUUAAAUAAAAAUCAGGCAAGCUAGGAACUGUGCCGUCUCAGAACCGACUAGUGGUGGUGACCUUGUCCCGAACAAAACGCUCAGUACAACAACCACCCAACCAGAACCUGAAGCUAUAGAUGGAGCACUCAUCGAUUCUGACGACGCUACCACCACCAAGACGAGACCGUAGCAUUGAAGUAAACAGGUGGACCUAAAACUCCUCGUCAGGCUCAUGCCGCAACAUGACCCGUCGCAAAUGAGCGAUUCUAGUGGUCACACAAUCAGGUAAAUAAUUUGCAUGCUUUUACCGCUGACCCUCUCCUACAACUAAACGUCUUGGCAAGCAGGUGCAUAGUUCUUUUCAAUGUCGUAAACUUUCCACGAUAUACGACGCAUAAAGAUCCCUGCAAAAUGCACGUCGCCAUCCAUGAGCCUGUACAAAUGUAAACGUGAUAAAAAAAAGAAAAUUGUAUUCAUUGAAAAAAACACCACUCAUGAAAGGCCCCGAACACCCCAUAAUCGCACGACUAACAACUCUGUUACUCAUAACCCAAUCAUACAUCACAAAUCAGCUCCAUGGCAAUCAAAUUGCAUCUUCAUAGGAAAUGCCAUCUUCCAACACAUCUCAACACAUCAAAUAGGAAUUCUCGACAAGAACGCUUACAUGGAGUGACUGAUGGCUUGAAUCGCAGCUUCGUGGCCCAGGAAGUUAUCCACCGUUACUUCCUUGUUCUCAUUCUUCUUGUCUGAUUCACCCCAAACCCAUCCCUGCCGGUUACAAACGUCACACAUCACCACAAGCAAAGACACCUCUCUCUCUCACGUCCACAUCUUGGACCAUUAUGCACAUCACCGCGUCACCUCACUCGGCACUUACAAUCCUCAAAGAACCGCCGAAUCUCCGCCAAUCGGUGCGGUGGAAGCUCGUUGAUGUCCUUGAAAUGUCUGUACUCGGGGUCGUCGGCACACACGGCGAUGAUCUUGUCGUCCUUCUCACCCUGCAUUCCGAACAGAUCUCACGUUGCUAACCCGCAGAAAACACAUCCACAACCUUUUCCACGACACAAACAGCCACACAGUGCGAGCGCAACAGCUUCUAACCUGAUCGAUCAUAGGCAUCAACCCAAUGGCUCUAGCUCGGACAAACGAUCCAGGCAUCACGGGUUCCUGCAACCAAGUCAACCAUCAGUGCUGCCCCCCAAAAAGUAAUGCACACCACCUUCCAAGUGUCCAACAAAUCCCAUUGCUUCUCCACCACAUCAAGGCCUACAUUCAAGAACAACUAAAAUCACAAAUUCCUGCGACCACGAACACAAAUCACACCCUUUCACCAGCCAUCGCUGCUAGACUCACAAACUCGCCACAUCCAAGACAACAUCCACCUCGGCAAACGACUUGUCUACUGCGACCCAUAGUUCUCACAACAAACUGCCACCGAUCACACCGGAGCGAGGGAUAUGUUUGACACCCAACCCACUACUCCUGAGCACGAAUGCGGUAUCUCCACAAUCGGCCAAUCAACCACGCUUCUCAGCACGACACCUCACACUUCAGCCCGCACACUCCAUUCAAACACGCCUCUUCUGCUCUCAACUCAUCCAAUAGCGGGAUUACGCACAGUCGUGCCACUAACUUCAUUCACGCACAAAGGACGCUACCUGCAUGAUGACCAGAACAUCGAUGGGAUCCUCGUCCUCGCAAAGGGUGCGUGGAAUGAAACCAUAAUUGUGCGGGUACACCACAGACGAGUAUAGGAUACGAUCCACCUGCAGAGCAACCGAUGUUCAGAACAAUGAGCGGUCGAAACACAGCAUACAUCUCGUCAACAUGCAUUACCAAACCCCUUCAGAAAUCUCCCAAUCUAAACAUUCACCUUCAUCAGACCGCUCUUCUUGUCAAGCUCGUACUUCACCUUGCUCCCUCUGUUGAUCUCGACAACCUGCACGUGUGGCUCAACCUUGUCAUAAACUGUGACUAUCUAAAUGACUCCCAGCCGUGCUGCGGGAUAUGCUGCUGUGAAAUUAUCACACCCCACGGGCCGAAAACCUUGUCCACAAUUACCACCGGCCCCCGCAGCCAUGGAUAUCGCCUCUAAAGGCCAACUGCUCCAAAUUGUACACAACUUUUCUACACAAGGAAGUGUUCCAAAAUACGACCGAGAAACUCACAAAAAAACCACCAACGCUCACACUGAAAAAACACCCGCAAACACGACUGUCUUACAUACAUGAGAGACUUACACAGUUAAAGAUUUCUGGAGCAGCAGGCCCUGAAAAAGGCAAUACAACACACACCAAUUCAGAACCUCAUCAUUCAGAUACUUCCAACUACACCUACAACGAUAAGCAAUGCACGAUAAACACCUAUGACACUCUCUUCCCGACUCGCGGCCAUUUCCACAACUAACCAAAAAUCCUGUCGGUACAAACCCACAUACCGAUUUCGAGAUCAUGCCAUGGAUGUGCAGCGACAGUACGACGCUCCAUCGUCGUCAUAAUCCGGCUGUUCAGUGGAGUAGCCUUGUGAACUGCAGUUGAACCCUUCUUCGAUGGAACUGCUGCGACCCCAUUGGAAGCCAUGCUGUCAGCUUCACCCCGAAGCUCACUCUAUGUAUCUCAGAAAUCCUUCCUACAUUUAAGAAGACACACAAAGGUAAUUUUAAUACCACCCGCCAGGCACCAGAAAAACGAAUCUCACAAGGGCUACUAGAGAGGUUGAGGGGUUAAUGGCCAUAGAUGAACUGGCUUUAUCUUGGAAACUUUCACUACCAUUUAACUUUACAACUUGCUCCGACUCGAUGUGAAGUAACGGGAAGAAACGCGGUGAAAACUACCGCUCAGAACACGUUUCGGAUCCGCCUCAUCAGCUUUUCGCGCAAACGGUAGGAUAAAAGUGGAAUGCGAUGGAGAUGUAACUGGCCGCAUAAUCUCUUCAAACGACCGCAUAACCAGGACGAGCGGCCCAGCAACGAAUGGCAAUAGAUUCUGUCUAUGGAAUUACCAGAACAGAAAAAUUCCCGAACAAAACGCUGCCCAAACAUGAUCCAAACUUCCAGAACAGAAAUCAAGCUUCAAUACUCAUUCAACGAGCACGAAUCUGAUCAACACUCUUGAACGUCUUGUUCCACGAACUUCCACUUCCCAGGCCAACACUCAACAAUGGACUGUCAAUUUAGCCCACUGCUCCUCCUGAUCUAAAUUCUAUAGCGUAAAGAAUGUCUUCCAACGACAGCGAACUCCUUCGUAUCUAGUCACAUUUGAAGCUCUCCUGACAAAAUACGACAAGAACCAAACCAUUCUCCGUGGCCAAAACACACCCAACUUCCCAACAUUCCCCAAUGCUCCCUCUCGAUCCAGUUUUCAACCAUAAUGCCGUUCAAAAUUGCACUCCAACUUGCUACACAAGCUCAGAGAGAAGAUCAGAUCUGCUCACCCGCACCCAAUGCAGCUCCUCGCCCCCCUCAAAACUUCCAACCCGCGCUCACCGCGCGGACCUCCGACUGACCUCCUCUCUCUAUCCUCGCAGCAACUUGAUCAAAACAUCAAAAACACGACGGAACUGGACAGCGCGUAGCAAAAAAAAAAACAAACAAACAAACAAACAAACAAACAAGAGGGAAGCGCAGGAAGGAACGCGCGUGGGGGAAUGAAAUGCGAGAGCGGGGCAAGGCAAGGCAAGGGCGGCGAGGCAGAGAAGCGAGACGGUGAGAAGGCAGGGGCACGUGGGACUUGGGCUGUGCUUGAGCAGAGCUGCUCUGCUACAUGCUCUCUAAUAGAGCCCCCCCGCCACGAAGUCUCGUCCAUCCCCGCCUAUUUAUCAUCCACGGACGAAUGAUCUCCGGCGAUGUUGGACAAGGAGCCCAUGGCGCAUUGCCAAUUCUGUCCACUUUCCCCCCUUCCCCCCAACUCCGCGUUCGAUGCGCAGCGCGGCUGCGAAUAGUCCUCGUGACAAAUGCCUCGUCCUCAUGACUUCGUGCCCCCCCCCCCCCCCAACUGCCCUGCCCUCCCCCUGACCACCCUGUCCUUGUGUUGAUUUCAUGUGGAAUCCCCCCCCCCCAUCUCCCUUCACCAUGCACUCCCUCGCACCCUGGUUCCUCCCCUCUCCUGGGUCAGAGUGAUUGCCACCCCUGCAAUUCCACUGCCCAUGUGUGACAGUUUUUGGAUCCAUUUUUGCUGCAGCAGAGUUGCCCUUGUAACCUUGUGUGUUCUAGCAACUCAUUCAACCAGAUUGCUACACAUUUUGGAAGACAGUGGCCAUGACUUAGUGGGAGUGUCAUGGGCACAUCUCCAAACAUGCUCCAUACUCUUUCAUUGCUUUGCUUUCAUAGAAUUAUUUAAAUUUGAAAUAGAUUGGUUGAUAUGGCUACUUACCACUUUCAAAUCAAUCUGGUUUGAAGAUGCAUUAUCACAAACCUGCAGGUCAAACUGGUGCAUGUCUAUUGGGUGCAUUAUUGCUCAGUUUACUUUGUAGAAACUGGAACAUGAAGGAAGAUGAGUGGUUGUAUCUUGGAAUGGUAAAACCACAUGGUAGAUGUAUUAUAGACAGCACACAUUGUCAUUGCACCAUUAUUUCCAAUCAUGAGUGACUAGAUGAGCAGCAGAGGGUUGCCCUUGUCUGAUUGUGGAGGCCAAGAGCAUUCAACUUUCAACAUGAAAUUAUUCUAGAACCUCUACCAUGAUCUGGCCACUCCAGCAGGAUGGCCAGCUAGAGAUUUGUUAACAGUUCUGAUAUACACUAAAGAGAAAAAAAAAAGGAAAAAGCAAAAGGGGGGGGGGUUUGGCAACCAGAUUCCACAGGUAAAAACAUCUAGCACAAUGAGUGUGCUUUUGAAGCAAAUGCACUAGGUGUGACAUUUAAUCAAAUCCUUACAUUAUGGCAACAGGUUUUCCUAUGAAUUGAACUAGGUGUCACCCAGCCCUAAACCAUGCUGAUCACAAACAGAUUUGUAGGAUUUGAUGAAGAACACACCCUUAAUACUCCAACAUGCCCAUCAAUACUACCCAAAGUUGAAAGAUUGACCACUCAUAGUGGAGAACAUUACUGUAUUGCAACCUGACGAUGCAAAACAUCCAGUUUAUUGAAUGAGUGUGAAGCAGUUGGGACAUGGUGAAGUACAAGAGCAAAGCCCUUAAUAAAUUCAAAAGACAAGCUUUUGUCACAAAUUUAUCUAGAUCUAAUCAACCAAUCUUAAUAGAAACAAGGAACAGUCCAACUUGUUCCAAAUCCCAAGCGACCACUAUUAAGGCUACUAAGGCUAUCAAGGCUCACUGAUAAAAUUAGAAGACACCCAUGGAGUGUGCUAGUGGGCAGUGGGGUGUUCAUGACCAGUAGGCCAGUUGGGAAAUGGGAAGCUUCAAGUUGGAGGCAAUCACACACCAACUGAGAAGGGGCCACAUGAGGGAGGCUAAAGUCAGUGAGAGGCCCAACACAGAAGACUAAUAAAGUUGGGCAAUGUGUGGAGGUGGUGCCCAGAUUGGAAAAAGGGAGCAACCAGUAAAGGGAGGGCCGGCCACGGAUGAAUGAAUUUGAAGGCCCCCUGAUUAUGAACAGAAAAGGAAGGGUGGGUAGUGGAUGUUCCAAAAAGGAUAUACCCAGUUCCCACCGUUUGGGAGCCAACGUCCCGACUUUGUGGCUGCAGCUGCUUCUUCCACAAAUCUUGCAUCAGCUUUUCAAAUACUUUUCUGCAGCUCAUGUGUAACCCUUGUCCACUCGGCCAUGCAGGCAGGCGCCAAGUCCAACCCACAACAAAGCUUGACGUGGUUCCUCGGCUUCCAAACUCCAAUUUGUCUCAGGUUUUUGUUUUCCAUUAUCUGGCUUCUUUUUCACUUUACUUCUCUUUUGGAAAUUGCAUAUAUAUAUAUAUAUAUAUAUAUGAAAAAAACAAUAGAGUCUUUGUAACGUAAAGAUUUACAAAAGAGAACAAGCUAACAUUUAUUAUAAUAGGUCCAAAAUAAAAGGUCAAUUUAAGGUUUAUUGUUUGGGUAAAUUCAAUGUAAGAUGUGAAUGUGUUAAAGUGGGACAAUUUUGUAAAUUAAAGAAUAACAUAGAAGUCUGUGUUGAUUUAUUUAGGCAUUGAAGUCAUAAUAGACUUGGAAAUUAAUCAACUAGAGAUUGAUAUAGAUAUCUAUCAGUAAAAGUGAUACAAAUGAAUACUCACUAAGAGAAACAAAAUAAGCCAAAUAUUUUAACAUAAGACUUCAAAAGAAGUUCUAAAGUGAAAAAAUAUUUAGAAAUUUUGGAAAAAAAUAAACUUAUUUUAGGAUUAUAUAUAUAUAUAUAUAUAUAUAUAUAUAGAGAGAGAGAGAGAGAGAGAGAGAGAGAGAGAAAAUUUCAAUACCAAUGUUUAGCAAAAAUAAAAAUAAUAUGUAAAUAGAGGACAUAUAAUAAUUUAAUUUUUAAAUAGAAAAUAAAAAUAAGAAGAAGCAAAAAAUGAUAAUAAAUUUUGUUGCUUACUAACAAGAGAAAAUAAGAAUUUUAUUUGGAUAUUUAAAAUAAAAUUUUGCAAAGUAUAUUUCUAUUUUUAGACAAUAUAAUUUUAAAAUAUAUAACUCAAAAUUGAACCAUAUUUUAUUAUCAUAAGAAAUAAAAUUCUAUUAUAAAAAAAUAAAAUAUUAAUUUUAAAAUUUUAAGAUUAUCUAAAUGAUUCAUAUAAACAAAAUUCUAUUUUUAAUUCUGGAAUAAAAAUUCAAAGAUUAUGAAAAAAUAAAAUAAAAAAUUAAUAAUAAUAUAAUUGACCAUAAGUAUUAGUAUUAACAAGUAAUAUUUAUGAUUUACUUUAAUUCACAAAAUAAUUCAUAUAAUAUAUAUAUAUAUAUAUAUAUAUAUAUAUAUAUAUAUAUAUAUAUAUAUAUAUGUUAGUAUAUAAUAUUUUUAAUAAAAAUAUGUUUUAUUAUUUAUUUUAAAAUUAUUAUAUUUUUUAUCCUAAAAAUAAAGUAAAAUAAAAAAGAGCCGUUGAAUUAUUUCUUUAAUUGAAUAUUUAUUAAAUAAUAAAAUUUUUAAUUACCAAUUAUAAUUUAUUUAAUAUCAUUUUUUAUCAAAAAUAGAAUUAAAAGACUUUGUAAAUUUAAAUUAAUUAGUAUCUAUUGAUUUUUUUUUAAAAUUUAUCUUAGUAAAUUUUUAUAUAUAGAAUUAAUAAUGUUGUAAAUAUUGUAUUUUAGAUUUAUUUAGAGAAAAUCAAUCAAAAGUAUAUGUCAAAGAGUUUUUUAAGUAUUAAAAUAUAGUACUAAAAUAAAUUAUCUAAGAAUAGUUGAAUAAUAAAAUAUAAGUAAUUAUUAUUGUUUUAUAUAUUAAAGAGAUUUAUUUAUACAUAUAUAUAUAUAUAUAUAUAUAUUAAAUCAAAUAUGUAUAAUUAUUAAUAAAAAAUAUUAAGAAAUUUAUAUUUUAGAAUGGUAAAAAAAAUUAAAAUAUAAAUUAUUGAUAUUUUAAGAUUGGAUAAUUUUAAUCUAAUACAAGAUUACAUAAGAGGUAUUAAAGAACAAUAAAGCCUUCCACUCUCUUUUUAACAUCUUUUAUGUUCUUACUCUUAUUUCAAGAGAUUUUAAUUUUCUUAUAUUUGGUAGUAAUCAUUCUAGUUUAAUAUUAUACAAUCUUUAAGUAAUUAACUAUCAUUUUUGAGUCGUACAAGGAUAUAUUGAUCUUUUUUUUUUUCUUUUUAUCCAUAUUAUUGAUAGUUUAACAAGAGUGCUGAUUCACUAUUGUUUUUUUUUUUAGUGGAUUAUUUCACUUCUUUUGUUGUAUUUAGAAGGUUGUAGACAGCUUACUUUUAAACAAACAUUAUUUAUUUUCUAACAUUGAUUUUUUCAAAAAAAAAAGUAACUAUUAUUCUUUGAAGAUUUUUUUUUUUUUUGAUAUUAGUGGUUUCUAAUUACACUCUUCUAAUUUAAUUUGUGGAUUCGUUAAAGUUAUUUGUUAUAGAUAUAGAAGAAAAAAUUAUAGAUGCUACAUUCUACAGGAGUAAAAAUAGAUUUGUAACUAUUAUAAAUCUUUAAGAACUUACUAACACUUUAAGAAUGGAAAUUUUAUGUAUUACUAAUUUCCACUAUAAAGGUAUUAUUUCUACUUCUAUAGAUGACGUCAACAAUAAAGUUUAAAGUCUACACUGUCAUAUAAUAUAAAUUCUUGCUUGAAAAUAUAUCAAGUAUCUAGCUAUAGAAGGUAAAUUAAAAAAAAAAAUUCAACAAAAAGAUUCUACCAAGUCUAAUAGAAUCUUGAAUAAACUCUAAUAAAAUCUUAAUAAAUCUAAUCAAAUUUUAAUCAAUCCAAAAGAAGUUUAGAAGAAAUUACUAAAAGAACAUAAAAAAGUCAAAUAUUAAUUUUAAAGAAAAAUAAUAAAAAAAAUCCUAAAGAAAUAGUAAAAUAAAAGCCUUCAAGGAAGAACAAAGAACCUUAAAUAAAUAUAAAAUAUAAACCUUAAAAAAAUGACAAAGAAAUCUAAAGAAAUGCUAAAAAUAUAAAUACUAAAUAAAUCCUAAAUAAAACUUAUGUGAAUCCUAAUCAAACCUUAAUUUAAUACUAAAUAAAUUCUAAUAAAAUUUUUAAAAAUUAUAAAUAAAUCCUAACAAAAUCUUAAAUAAUCUUUAUUAAAUUCUAAUAAAAAUCCUAAUUAAUUCCUAAUAAAAUCUUUAAAAUUCUAAUCAAAUUCUAAUUAAAUUUUAAAUCUUAAUUAAAUCCUUAAAAUAAUUUUGAGUAAAAUUUUAGUUGAAAUCAAUUAUUUAAUUAAUAUUUAUUCAAAAAUAUAAAAAAUUUGAGUAAAUUUGAAUUCAUCAAUUUUUUUUUAAAAAAAUUUCUAAAUUUGUUAUGUGUUAAUUUGUCAAGGACAUGAAUCUUAAAGAAAGAUAAUCUCCAAUAUACUCUUCUAUCACUAAAGAGAACUGGAAAAUCACUCAAAAGGUGAUGUAAUAUUAACUAGAAUGGCUAUUGCCAAAAACAAAAAGACUAGAAAGUCUUGAAAUAAGACUAAGUCUAGAAAGGCAUUGAGAAGAGUGAAGAAGGCUUUGCUCUUGCCUCCAUAUAUACUAUCUAACUAAGAGCUACAUGGCGAUUUCCUAUAGGACCUCCAACAUGUGUUGACUUUGCUAGCCACAUGUCUUAUCUUGCAAGGCAAGUUAUCUAUGUAUGCGCUACGUAGUUGGUUUGUUCCACAAGCUACUAUAUGGAGAUAACUUAUUCCAUAAGAUACCAAUACAUGGUUAGCUUUUUUGGACAAGUUUCUAAUCUACAAAUACAUCUAAAGUCAAACCCACAUCUAUAAAGCUUCUAGCAAGCUUCUCUAGAAGACUUUAUGAAAUUAUUCUAUAUUUACCUACUUCUACUUAAUUAUAUAAGUAAUUAUUGAGGUAAAUAUAUAUAUCCAUGACAUUAUCCCCCCUUCUAGGGAUGAGUUCCACGUAGAGCAGUCUUCAUAUGUUGAAGAAGUCCAAGAUGUAGUGAAUUGUAUUUGCUACAUACUCCGAUCUUUGCUCUCUUUGAAGAUGAUUGAUAGGUCCUCUCAACCAUCUAUAGUGUCUCAUACUAGGACGAGAAGACUAUCCUGUUAUUUGGUCAUUAUUGAAGCCUUUAUAACUCCCUUCAAAUAAAACAUUUGGAACAUUGUCAAGAAUUGUUCCUACCUCUAAUAAAAUCUUUAAACAUCGGGAGUCUCUUCUAAGGUCGUAAUACCAAACACGUUAUAUCUCGCCAUCUAUUUGAGGAAGGACAUGUUGUUCUUGAGGAUCUUCAUCUCGAUUUUGUCGUCUUGAAGGUUGUGACAAUCACAAUGUCUUGUCUGGUAAGUUCGUAAAUGAAAACUCUUGAGUUGAAUUUGCUAGUUGUUGGUGGUCCAUCUCAUCAAAAAUACACAGAAGGUGCAAUGAAAGAUAGAAGGUAGAAUAUUAUUUUCUUUUAAUCUUGUUUCUUUUAUAGCGAGCAGUUGCUAUUUUUCAUCUUGAUUUUGAUGGAUGUUGUAGAUGAAAGUCUUCAACUUUUUUUGUUGCAUUUGCAAGAUUUUUUGAUGGCUCCCAUGUGUGUUCAUUAAUAUCAUAUCCAUGCCAAUGAACAAGAUAUUUCAACCUAUUUCAGCGCCACAUUGAGUUUAAGACUUCUUCUACUUCAAACUCUUAGUUAUUAUCCACUUCUAUAGGAGGAGGUGGCAUUUUUUUUCUUCGCAAGAUUUUCACUGUCUUAUACGGCUCCAAAAGAGAAACAUGAAAUACAAGGUGGAUCUUCAUAAACUCCGGUAGAUGUAAUUGAUAGGCAACAUGAUUGAUUCAUUCAUAAAUAGGAAAAGAUCCCAGCCUACAAUAAUCUAAUUUAUCACAAGGCCAAGUAGUCUUGAUAUUACGACAAAAUAACCAUACCUUGUCACCCAUAUUAUAUUGUGGUUAUAAUAGGCAUCUGCAUUGAUCUUUUAUCGUUCUUGAGCUUCUUUUAAUUUUAUGUUUAUUAUUGUAUGUAGCUUUGACAAGUGAUUUGCUAAAUCUUUCGCUACUUAUCAAUUUUUGAAAAGUAAAAAAUAUCAAGACAUGGAUGAUAACCAUAAUUGCCAAAGAAAGGUGUUUGUUGAGUGGAAAAAUAUACCAAAUUAUUAUAUGCAAAUUUUGCCAAUGGUAAAAGAGUUGUUCAAUCAUCUUGAUGAUAGUUGAUGGUACAUCUCAAAUAUUGCUCUAAAACUUGACUUACUCGUUCCAUUUGUCCAUUAGUUUAAGAAUGAAAAGAUGAAGAAAGAUUUAUAUCCAUCUUUAGAAUCUUGAAUAGGAUUUUCUAAAAUCUUGAUACAAAUUGAGUCUCCCUAUCUGAUAUAAUAUCGUUUGGUAAUCCAUGAUAGCAAUAGAUAUUAUUAGUGAAAAGCCUAGUUGUUUCUUCACCUGUGAUAGAUUUUGUAUAUAGUACAAAAUGUGCCAUCUUGAUAAAACAAUCUACUAUCAAAAAUAUAGAGUCAUAAGAACCUGAGAUUGAAAGAUCCAUGAUGAAAUCUAUAGAAACAGAUGACCAUGGUUGUUCAGGAAUGUGUAACAACUGAAGAAGUCUGUAAGGUCGAUGAUGAAGAGAUUUUGAUCUUGAGCAAACAUCGCAAGAUUGUACAAAAUCUUUGAUUACUUUCUACACUUGCGGCCACUAAAAAUCCAUGGAUAUUAGUUCCAAAGUUUUAUUAUAUCCAAAAUAUCAUUUUGUUGGAAAGUCAUGAUGAGCUUGAAGAAUACGUAAUUGAGCUUCACUUUCUGGAACAUAUAGGCAUCAUUUAAAAUAUAAUAGAUUAUUCUUAAAUUCAAACUUAGAAGUAUCAUAGGACUUAGAGGAAGUAUCCUUGAUAUCGUGAAUAAGAGGAUCAAAGGACAUGCUUGAUUGAAUUUGCUUCACAAAUAUUAAAUCAAUAAUCAAUGUUGAUUUUAUAGCUCAAAAAUAAAAAUGCUCGGGCUUCAAGAGAAUUGAUCUUUGUUGAUCAAAAGAUGCAUCUUCUUCUUGUGGUGCAAGAUAAGAACAUCUAAAAAGAGCGUCCGAUAUACCUUGUUGUUUUUCGGGUCGAUAAGUGAUCUUGAAAUUGAAUCUAGAUAAAGACAUGCUUCAAUGAGCUUGACGACAAUUUAAGACAUGUGUUGACAUAAAGUACUCGAGAUUCUUAUGGUUUGUAUAUAUAGUAACUAGAUUUGAGGUGCCUUCUAAAUAAUGACACCAUUCUUGAAAUGAAUCCACAAUUGCAAGGAGCUCUUUGUCAUGGAUCUCAUAAUUAAUCUCGGUUGUUGAAAAUUUUCUCGAAUGAAAAGCUAUAGGGUGGGGUUUGUCAUCUGUUCCCAUUUAUGAUAACAUGACACCUAUAGCAAAAUCUAAUGCAUCUAUUUCUAUAAAAAAAUGUCUUGGAGAAGUCAACGCAAUAUAAGAUUGGUGCAGAAAUAAAUUCCUUCUUUAAAGCAUCAAAUGAUGCUUCUACUUUUUUAUUCCACUCAAGUUUGUCUUUACAAGUCAAACGUGUAAGUGGAAUUGUAACUUGAGAAAAAAUCUUGUUGAAGAUUCGAUAGUAAUUAGCAAAGUUCAAAAAGUAUUGCAUAUCUCGUACUGUUCUUAGAAUCUUCCAAUCUAUGAUAGUUUGAAUUUUCUUGGGAUCCAUCAUAAGGCCUUCCUUGGAAAUGAUGUAUCCUAAGAAGUCAACUUGAAUAGUGUAGAAUACACACUUAUCCAAUUUGGCAUAUAAUCCUGGAUCUCUAAGUUUCUGUAACACGCAACAAACAUGAAGCUCAUGUUCUUCUUUAUUCUUAGAAUAGAUUAGAAUGUCGUCUAAAUAGCAAACAAUGAAAUCAUCUAAAAACUCAUGAAAAACAUCAUUUAUAAGAUGUUGAAAAGUGGCCAGUACAUUUGUGAGUCCAAAAGGCAUGACAUUAAAUUCUAAAUAUCCAAACCUAGUUCAAAAAGUAGUCUUCUAUUCAUCUCCUUCUUUGAUAUGUACUAAGUUGUAUGCUCCUCAUAGAUCUAUUUUGAUAUAGAACUUUGCUUGAUUGAGUUGGUCAAGAAGUCCUCAAAUCAAAGGCAAAGUAUAUCUAUUUUUGAUGGUGAUCUUAUUGAGUCCUCGAUAAUCUACACACAUUUGCAGAGAUCCAUCUUUCUUCUUCACAAAUAAAAUAGGAGCCCCGGUUGGAGAUUUAGAAUGGCGUAUGAAGUUCUUUGCCAAAUUUUCAUUAAUGUACUUCUUCAAUGCAACCAACUCAUUUUGCAACAAGCUAUAGAUUGAUCUGAAUGGUGAUUGAGCUCCUUCUUGUAGAUCAAUUGAACAAUCUUAAGGUUGAUGCUUGGAAAAAAUAUCUACAUUCUUCUUUUCAAAAAUAUCUUGAAAUUCUUGAUAUUUUUUGGAAUACCACUCAACGUUGUUUCACCAUUAGAAAUAGGUGUAGCAUAUAUAGCAAAAGAUGAUUGUUCUUUUGCAGCAUGCAUGCAAGCUUUUGCACCUAUUACUGAAGGUUUGGAUGUACUGGACUUACAUACUUCUACUGUAUUAAUGCGAUCUUGAAUUAUAAUAUCAAUAAAGUUAAGGUUACGAGAAAUCCAAUCUAUUUGAAGGUUAUAUUUUUCUAGCCAUGAUAAUCCUAAAAUAAUCAGAUUAUUACAUUAAAUACUACUACGCUGUUAUUAUCUUUGAUUGCUACAUCUAAAAGAAUAGUUUCAUGGAUAAUAUUUCCAGAAGAUAAUGAAUGACCAUCUAUGACUUCUACAUGUACGGAUUUAACUUUCUUUACUAAACAUAUUUUUUUAUUUUUGAUAAAAUCUUCGUCUAUAAAACAUGCUGUGACUCUUGAAUCUAACAAGACAAAGUCUUUGUGAUUAUUAGGUCCUAAAUAUACUUCUAUUAUAAAACAAGGUAAGGGGUUUUAGGAGAAGAUAAGACCUUUACUAGGUAUUGCACAUUAUUCUAGCGGCAUGGUCCCUAUUGUAGCUAGAAAAAUUCGUUUUUCGAUACAUUAUCUGCUUUGGUAAUUGUGCUCCUCAUUUUGUAAUUGCAUUACUUCUUUGGAUAAUGUUAAGCAAUGUGCUUAGCUUCUCCAUAAUAUAAACACAACUCCUCUUGGUGAUGUCAAGUCUUUUUAUUCUUUGUGAGAAGUUUAAAACGUAUCAUAUCAAUUUGCAUUGGUUUUGGCUUUGACGAAUACGUUUCAGAAAACUUGGGAGCUACUGCCAUUACUUGACUUGUUCCUCUCUAACCAAAUCUUUAUUCUUAAAGCCUUUCAAAUAAAUGAUUUUUGCAUGCAAUAGCUUGAGUAAUAAAUUGUUCCAAAGAUUUUACUUUCAGUAUUGUUAAUAACAAAUCUUUGAUGCUAUCCUUCAACCAUAUCGAAAUUGGUUGAUAAGUACUUUGUUGUUUUAGUCUACAUCGCAAGCAAGGUUUUGGAAUUUAGCAGCAUAUAUAGUCACUGAUCGUGAUCCUUAUCAUAAGGAUAAAAGCUUGAUUUAUGCUACUUGUUUUUUAUUACUUUCUCCAAAUGUAGCCGUAAACACUUCUAGGAAUGAAUUCAAACUAUAAAGGAGUCGUGAAUCUUUUUCCAUUAAAGGUGCAAAUCAAAAGAGAGCACUUCUUGAUAAUAGUGUACCUAUGAAUCCGACUUAGGCAAAUCCAUCAGGAUAUUGGAAAGGGUGCAACCUUAAAUAGAACUUGACUUAUUGCAAAAAUCUUCGAAAUUUUGAUCUUCUUCCAUCAAACUUCUCAGACAUACUAAUCUUUAUCCCUGUCAUACUUAUAGAAGCAAAAUUCCCUGGAUUUGGUUGUAAGAUUGAUUUACUUGUUAUCUUCAACUGAUCAACUUCUUACUAAUGACUCUGAACUUCUUUCAUAGGCGUAGGCAUAGUACUUCCAUGAUUCACAUUAGAAAUACGUGAGAUUUCCACUCUUAGAGUAUUAACAAGCUCAUGAAGAUCUACGAUAGUUGCAAAUCUGUUCUCACUUCCGUUGGGAGUAGCAUCCAUAAUCUUUCCUUUCGAAGACAAUUCAAACAAAUUCAAAAGUUAAAUUAGAAGAAGAUAAUCUAUAACUUCUAAAAACAAAUCCCACAAAGAGGGGUAAUCGACUCACUUUAAGAAAAAGAUCAGUAUUAGAAAACAAGAUUUUUUGUUUAAAGGUAGGUAGUCUGCAACCUUCAAAAUACAACAAUAGAAGUGGGGUAAUCCACUCACUUCUAAAACAAGACAAAAAUAAUAUGUUAGCACUCUUGUCAAACUGUUAAAGACAUGAAUCUCAAAGAAAGAUAAUCCUCAAUACACUCUUCUAUCAUUGAAGAAAACUUGAAAGUCACUCAAAAGGUGAUGUAAUAUUAAUUAGAAUGGAUAUUGCCAAAAAAAAAAGACUAAAAAGUCUUGAAAUAAGACUAACUUUAGAAAGACAUUGACAAGAGUGAAGAAGGCUUCACUCUUGCCCCCACAUAUACUAUCUAACUAAGAGCUACGUGGCCAUGUCCUAUAGGACCUCCAACAUAUGUUGACUUUGCUAGUGAUAUUUCUUAUCUUGCAAGGCAAGUUAUCUAUGUAUGUACCAUGUAGCUGGCUUGUUCCACAAGCUACUACACAGAGAUAACUUGUUCCACAAGCUACUACACAGAGAUAACUUGUUCCACAAGCUAUCAAUACAUGGUUAGCUUUUUGGCCAACUUUUUAACCUACAAAUACAUCUAAAGUCAAAACCGCAUCUAUAAAGCUUCUACGAAGCUUUUCUAAAAGAUUUUUAUGAAAUUAUUCUAUAUUUAUUUACUUCUACUUAAUUAUAUAAGUAACUAUUGAAGUAAAUGUAUAUGUCCGUGAUACGGUUGUUUUUCUUUUCCAACUAAGAUGUUGAGCUUUUAGCAACAAUUUCUUUUUUUUAAACUAUUCAAUUAUUUUAUAUUCACCUAUUCUACUUAAUCAAAUUUGGUUGGUUUGUAGAUUUUUAAGUUCAAAUUGCUCUCACCAAUUUUUGCUUCAAUCAAAAUGGUAGUUUUUGUAGGAUUAAAAAAAUCCUCACUAAUCCUAAAUCUCAAAUAUCUAAGACUCUAAUUUAAUAAAACUCUCAUAUUAAUUUUUCUAAGUAUUCAAUCGAUAUCAAAUAUUUCAAAUAUAUUUAAUAUAAGUACAAUGACAAGUUUACAAAAUUUUACUUGUAAAUGUACUAUAAUAUUCAUACAAUCGUUAAGUUUAUAAACUUCUUUCUAUUUUUCAAAACCCAAAAAUACUAAGUACAUUGCUUACUUUGAAAAAUCUUCAAAAAAUCAAAAUAUCCUCAAAUUAUAUAAAAUUAACUUCUAAAAAUCUACUCAUAAGUCUUCUCUUAAAUUCCACUUUGCAAUCAACUAUAUAAUCUUCAAAUUUUAUAGAUGCACAAUUUAUAUUCUUAGUAUCCAAUUUUGAUCCAAAUUCAUAAUUGGUCCUCUUUGAAUAGUAAUUCUUACAAAGAAUUAAAAAUUCUUUGUAUGGCCUUACAAAGUAAAAAUAAGCCUUUUUUUAUAAAAAAGUAGCAUUAAUACAAAAAAAAUUAACUACCUUUCUAUUAUUUAUCCAUGUUUUGCUACUAUAUCUUUCUAUUAGGCUCUUCUGUAUUAAAAUCUAUAUUUUCAUCUUUCACCAUAUAGUUGUUUUAUCACAUGACAACAUCAAGAAAUUUUGUAAUUAAGAGAAGCAAGUAGAUUAAUAUCAAAAUUGAAUCUAAAAAGUCUUUUUAUUAUAAGUAUGAAAGAGAUAAGAAUCAAUAUGUUGGAGAAGUUUGAUAGAAGAAAAACAAAAUUUCAAGGAUUUUACAAUAAGACAAGUUCUUGUAAGGUUACAUCCUUUUUAUUAUCUUAAUGGAUUACUUAAGUUCGAUUUAUAUGCACACUUCAAUUUAGAAGCACUCUUUCUUGAUUUGCAUCUUUAACAAAAAAUGAAUUACGACUCUUUUGUGAUCUAAAUUUAUUCUUGAAAGUAUUUAUAGCCAUAUUUAGAGGAAGUAAUCAAGAAAUGAUAGUUCAAACUAAUGUUCUAUCUUUAUAAUAAGAAUUAUAUUGUUGUACAGUAACACAACUAUAUAGUGAAAGAUAAAAAUAUGGAUUUUAUUAUACAAAAGCCUAAUAACAAAAUAUGGAUAAAUGAUAGGAAGAUAGUAAAAAAAUUUAUAUAAAUAUUAUCUUUAUAUAAAAGAAGGCUCCUAUUUACUUUAUAAGGCUAUAAGUAAGGCAAAAAAAAGUAAAUUAAAAAAAUAGAAAUUAUAUAGGAAUUUUUAAAAGAAUUCUUUGGGCAUUGGUUUGAAGUGCUAUGAUUGCAUAUUGAAUUUUUGAGGGCUUUCUAAAGUGAGAUGUAUUCAAUGAUUUCAGAUUUCAAGAAAUAAAAAGAGAUUAACAAAAUUAAAGAUUGAAUGAAUCCAUAGUAAAUUUAUAAGUGAAAAUUUGUAAGUUUUUUAUUAUUUUUAUUCUAAAUAUGUCUUAUAAAUUUGAUGUCAGUUAAAUGGUUGAAUUUUAGAAUAUGAAAUUUUUACUGAAUUAAAGUAUCAAAUAUUUAAAAUUAAGAAUCAAUGAGGAUAUCUGCAAUCUUGAAAAGUUUUCUUGUUUAAUUGAAAUAGAAUUUGGUGAAAGAAAUUUAGAAUUCACUAUCUAUACAUUAGUUAAUUUCUCAAUUCAAGAAGAAGAAAGCCCUACUAAAAUAUCAAUAUCUUAGAUAGAAAAGGACGGUGGUUAAUAUUCAAGAGUUUUAAAGUCUUUUUCUUUCAAUUUGUGGAUUUAAUUUUCUUUAAACUUUUUUUACAUAAAAAUUUCUUGUGGAUUAAAAUAUAGAUGAAAUUUUAAUUGAGAUCAAUGAUUUGAUUAAUAGAUAUUGAAAUUUUAAAAUAACUAUAGGAAUUGAUUAAAAUUUAUACAAGAUUUUUUUGGAUUUAUUUAAGAUUUUGUUAGGAUUUAAUUAAGAUUUAGGUUAGAAUUCAGGAUUUGAUUAGGAAUUGAUCUAAGAUUUGAUUAGAAAUUAAUUAUGAUUUAAUCAAGAUUUUGGUUAAAACUUGAUUAAGAUUUUAUUAAGAUUUAUUUAAAUUUUAAUUAGAAUAUAAUUAGAAAGUUGAUUAGGACUUAAUUAUAAUUUGAUUAGAAUUUCAUUAGAAUUUAAUUAGAAUUUGGUUAAGAUUUUGAUUAAGAUUUUUUUAAGAUUUGAUUAAAUUUUAUUGUUAUAUGGAAUUUAAUUAGAAUUUAAUUAGAAUUCUAUGCAACAAUCAACUUUUUGGAAGAUACCAAAAACAAGGAUUUGGUUGAAGAAGAAAAAGUCAAGUCAUGAUGAUAACUUUGAAGUUAUUAAAAACUUAUUGAAGCUUGAAGCUACACAAAUUGAUAUGAUAUGUUUCAAACCUCUCACUAAACAAGAAUAGAUUUCAUAUUAUCACUAAGAAUUGUGCUUAUAUUAUGGAGAACCUAGGCACACUACUUAACAUUUUUCAAAGAAGUAAUACAAUCAUAAAAUGAAGCACAUGGUUACUAAAAAAGACAAUGUAUAGGAUAACAAAAUUUUCCAACUAUAAUAAGGAUAGUGCAACUAGAAUCUUGUAAAAUACCUAAUAAAGAUCUUAUUUUUUUUUCAAAUUCUUCACCUUAUUUUACAAUAGAUAUUUUUUUUGGACCAAAAAAUCAUAAAGUAUCUACCUUAAUAGAUUCAAAAGCUUUGAAUUUUAUUAUAGAAAAAUACUUUAUUAAAAAAUAUAAUAAAACUUAAGUUAAAUAAACUAAGUUUGUGUAUAUAAAAGACAUAGUUAGUUAUUUUUUAUCUUUUAAAAAUUUUACAUGUAUAUAUAUAUAUAUAUAUAUAUAUAUAGAUAUAGUAAAAAUAAUUAAAAUAGCUUAAUAAUAUUUAUUAUCAUCAUAUUUCCCUUCAACCUAGUCAUCUUAGGUUUAUUGUAGCUAAAAAAUUAUAAUCUCUAAAUAGACUAAAAUUUUAGUAAUUUUAUUUUUUUUCUGUAGCAUAAUCCAAAUUUUUCUUAUUUUAAGUCCCAUCAAUAGAUUUUAAUUGCUAAAAAUAUAAAUAAUAUAUUUUAAAGUUAUUUAAACAUAUAACUAAUAGAAUUAAAGAUUUUUUUUGAACAUAUGAAUUUUUAUUAGAAUUUAAAAAUGUUUAUAGGAUACAAGAGUCUUAUUAAAAAAAGUUAUAAAAAUAAAAACUUUGUAAGUCUUUGACAUAAUUAUCUUAGUUGGCUUAGUCUUUUUAUUUAUUGUUGAACAUUAAUGAUUAGCUAUUGAGACCAAUAUCUAUUGGACUUCUAUUUGUAUGUGUUACUUAUAAAGAUACCUAUAAAUUUUGAUUAGUAGUCAAAAGAAGCAUGAAAAAGAAUCUCAUGUCUUUUUACUUAUUUAUAUUAGAAAUAUGAUUUUUUAUGAAUUUAAAUUAUUUUUAUUAUUAUAAAAAAAUAAAAAGUAAAAAUUAUAGUUUUAAAUUGAUAUUAGAAAUAUAAAAAAAAAAAUAAGAGUUUUUAAAUUUUAUUUAGAAUUUAUUUAGAAGUUUUUAGGAAUUUUUAGAAGAAAUUAUAAAACUUUCGCAAAAUUAAAUUUUACUUCCUUAGAAGCUUUUAUGAAGAAAUGGAUCAAGAUUUGAAGGUCAUGUAAGGUUUUUGGACUAUCUAUAAACCUUCAUAACUUACAUAUAUUAAUUUGGAUUUACAUAUUUUUUACAUCAUAAAAAAGAUGAUAAAAUUAAAUUUCUAAAAAUAUAUUUAUUUUAUUUUAUUUUUUUAUUUUUUAUUGGUUAAAAAUUUAGUGAAUAGACUUUGAUUUAGUUUUAGGAUGUGAUUGCUUGGUUAAAUUUAUUUCAACUAUUUUGUUUUUGUUAUUUUUUUUCCUUUUUUGUUAUUUUUUGACCUCACUUUAUACCAUCAAUUAUAAGAAACUUUAAAUUAAGUCCAUCUUAUAAUUUGGAUUAAAGAAUAAAAUUUAUCCUUUCAAUUAUCAUGGUAAAAAGUCAUACAUUUAAUAUAACCAAAUUUUUAGUGAUAAUUGUAAGAGCUUUCAUGAAUGCUCCAAAAAAAGAGUUGCCAUUUGUAAUUUAUGCCAUAUCCAUUUUUAAUGGUAGAAAGUCUUAAAUUAGUUAUUUAAAUCAAUAUAAUUAAUAUUAUGAUAUUUUUGAAAAAAAUAGUAUUGAUAUUCUUUUAGAACAUUAUAAUUAUGAUUGCUCAAUUGAUCUUUAAGAACAAACUUAAUAGCUAUUUGGACCAAUCUAUAGUUUAUAAUUAAAUAAGUUGAAUGCACUCAAGGAAUAUAGUACUAAGAAAUUGGCCAAAAACUUUUUAUUCCAUUUAAAAUCUCAAACAUGAUUUGUUUUUUAUUUAUCAAGAAAAAAAAAUAAUUCAUUGUGGAUGUGUGUAGAUUAUUGAAGGCUCAAGAAGAUCACCACAUAAAAUAGAUUUCUUCUAUUUUAGAUAUUAUGAUUCUUUGAUCAAUUAAAGAAAGUGAAGAUUUGUACAAAAAUAGAACUAUAAGAAGUAUACAUUUUGUUAUAUUUAAAAAAUGAAGAUGUAUAGAAGACUGUAUUUUGAACUAUGUAUGAGUAUUUUAAAAUUAAUAUCAUGCCUUUUAAAUUCACAAAUGUACCAAAUACUUUUUAAUAUCUAAUAAAUGAUAUUUUUUGAUAUAUUUUAAAUAAUUUUUUAUUAUUUAUAAAAAUUAUAUUUUAAUCUAUUCUAAAAAUAUAUAAAAAUAUAAAUUUUAUGUUUGUUGUGUCUUAAAAAACUUAAAUAUACAAGUUGCAAUUUAUUUGUAUGUUUGACUUGUAAAGACAAACUUGAGUGGAAUAAUAAAGUUAAAUCAUCAUUAAAAAGCUUUCAAGUCAAUUUUAAUUUUGUCUCACAGUUCACUUUUUUGAGGCAUUUUUUAUGGAAACAGAUACAUUGGACUUUGCCUUGGGUGUGAUAUUGUCACAAAUGGGAGAAAAUGCUAAACUUCACUUAAUAGCUUUUCAAUUCAAAAAUAUUUUAGAAAUUGAAAUUAACAAUAAGAUCCAUGACAAAAAGCUUCUUACAAUUGUGGAUUCAUUUUAAGAAUAGUAUCAUUAUUUAGAAGGUACUUCUAAAUUAGUAAAAAUUUAUACAAAUUAUAAGAAUCUUAAGCAUUUUAUAUCAAUGUCCAUUUUGAACAAUUGAAAAGGCUAUUUGAGCAAGUCCAUAUCAAAAUUUGUAUUCAAUAUAUUUUUAUAUGUAUAUAGCUUGCACCAAAAGAAAGAAAUGUAAUUUUUGAUUAAUAGUGAAUUAUUCGUUUGAAGCUAGAAUAAUUUUAUCUUUGAACUAUAAAAUCAACAUUGAUUGUUGAUUUAAUUUUUUUUUAAGCAAGUUCAAUUAAAUAUAUCUUCAAUUUUUUUUAAUACCUCAAUUUUGCCUCUAUAUAUACUAUCUAACUAAAAACUAAAUGGUGAUAAUCUAUAUAACCUCCAACUCAUGUCUAAUUUGCAAAAUACAAGUCUAACUUAUAAGACAAGUUUUUUAUAUGAAUACUAUAUAGUCAAUUUGUUUUAGAAGUCAUUAAUAUGUGCAAUACAUGGCCAACUUAUUAGCCAAGUUUUCAACCUAUUAAAUACCUACAAACAAAUAUAAAGUCAAAUCCGCAUCUAUGAAGCUUUUAAGAAACUUUCCUAUAAGAUAUUAUUAAAUUUGUUUACUUUUUAUUUUUAAUAAAUUCUUAUAAAACUAAAUAUAUAUAUAUAUAUAUAUAUAUAUAUAUAUAUAUAUAUAUAUCUUUUAUAUAAAAAAUUAUAAAAAAUUUUAAUAUGAAAAAAAUAAUAUUUAAUAAAGAUUAUAUUUUAUUAUUUAUUUUUAUUCAUAAUUUUUAUAUAAUUGUGGCACUAAAGAGAUAAAAAUUCAAUAAUAAGUAAUUCCAAUACAAAAUUUAUUAUUUUUUUUACAAGAAAAGGCAUUAAAAAAUUUAUAUCUUUCAAGUUGACAUAAUAGAGAUGAAAAUCAUCAAGAACAACAUGUAUUUUUUCAAAUAAAAAGUGAGAUAUAAUGUAUUUGGUAGUAUGACCUUAGAAGAAACUCUAGAUAUUUGAAAAUAUUAUUGAAGGUAAGAACUAUUCUUGAUGGUAUUCCAAAGGAUUUAUUUAAAAAAACUAUGAAGGCCUCAACAAUAAUUAAAUAAUAUGGUGGUCUUUUUAUUUUUUUAUAGGAUAUUAUUGAUGGUUGAAAGGACCUAUCAAUUACCUUUGUAAGGAAAAAAAAGAAAAGUAUGUAGAAAAUAUAAUUUUUUGCAUCUUAAAAUUCCUCAACAUGUGAUCACUAACCCAUAUAGAACUUGUCUUUAAAAGAAAGUAUAAUAUCACAUAUACAUUAAUCUAUAUUAAAGAUGUUAAAUAGAAAUAAGUAGAUAUAAAUAGAUUUGAAUAUAUCUUGUAGAAAAACUUCUUUAAAGCUUUAGAAGCAUAAAUUCGGUUUUAUACAUAUUUGUAAGUGAUUGAUAGGUUAAAAAUUUAGCCAACAAAUUGGCCACAUGUUGCAUAUAUUUAUAACUUGUGAUACAAGUUGGCAAUGUAGCACAUAUGGAAGAAACUUGUUUUGCAAGCUAGACAUGUAUUUUACAAGUUGGACAUGUAUUAGAGGUCUUAUAAAAUAUUUCCAUAUUAUUAUAUUAUAAUAUAAUUAUAUGGUGAAAGAUUAAAAUAUAAAUUAUAUUAUAAAGGAGCCUAAUUAAAAAAUAUAGUAGCAAAAAAUUAAUAUAAAUAAAUGAAGUAGUAAAAAUUUUAGAUGUUGAUGUUUUUUUUUUAUAAAAAAGAAAAAUCUUCUACUUACUUUGUAUAGCCAUAAAUAAGACAAAAAAAAAUAGAUGAAGAAAAAAAUAUAGUUAGCUAUAGGAAGGAAAUAAAAAUAGUUAGUAGCAAAUUUAUUCUUAAGAAACUAAAAAUUGAUACUUGGAGAGGAUUGAUUAUAAAUUGGGAUCUAAAUUUGAUCACAAGAUAUCAAACCAUGUACGUACAUUGAUUUGGAGAUACUUUUGUUAAUUGAAGAGCAAGUUUAGAAAAAAAAACUUUAGAAGGUUUGUUUUAGGGCUGAUUUCAAGUGAUUUAGAGGAAUAGUUUCAAAGAGCUAUUUAAAAUAAGAGAAGUUUUAAGUGAUUUUGUAUUUUAAGAAAUAAAAAGAUGUUUACAUAUUUUAAAAAUUUAUUAGUAUUGUAGCAGGUAUAUAAGUGAAAAUUUGUGGAUUUGUAAAUUUAAUUUUUUUUGUCAAUCAAAUUGUUAGAUUGAAGGAUAUGGAAAUUUUAUUGAAUUAUGUUUUCAAAUAUUUUACUUUUAAAAUAAAUUAAUUUUUUUUAUGAUCUUGACAAAUUUUCUAGUUUGAUUGAAGAAAUAUUUUGUGAAUACAUAUUAGGCUCAAAAUUAUAUAUUUUGAUAAUUUAAAAAGAAAUUAAAUGGUUUACUAUAAAGUAAUUGCUACUAAAAGAUCAACAUCUAAUUUAAAGAGGGAAGACAGCUAAUACUUAAGAAUAUUAGAAGCUCUUUUUUUCAAUUAAUAAGUUUUAUUUAUUUCAAAUUUUGUAUUUUUUUCUUAAAGAUUUAAAUAUUUAAAAAAAUAAUCCAAAUUGAAAAUUCAAUUAAUAUUUAUUGAGAUUUUUAAAUUUUUAUAAAUAUUAAAUUAUUAUUUUAUUAAAAUUUUAUUAGGAUUUAUUUUUAAAUUUAUUAAGAUUUUAUUAAGAUAUUUUAGAAUAUUUUAAGUUUUCGUUAAAAUUCGAUUAAGAUUUAUUUAGGAUUUAUUCAUAUUUUUUAUUUUUAAUAUUAUUUAUUAUUUAUUUAGAAUUUUUUUAUAUAUUAUGAGAUUUUUUAGUAUUUUUUAAGGUUUACUUAUUAUUUUUUAUUAUUUUUUAUUAUUUUUUAUAUUUUAUUAAGAUUUAAUUGGGAUUUUUGUAAGAUUCUAUAAGAAUUUUUAUGACCUUUGCUAUUGCAAUUUCUAAUUUAUCUUCUACAGCCAAGUGUCCAAUAUAUUCUCAAGUAAGGCAAAACGUAAUAUAAUGAUAUAGUACUAAGUUAGAUAGUAUUUGUGGAAGCAAAAGUGAGGCCUUCUUUUCUCUUAUUAAUAUCUUUUUUAUUCUUAGUAUUAUUUCAAGGAUCUUUAAUCUUUUUGCCUUAUGCAAUAGCCAUUUUAGUCCUAAUAUUUUACCAUCUUUGAGUGAAUAUCCAUUCUUUUAUAGUAUCACAAGUGCAUAUUGAGAUUUUCAUUGUUUUUGAUGCAUAUCCUUGAUAUAUAUACGUUUUUAAAAGAUACUUAAAUGAAGAUUUGCAAGGAUGGUCAAUAUAUAAACAAACUUCUUUAUCCUCCAACCUUUGUGGAUGCAACAACCUUUGAUUCUUGUGUUUAUUAGCCUUGUUGGAUUUGAAUCAACUUGAUUAUAUCAGUAGUGCUUAUUUCAAAAAAAUUUACAGUUCAAUGAUCGACUAAUUCUAAGAUAGAUGAUAUUUUGGAUAACUAUUAGAAUUCAUUACUUGUUACCUACAAAAAUAAGAUGUUACUAGCCUUGGUCAACAAUCUUGAAGUACCUCAAGCAGUCUUAACUACCUCAAUGACCUAUUUUAGGCAUUCUGAAUUUUAAGCAUAUCAGCCAUGUAAAAUUUGAGAUGAUAUUUUUUAGACUAAUAAAAAAAACUAUUACCACUAAGAAGAAAUAAGCUAUGGAUCUUUUGACAAUUACUGUAGCAACUCAUGACUUCACCAAAGAUUAAUACUAAUUUCUAUUAGGCCUAGCAUUAAAUUCUAAUAUCUUAAUUUGGAUUUCUAGGAUUUAUUUUAUUUUGCAUGUAUUGCCAAUUUAUCAAGAACUUCAACUUCAUUGCUAAGCAAUUGACUAUUUUUAUAAACAAAGAUCAUUUGUGGAGAUAGAAUUGUGAGCAACUAUAGGCAUUUGAUACAUUGAAGUAGAAGUUAGAUUCAAGUAAUAUGCUUUAAUGCUAUGAUUCUACUAGACUCUUAUAGUUGCACAAAAAUUAGAUUAUACUAGGAUUGGUAGUCUUAAUACAAAAAGAUGGUAAAAGCUAGAAGUAUGUCAUUGAAUUUCUUUUUAAAAGCAAUAACAAUAUUGAAUCUAAUUACUCAUCUUAUAAGAAAGAAGCUUUGAUAAUGGUUUAUGCCAUUACGUACUUUUGUUCUUAUUUAUAUAAGCAACGGUUUACAAUUGUGACUAACUACCAAUUUCUAAAGUAGCUCAUGGAAUAAAAGAAAUACAUUGGCAAGUUUAAAAAUAUGCCUUAUUAUUAUAUAAAUAUAACUUUAAAAUUGUGCAAUAGGAAUGUAAUCCCAAAUUAGAUGUAGAUGGGCUUUUUUUAAUUUAAACUUAUAAACAAGAAUUUGACAUGAAAACUUUGAUAUAAAAAAAAAAAAAAAAAAAAGAAAAAAAAAAUCUAGUUGAUAUGCUCCAUUAUACCUUAUAUUGCUAUCAAGCUCUACAUUAAAGUAACAUAAUUAAGUUUUAUUUUUUGUUAAUACUAUAUUGUAUGUUCAUUCAAAUGAAGGUUGCAAUAGAAUCUAUACUUGCACUAAUCUGCUUUACAUAGAAAAGAAUUAUAUCUUUAUAUAUCUAUGGAGAUUAAUGUUUAUGCAAAAAGUUGAUUUCUAAGAAUUAUUAUCCUUUUUUUUUUGUUAUUAAGGCUCUUGUGUCAAUUGAUUGUAAGUAAGUUUUAUAUUAAUUAUAUGUUUUCUUAAAUUUAAUGAUUUUAUACAUAUUAAAUAAAUAAAUGAAAAUUAUAUUUUAAUCUUAUAUAGUCACUUUAAAUACAAUGGCAUGUAUUUUCGACUUAAAAAUAUUCCAAUUGUUGUAUAAAUUUUGAAGAAUAAUAUAAUCUAUAUAUUUCUAGAUAAUUUUUUAUGUUAUUUUAAAAAUAAAUUUGUAUAUUAUAAGAAUAUAAAAAAUUAUAAAAAAAUUAUAUCACAUAAAAAAAUCAGAGAUAUAAAAUAUAUAUAUAUAUAUAUAUAUAUAUAUAUAUAUAUAUAUAUAUAUAUAUAUAUAUAUAUAUGAUUCAAGUGGAAUUUUUGGAAUAUAUCAUUUUAAACAUUGGAAUUCAAAUAGAUUCUAAAAAGAUGAUAUUUUAUUUUUUAUUCUUUUCUUGCAUCAAAAAAAGAAGGUGUUACAUAAGAUGAAUAAUUUUUUUUAUUUUAAGACCAAAGCAACAACUUCAAGCCAUUAAGUCAAUAAUUUUAGUUAAUACUAUUUUUAAUAAAAAAAUUCAAGUGUAUAAAUAGACCCUUUUAUUUGUAAUAUUAUAAUUAUCCUUAAUAAUGGCUUUAAAUUUUUUGGUUUUAAGUUUAAUAUUUUUUAUUAUAAAAGACGUUUAUAUAUUCUAAAAGUUUAAGCACAUUUUGUGCACUUCAAGUACAACAUUAUUUUUUAAAAUUAUGGUAUUUUGGAAUAUAAUAAAAUUUUAGAACUUAUUUUAAGAGAUUUUAAAUAGUCUAGAAUAUAAAAAGCUAAUAAAGAAUUUGAUUAAUCUUGACAUAUGUAUUCUUAAUCAAAGACUCUAAAUAAUCAAUCCUAUAGAUUUUUUCAACUUCUAUCUAUUUUAAAAUAGCCUUGAAUGUAUGCUUUUUUGGAUUUUAUCACAAAUAUUAUAAAUUUAAGUUUUUGUAACUUUUUUACAUUGGCAGAUUGUCUAACCAAAAUAACACAUUUUUUUACCUUGUACAAAAUCUAUAAUAAGUGAAGAAAUAUCCAUGAUUUUAUUAAUAAUAUUUAUCAAUAUUAUGGAUUUUAAAUUCAUAUUACAUCUAAUCAAGGAUCUUAGUUUAUAUCAAAAUAUUAGAAGAUACUUUCUAACAUAUUAAAUAUUGAUAUUGAGUUAUCUAUAGUUUUUUAUUAAUAAAAUUAUGGAAAAAAUUAACAAGUGAAAGAAGUAACAAAGUAAUAUCUAUAAUUUACUAUUACCUAUCAUAAAGAUAAUUAAAAAAAAAAAAAAAAAAAAAAAAAAAACUCUCUUGUCAUUAUCAAAAAAUGUAUAUAAUAAUAGAAUAUAAUCAUUCACUCAAAAAAUCUAUUUAUUUCCAAUGAUGGAUAUUAUUUAUAAUUUGAUAUUUUUUACUUUUUUAAAGAAAAAAAUCUAAUAAUAAAGGAAUUAAAAAGUAGGUUGAAAGAUCUUAACACAACAAUGAAGAUACAUCUAAAGAAGACUAAACAAUUAUAAAAAAUAAAUACAAAUAUUCUUAGAUAGGAAAAACUUUAUUCAAUAUUAUAAUAAAAACAUGGUUAUUCUAUUAUAGUAUUAUGACCAAUUAAUCUUAUAAGUAGUUAGGUUAUCUAAGGUUUGAUCUAUUUAUUUUCUAAAAAUAAAUUAAUCAACUUACAUGUUAAUUAUAACUACUAUAUUUAAUAAAGAUUCAUAAUAUAUUUUAUAUUCUUUUCAUUGAGCCUUGAACUACAAUCUAAAUAUUAAAAAGAAAAUAUUUGCCACCAUAUCUUGUUAAAAUAAAAAAAAAAAACUAUCAAGAAUUUAAAGAAGUAUUAUAAUGAAUUAGAAUUUCUUGUAAAUUAUUACACAUAUUAUAUUAAUGAAUACAUAUAUGAAUGUCACGGACAUAGAAAUUGUCACGGAUAUAGAAAUACAAGCUCGAGAUCUAACAAGAAGUUCAAGAAGAAAUGACAAGAAUUAGAUUAAUCAGAUGAAUACAAGAAUAAUACUAGAGACGUGAGCUAGAGCUCCAAGAGAUGUGUUGUCGAGACUGAAGAACUCUUCAGCCUCGAUUUCAAUAUAUAUUCCUAUUUAGGAAGCUUCUCAAGUAACUUCUAUCAACUAGGAAGCUUCUCAAGUGACUUCCACCAACUAGAAAGCUUCUUAAGCAACUUCUACCAAUUAAGAAGCUUCUCAAGCAAAUUCCACCAAUUAGGAAGCUUCUUAAGUAACUUCCAUCAACUAAGAAGCUUUUAGAAGGUUCCAGAGACUUGCUUCUAGAAGGUUCUAGAAACUUGUCUGUAGAAGGUUUUAAGGACUAUGUCCCUAACAUCACCCCCUCCUUUAGCUUCGAGGUCUCUGAGAAGCAAUGUUGUUGUUAAUCAGUACCAAUGCAAGAAAAUGAAGAUCUGUCACAUAAUGUCUGCUAUGAACUCCAAUUGUUGUUCACGAGGCAAGUGGUUCAUCGACCCUUGAAGCUAAUGGGAGUGACCCACGCCUUCGACUUCUGACCAAGCAUGACCUUCCGUGUCCUCAUUGUGAAAUUGUCCUACAAAUACGCCUUCUAGCUGACCAUCAUAAGCAGGCUCGAACUCAAAUACAAUCACCAGUGAUCGGUUACUCGGUAUCCUUCGUUGUUGUCGUGGUGUAGGCGGUUCUUCAUCUCGAGGUCGCCUUCAUGAGCUAGUCGAUUGAGAUAAUUUGAUUGCAUAGUAUCUAUCUCUUGGCUAUCCAUAUCAAAAGACCAAACUAUAGCUAUUGAAAAAAUUCUAUUUUAUCUUGAAGAAAAUAACUACAUCAACUACGAAUUUUGGUGAUGCUCUCCCCCUUUCUUGUAUUCUUGGGUGAGCAAGCUUUAGAAGGAAGCUAUUGUCGAACCAGCUUAGGUUUAUGAAGAAGUUGUUGAUGAAAUUCAUGUACCUUUUGCGACGCAUUGGCGAGAUUUUCAACUGGCUCCCACGUUGUCGUGUUGUAACACGAGUAUACCUUGAAAAUAUAAAGAAAAGAGACUUUUAUUAAUAUUUAGUUACCUCGAAUAUUGGGGGCAACGACCAAUUCCAGUGCAAAUACUGGGAGGCCAGGGUCAGUCACCCCAUUAGAGUCAGCUGGGGCAUACUGAAAUGCUCCGUUCAAUUCCAAUAACGGGAGUCAGCAAAAAAGGGAAAGGACCAAUUCAAUGACGGGUGAGCUUGGUUCGAAGAGCCAAUUGGAUUCAAUUUCAAGACAUCCAAUCCAGGUCCUCUUACCCAAUAUGAGACCUAAAUUGGUCGGGCAACCCAAUGUAGUCUAAUUACGGAAAAAUCUAGGUCUUACUAUGGGCCUCAACCAAUCUGACGCGAAGGACCAAUUUGAUCCAAUUACGGGAACAUCCGGGUCUUACUACUCGACUCUUAUCCAAUAUGAGACCUGAAUUGGUCGGGCGACUCAAUGUGGUCCCGAUUACGGGGCUCCGAUUCCAUUUCAGGCUAUUCCGUCCUUUGUGCUGUUCCAGGAACAUCCUUUCGGUAAAAAGAUCUCUUAAAGGUAAAAACGGAGGAGAAAGCUUUGACGGCGAGAGCCAAUUUCGGAUCCAAGAUGGAAGAUUGAAGAAAUUCAAAAUUAAGAUUAAGAAAUGAGAGGGGGAAGAAGAGAGUUUUUUUAGAGGGAUCGGAGAGCUAGCUUCAUGCUUCGGGAAGGGAAAAAAAGACAGAGAAUUGGGUUUUUUUUUCUUCAUAGGGUUUUGGGAAGACUGAGGCAAUCAUUGCUGAAGUCAAUACGGUACUGGUGAAUCGGGAUUUUAAUGAAGUGGGUGUGAUUACUCUUGACUGUUUUGUGAAAUCGAGUUACAUCUGUGAUGAAGAAUUAAAAGGAUGUUUAUAGGAUUGAGUAUGCAGAGUGAAUGAAAUUUAUUGGAUUAAUCUAACAAGACAAUCAGUUGAUACAAGUUCGUGAGUAUAAAGUGGUAUCAAAGAUUAGCAGUUUGGGUUGUUCGGGGUUCUCUGUAACAUCUAGAGACCUACCGGCUGGGGCAAAAAGGAUUUCGACAAGCAGUCGAAGGGCAUCCAUAUAGAUUUAUGGUAUAUUCUUGUAGUUGUUUAUAUUCCAACAGUCAAUAAUCGAUAGACUGCUUGAAUAUUGGUGAAUCUCCAUACUACCUUCUAUAGCCAGAUGCCCGACACGUUCUCGAGCAGGAAAGCACGUAAUACGACAACGUUUCCUCAUUAAUGUCAUAGCCGCACCAAGAAAAAGAUACUCCAACUUACCCCGCCUUCGCCGUGUAUCCAACACCUUUUUGACCUCAUAUUCCUCGUAGUUCUCAAUCUCAAUACUAGUUGGCAGAUAUUGCACUCUUCCAGGAAAAGACGACUCUUGAUAAGGCUCCAACAAAGAAACAUGAAAGACUGGAUGUACCUUCAUAAAAGCCGGUAAUUCCAGAUGGUACGCCACUAGAUUGAUUUGCUUCUGGAUGAUAAAUGGUCCCAAUCUUCGAUAGUCCAACUUAUCACAUGGUCGCUUGGUCUUGAUAUUCCAUCAAAAAAGCUAUGCUUUAUCUCCAAUUUUGAAAGUAGGUGCUUGAUUCCGAAAUCUAUCUACAGACGCCUUAUAGGAUUCUUCAUCGGAUUGUAAUUGAAGCUUCAAUGUAUUUUGAAGCUCUGAUAGUUGUUUCGCAAAUCUUUCAGCUGUUGGAUUGUUAUUUGUUGACGGACUCAAUAAAUCAAGCUUUGGAUGAUAUCCAUAGUUGGAAAAGAAUGAUGUAUAUUGAGUCGACACAUGGAGGGUGUUGUUAUAUGCAAACUUGGCUAGCGAUAGAUAUGCAGUCCAAUCGUCUUGCAGAUAGUUGAUGCUGCAUCGUAAGUAUCGUUUCAAGACUUGGUUCACCCAUUCCGUUUGGCCAUCAAUUUGAGGAUGAAAAGUCGAAGAAAGCUUGAUAUGCACCUUCAGUAUCUCAAAGAAAGAUCUCCAAAACUUUGAUACGAAUUGGGUUCCUCGAUUUGAUAUGAUAUCAUUUGAUAGCCCAUGAUAUCGAUACACAUUAUCGAGAAAGAGCCUUGCUAUGACUUCAUUCGACGAUGUCUUCUUGCAAGGGACAAAGUGCGCCAUCUUUGUAAGCCGAUCUACGAUGACAAAGAUGUUGUCAAAUGAGUUCGGUGAUCGCAGGUCCGUGAUGAAGUCCAUGGAAACUAAAGACCAUGGUCGACGUGGAAUCGGCAAUGGCUGUAGAAGUCCAUAAGGGCGAUGUCGAGGAUUCUUGGAUCUUGAACAAAUGUGGUAGGAGAGGACAAAAUCUUUCACAUCCUUCCACAUUUGGAGCCACCAGAUAUCUUGAGAAAUAAGCUUCAAAGUCUUGUUGAAUCCAAAAUGUCCCACAACUGGAAAAUCGUGGCAAGAUUGAAGAACUUGAGUUGUGUUGGUCCUUUCGGAAUAUACAACUGCUCCUCAAAGUAUAAAAGAUCUCCCUCCACCUUGAACUUGUCAUCAUUAGCAUGUUGCUUGAUAUCAAUGGCUACUGAAUCUUCAAUGGUCACAACACAUACCUGGAUCAGGAAAUCAACAUCAAUUGGCACAAUAGUAGCACAAAGCCAAAAUUACUCUGGCUUCAACAACAUCGUACAUUGUUGAUCAAACACUACUUUUCUAGCCUUUAGUAUAAGAUACGAUCUCUUCGAUAAGGCAUCCGAUAGUCCUUGUUGCUUUCCAGGUCAAUAAGUGAUAACAAAAUCGAACCUAGAUAGCGACAUACUCUAUCGAGCUUGACGUCGAUUUAGAACUCAAGCCGACAUAAAAUAUUCUAAAUUCUUGUGAUCUGUGUAUUCGAUCAUUGGAUGUGUAGCUUUUUUAAGAAGGUGACGCCAUUCUUGGAAAGAAUCCACUAUAGCAAGAAGUCCUUAUUGUGGAUCUUAUAAUUGAUUUUAGUAGUAGAGAACUUUCGAGAAUAGAAUGCAACCGGAUGGGGCUUCUUGUCUUCUCCCAUUUGUGAAAGUAUAGCUCCCAAAGCAAAAUCCGAAGCAUCAGUUUCUAAAUAGAAGGCCUUCGUAAAGUCUGGAUGUAUCAAGAUUGGAACCGUAGUAAAUGUGGUCUUCAGGUCAUGAAACGCCUUCUCUGCUAGAGGUUCCUAUUCCAGCUUAUCCUUGCAUGUCAACCGAGUGAGAGGAGCAGCAACUUGAGAGUAAUUCUUGAUGAAGAUCCGAUAGAAGUUAGCAAAACCAAGAAAGCAUUGUACGUCUCUAACCAUCUUUGGAACCUCCCAAGUCACGAUUGCUUCUACCUUCUUGGGAUCCAUCUUCAAGCCUUUCGUAGUCGCAACGAACCCCAAAAACUCCAUCUCCAUUUGGUGAAAUAAACACUUUUCCAACUUGGCAUAUAGUCUUCGCUCACAUAGUUUCUCUAAGACCAAACGAGCGUGCUUUUCAUGCUCUUUUUCGUUUCUAGAGAACAUCAAAAUAUCAUCCAAGUAGAUGACAACAAAAUUAUCAAGGUGUUCCCGAAAAAUAUCAUUCAUCAUAUGUUGGAAGACCGCUGGAGCAUUGGUAAGACCAAAAGGUAUGACAUUAUACUCAAAAUGGCCAUACCUUGUACGGAACGUUGUCUUCCAUUCAUCUCCUUCAUUGAUUCGUAUGAGGUUGUAAGCUCUCUUUAGAUCAAUUUUUAUAAAGAUCUUUCUACAUCCAAGUUAUUCUAAGAGAUCAAAAAUCAAGGGUAACGGGUAACAAUUCUUCUUUGUUAUCUUGUUGAGGCCUCGAUAGUCCACGCACAUCCACAACGAGCCAUCUUUCUUCUUCACAAAUAAGAUGGGCGUCCUAGUUGACGAUUUUGAAUGACGGAUGAAGUUCUUGGCUAGAUUCUCGUCGAUGUACUUCUGCAACUCCACCAACUUCGUCUGCGAUAGAUUGUAGAUUGGGCCAAAAGGCAGUUGUACUCCUUCUUGCAAGUCUAUGGCACAAUCAUAUAGUCGGUGUUCCGGUUGCAUGUCGGCAUUCUUCUUUUGAAACACGUCUUUAAAAUCCUUAUAUUACUUCGAUAUACUUGCUGUCGAGAUCUUCACUCCAGUAGUUAGAGCCGCAUAAAUGACAAACAGUGUACCUUCCUUGAACGAUCUUAUAAACGCUCUUGCUCUAAUAAAUAAGGAUUUCUCUAUUCGGGGUUUUCUACUAGGCUUGUUCUUGGGUGGUUUUGUGGAAAAGGUCAUCUUCCACAACCUCCAAUCUAUGAAUGGGUUAUGCUUUUUCAACCAGGAAAGACCAAGAAUAACAGAAUUUGAUGGAGUUUUAAUAAUAUUGAAAAUAAUAUGACUACUAUGGCCCUUAAACGUCACUUCUUUAGGUUCUGAUUCAUGGGUGACACUACUAGACAAUAAAAGUCGUCCAUCUAUGACCUCAACGUUAACAGGUUUGGAUUUUUGUACUAAAGAGAUCUUAUGACACUUCGCAAAUUCUUCGUCUAAGAAACAAGCAGAUGCUCCUGAAUCUAAUAAUGCUAAGGUUCUCAGUUUUUGAGGGCCAAUGAACAAAGGGAUUAUAAAACAAAGGGCAGGUUGAGCGGAAAGAAAGGAACCUGGUUGUUGUUGCGAUAUUUCACUGUCCAGCCUUACGGUUCCUAUUGUAGCUGACAUCUUCGUUUUCCUAAACAAACGCAUCCUUGGUCCUGACAGUGUAUCAAUUUUACUUCUUGGGACAGCUUCCAUUUUUGUGGCCUUCUUCACUGCAAUAUAAGCAUUGACCUUCUUCCAUACGUUGCUUUUUUUCUUCUAGAGUAAGAGAUUUGACAUGUAUCGCAUUAAUUUGCAUGUCUUCUACAUCUAAAUGUGAAUUCACGCUACUUGCCAACAUAGUUGGGGCGUGGCAAAUCAUAUAUUAUCUUGAACAUUGAUCUUGGCAACGUUGAAAUAGGUAGUUAUUGUACUUCAUAGCUUGGCUAAUAGCUUCGUUGAGCGUUCGUGGAUCAAGAAGAGUUAACAACAAAUCCUUCACAUCGUCCUUUAAACCCCAAUAGAAUUGACUCAUCAAUGCUUCUUCAUCCCAAUUGAUGUCAUAUGCUAAUUGCCUGAAAUCCGAUGCAUAGACUGAUGUAGAGUGCAUCUCUUAUCGUAGUGAUCGGAUCUUUGUUGUAGCCCAUUGAACCUUGUCGUGUUCACCAAAUGCUUCCCCAAACGCCUCCAAAAAGGUUUCAAAGUUGUUUAGUAUGGAUGAUUGUUUCUCAAACAAAGGAGCAAACUAUGAUAGAGCUUGCCCUAUAAGUGAGGUUCCAACAGGUCCAACAUGUGACUCCUGCGUUGGAUAGCAUUCGGGCUGUAAAACUGUUAUCAACCUGAUUUGAUUGAUGAAUCCUCGAAACUUGGAACGCAUACCAUCGAACUUGUCUGGAAGGCUAACUUGAGACUCCUUAUGUUGUAGAACCAGCGGUGCUUGUCAAACUUGAGGCAAAGUUGCUUCUCCAAGUGCAGAAGUUUGAGGUUGGUGCAACCUAGAUUGUGCCAUCCCAGAUGCUCCAUCAUUAUGAAGCCUUGCCAUGACUCCUUCAAUCUCUGCACUUCUUUGCGAUAAUGUAGUAAGGACAUUCAUAAUAACAUCCAACUUGGACUCCAAACUUUUUGUCAUACUAAUGUCUUGGCCUCCGGCCAUUCUAAGAGAAGGACAGAAAUGACUCUACAAGAAGACAAUAUUGGUUUAGAGGAGGGUACUCCGCAACCUCUAAAACACCUUAAAUGCUUCAAAAAAAGGGAUAAUCCACUCUCUCCAAGAAGAAUAAGACUCCAAUAUUGUAACAAAAGAAGUAUCAAUUUAGAAGAGGGUAAUCCGCAAUCUCUAAAACGCUAGUACACCUUCAAGCAGAGGAGUAAUCCACACUCUAACGAGGAAGAAACUAGCUCUGAUAUUUGAGGUGAGUUUAGUCUCGACAAACUGUCACGGAUACAGAAAUUUUCAUGGACACAGAAAUAUAGGCUCGAGAUCUAACAAGAAGUUCAAGAAGAAAUGUCAAGAACUAGAUUAAUCAAAUGAAUAUAAGAACAACACGAGAGACAUGAGCUAGAGCUCCAAGAGAUGUGUUGUCGAGACUGAAGAACUCUUCAGCCUCGAUUCCAAUAUAUACUCCUAUUCAGGAAGCUUUUCAAGCAACUUCUAUCAACUAAGAAGCUUCUCAAGCAACUUCCACUAACUAAGAAGCUUCUCAAGCAACUUCCAUCUACUAGGAAGCUUCUAGAAGGUUCCAAAGAUUUGCUUCUAGAAGAUUCUAGAAACUUGUCUCUGGAAGGUUCUAAAGACUAUGUCCCUAAUAAUGAGCCACUUAAGAUUCUUGCAAAUGUGUUAGGAUUUAUUUCUAUUUUUCAUCAAUAACAUCCAUUAGAAUUAAAGACCAAAUAUUAAUAAUAAUAUGGUACAAAAUAAGAAAAAAAAAUCUAAAAAUUAAUUCUUAGAAUUUCUUUGCAAUAUGAAAAAAUCAAUAGCUAAAAACUUCAUCUCAAGAAUUAUCAUUUAUAAAAUUGUGAUAUAAAAUACUUAGGUAGCCUUAAUUUAGAAUGCAUCAAAAUUUAAAUGAAGAUCUUUACAAGAUAUAUAUAUAUAUAUAUAUAUAUAUAUAUAUAUAUAUAUAUAUAUAUAUAUAUAUAUAUAUUUUAAAAAUAUAGAACAUAUUUAAUACCACAAUCUUGGAAAACACUCUUGAUAAUUAGUAAUACUAUAAGAAGAAAAUAUCAUACUUUAUGGCAUAUAAAUUUUUUUCUUUGAAGAUAGUCAUGAAGACCUCAAUAACAAUUAAAUAAUUGAGUGGUCUUUGUAUCUUAUUAUGAUACAUUAUAAAUAGUUAAAGAAAUCUAUAAAUAACCUUAAUGUAAAAUAAAAAUAAAGUCUUUUAACUAAAAACAUUCAGUGUAUCUUAAUUUUUAUUAACUUAUAAAAUAAUUUAAUUAUUUCUUAUAGAAUUGAUAUCCUAAAAGCAAAGAUAAUAUAAUGGAUGAUCAUAUUAUUUAAAUAAAUAGAAGUAGAUAGAAAUAUGUUAGGUGGAUAAUAUCUUUCUUUAGAAGCUUUUAUGAAGUUUUAUAGAUGUAAAUUAGAUAUUAGACUUUUAUAGAUAAGCCAUGUGAUUAUUCAAAAAGAAUCUAUAUAUUAUUUUCCUUUUAGAAAGUUGUCCUAGAAACAAUUUACAACUUAACACUUGAACUACAAGCUUCACAGUUUGUAAAAAGCUUCCAUAAGACCUCUUUGGUAACUAUAUAUAUAUAUAUAUAUAUAUAUAUAUAUAUAGAUGUAAGAUUAAAGCUAUCCUUAAUUUUUUUAAUAUUUUUCUUAUAUUCUAUUUUUAGUUCAAGAAUUUAUAGAUUUUAUGUAAUAAAUAACUAAAUUAUAUUUCUUUCUAUCUUCUAUCUCAUAUUUAUUCUUGUUUGUCUAUUUUCUAUCUUUAUUAAUACCAGGGUGUAUUAUCUUUACAAAAUUUUGUCUUUAUUUAUAUUUUUAACAUUACAACUAUCAAAAAAUUAUAUAUUUAUUUCUAUUGAUCUUUACAAGAUAUGAUUGAUUUCUUAAAUAUAAGGUAAAAAGACAUAAUGAAAAAAAUUCAAUUCAUCAAUGAAUAAAAUAAUAGUAAUUAUAUCUUUUAUAUAAUUAUAAAUACACUAUUGUAAGACUAUGUAGAAUUAAUAUUUUUUAUUGCUUAAUAUUUUAUUCAUAUUUUUGAAAUUUCAUUUAAUUUAAAAAUUGGAAUCUAUAUUUUAAUAGUCUCUGUAUUGAUUCAUACCUAUAGUAAUAGUUUCAAGAAUUGGUUGUAAUCACCUUUGAAUUUGUAUAAGCUUUGAUUUGAAUUGAAAAGAGAACAUUCUUUAUAUUGAAUGGCUUUAAGUAUUGAACUAAAGACUUUAUUUAUAGAGCCUUGUUGUAUAUGUUGUUGUGAUUAGAUAUAUAUGUAAUUUAACUAAAUGAAAAAUUUUAAUUUUUUAAAAUUUGAUUGCCAUUUUUGUAUUUGUAUAUAUAAAAGAUUUCUUAUUCUUCUAAUUUAUUUUUUAAACAAUGUAAAGAAGUUUUACAAUAUAAUCAUGAUAUAACCUUAAAACUCUUGUCUCCAAUUAUAUGUAGAGAAAUAUUAUAAGUAGUUUUCUUUUUCUUUUAUAAUCUUUAUUAUUAUUAUUAUUACUACUACUACUACUAUUACUACUAUCUAAAGAUCCUUCAUUAUAAAUUUCUUCAACAUUAUCUUCUCAUAAAAUAACCCUAAUAAAUGAGAAAUUACAAUUUAUUCAAUUAACCUUAAAUUACACAUUAAUCUGAUUGAUUAGGUCUUGUUUUUUGGAAUAUAAUACAUGACCUCAAAGUCUCUUUUUGGGAUCUGGAGUGUUUGGGACGUGGAUUGGGAACUUGACGUGAGGGAGGGAGGGAAGGGGAGGUUUAGGGUUUUAGCGACUCGUUGCGUUGUGUUGCAGAAGGGGCUUGAGCUAUGGCGAAGAGGCGGGGAGAGGUCGCUGCUUCGUAUGCCGUCGACGCAAACUCUGGUGUUGGUGAGGCGGCCUUUAGUCGAGGGCCGGCACGCCUCUUGACGGCCGAUGGAGACCGUCACGACGGGCGCCAGCUGCAUGAAUGUCGACUGAAUUUCUUGAAAACGGGAGCGGUGAGUUCAGCAGCAGGGUCGGCGUACGCGGAGAUCGGACAGACGAAGGUGAUCGUCUCAGUCUUCGGGCCUCGGGAGAGCCACAAGGCCGAAGCCUUCAGUGGGAUCGGAAGAUUGAAUUGCAACGUCCAGUAUGCGUCGUUCGCAACCUCGGUUAGGGGAAAAGCGAACCAGGGUGCAGAGGAGAAAGAGUUCCCGGUGCUGCUGCACAAGGCAUUGGAGGGCGCCGUGAUGCUUCACACGUUUCCGAAGACGACUGUGGACAUCUUUGCGCUUAUUCUGCAGUCGGGUGGAGGGGACUUGCCGGCGGUGAUUUCGUGCGCUUCGAUGGCGUUGGCUGAUGCCGGCAUUGCAAUGUACGACCUGGUUUCUGCUGUUUCUACUGGCUACGUGGGCAAGGAGGUGCUCUUGGAUACGACCUUGGAGGAGGAGAAGUGUAGCGAUGGUGAAAUGAUGGUCACGUUUAUGGCGUCCCGGAAUGAGAUCACACAGCUGAAGAUCACUGGACAGUGGCCUGAUGCGACGAUGAGGGAAGCCUUGAGUGUUUCUUUGGAUGCAUGUGCGAAGCUAGCCAAUGUGAUGAGGGAGUGUCUGAAAGAAGAACUAGCUGGCGUGGACGAAGACGAGUAAGAUGUUCGACCGCAUGCGACCAGCUUGAGAAACCAACCAUAUGACUGCCCUGAUUCUCGGCCUCGUUUCGAAUUUCCUCGUCUUUUUGAGUUCUAGACCUGUUUUGGGGUUUGCCCUGCCAGGAGGUCGAUUAGAGAAUUAGCCUGAUGUCGAACGUUCAAAGCUGUCCAAAUGAGUAGAAGAUGAAUCAAUUCCAAAUGCGAAGUAGAGAUGUAGUUUGAAGUAUGUCGUACCGUUUUGUAGGAUGUCCGUAAAGGAGAGCACAAAUAUUUUGUAGAUAGCUUCUCCAUUUAUCCCAGUUAUAACUGUGCUGUGGACAAUGGCACCACAAUUACCACAGACCAGUGUAAACUGCAUGGCCCCCUUGAGACCUUGAAUUGUAUCAGUACUUCUUUGCACGAGAAAGAAAGAUGUUGCUUUUCCUGAUUAAUGGGCGCUUACAUUAAUUUUUGUGAACUUGAGGAGUCUGAAUUACUGCGCAGUAGUGGGAAUCACUUUUUACGAUUGCGUUCAGUUUUGAUAAUUGCUAUUGUUCUUCCAGAUUCACUGCUUUUCAUGAAUAUGAUUGUUCUCUUAAAUCUCAUCUUAGAGUAUGCGCCGAUUGUUAUACGUGUGAUUCAACCUAUCAAUAGAACGGCAACACAGGUAAGCAAUAUUGCCAGCGGAAGAGACACAUGCAACUAACUGGAAAGUGUUGGACAUGUGAUGGGGUAUUUCAUGAAAUAGUAUACAACUUUUCAUCACUUUCAGCAGUAGUGGACAGGUAACAAACAUUAUUUUGCAGUUUGAUUCGGUGGUGUGUAUGAUGUCUAUUUAAGAUGUGUACAAGAACAAGUGUCUGCACAAGCAAUGUGAAAACGGUUGGUUUUUCUGAUUUCGUAAUUUAAUGGACAGGACUAUUCUGCAGUUGCAAAUUUCUAAUUAAUCACUUGCAUUUUCAUUAGUCGUAUGUACUUUGCAUAUGACAACAAUAGUGAAGGUUAAAAAUUUAAUUUCAUGGGAGAGCAAGUCAUUUCGACUAUCAGAAUAAUAUUCUGAAACACUCUCCGAAAAACUCAUUCGAGAACGUUAAUUACGUAAUACGUAACUACGAUGACUUAUACCUUCAGAAUGACAUCAUGCACUCAAUUUUGUACAUGGAACUAGAAUAGUAGAUAUCACAGAAAAUCCUUGUGUUCAAUAAGCGCACUUUAGUAGAGUCGUAUGCUCCUGCCAUCAAAUGCAACACGUAUGAAGCAUUUCAGCCGCAUGGAGCGGCAGUUCGGCAGUUGCGUUGCCGUUCAGUGAAGCUCAGCUGCUACCAUUCUGCACCUCAGUUGCCGUACUUUGGAGCGACGAGUCUGAGAUCUGCCCCGCGAUGGGCUCCUCUUGCACUUCCUCUUUCAAAAGAGACUUUCUCUCCGAACGAAGUCUAUGACGCAGCGACGAACCGCACAUCAUUUUCGACGAUUCGGUUCGAGAUAUAGUUUUAUUAGGCACUGGAGCAUGAGACCUGUAAAAAGAAAACAAAAUUUAAGUUCAUUAUUUGUACUCCAUUUACGAACUCUCCGCAAGACUUAAGUGCUGGGGCUAAUUUCGAUUCGAGAAGUGAUUCAGACCUACACUACAUCCAUAAUUUCCAGAACAAAUUUCGCAAAUCCGUGAGUAGAAAUCAUCAACAACGUUGUUCUACAUGACACUAAAUUGAAUCGGAACAAAUAAGUCGGCCUUGUAUAAUGGUAACAGUCUCAAUAAAUUAUGAUCCGUAACAUAAUGAACUACGCAUGUUUCAGCUUAUGAUUAUCCUUGGCGAGGUUCACAAUCAGGUUCAAAACUGAUGUCGAGAGAGAAGAUUAGUUCGAUAAACUACUAUUAUAAAUAAUAAAAAUUGUGCGUCGGUAUGACGAUGUAGUCACUCCAAUACAACCAUUUUAACUGAAUUUUAAUAGCCGAUGUGGUACUCCACUACUUGCUACGGGAUGUGUGAGUGCAAGGCUCUUACUGGCGCAAGCUCUCCACAAUGUACGAGGCAUACAAAUCCCUGCACGCAACAACCAUGAUAAUAAGUACCACACCAAAUCAAGAGAUAGCCUAAGCUACUCAACGAUAAACAGAUUAAGAUAUCCCUCAGCUUGGAUGAGACACUCCACUUCGUAAGUGAUUUGGACAAGAAGCGUAAAUUAGAAUAAUUCCAAGUAAAAAAGGGAACGGCAAAGUUGAGUUGAUUACAUCGAGUGGCCGAUAGCGGCAAUAGCAGCCUCAUGACCCAGGAAUUCGUCAACAGCAACUGACUUGUUCUCAUUUUUCUUGUCUGUCGAAAAACGAAGUGCCAGUGAAAAAGAUAUCGUACCCGCUUUAGCAAGAACUAAAUCAGACGCACAGCAGGGAAUAUCAAAGCAUAUCAAUAUAUAAAAAACAGAAUGCUUCACAUAUCUCGGUCCAAAGUUAGGACAUGAAAGACUUACAGUCCUCAAAAAACCGACGAAUUUCUGCAAGACGGUGAGGUGGAAGCUCCUUGAUGUCCUUAAAGUCUCUGUACUCGGGAUCAUCAGCACAGACAGCGAUGAUCUUAUCAUCUUUCUCACCUUGGUCAAUCAUGGGCAUAAGGCCGAUAGCGCGAGCGCGAAGGAAGCAUCCAGGGAGAACAGGUUCCUGCAUGAUGACAAGGACAUCGAUGGGAUCCUCAUCUUCACAGAGCGUGCGGGGGAUGAAACCAUAGUUGUGGGGAUACACAACCGAUGAGUACAGGAUACGGUCAACCUUGAUCAGACCACUCUUCUUGUCAAGCUCGUACUUGACUUUGCUCCCCUUUCCGAUUUCAAUAACCUGUAAAUGCAUGCAAACCGCGCUCAGAAAUUCAUCACAAAAAGAAUCUGGACUUUGAAAUGUAUUCUAAAACUUACAUGAACCAAAUCUCAGUCUAAGUGCAUGAUGAAGUUUUGAAACUUCCUUUUGGUACGCAUUUACUCAGUGCGAUCUGCAGAAUCAAGGGAGUACUUACACAGACACACACAUACAUGUAAAUCGUUCUUUCAGGGAGAACACUGCUUCGGAUAGUUUAACGUCACUUACACAGUUGAAAAUGGCAGGUGCCUGAGGACCUGAACCGAAAAAAACCAAAAAAAAAAAAUUAAUAAAUAUGAACGAUAGGCACUGUUGGAGAUUGAUAAAAAUCUUCAGAAGGGAAAAAUAAUAAUAAUAAAUAAAUAAAAAUAAAAAAUUUAACUGAAUGAAGAUCGUCUACAGUGGAUAGGCCAACAAAAGGUAACCUUACCGAUUUCCAGAUCGUGCCACGGGUGGGCAGCCACAGUGCGACGUUCCAUACCGGAAAGAAUGCGGGAGUUAAGCGGUAAGACUUUGUGAGCCGGCUCCUUAGCUGGAGCACCCGCAUAAGACGUCAUACUUCUUAAUGAUGAAAUGAGAAAUAUGAACGUCUUUACGCAAGGAAUAACAAUAAGCCUUCAAAUUUGAAGAAAACAAGCGAUAGCAAGACGUCACAAAAAGUCUAGUAUUUAAAACCAACAAAAUGACACACUCAACGCAAGGAGAUGUCCUCGAAAUUGAAGUUUCAGACUAAACAAAUUUACGCCAUGCAUCACAUCUGAGUGCUAUUCAAACAACUGCUAAGAGAACUGUGACUAAGCGCUGAGAAUGCGUGGGAAUGCUCCAACGAAGCAAAAUCUUGGUAAUGCAACAGGAGAAGCGCAUGCUAGUCGUGAUGCGCUAAAACUAAGAGUGCUAAGAACGCACGAGAAUGGCUAAUAAGCGUGCCGAUCCAACACGCUCACAUCGUUCACGUAUCGGAUGAGUGGUUAACCACUCAAUAAACCCUCAAGAUGCCCGAAAUUCCAACAUGGCUUGAAACAAAGUAAGAACGCAGCAUCCAAUGAUAAAGCGGAGGAAUUAAUAUCAGCUCUGAAAGCUCUGUAAGGCCUAACUACAAAACUCGCAUGGUCCAUUGGGAGGAAACUUAGUAGUACCUACAUCUCAGAAUAAAAUAUGACUUAGACGACCAACAAGUCUCGCCCUGGGAAGGGCUUGAUUAACAAUGAGAAUAAUCUCAGACCUGCAAGGUGCUUCAGAUUUCAAUACGAGGCUUAAUGUAGCCCAACUUCAAAAUUGCUACGAACACAUCGGCAUUCACAAAAACCUUGACUAGUAUUCAAUUUCCAAGACUAUGGAAUGAUCAGCUUUCUGUCUUAGAGUAAUAAAUGUGGAGGAAUCUCCCCACCUAAAACACGUCGAGAAACGAUCAAGGACACAAAUACUCCAAUCAGAGAUAAUUUCCGUGAUUUCACAACCUCUGAAAAACACAAUCGAACGAAAAAAUAAAACCAAAAGAGGGGGAAACACAAAACGAUCUUAAGCUAGCUUACUACAGACACUCAACAGUCAAUUCUUCGAAACAGAAAGCUAAAUGCACUCGAAGACUCACGUCGUCAGAUGCAAAAAACCCUUCCGCUCAGAAAUUAUGCUCAAGAACCAACAAACGCUCAUCAUCAAGCGCCACCCAACUCCACACGCACACCCACACAACACCUAGAUCUCAACAUAGCUCACAUUCCAUUCCCAGAUCCAUCCACUCACCUGGCCAAGAGUUGCCCCGUCGUGGGCACCCUCCCAAUCAAAUGCAAAAAGACCCAACAAAAGAAAAUAAACGACCGCUCACACGCCGGCAGUUACUCCAGAAAUCUUGUGCUCAACAGACCCACGAAGAAGGGAAAAAGCUUGUAGUGAGCCACAGAGGAACACAAGAAGACACAAGCCUGCAACUGAAGGAUGGCAGCGGCGAGGCUUAUAGUGCUUCCCUUUCCGCGCAAAAUCAGCGUGUGUCCGCCGAGAAAACGAGUCCCCUCGCGUCGCAGCAGCACGAGCCAGCAGCAGCAGCCAGCCGCUGCUGCUGCUGCAACCGCGUCGCGCCAUCACGCUUCCGCUAGCACGAGGCACAUCAUGUGGCCGACAGGAUUCGAACCCAAAAUCGAUUAACUUCGGUCCCCUCUCUGAUCGGGAUUGGGGAACGUGCAUGAAGUGUUCCAUCCCCACCGCGUUCCAUUCCCACCGUCGAUCUGGCGGCGCGCAGAUCGACCGCGCUCUCGUCAUGUGCACAUCUCGAACCUCGAUUGUCCUCGGAAUAUCCUUCGUAUAAUAGUGUAUACAUAUUACACCCAUUUGGGAUUCGUAUGAUAAGUCUUGUAUUAUACUUAUAUCCCAUAAGCAUGUUUCUGCAGCGCAAAAAUUGAUGGUUGUCAGUUAUUCUACGGUAUGUGCAAAUUUCGUUUAUGUUCUUUUUUUUGUUUCCUUUCUGUUUUUUUUCCAACUCCAAUCCGCUACAAGUGUCUGUUUGUGAAGAUUGAACAACUGAAUAGUUUUUUUACACGUAUUUUGCGUGUAGGAUUUAGAAUACGUAGGAUGUAUGCGAUGAGUGUGAGAGUGUGACUGGGUUGCUGAAUAUGGCAAAUAGUUUCGUUACUGAAAAGUCAAACAAGUGGGAUGUUGCUAUUUCCAGACAAAAAGUGUGGGAGUGUUUCUGAAUUUAUUAUCAUACAAUUCUUUUAACUUUCUAAUUCUAUUGCGGGUAAAGUAUUUUUCAUAUCAUUUUGGUGCUUUGAGAUUUGGGUGCAUCGUAGCUUGUGAUUUUUUCAUAAUGAACUCAUAAAGCACUUCGGUGAGCUACAUUAGUACUUUGCACGCUUCCCAUUUAUUGAUGCAAAUGAAAUCUCCACGUGUGAAAGAAUGGUUUCAAUCUCAAAGCAAUCUCAUUGUUCCCAUCCAUAUGAUGCAGACUUUUGAAAGACUUAUCUUCAAAAGACCAAUGCAUAAGUUUCUGCAAGAUACUUGAAAGUGGGAUGAGAGAAAGAGAAAAUUUAUUCAAGUAAAUUGAAGACAAGAAAGGUGGGAUUAAUAGUUGUAUCUAAACUCUCAACGCUUGUGUGCUUUGAUGUGGGUUUUGUCUUUUGGAUUGGAGGAGUACAGGUUAACAGAGUAUUUACCUGCUCUAACAAUAAAUAAAUAAAUAAAAAGCAUGCUUCAAAUAAUAUGGAGUUUAUGCUAUAAAUAAUUGAAAGAGAGAUUCAAUGACUUAAUUCUACAAUUAUUCUUAACUUUAAGUUCUAACAGAUUAGUCCCUUGCCUUUUUUAUUAAAUACUUAUUUGGGUGCUCAUAGUUUCAAACGUUUUGGGAGAACUUUAAGAAAUGCAUGGAUGCUGCUAUCAAUGUCAGAAAGGUCAAAAUGGUUUUAAUUUGGACCUUACUAAUUGAAAUGCUCAAUUUGAAGUUUAGACCUUGAAAACAACACACACAAAUAUAUAUAUAUAUAUAUAUAUAUAUAUUCAAUAUUCUUUUUAGAACAUAGUUUUACCAAUUUGUGAAUUAAAGCCUUUAAAUACUUUUGGCACAACCAAUAGCUGAAGCAACAUAAACUAUGAACAUUUUUAUUUUUAUUUAUUUAUAGAUCCAGUUUUCAAAUAAUAGAUGUAAAAAUAUCACAAAAAUCAAAUAUUUUUUGAAGCAAAAAGGAGGUUCAAUCGUUACUCUAAGGUGUUUUCCAUUAAAACUAUGAUGAUUGUAAAGAAUUUAAAAGAUGCUGAAAAGAACAAAGAAUUUUUUAUUCAUUUUUUCUUCAAUUUUUCAGAAUAUAUUGAUGUCAUUCAAAUGCUUGAUAUUUUCUAAAACAAAUACUUAUAAACCUAUAAUUCAUGAAAUAAAAAAAUUUUUAUAUGUGUGAUUUUGGUUCUAUUUUGAUUGACAUCUAAAAAUGCAAUGCAUAAAUCUUUCAAAUAAAUGCUAUACAUAUAUAUAGGGGAAUGAUAAAGCAACUUAAUUUUUUACUUAAGCAACCUACUCCAUCUUAAGCAUCAUUGCACCCUUGGAGCCUCCAUCCUUACUCCCCACCAUUCCUUGUUUCCAACCAUUGCUAGAGAUAAGGGAGGGGAGUUAGGAAUGGUGAGAAUAGAGGUGACGGUUGGGAACAAGAGAAUGGCUGGGAAUGGGGCAUGUGGGUUGAUUUAGUACAACUUUGGGUCACAUUAUCAUUUCAAUAUAUAUAUAUAUAUAUAUAUAUAUAUACUUUAAAUUUUUUAAUAAUGAUAUGUAUCAAUUAGAUUUUGCAUCAAUAUUUCAAACCAAGAUUUAAUCUAAAAAAACACACUGCUAAAUCAAAAAUAUUGAAGUGGUUGGAAAAUACUCAAAGCUCAAUACCAAAGUUGAUAUUUUAAUUUUCAUAAUAUCUAAUGUGUAUUCAAACAUAUAUAUAUAUAUAUAUAUAGAGUUAUCCAUAAAAAACUAUGGUACAUUUUUAAAAUAAAUUUUAAAAUAAUUCAUAACAUAACCUUUGUCAUAAUUUGUAUAUUAUAUUUUUUUGAACACACAAUUUUAAAACAUUGAUAUAUAUAUAUAUAUAUAUAUAUAUAUAUAAACUAGUAUUCAUCUAUGUUUUUAACACAAAUUAGAAUGUUAUAUUCAGUUGGUACAUCACUUGAUCCUAAAUAUGAAUAUCCUUACUAAUGUCAUUACCCUAUUACUUACAAAUCUUCACAAUCCCAUGGCUGAUUAAUAUAUACUUCAAUUAAUACACAUCUUAUUUAAAAUAUCCUAUGAACUCCAACUAGGUUGGAAUACUCUUCCUUCUUUUAAUUGACUUUGCCUCGAGGUGUCCAUGCUUUUCACAAGGCACACUAUUUUGGAGAUUUUUUAAGCAUUAUAAUGGUGAUCUAUGUAAGUAAAGAGACAAAUUAAUAAUUAUUACAAUACUAUAUGAAAAAUUUAGAAUCAUUUCAUCCUUAUCAUAGUACAUUAAAACAAUGUUUGAGGUAGCAUUUUUCUUUUUGUCUCUUAAAGUAUUAUCCAUGUUGUCUUAUGACCUUCUCAAAGUUUUAAUCCCUUAUUUCUUAGUCUUAUCAUAAUUUAUAAAAGUAAAGGUUUAAUCUUCAUGUAUUUUAUUUUAAUAAUUAUCAUUAUUUAGUUAUUUAUCUAUGUUAGUUUGGAAGUUUUACAGUUACGCACUUGAAAAUAAAUAAUACAUAUAGUUGUUUUGCUAAAGCUUUUCAAAUCUUAAAUAACUUUAUGAGAUUUAUUUUCCCUCAUUAUUGUAGUGACUUUUCUUUUGAAGAAGAUCAUUAAUAUUCUAAUGUUGAAUAAAUAAUCUUUUAUUUAUCUAAAUUAUUAAUUAGAAACCAUUUUAAAAAGCUAAAAUUGUACUUAAAUAAACAAGUACAUAUAAUUAUAUAUGUAAUAUUUAAAAAUUUUAACUACAUAAAUUACAAAAAAUGGUUAUAUAUAUAUAUAUAUAUAAGGUAUUGCCAAGGCCACUAUAAUUUUUGCUACAAUCUACCAUCUACCGCAUGUGACCAUAAUGUUUGCUAUUGCUACUACAAUCCACUACUCAUUCAAUUUAUUCCUUUAUUUUUUAAAAUUUUAAUAAAAAAUAUUUUUAACAUUUUUAAUAUAUUUAUUUUUAUAAAAAUUUAUAGAAUAUACAUUGGAUUUCAAUAAAAAUAAAAAUAAAUAAAAUAAUGACAUGUGGUGGAUGGCAAAUUGUGGUGGAUUGUAUCUUAUAUAUAUAUAUAUAUAUAUAUACAUCUAUAUAUAUAUACAUACAUAUAUAUAUACAUACAUAUAUAUACAUACAUAUAUAUAUACAUAUAUAUAUAUAUAUAUAUAUAUAUCUUUUUUAUUUUUAUUUUUGUCCAAGAUAUUUAAACAUUACUGCUAGGGAGAUUCUUCAUAAUGUAAUACAAAACUAUUGUAUAAUUUUUUAUUAAUACUUUAUUUAAAAAAACAAGAAUAUUAUUUACAUUGAGACUAGUUUUUUUAUUUUGUAUUAAAUUUAGAUAUUUUUUAUUUCAAAAUAUAAUAUUAUUUUAUUUAUUUGAUUCUAUUUAAAAUGACUAACAGCAUAUAUUUAUAUAUACACAUAUACAUAUAUAACAUUUUAGAAAUGUGUUAAGGCUAGUGAUGCUUAUAUUAUUUGUAUUUGAAACUAAUCAUUGUUAGAUUUAAAAGAAGAAAAAUAAAUAAAACAGAAAAAAGAAAAUAAAAAGAGCACUACUUUUUUAUUUUUUAUUUUUUUUGUUAGUCAAAAUUAGAUCCAAGUUGCUGGAGAAUUUGUGUGGAAUGCUGGAAAUAAAUAGUUUCAAAGCCUGAUAUUAAAAUUUGAUAAAAUCCAUACUUAUUGCAAUAAUAAGUUGUUUGUGCUGCAUUUUAUUUUAUUUUUUUAUAAUAAAUUGAAAAAGUAAGAUUUAUUAUGUGUUGUCUAUAUUAAUGUAAACAUUAUAUAGAUACAACUCAGUGUUUUCAGAUUGUUUUCAAUUUCUAGUAUAAAACAGGUACAACUUCUAAUAAGCUUUUAAAAAAAAUGCCAAUCCAAAUUUAGUAUCACUUAUUUCAAAAUUUGAAAUUUAGCAUACUAUAUCUAUCUUUAGUAUUCCUGUGUCUCAUGUAUUUUUUGAGCAAUCCAUCCAUUGAAUAUCAAAAUAAAAUGAAGGUGUAAAAUCUGCAUUAGUGGUCUUUCUUGAAUAGUGGGCACAGAAAAUGCAAGGAUGCAAGUGGUUGUGUGGACUAAUUGGUGAAACUGCUCAUGAGACAUGGUCUCUCUGCUUCCUCUGAGAAAGACCUUGUCAGGAUAGGUACACACAAGUUCAACUAUUUUUUUUCAGCCUAGAUAACUUGGUUUGCACCUCCUACUGAGCUCACUCUCUUUGCCGAAAUGUACAAGAAAAAGAUUAAAAGGGUUGUGGUCAAUGGGAAUAAUCAGUGAUUCUUCAAACUGCAGCUUGUAACAUCUUUCAACAAGAACGUUGGAGCCUUGCAUAAUGGGUUACUCCAACUUAGGAUGAAAACAAGAGAAGAGUUGCAAACCAUUGAAUUUACCAUUCCAGGUCUUUCAUAUAAAGAGUUCAUGUUUUCCAGUGAAAGUAGCACACAUUUCUGUACCGUUCACAAUUUGAUACAAUUGAGAGAUCUGCCUACAAGAGAUAGCAAACUAGAGUUUCAUGGUACUGCCCAAACUCCAUUACAGUAAAUGGAGUUGUGGGCCAAAGAAGGUAAUUAUGGUAAGAAAUAAAAAGAUAGAUUGACUCAAUUUCGAAAGCAGGUAUGACUACAGUGACAAAUCAUCUCACUUGAAUAGUUUGCCUGAAUUCUCACAUACAUAUAGUGAAAGAUGGACAGAACGAGGAGAUCAAAAUAUUGUAAGUCGUACAAACUUGAGACCCUAUAACACAACUUAGCAUAGGUCACUACUUGGAGAGACUACCACGAUUGCCUCAAGAGAAGCUAGAACAAAACUAAACUGUGUCGAAAAAGCUUCGAUAAUGAGGCAAUCCUUCCCGGACGGACAACCCUGGAAAGACAUGGUUAUCACAACCACCAUGUCGUGAAGAAUAGAAUGGUUAAAGAAUAUCGAAACGCGAACACAAAAUUUGUGCAGCUUCUUCACUUAAUAGGUGAAGAUUUCGGGGUAGCGGGUGAUACCUCCCCAAUCAAACUGGUUUCUCCGCCCUCCAGGUCUACGAUCUGAGCCUCUUGGUCCAUUUUAAUAAACAGCGGCAUGGCGAGCACCAAGAGCGUUGUCCCCGCAACCCAGGCCGCCUUGCUCGUGCUCCACAGCAUGUUUUGGCUGACCUGCACCGUGUUGGUGGCGACCUUGCGUGCCUUCUCAAUGUACCCCAACCCGGAGGACAGAUUGAAGCUCACCGCUCUUCCCCACUUCUUCUCAUUCCCACUGUCGGCCGCGAUGGCCGCCAUUGCAACGUGGAGCUCUCAAAUCUCGCCCAGUUCUCAAAGACUCCAACAGACAGUGGCGAAUUGCAGCUCCUGGCGGGGUUCGUUCUCAGUGGACUUUGCACCUGUGAGAGUGCUGAAUAACUCGUUGGAAUCAGCACCAAAUGGAGAAGGAAGGGGAGACGAUGAGCCCAAUCGGUCGGAGGAGAGAAUCAUCGGCAGUAUGCUGCAGCAUCGCAAUAAGGGAGGGCCCUUGCUGGGCCCCGACGACGGCCUUGGAUCGGGCGUCGUUUCCCAUGCGCUUCCUGCCGACCUGGACAUCCACUUCACCAUUGGUGAAAUAACAUAAACUAUUCAUUGAAAAUUAUAUGACUUAUUCUUUAAACCCACACACUCACAUCAAAAAUAUCUCACGUUCUCUUCCUCGUUACAUUUUAACCUCAAUUAAACUAAUCAUAACAGAUACAAAUGGUAAAGAACCUAGAAAACUCAAGUUUUUUUUGUUAGAUCUUUCACCAUCCUUUGUGCCUAAAAGACAACAAUCAUGUUGCUUAUAUAUAUUCCUUCCAUGUGAAGGUCAGAUUUGUCCAUUCCUUGCUAUUUAAUCUGCAUCCUUUUUAAGUGCUCAGCAUGCAACUUCCACCACAAGGAUGUCCAAAACUAGAAAUUUGUGAACCUAAUUCUAGUAGUUUCGUUUGUUUGGGACCAUACGCAUCUGUGUCCAUGUAUUAAUAGUAUAUUGUGAAGUUACUACAGUGAAAGGAAACCAUUGCAGUAUUAUCUGCCAUGUUUAAUCAUUUGAUGUCUUAUUCUUCAUUUAGAGGUUGAAAUGAGCUCAUGUCCGUCCAUAUUUUAGACAUCGAUUGAACAGAUCAGACCAACAACACUAUAUAAAUAGGAAUAUGGGAAUAAACUUGCAGCCCAACUAAGCAAUUUUUUCCAAAAGCACCUUAUUAUUUGACUUGCUAGUUACAUAUGCUAUGCAACAUGCUUUCUCCAGCGUUGCUCUGUCAUGAAGGACUUGGCCCUUGCAAGUGGAUACAACUAGGUUCAACAUUUGUCCUGAGAUUUCAAAAAAAUUUAGAGCCUUCAUCCUGUGAUGUUGGCCUGUUGCCAAGCUUCAGCAGUAGUCAUCAGUUAACUUCGCGUCUCCUCUCGAGCAUGAACCAAAUUUCCAGAUGCCCGCCAAGUUCAAUAAUGGUUUCCUAUUACACCUAUUAUUGAUCAUAGCGAAAAGCAUAUUCUAGGCAGGUGUACUCUGGCAUAUUAUUUUCAGACCACGACAAAGUAAAUUGAACAAUGAACAAGAGUGAUGUAUUGUAAUAAAAAAAUUGUACAAUACUUGAACUCUACAAAAUGGGACGGAAUCAUUUCAAGCUAUAUGAUACAUUCUGAAUGACCAGUUGCUCAUAAAAAACUUGAGUGCCAACCUUACUAUAAGCUACUUAUAAAACAACUAAAACUCGUAGAAUUUCUAAGGGAUGCAGGCUACUGGCUCUUGGAACUAUACCGGUGGGUGUCAUAUCUUACGCACACAUCAGCUGCCGUUUUCAUCUGUCAUUUAGUGGAAACAUUUUAAAGUUAUAUGCGUCUUGUUAGAAACUUAAAUAUCAAUCAUAAUGUCUACGAACAUCUGCACGAACUACAAAGACUGAUUUAGAGUAUAGAGGCAUUGUCAUGUGACAAUAUUUCUCGACUAAGACCUCGUAAAUUGACUACGCACCCGCAGAAAAAUCAACAGUACUAACAUGACCACAACAAACAGCACUAAUAAUACAUUGAAUGUACCUGGACAAGAUUCACAAGUUGUUUAAUCGCACAGCCAGGGAGCGCAAUCACUAGUACAAUACCGUAGACUGUCCUCUCAGCAACAGCAUGUCUUGCAACCUGCGAGAUAAGACCGAAAUCCUAGAUGCAUUAAUAAAUCUGUUUUUCCUUUGUUGGGGACUAACGCUAUUCCAGAAGGGAUAACAUUUGCAAAGAAUCAAACGGGAGAGAACCAAGAGAGAAAAGCACCUCGUAAGGGCUUCCGAUGUUCCCGUCAGCGGCGAGCAUGUAGAGAAGUAUAUAAGCAAUCUGAUCCGCGAACACAAAACUAUGAUAAGUCUUGUUUCGUUUCAAAUUUAUUACAACACAUUGAAGUGACGAGAUGGUUUAGUUUAAUUGCCAUUCGUCAGAAUUAGAUGAUAAAAGACAUAUAAUUUCGUCCACUACAUUCGCACCUCAGCCCCAAUGGCGCAGUAUCCCAUGAAGUAGCGAUGCUGGUAGUACAGACGAAGAAGAGUGCUCUUGCUGUCACCCAUGUCCUUAUGACUUGCCUUGCUCGACAAGUGAGUGCUGCAAAAAAGACAACAAUAAUAAUACACAACUCUUAAACGUAAAUUUCUCGUGCAUGCCUAGUUUAAAAUCACGAUCUUUGUGGCGAAAUUAAAAAUAUUUAGACUCGCAUGAGAGCAGACCUAAACAUCUGUAACCAAUGGCUGGAAAUGUCCAAAGCGAGAAGUCCAAGGAACAGUCCGUAAUGGGACCUGAUCAGGCAUAAAACCAGAACAAACAAGCCUCAGCAAGUAAAGAACCACAUUGUUAUCAAUAGUAUACGUGAUACAUUUCUCAAGCAAGAGAGGUAGCAAUAGUUAACACUUAAAAUUAAAUAAAAUGAGUCUGAACGUAUUGCUUAAGGGUACAGUAACAAAGCAAACUUACUUGUAGAAGUGGGUCAGAAGUACCAAGAGUGCAGCAGUACUAACCCUAAACCAAUAUCAAAUAAGGAUCAAGAAGGUCAGCAGAUUCUUUUUUCGAAUAUCUCACCAAGAUUAUAGCAUUCUGCAGGAACCUAUCAACUGAAUAACUCGGCUGAAGAACAAACUCGUGUAUACCAAUCAGAAACAGGAAACGACCCAGACGUGAAAAUUGGAAUACAGGAAAAAAACAAAGCAAACUCCAUAAAAAGGAUAGCAAAACCACUAGGAAAGUUUAUUACCUGUCAGUCACCAUGUCUAAAACUGCUCCAAAAGUUGAUUCUGUUAAAAGGCACACAUACGAGUCUCAGAAACAUGAGCACCAAUGAAAUUACAUCCUUAGUCCCUUGCGCCUGACGGAGAUGCCCUUGAAGUAAAGAAACGGGCCAAACUAAUUUGUCUAGACGGUGCCCAAAAAGGAAAGUCAUUCAAACUAUGUAGGCAGCAAAAAAAGAUCUGCAGCAGCCAAAAGAAUUCUUGGUAGCAUUAGAAAAUAUCUGCUGUUUGAGACGUUGAGCUAGAGAGUGCAUACUCUGGUUAAACAUGCGAGCAAAGCGACCAUCAAGUUCAUCGCAUACAAAGCUGCAAAAAUAUAUCAACCAAACACGUACCAAACACUAUUAGGAAGACUACUAUAGGUGAUUCUGCAGGUCAGAAAUGUCCAGGUCUAGUAUCCGGAACACCUGCAGGGACUUUAGACCUUCGACAAGCUCCAACUACCCCCUCCCUUACUAAGAUGAAUAUUUGAAGUGUACUUGUGAUUCUUAUUUCGACAGUUCUAUUAUAUCUUUCAUAGAAGAAAAUUCGUAAGAUCGAGGUAGAGGUCUUUAAAACUAGACUCAUAAGCCAGAAACUGAAAGACACAUGUUGUCGUUUGACUAUACCUUGCAAAGUAGAGAAUAGCAAACAGUUUUUUGUUUGUAAAGGCAACUCCAAAAGCUGCGACAUUGGCGAUAAUCCUGGCAUAUCCUGUUAAAAAAUGCCAUGUCCAUUAUUGAUGGACACCAAAUAAACUCAACUAGCAAAAACAGCAGUGUUUGAAUUGAUGGAACCCAAUAAUCAAUCUUGCACCUGGAACGUUUUCACAGGAUGCAUGGAUCUGCUUACCAAUAAUGUUAGGAAUGUAAAGAUAAAUGGGCCAGUUCCUCUGUUUGGGGGAGUCCUCGAUAGUUGAGUCCUCCAUUGUUUAAUAUAAGUUUCACACAGAGAAGAACUUAUAUGCAAUGAACUCCAGUCAAUCCUCCAAAACUCCCAGACAGGAAUUGAAUAUUUAUAUUUGACGAACCUGUACCGAACACAACAACGAAAAAAUCCGUGACGAGGAAAAAAUUGUCAAUCACAUUACAAUGAUUACUGAAGCUGGAAUAAUGAUGGUGCCACUUAAAUCCUUAAGAAUCCAUAAGUCAUUGAUUCUAUUCAGGUUGUCGACCAUGCUUAGAACGCUUAAGCGUAUCAAUCAAUACAAGAAUGUGCAAGAUGGGGGUUUGAUAACCUUGAAAAUCGCACAGCGAAAUUAUAUAUUUCUAAAUGUAAGGAAGACCCACAGGCUCCAAGAAGCAAUCACAAGAUCACUGGACCUAAGGAUUUCACAAUCCCUAAUUUUCUUGAACAGAACAAUACCUUCAAUCACCCCCUGUAUAUGAACUAUCAGCUUAAGACUCAAGUGAAUGAAAAAGUACAUUCUACAUCAACAUGAAUAUCCCAAACCCUAGAUAGCUACAAAUCAUCAAUUAACAGCGCAAAAAUGCAUGAGAUCGAUAAUACCAAAUUUUCACUUGAAAAUUAACAAUAGUCAUAAACAUGGACUAUCAUUGCUAGAAAUCAACGAGUAUGAUCAAAAGGAGAAGUCCACCUGCACGUACAAAAUAGGAUACAGCAAAAAUGUUCCCUACAUAAUCCAAGUCAAAUGUGUAAUCUACAAUUCAUUUCGGUUUGACAAAACCAUAGAUCUGAGUCUCUUCCCCUGACACACAUUCAACUUUCCAGCUAAGACUCAAAAAAGCACACCACCACCACCACCAGGACCUACUCCAGCAUCGCCCGCACAGAAGCAAAAGUCAAAUCAACCACACUCACGGUGAUCGGGUACAGCACGAAGCAAAACAUCACAAUGCCAACUAGCAUAACCGAGCACUCCGCGAAACCACUCGUAAACCUCCAGAAAAAAAUAAAAAAUACAAAGAAUGCUAAAAAAAAAUGAAGACAAAUAUUAAAAUAAAAUCAUGGGCCGUUGUAUGAAAUCCAUACGUACACGAAUGAGUAGAAUUCAAACUCACCUACCACGGAGAAGUUCAUAACACCUAUCUUUCCUUGUCUCUCUCUGUUGCACGCUCACAAACCACGGUCGGGGCACAACUCAUCAAACAAACAAACAGAAGCUGACCAAGUAAAGACGAAAGGGGUCGCGCAAAUCCUCGGAGAAAGGAACCUCGUCCAAUGUCAGGGACCGAUGCGCCAGCUGAGCGUCGACCUAUCCGGUCUAUACCCGCUUCGAAAGGAUUAAUAUACCUGCCUACAUACCCGUUCAGGGUGAGCUCAGUGGUAUGACACCGGACCUCAAUAUUCGACUUCGAGAUACUCCCAGUUAUGAUCAGAUUGAAGAAUUCAUUGAUACAGUUUUUUGUGCCCUUGCGUUGAACACUCGGUCGAUGGGGUGCACAGGUCGUCUCGCAUCGGCUACGGAAAAGCUUUGAAGAAGCGGUAUCAGGAUCUGUCUGUUCUGCUUUGAUUGGUUCGGAGCCAUGAUUUCGUUUUUGUCACUGGCAGCAAGCGUGUCGCAGAGGUUCGAUGUUCACGGAAUCCCCCCGCCCCCCGCAGAUACUUCGAUCAGGAUGUGAUUAGAUAUCUGCUGAGAAUCAGAAUGCUCUUUUUCGUUCCUUCCUUGUUUGACACUUUCGUCGACGUCGUCGACGCUGUAAGUUGCAUGCAAGAGGGGCAAAUUAGGAGGGUGGAUGUGCAAAAGUGGUAAUGACUUUUUCUCCUCGAAAAUAUCUCCACGAAGGUGCAGAAACGAGCGGUUCCCUUCGGAGAUCGACAAUGGAGUUCGGGUACUGUUUAGUUUAAGCGGUGGAGAAAGAACUAGUUCAGGAUCUCCUUCAAGACCUCGAUUACCCCAAAUUUACCCUAAAUUAUGUCCAAUGCGAUGAGAAUGGAAUCCUCCAGGAUCAAUGAAGAACUUCACUGCCCGAGUUCUGUGUCUGAACUAUUUUCAACCGUCAUUUUGCAUAUGCUCAAAUCCUAUUCACUAAUCCAUCCGAUGUUCAUGUCUUACGUCGCUUGCUUUUAUCUCAAGAAGAGUGGCUAUAUCACACCAUGUCGUUUUGAUGCCGAAUGAUCGUCUCAAAAAUAAUUGCACAGGCUGUUUGAAACGCGGUUAUUUAGCUCGCAACAGAAAAAGACUUGCUCGCACUAUGCUCCAUGAGGUACCAUCCACUUCGAACAAGUUUCUAUCAAGAAAAAAACGGAACUAAGAAAAUAAGUGUGGAGUGUAAUGAUAGUAGACACGUUGCUUCACAUCAAGAAUCGGCUUCGAGUCACAGAAAAAUAUAAAUACAAAUAGAUUUCUGUUAAGUGAGUAAUUUUAAUUACAGAUACACACAUGUUUCUAAACGUAGAAGAGUAAUAUCAAGAGUAAAAUAGAAACAAAUCACUAAUCCUUAAAAUUUUUACUCCUUAAGGUGAUUUCAAAAUAAUAAUAAUAGUGCUACUACUACUAAUAAUAAUAUAUAUGUUAUUUAAUUACCACCGUCAGGGGGAUUGCGUCGCCAGGAAGAACGCAACGUCGCACGAACACGGGCCGCUGAUGUGGCACCGGCGAUCGAAGGGCCACGGGGGCAUGGGACUUGCUUUCGGAGGCCGCAAAGAGAAGCCCUAGGGGUGCCAGCCAAUGGUGUGCCCGCAGGAGGGGUCCACGUAGGAUCCGAAGGACGCCUGUGGCCCAAGGGCUUUCCCGUCUCUUAUCUUCCUCUUUAGCCUUCGUCACUCCGCUUCUUCUCCUCAUGCUUCUUCCGAUUCUGCUUCUCCUUCUAUUUCCCACCCUCUCCCCCGUGCAUGCAUGGUCUUGCACAAACUCUCCUCUCGUUUGGAAGUAUCCACCCCCGUCGCAACUGCGGGAGCUUCCGAUCGACCGGGAUUACAUGGUAUGCCUCCCAAUUGCCCCUGAAAUUCUCGCUUCUGGCAUUGUGUAGCUGCAAUUUGAUGCCCGAUUUAAUCAAUUUGCUCUGUUUCUGCUCAAUUUGUUCCGAGCCAAGGGGAGAAUGUAGAGGAAUUGAAGCAUGUCGUGGUGGUGUGUUCGAUUGGUGGUUUAGUUGAGAGCGGUCCGGUGAGUCGAUGUUCUUCUUUCUGGAAUCAGGUCUGUGAUGCGUUUGAGGUUUUUGUUUUUGUUUUUGUUUUAUUUUGUUUUGUUUUGUUUUUUUUUUUUUUUUUUGGUUUGGUUUGACUGAGGUCUUUGGAUCGUGACUUCGCCAUGAAGAUUUUGUGAAAUUGGAAACGUGAGCGCUGCAGCUUCGUCGAACUUACUCUGGCAGGAUAUUCUGCAUGAGAUCACACUAAAUCAUGACUCUCGAUUCGAUCCACAUUGCAGUUUUAUGAUAGUUCCAUUAGUUACAGUAUCUUGCAGCAUCUUGUCUUUCGGAAGUUGGAAGGGCGGACUUGGAGAAGGGGAAGGGGUGAGGGUGACCGGGUGUUUUUGGUCUGAACUGGGAGCUGAGAAGUUUCGGAUGGAGCGGUGUGUUGUAUAUCGGAUCUUGGAAGCCUUAAGGUAUCUUCCAACCGGGGAAUUGGAAGAUUCUCGUGAAGGCUUCACGAUUUUUUUAGCGACUUUGCCAGUGGUAGCAGAGCAGUCGUAAAUUGCACAUCAUUUGAUUGUUAUUUGGUUAGCAGAUACAAGACGGUCGAGUCUCUUGCAUACAAAGUCCUGCGAGUAACGACGGAUGCAAGAAAGUCGCUCAUCCUCUGUGCAAGGACCAUCAGGAACUUUUAAUCUUUUUCAAGAGGGAGAUUUCGUGGCUUUUCCUAUUCUUCUUCGGACCGCUUUUACUGAGUCUUUGCUUCUUUUUUUUUUUGUUUUUUUGAUAGCAUUGCAAAGUUCCGCCUUGCACAUCGCUCGAUCUCCAUGCCUUCGUUUGUUGGGUGUUUUGGUAUUUUCUUCCCUGGUAUGUUUGUGGGGGAGGGGAGGGAUGAAGGGAGUAAUCACUGGUAUGUACAGUUGAAUUGUGGCUACGAAUUUGAAUGACUCUGGAUGGGUGCCAGAACAAGGAUUCUGUAUCCACGAUUUCACCAUUGUGAAGCGAAUUGUGGUUUGGGCUCUUGAUUCAGAAUAUGCGACGGAUUCAUUUGAUGAAAUGUGUAGUGUAUGCGUGAACGGAUUAUUAUUUCUUUUAUUUUCCUGUUUGAUUCUUAGCAGCAAUGGCACUUUUCUGACGAGUGCCGUGGAUUUAAAAGUUGAUUUUGUUGCAGAUACCAAGAUAAAGUUGCCUUUCAAUAUUUUUCUUAUCUUCCUUUUCACAUGUAAGCCGUCUGCAUGUAUGGAUUUGCCGGAGUUGUUGGUUAGUUAGCUGGUUUAUUUGAUCUUUAUGCCGAUCCACCUGGUCGUCAGUGGAUGCGUUUUUUUGUUCCUUAUUUUAGUUGCAGUGAAGGACGUUCAAAUAAUUAACUCUUGGGAAUAUGCAGUUGUAAUUCUUUUAUACAGGUGUUGAUGAUAAUGUUAUUCGGUGGUAACUUUUCUUCGAAAAAGAGAUUCAUAAUUUUGUUUGGAUAGAGGAUUGUCAACAUUGAAAGUAUUACAGGCGGGAUGAAUAUUUUGUGUGAAAUUAAAGAUGCGACCAUCCUAUUUGAAUUUUCUGCCAUGGAUCUGUUGUUUCAGUUCUGAUUCAAGGCUACACACCAGUUCCCUUCUGAUUAAUAACAUCAUAGCUGUGCUGAGCCCUCACAAAUGUGUAUCUUAGCGUAUUAGGUUUGGGGAUGUAUGACGUUACACCUUUAUAUCCUCUUACGAAUGUUUCUUUCAUCGGAAUCGAUACGAUGUCGUGUUUUUCUACAAAUGCGAUUUUAGAAUUGCCUUGAGUAGUGUUUAAUGACAUUGUUGUCCCAACUUAUUGAACGCAGGUGUACAGGUCAGCGUAGUUUUACAGUGUAAUUGUGCUGCAAUCGAAAUUCUUUUAAUCGGAAACAGGAAAUUUUACUUAAGGGCGACGAACAUCAGAAAAUCCCUGAGAACAUCAAGAUGGCGGCUGUGACACAGUCCUUGAUGGUUCCGGCAGUGGGAGCAUCCCAUGGCCAAAUUCAUAGUAGUAACAAAUCUCAAACGCCAGCAAGGGUGGGUCCUCUAGGCAGGAAAAAAGCGCAGAUUAAGAAUUCUUCAGUGCCCAGCACAAGGAUUCAGUCGUUUUCUGGAAUGCGUAAGGCUUCAGUAAUUGAUGCUUUGACUGUGAAACAAGGACGGGAUUUCAAAUCCACUGUGGCAGCUGCGCUUGCGGUGGAUAAUCAAGAAGGGACCUCCAAGGGUGUCAUUACGGCAAUGUUCGAACGAUUUACCGAGAAGGCCAUCAAGGUUAUCAUGUUGGCUCAGGAAGAAGCCAGGCGUUUAGGGCACAACUUUGUUGGUACGGAGCAGAUUCUCCUAGGCCUUAUCGGAGAGGGGACUGGAAUUGCUGCUAAGGUGUUGAAGUCCAUGGGUGUAAACCUUAAGGAGGCUCGUGUGGAGGUAGAGAAGAUCAUUGGCCGUGGUAGUGGUUUUGUGGCUGUUGAGAUUCCGUUCACACCCAGAGCUAAGCGAGUCCUUGAGCUGUCACUUGAGGAAGCUAGGCAGCUCGGUAAGAUUCAUACUCAUUGACAGCAUUCCUUUUCCGAGCAUGUGCAUUGGAGGGUGGUAGUUUGUGGGUUGGUUGCUCAGUUCUGUUUUGAGAGUUAUUCUGUGUUGGUGGAGUUCUGAUGUAUGUUUUAUCAUAAUAUCGCAGGUCACAAUUAUAUAGGAACCGAGCAUCUCCUCCUGGGUUUGUUGCGGGAGGGUGAAGGUGUUGCCGCUCGUGUCCUUGAAAACCUCGGAGCAGACCCUAGCAAUAUACGGACUCAAGUAAUUCGGAUGGUUGGCGAGAGUACUGAGUCUGUAGGUGCUGGAGUGGGUGGUGGUAGCAGUGGCAAUAAGAUGCCUACUUUGGAGGAAUACGGUACAAAUUUAACGAAGCUUGCUGAAGAGGUUGGUUUUCUAGACAUUCUAUUUGUGUCGAUUGUCUGCAUACAUGAUGCAAAUCUUGAUUUCCGCGUUCCUCCAAAUUCCGCAUAGUAAUGAAUAAUAGGAAAAUUGGAGUCAAUUAUAAUCUUUUUGCUGUUAUAGGGGAAGUUGGACCCUGUUGUUGGAAGACAGCCGCAAAUUGAGCGUGUGACUCAAAUUUUGGGCCGAAGGACAAAGAAUAACCCUUGCCUUAUUGGAGAGCCUGGAGUUGGAAAAACUGCAAUUGCUGAAGGAUUGGCUCAACGUAUUGCAACUGGCGAUGUGCCUGAAACCAUUGAGGGCAAGAAAGUUAUCACCCUGGAUAUGGGAUUGUUGGUAGCUGGUACAAAGUACAGGGGAGAAUUUGAAGAGAGGCUUAAGAAGUUGAUGGAAGAGAUCAAACAAGCUGACGACAUUAUCCUUGUGAUUGAUGAAGUACAUACACUUAUUGGUGCUGGUGCUGCUGAGGGUGCUAUUGAUGCAGCUAACAUCUUGAAGCCUGCCCUCGCUCGUGGUGAACUCCAGGCAUGAUUCUGAAUCCUUCAGCUAAACAUUAAACCCUUUUGCUAAUGCUGGGUCGUCGUAUUGGUAUAGUUCAUGAUUAGAAAUUGAGUUGUUUGAAUAUAAUCUCAUUGAGCACUUCCACACACAAACACACUUGAAUAUAUAUAUAUAUAUAUAUAUAUAUAUACACACUCUUUCAUGUACUUGUUCAAAAUAGCGUGACUGUCAUAGUAGGGUUUGUCAAUGUGUACUUCAAAAACUCACACAAUUGUGAUUGCUACAGUGUAUCGGAGCUACCACAUUGGACGAAUAUAGGAAGCAUAUUGAGAAGGAUGCUGCAUUGGAACGUCGAUUCCAGCCUGUGUUGGUUCCAGAACCCACUGUUGAUGAGACCAUUCAAAUUCUUAAGGGAUUGAGAGAGAGAUAUGAAAUUCAUCACAAGCUGCGUUACACUGAUGAGGCUUUGGUAGCAGCAGCACAACUUUCUUAUCAAUACAUCAGGUCCGAUCCAGAAUUUGAGACUUCAAAAAUGUUUGGCUUAUGUUUUAUCAGGAGGAAGUAGGUGUUACAGAGGAAUGUAUGUUAUUCGCACUAAUACAAUUAAACUUCUAAAGAACCAGUACUUGAUCUUGGCUUUUUAGCUAAUUAUAGGUGCAGGUACCUUCAAUGGGAUCUUUCCCUGUGAUUAAGCAUCAUUUGUUUACAUGUGCAGUGAUCGGUUUUUGCCUGACAAGGCCAUCGACCUGAUUGAUGAAGCUGGAUCACGCGUACGUCUAAGGCACGCUCAGGUAAUCUCAAUGAUGUCUAACAGAGUUCAUUACUGGGGUGUUAGUGUAUUUAUUUGUAGUCUAGAGUUUUAAGGAGUGACUGGAGAGAAUGACAGAACACAAUGACAACGAUUAGGUUUUUUAGAUCACAAUGGCAUGCAAUUUAUUGAUUUCAGAAUUUUUGGAGUUUCACGUGCGUAUGUUCUUUUUCGCUUUGAACUGUCUCUUAUUUUAUCUUUGCUGUCGUAAAGAUGCUUACUAUAUGUUGUCUAUUUAUUUGCAGCUACCUGAAGAAGCUAGAGAGCUUGACAAGGAGCUGCGCGGUGUCACCAAGGAAAAGAAUGAAGCUGUUCGUGGGCAGGAUUUCGAGAAGGUACUUGUCUUGUUUACUUUUGCUUAUCAGAUAUAAGCAAGACAUACUUUAUUCACCAGACCUGUACGUUGAGAGUUUGUUAUAUAUACAACCUGCAAAAUUAUGUUGAUGUCGUUAUUCGCUUGUUUAAAAUAUAGGUAAGCCAUCCUUUGGGUCGUUUACUCAUUUUUCUCUGUAUCGUGGUUACUUAAACAUUUUUUCUUGUACAGGCUGGAGAGUUGAGGGAUCGAGAAAUGGAGCUUAAGGCUCAAAUUUCUGCUAUUACUCAGAAGGGCAAAGAGCAGAUGAAGGCAGAGAGUGAGGCUGGUGAUACCGGUCCUACUGUUGAAGAGUCAGAUAUUCAGCAUAUUGUUUCAGCCUGGACCGGUAUCCCUGUAGAGAAAGUCUCUAGUGAUGAGUCUGACCGUUUGUUGAAGAUGGAGGAUACCCUUCAUCAACGAGUCGUCGGGCAGGACGAAGCUGUAAAAGCCAUCAGCCGUGCUAUUCGCAGAGCUCGUGUUGGACUUAAGAAUCCAAACCGUCCUAUCGCAAGUUUUAUCUUCUCUGGACCCACUGGUGUUGGAAAAUCUGAGCUAGCGAAGGCUCUUGCCUCGUACUACUUUGGCUCGGAAGAAGCUAUGGUUAGACUCGAUAUGUCUGAGUUUAUGGAGAGACACACUGUAUCUAAACUUAUUGGUUCUCCACCCGGUUAUGUCGGGUACAGCGAAGGGGGUCAGUUAACAGAAGCUGUUCGCAGGAGGCCGUACACAGUUGUUCUUUUCGAUGAGAUUGAAAAGGCACAUCCUGAUGUGUUCAACAUGAUGCUUCAGAUUUUGGAAGACGGUCGUCUCACUGACAGCAAAGGAAGAACUGUAGAUUUUAAGAAUACGCUUUUGAUUAUGACCUCGAACGUUGGAAGCAGCGUCAUUGAGAAGGGUGGCGGUGGCAUUGGUUUCCAGUUGGACUACGGUGAAAAGGAUUCAAGUUACAACCGAAUCAAAAGCCUUGUUAACGAGGAAUUGAAGCAAUACUUCAGGCCAGAGUUCUUGAAUAGGUUGGAUGAGAUUAUUGUUUUCAGGCAGUUGACUAAACUUGAAGUGAAGGAAAUUGCCGACAUCAUGUUGAAGGAGGUGUUCGAGCGAUUGAAGAAGAAGGAAAUUGACCUUCAGGUAUGUUUGGCUUUGGAAAUCAUUAAUGCUUAUGGUACUUUAAUUAAAUUAAUUAUUUAAUUAUGUUUAAUUGAUAUCUUGCAUUGAGGCUUUGUUGAUUUAGAUUACACUGGCCUGUUGUGUUGUGUAUGCAGGUUACGGAGCGGUUCAGGGACCGUGUGGUCGAUGAGGGUUACAGUCCUAGCUAUGGAGCUAGACCUCUGAGACGAGCAAUCAUGAGGUUACUAGAAGAUAGUAUGGCAGAGCGUAUGCUUGCAGGAGAAAUUAAAGAAGGUGAUUCAGCCAUUAUUGAUGUGGAUAGUGAAGGAGGCGUGACUGUGUUAAAUGGUACAACAGGAUCAUCUUCAAGUACAGCUAUCGAGGCUCCUGCAGGCAUCGCCUAAUGAUCCUUGUAAAAUUGAGCCUCUAAUUAGGUGACAUUACCAUCGUCCCACCAGGCCUAGGUAUUGCAUAGACUCUUGAGUUCCUGAUGUAAACGGUACCUGAAGUGGACUUGUAUUAUUACGAUAAUGUUUGUAAAUGUAUUCCUUCAACUUUUAUAUUUCCCGUGUUUUCUUUUGCUGGUGAUGAUACACGAGACAUGUGAAUUUUACCAGGGAUUGUUCGUAAGCUAAGGCACUCUUCUUCUUUACGAGAAGAGUAGACCUGUUAAGGAUUAUCGCAUGACCAGUGCUUCAAGUGUCAUUACCUUGCUUAUGAUUGGAAAGUCUUUGUACGCUUAUCUCAGAUACGUUAUUGACACAGCUUGAAAUGUCUUGCUUCACCUACAAUUCAUCUGUGUGUUCAUAUCGUUCAUCAGGAUUUUGCAACAGAAGUAAAUCUACUAGUGCGAACUAGUCAUGGUAGUGUCUCACUUCCCCAAAUGCAAUUAAAUAAUACAAAGUAGAUGUUUCUUGAUAAGAAAUUUGAAAGUACAAUGAAAGGUAUUAGUGAUAUAAACCUUAUUAAUUUCUUUAGCAAAUUUAUGACUUAUGUUGGGAAUGUGAUGAAUUGGUAUAGAGUUCUUGUACAAAACAAAAAGAGGCUUUGAAGGUGUCCAAUUUAUUAAAUGUUAUUUUACAACAGUGACUAUAAAUAACAAAGAUGUUCAAUAGUUAUACUUAUUGAAUAAAGAACUCUUUCAGGAAAAUUGUAAAUUUUGAUGAAUAUAUAUAUAUAUAUAUAUAUAUAUAUACAUAUGUAUUUCUAUUGUAAUUUAUCCAAUGUAAUUUAAAUAGUAAUAAAAUAUUUGCUUAAUAAUGCAAGUUUUUGUGAAACAAAUUUAUUGAAUUAAUUUGCAAAAAUAUCUUUUAGCAUCCACGAGGGAGUAGAUUAAGUCUAGAAAUAUGUUUUGCUCAUCAACCAAUAAAAUACAUGCCCAUUAUUUUGAACUUUGAAAGUGGUGGACAAAUAAUGAAUAAUAAAUAGAAUUAUUUGUUUAUAUAAGUGUUUAAAUGUUUAAAAAAUAGAACAUGUAAUAAAAAUAAUUUUCUUAAUGUCAAGGUGGUAUAUUUUGUGUAGAAAAUCCAAAUAUAAUGUUGGAUAGCAAUAAAAGUAUUAAUCCUCUCAAUACAUUAACUUAUUUAGUUAUUUUAAAUAUUUCUUCUAUCCUUUGGUUGCUUUGGCCAUCGCUACAUAUCUAUUUGUUUUUCAUGUGGAGUUUCAAUUACAAAAAUAACAAUAAAAUAAAAUUAGAUUUUUCCAUGAGCUCUAUUUAGAUUUACCUUAAUGUUAAAUAAGUAUGUUUCAUAAUUUAUAGCCUUUGGAAUUGAUUCUCAUUGAUCAAAUGCAUCGCUGAAUUUGGUAUCUCUAUGACCGCCGAAACCAUUGCACAUAGAGAUAUCACACUUAUUUAAAUAAGUCUUACAUUUGAUAUCUCUAUAUUUAAUUUUAAAAAUUGAAUAGAGAGAAAACAAUAGAGACCAUGGUUUGCAUUGAAGGAGUGAACCAUGUCUCAAAUAAGAUCACUAAUAUAAUGUCUUCAAUAACAAUAAGUUUGGUGGUGGUGGUUUUUUUCUUAACUAUACACAUGAUGGUUUUUAGAAAAAAAUAGAUAAAUAGCUAUUUUUUCUUUUUUAAACAUCUUUAAUGAAUUUCUUCAUUGAUCAUUUUUUCCAUAAAUUAAACAUAUUAGAAAAUAUUUAUUAGUUGUUGGUUCUUUCAUUUGUUUAUAAAACUAUUUCAUAAAUAGAUAUAAUAUUUUGUCAUGACUAAUAUAUUUAAGGACAACCACAAAUUAAAAAUAUAUCAAUAAAAAAAGAAAAAAGAAAUAUAUAUAUAUAAUUAAAUAAAUAUAAAAAAUAUAUAAUAAAAUAAAUAAAUUAAAUAUUAUUUAUAUUAAGAAAAUAAAGUAAAAUAUUUUUACUCAUAAAAUGUGAUUAGAUGGCAAAAUCCACAAAAUAAAUUUUAUUUGUAAUUUUUUUUUAUAUAAAUUGUUGAUAUUGUGAAGACAACUAUUAACCAACUCUUGGAUUUUAAAAAAAGAUUAAUGUUUGUAUUGUGCUUUACAAGUUUUAUAGAAUUCAUGUAAAAAAUUAUUGAACAUCUUUUUAAAAAAUAAAAAUAUGAUCUUUUAAUUUAGAUUUUAAUUUUAUUAGUAUUCAAGGUAUUUUCAUCCAAUUUAUACUUUGUCAAAUUCAAAAUUAAGUGGUUGUGUAGAUUAAUUUCUUUUACAUAUGUUAAAGAUAAAUGAACAAAGAUAAAAGAGUCUUUUGAAGAAAGAAAUGAAAAAGAUAUGAUUAGUAGUCGUUAUUACAAGUCAAAGAUUGGCCAAGGUCUAUGCAUAAAUUCUUUCGAAUAAAAUAUAAGCUCAAGCUACAUACACAUCUUAAUUUGAUAUAUACACUGACAUUUCAUAUUGCUAUAUGCACAUCCAAAAAAUAUAGAUACAUAUGUAUAUAAUAUAGAUACACAUGUAUAAAUUGAACAAUGACACAAUCCAUUUUAUGUUUAUUCUUUUUAAUAAGAUUGAGUUUUCUAUACUAGAAAAGUGUGGGCUUUUUAUCAAAGUGUCGUUGGACUCAAGCACUUAGAUUCCACCUCUAAUAUGUCAAAAGAUUAGCAACUAUUACUUAUAAGACAAUUAGCAAUGAAUGAGAAAUCACUUGUAAUUUGAAACAAAUUAUGUAUAUAGUGACAGAUGGCAUGUUUGGAUUCUAUUGAUGAACAACUUAUCCAUACUCAUUGUGGCAAAUAAAAAGAUAGAAUGAGAUUCACAAACAGACAAUGAAUAAAAAACUAGCUAGUUUCAAAGUCAUUGAUGAAAUGCUUAAUGUUUGUCAACAAUGUUUGUAGCAAUUGUUAGUUUGUAGGUAUCUAUUCACGGUUUUUAUGCCAAACCUCAGUAGCCAUGGAUAUGUGCUUGUAAUUAUUCUUUGAAACUGCUACAAGAAUUGACAAGACAUUAAAAAUUAUUGUAAGAGACAUUGGAGGUUUGCUCUGAAAGGUAUUAUGGAUGUAUUAUACAAGAGACCAAACAAAAAGUUAAAAAGAAGAGUUUUAAUAAGAAAGCUAAUAAAAACUUGAUUAAACCAAAUGUGUACAAGAUCAACACCAAGAAAAGUAAGCUAAAAUUCCAAAAGAUAGAGAUGUGUUGUUGAGACUAAGUCUCCCUUGAAUCUUGACUCCAAUAUAUACUAGGUAUUAAGAAGCUUUUUGAAAAGUUUCUAUGUUGCUUGAAGAUAAAGUAGCUCUAGAAAGCUUCUCAAAUAACUUUCUUAAUCCUACUAGAAGUUUUUAGAAUCUACUAGAAUAGUCUAAGAUUUUUUUUUAAAUCUUUUGGAACCUUAUAGAAUCUAAUAAAAUAUUCCUAAAAUAUUCUUAAAAUCUUCUUGUUGGAUAUCCAUAACACGUUGUUUACUUGAUCCUACUUAUUGACUUGUUUGUGAGAUCAUUAAAGGGAAGUUGCCACCUCUCUUAUUUCCUUCUUCCUAUCCUAUUCCUUUCCCUCUCUUUUCGCAAUUAUAUCAAGCAGAUGGAUCUACAUAAAAACACCCAGUAAAUCACAAACCUCCACAUUCUUUUGGUGUGCACAUAGUAAUAUGAAGUGUGUGUGCGUAUGAAGCAACGUAGGAUAUACUUAUGGCUUGAGCCUAAAAUAUUUUGAAAAAGUAUGUAUAAUAAUUCUAAACAUUUAGUCAAAACAAUAGAGUUGAAAAUAAUAAAAGACUAUUUCUUUAACUUUUCGAAAGUAGAAUAAAAUAAUAAAUAAUAAGUAAUAAUGAUAAUUUUAUCAAAAUACUAUUAUUUUACAAAGACCAAAUGAAUGCAAUUUUCUUUGAAGAUCUUAAUUUUAUAUAUAUAUAUAUAUAUAUAUAUAUAUAUGUAUAAUUAAAAUAUCUAAAUUACAAUGAAAGAAAAAUUCUUUACAUGUAUUAUAAUAAAAGCUAUUUCUUUCUAUAGCAAAAAUUAAGAAAAUAGAUUAAUCAUUUUUUGAUUGUACAUUAGAAGGAUAUCAAAACAAAAAUGGAACUAAAUUACACUAAAAUAGCAUUUCUAUGUUAAAAAUGAUUAAAAAAAAAUAAAACAAAAUAAAUUAUUAUUCUUUUUCUAAAAAGAAGCAAAAAUAAAAACCAAUUUGAGAAGAAAAAAUAAACAGGAAUUGGAAUUAUGUUAUUUAAGAAAUGACUUUAAUAAAAUUACAAUAAAAAAAAAUUAAUCUACUUGCUCAUUUUAAAAUAGAAAUUCAUUUUGUAAAGUUUCAGAAAAAAAAAUCAUGGAUUCUUAGAGACCAGUGCAGAACUUUAGAAUUUAUAUUAUACAACAGGAAAGAGUUAAGAUUGAAUAAAUAAACAAAUGAAUAAUUAACAACAAUCAAAGAUUAAAAAUUAAAAUAAAAUAGCCUUAUCAAAAACCCAAAACAAAAAUAUCCUAAAAAAACUCACCAAGCUUUGUCACAUUGCCUUUAACUUGAAUAACAUUAAAUAUUAGAAUGAACACAUUUAUACUACAACUUACAAAUCAGCUUCUUUAUAAUAAUUUGAAGAAAAGCAAAUUGGUUCCACAUAUUUUCAUCCCUUUCACUUCAAUUUGAGAAUCAAAGACCAUUACAGCUUUAAUAUUGUUUCCUGUGCUAGGUCAAUUUCUCAUAGCAAAACUCAUAGAUACCUCCAUUGAGAAAAUAUAUUAUAGGGAUUUGUAGAGGACUGUUCCCUACUACCUUCUUUAUACUCAUCUUUUACUUGAGAAAUUUGAGGAACAAGACAAGCCCAUUGAAACAAGUUAUCUGCCAAAUCCACCUUUAAACAUUACCCAGACACCACUUCCUAGGUACUUCCACUGCACAUUACAGUUCCACCGUGUCAAGCAAAGUCGCAAUCAGAAGGGACUCGCUCAUCCUGGAGUUAAAUGAAAUGGACCACUCUUUAAAAUUAAAGAGUGAAACCCAAAUUAUCAUAACGACAUCUUCCAACUUCACAAGAGCAAAACCAAGGACCAGCAAGUCUGAUAGAAAGUAAGCCCUACAAGAUCACACUGACCUAAAUUUCGAUUAGGUUAGACAAACAACGGCGAACAGCAACCAAUUUUAUCUGUUCAACAUCGAUAAUUUGGUCUCCAGUUUCACAAAAGUACCGUGCAGACUAAUAAUCUGUCAGACAUAUGUACGCACCCAGUAACUGUCAUUCUUGAAAUGCCCUAACUAUAAACUGCAUGCUGCACUGCAACGGCCUUCACAUCCGCAGCCCCAGUUUCAGGACUGAACCGUAGAUGUGUAGGGACAGUGCAAAAAAAACUCCCAAGGACAAAGUUGCCCACAACCAGCACGCGCAUGACUCAAGCUCCCAAAAGCUAUACGUCAAGGUGAGUGACGGAACAUCGCAAAAACAAAAUACAUGCAGUCUGAAUUCAUAAAUAUCCCACUUCCAGGACUUCCAGGACACCCACUUCCCGGUCCUUCCACCCUAUUCCCCAACCACGGACGCCCUGCUACCACAUAACUCCACUAAAUCGCCCUCCAUACUCCAUCGCCAUGUACACUUCGCACUUCCGUUCCGUCUCUUCGCAGACCGGGAAUCUCACCAACUUGUCCACCAGAGCUUCGUCCCUGUUCCUACGAACAUAAACAUCAUCGACACUUAGGGUUACCACCCCCCCCCCCCCCACCUCCCACGCCCUCCGCUGCGUACGCCCCCAACACAAACCCAGCGUCGCACCCUCCUCAAAUCUUGUCGAUGUCUUCAUCCUCGAAUUCCACGUAGUCGUCACCGCCACCGUCUUCCUCAUCGUCCAUGCCUCCGGCGAUACCCUCGUUCAGACGCACGUUCUCGGGCAGCUCGCUGUACGCCUUCAAAAGCCUGGCCUCGUCCGGCUGGUACUUCAGAAUCACGUCCGCCUUGUCGUCCUGGUAAUCUCUCAGACCCACCAAUAUGAUGUCCCCCGACGCAAUCCACACCUUUUUGUGCAUCUUCCCCCGGAUGUGGCAAAGCCGCUUAGUCCCAUCGAUGCACAGCGCCUCGCACCGCCCGUUCCCGAGCAUCCUCAACACCUGCGCGUACUCCUGCCCAUCCUCCUUGAACACCAGCUCCCGCUUCUCGUCCUCCGCCUCGUUCUUUCCUCUCUUCCGGUUCUUUCCUCCCUUUCCCUUGUUCUUCGGCAUCCUUGCGGCUUCUCCUCACGCCCAAGUGCAACACCAAUUCCUCCUCAGACCACCAAAUCCUGGGGUGCGUCCACUGGGUCGCGGUUCGCACACGGAUCCGCACUCGCAGCGGGGCUGCACCAAGCCUGAAUGAAGCUCCUGGCUGGCUAUGGAUGGUAGUAGGGCGCAGCACGCACUAAAGGCACACUCACUCACUCGCACACAGCGAAAGCGGGCCGAGAGGCGGGUGCCUGUGGCCGCGUGAGGAGGACCCGUGACCGUCUUCUCACCCACCGCUAAAAGCCCUACCGGGUGAACGUGACCGUAAAUGAUGCUAAUGUCGAAGCUUCGUAAAAGAGGAUUGGCAUGAAUCCAUAUUCCUUACUAAAAUUGAAUGAAGCAGAAACCAUGGUCUUCAAAGGAACUAUCAACUAGUCUGCAUGCACGACUUGAAACAGAUUCAGAGCUCACCACCAGUAUCCAAGGGUGUUGCAUGAGUUCCUCAAGAUUGAGACGUUGGUGCUUGCCCCAGCUCAGAUAACACUCCACAAAUGAGAUAAACAAGUUGUCUUCGCACCCGACGGCAAACCUCAUUUCUUACAGAAGCUGAGGCAGGUUCCUCGGUGUGGAUCACAUUGAGAUGUCUUAGAGUGACAAUCUCAUCCUUCCGACCAUUUCCCGGCACACUGGAUGUAGUGUACACACCUGUUGCAAGCAUGGCUUGCUUUUCCAGAUCACGCCAAACCUUCGCAACGUUGAAAACAGACAUGGACUCAGAGUAUCUGCUCGUAUAGCUACUGAAUGCCCUGACUCUAGCGCGAGAAGUUGCAGAAUCUCGGAGGGGUAAUGUCAACGAUGGUCGAUAAAUUCCCUUGGAAUUCCAAAUUUUUCUCCAGCAUUUCCCAUUCCUGAGAGGAUAAAAAUCAAGGUUCAUGGAGGUGCGCUUGAAAUCGUCACCGAUCAAGGCCUCAUCCCUGUGAGACAUGUAAAGUUUCCUGGCUGUUGGAAGUUUUACACAUGCUUCUGUGGCCGGAAAAAAGGGUAACUCAUACCUCCUGAGCACUUGAUUUCAACAGCUAUGACAAAGCAUUCAUUUCUCAAUACAACCAUCUGCGUAGAUCAGCUGAAGUACAACCUACGGAGGUUAAAGGUAGAGCACAUGAAAGUUGGCGUACUCCUAUCCACCACCAUGAGCAGCCAAAUGCAGGAUAUGGACUCCAAUGUGGCGUCCUGCACAAUUGAGUAGACGAAUAAACCUCAUACGACCAAUCCCUGCGGAAAACCCCACUAGAAGCCAAGGUUUAAUAAUUCACAUGCAAACAAAACGCAAACAGACAUACACAUGCUCAAUCACCCUGGCAAUCACAAUUCAGCAUGAGCUCAACCGUAAACGCCAAGGGCACGCUAUCACGGGGAAGUUCUCCACAUGGAAAGGUAACGGACAUGGAGGAGGAUACGAAAUGGUUGCAGAAACAAGGAGCUGGAGCUUGAUUACGGUGGGAAAGGGUAGGUAAGCAGGGUGUGAGCCUGCGAUAGAGGGUCGCAAUAGAAGGUAGGUGCACAUACCACACUGCAGGUGAGCCCUGCUGGAGAGGGGCUGACGGCCAUGUCCGGCUCUUGGUACAUUCCCCGACUUUAUUCCAACCAACACGGCUUCCUUAGCUUAUAUUAUAAUUGGAGCAUCUAAUUAUAAUCCAUCACGUUUUUUUAGAUUAAAACUAAUUUUUCAAAUUUAUGUUGCUUAAAAAAAAAUUAACAAAAAAAAUCAACUAACUUCUCAUUCCUACUUUAAGAUAAUGAAUAAUGCUAACUUUAAGGCUUUUGACUACCAUCUUCUUAGAUGUUUUAUAUUUUUUAUAAAAUAUAAAGAUGACCACAAUCUUUACAUUUUGUAUUUUAGUAUUCACAUUUAUACUAAUAUAGAAAGUGAUUCCUUCAAUAUUUUCCAAGGAAUCACUUUUUAUAUUAAAUAAAUUUCAAAUAUUAAAAAUCAUUCUUAGAGCUUUAGGUGUCAUGGAUAUAUAUAUAUAUAUAUAUAUAUAUAUAUAUUCCAAUAAUCACUUAGAUAAUAUGAAUAGAUAGAAGUUAGUAAAAGUAAGUAAAUUUAAUAAUAUUUUAUGAACAAAUUUUUUUGAAGCUUUAUAAACAUAGAUUUGUAUUUAUACAUGUUUAUAAAUGAUUGGUAGGUUAAAAAUUUGGCCAAUAAGUUAGCCAUGUGUUGCACAUGUUGGCCUCUUAUAAUAAAAAUUGGACAUGUGGCACAUAUAUAAGAAACUUGUAUUAUAAAUUAGAUAUAUGUCUUACAAGUUGGAUACAUAUUAGAAGUUUUAUAAAAUAAUGCUAUAUAACUUCUAAUUAGAUAGUAUAUAUGGAAGAAAGAGUGAUGCCUUUCUCACUUUUAUCAGUUCAUUUAUUGCUUCUAAUCUAAUUUUAAGAAUCUCUAAUUAUUCUAUUCUUUGGCAAUAACCAUUUCAAUUUCUUUUUAAAUCUAUAUACUUAUGUUUUUAUUUUUAUUUUUAUUUUUAUUAUUUUUUGUCAUCUCUCUUUGAUACAUAUUUUGUUUGUUUAUAUACAAUCUUAAAGUUCUUGUCCUUGACAAAUUAAAAAGACAACACUUACAAUAUUAUUUUUUUAUUUUUUUAUUUUUUUUGUCUUGAUUAAAAGUAAAUUAUUCCUUCUUUUUUUUGAUUAGAUAUAAGCAUAUUAGAAGUUAUAAAUUAUCCACUUCUAAAUUGAUAUUAAUUUCAAAAAAUAUUUGUUCAAUUUUCUACUUACUUCAAGCAAUAUUAAACAUAUUCUUUUUUAUUGUACUAUUAUAACAAAACUUGUUGAAAUGAAGAGUAUAAUUGGAACAAGACUAAACUAUCUCAAAAACCCAAGAUCUUUCCAAUCCAUAACAAUAUAAGGCCUCUUCACAAAAUAGGACAAAACAAGCCAUAAAAAAAUUGAACCAAAGUAAACAAUAUAAGACAUGAAUGACAAAAUUGAGCAAACAAAAACAAAACAGAACAAAUCUAAACAAAAAGAUGCAAAACCAAAUUUUAUUAAGAGAAAGGGUCUAAAGCCAUACCUGACCUGAUAUCCCAAAAGGCCUUAGCUUGUCCUAUUUAUACCUUGUCCCACCACCCAAGUCUUUCUAGUAUAUUCCUAGGUAGUGACUUCCACCUAGAUAACCGCCUUAAACUCUUUUUCUAAAAGGUUCCAUGAUAGGCUCCAUCUAAAUAACUGCCUUAAAUUCUUUCAGAAAUGUUCUAUGAUAGGUCCUACUUAGUCCACUAACCUAACUUCAAUUCUAGAAACUUCUAUGGUUCUAAUUAUCUAUAUAAUUAUUUUAUCUAUACCCUAUUACAACAAUAGCUUAAAUUUAAAAAAUAAAUAAAUAAAAUUAAUGCUUGGAAUGCAUCAAAUCAAUUUACUACCACAAGAAGCAACAAGAUUAGUUAGAAGUAAAAAUAUAGAAAUAAUUAAAUGUGCUUCAACAUCUAUACCAAAUUAUGUUAGUUCUUCUAUAAUAGAACAUUGUUCAAGUGUCAAAAAACUAAGAAUUGUAUUGCUAAAGAAGUUUGAUGGCAUAAAUUCAAAGUUUUAAGGAUUCAUUAAUCAAGUAUAUUUGAUAAUUGAAUUUCAAUUUUAAGAUAUCUAAUAUUAAUAUUAUAAGUCAAAUUUAUUAGAAAAUUACUUUUAAAUUUUAUUUUAUUAUAAAUUUUAUCUUUUUUAAUAAUAUAAUCUAAUAUUAAAUAAUUUAUACACUAUUUUGGUAAAAUUUCUAGCUAUAUAAAGAAAAUAUGAUGCAAUUUGUAUUACAACUAAUAAGAUUUGCAUUAUGUAUCAAGAUAAUUAAUAAAAAAUAUUACAUGCUUUAUAAUUUCAUCAAAUUAUAAAUAAUAUCAAGUAAAAUGAUAUUAUAUUCAUAAGCCAAUUUUUCUACAAAUUAUAAUAUAAGGUAAAGAAUUAAUGCUAAACUUACUUGAUGUUCAAACAUUGAUUUUGUUGUGAAGUGUAACAAUUGGUAUUUUGAAUUUUAAUUUAAAAAUCCCAUAAGAAGGCUGUCAAGGACAUGAAUCUCAAAGAAAGAAAAUCCUCAAUACACUCUUAUGUCAUUGAACUAGAAAGGAACUAGAAAGGAACUAGAAAGUCAUUUAAAGAUAAUAUAAUAAUGAAGUAGGAUGGCUAUUGCCAAAAACAAGAAGACUAGAAAGUCUGAAAACAAGACUAACAAUUAAAAAGGCAAUGAUAAGGGUGAAGAAGUGAAACAUGACCAAACUACCUCAAAAAUCCAAGAUCCUUCUAAUCUACAGUAACAUAAAGCUUCAUCACAAAAUAGGACAAAACAGACUAGAACAGAUUUGAAUGGAACUAAACAAAAUAGAACAUGAAAGAAAAAAAUUGAGUAAACAAAAAUAAAAUAGAAUAGAUCUAAACAAAAUGAUAAAAAACCAAACUUUACUAAGAGAAAUGGUCCAAAGGUAUACUUGACUAGAUGCUCCAAAAGGUCCUAGCCAGUCCUAUUUAUACCAUGUCUCACCACCCUGGACUUUCCAAAAUAUUCUUAGAUAGUGGAUUCCACCUAAAUAAUCACCUUAAGCUUUUUUUAGAAGAUUCUAUAAUAGAUUCUAUGUAAAUAACCACCUUAAACUCUUUUUAAAAUAUUCCACGAUGGAUUCUAUCUGAUCUACUAAUCUAACCUUAAUUUUAGAAACUUCCAUGAUUCUAACUAUCUAUACAAUUAACUUAUCUAUAUCAUGUUACAAUUAACUCCCAUCCACUAAUGCAAAACAUCCUCGUUUUGCUCCCGAUAGUAUCUUUAAAUUGUCUCUUGGCAAUGGGUGAGAUUUUGUACAAGUUUUCAUGUUGCAUCGUAAAUAGGAUAACUUUUCCAAAGAACUUUGCAUUGAAGUUGUGGAUGUCCACUACUACAACAAAGAUAGCAAUGCUUCAAAAUAUUGUCCACUUCAUAUUCUUAUUGGUCAUUAACUACAAUUGGUGGUGGUUGUGGUAGUUGGUAUCAAUCUAAAAAGUGCUUUGGUUGAGUAUGAAAUUCUUCAAAUUACAAAACAUGGAAGCCUAGAUGGAUCCAAAUAUGUGGCGGAAGCUUGAGGCUCUAUGCAACAUCAAAAAUCACUGCAAAAAUGUGAAAAGAUCCAAGACACUGAAGUGCUAGUUUAUGGAUUUGGGUUAAUGUAGCAAGUGGCAAGUUGGUGUUGGAGAAUAAUACCUGAUCACCUUCUCAGAAGAUCUUGUAUUGUUGAUAGUUAUUAGCAUACUACUUUUGUUGAUUUUGUGCAGUAAGAAGGCGGUGUCAUAUUAUGUGAAGUUUGGUUUGAAAAUGCAUCAAGUACUUGGCUGCGGAAGAUAUAAGGAAAAUUAUAACAAUAAGUCCUAACAACUCUAAUAGAUUUUUAAAUAAAUUAUAAUUAAAGAUUAAAAAAUAUUAUCAAACAUCAAUCAAAUUCAAUUAAAAUUUCAAAAGAAUUAUACAAGAAAAACAAAGAAUUUCCACAAACCUUUAAAAGAAAUCAUAAAAAAAUAAUAUAGAAAUUCAAAAAAAUAUAUUAAAAUAGAAAUAUUGAUAAAAUAUUAAAAUAAAAAUCUUAAUUAUACCUUAGUCAAACCUUAGUCAAAUCUUAGUCAAACCUUGAUCAAAUCCUAGUCAACCUCUAAAUAAGCCCUAAUCAAAUCCUAAAUCAAAUCCUAAAUAAGCCCUAGUCAAAUCUUAAUCAAAUCUUAAAUAAACACUAAUCAAAUUUAAAUCAAAUCUUAAAUAUAUCUUAAAUAAAUCUAACCAAAUCCUAACCAAAAUCAAAUCCUAAUCCUAACCAAACCUUAAAUCGAAUCCAAAAUCCUAACCUUAAUUCUAAACCUUAAAUCAAAUUUAAAAUCCUAAUUCUAAUUCUAAACCAAAUCUUAAUCCCAACCAAAUCUUAAUCAUAAUCAAAUUUAAAAUCCUAAUCCUAAUUCUAAACCAAAUCUUAAUCCCAACCAAAUCUUAAUCAUAAUCAAACCUUAAAUCAAAUCUAAAAUCCUAAUCUUAAUCCUAAACCUUAAAUCAAAUAUAAAAUCCUAAUCCUAAUCUUAAACCAAAUCUUAAUCAAUCUCAAGUAAUUCCUAAUAACUAAUAAAUGAAUCAUUGAUUUUAAUUAAAAAAUUAUAUACUUCUUAAUAAUUAAAUUGACAACAAGUACAAAUUUUUUGAAGAAGAUUGAAUCACCAAAACAAAGAUCAAUUCUAAAAUCUGCUCAAGUAUCGGCCAUCCUCCUACUCAAAUCUGAAUGAUAAAAUUUCAAUGCCAAAAUCUCCCUUUCAAACUAUUUGAUUGUUAUCAAAUUUCAUAUAUAUAUAGUAAAUCAAGUCUACUAUUCUUAUAAAUAAAUUUUAUUCUAAUCCAACUAGAAUUUUGCUAAAGAUAUUAGAAAUUCUAUCUACCUCUCAAAGUUCAAUAUUUGAGUCCUCAACCUACUUGAAAUUCAAUAAUUUUCAAUUCAAUUGUUCGAUUAUGCUCAAAAUUAUAGUAUAUAUUGAACACAUAUUUAUCUAUAGAGCCUUAAAACUUCAUCCAUAGAUCUAUUGCCAAACUUACGAAAUUCUCCAAAAAAUAUCAUCCAUUUUAUUUCACAAAUCUAGAGUCACUCCAAACAAAUUCCAACUUUGCAAAGCUCAUACAAAGUCAAUAUACACUCAAAUCACUCAAAAUCAAUGCUAAAAGAAACUCUAUUAAGUUUGUUCUUAGAUCCUACCCUUUAGUCUCCAAAAGAUCCCUUGAACUGCCAUAGGAGCUCGGUUCUAAACCAUGAGGUCUGAUUUCGAUCUAGGUUCAUAAUUGAUCCUUUUUGGGUAUCAAUUCUUAGGUUUCUAAGGUAAUUUUUGCUACAAUUUACUCUUGACUUAUUUUCAAAGGUACAUUUAUGGUUUAUUUUUCUAAUCUAUCUUAUUUUUCUCUAUUUGUGGUCCUAUAAAGCGAGAAGAAGCUUAAUUUGUAGAAAAGGCAGUGGUAGCAACUUUAAUUUUUCUACCCCUUGACUCUUAUCUAUUUUUCUAAGAUAAUUUGUUACAAUAUAUUUGAAAUAAGAUCUUUAAAAAUAUAGUAUUUUGUUCACCUUUUCAUCUACUAGCCAUUUUACAUGAUGACAGUGGUGUCGUGCUUCUUGUAAGGCCAUUGUAAGCUGUUGUAUAAAUUCUUUCGAUGUCAAAUUGUUGGUAUCAAUGGGACAAUGGUGAGUUGCUAGUGUAAUCAAAUGAUAAUCAAUAUUAAGAAAAAAUGGUAAAUGAUUAAUACUUGCUUGAAUACUAUCAUUACUUGCAAACUCUAAGGGUGUCAAGUAUUCAUCCCAAUCAUUAUAAUGGACUGCCGCAAAUGUUUGCACCAUAUCUUUCAAUGUCCAAUUUGCAUGCUCUGUUUGCCCAUCUUUUUGGAGAUGGAAGGCUAUAGAUAUAGCAAGUCAUGUGCUUAACAGCUUAAAUAAGGUUUAUUAAAAACUUUCCUUGAAACAUGGAUCCUAAUCCAAAAUGAUGAUACGAGGUAAUCUAUAGUGACGAAAGAUGAUAUCAAAGAAGACUAGUGCAAGCAUUAGGACAUCAAUAUUCAAAUGUACCAUAGCCAAGUGAAGUUGCUUCAAGAAUCAAUCCACAAAGAUGACAACCGAGGUAUGAUUAUGAGGCAUCUGUAGCAAAUACGUAAUGACAUCCAUAGUCUUUUGCUCCCAACAUGCCGUAUGUGGCAAAAUUGGCUGCAAUAGUCCAAGAGACAUUGCAUUGCGUACUUUGUUAUGUUGACAUGAUUCACAAGAGCAUACAAAAGUUCAAACAUUACAAUCAAAUCCUAUCCAAAAUCAUGUCCUUGAAAUUUGUUCUAGAGUCUUUUUUCAUCUCAAAUGUCCAGAUAUUGGGAUAUCAUGUCCCUCUUGAAGUAUGCGUGUUUGGAAUUUAGGAUUGUCAGGUAUAUAAAUUUGUUUCUUGUAAUAGAAUAAGCCAUUACUGAAAGUAUAAUCAUGAUAUUGUAUAUUGUCCACCUUCAGUCGAUAUCUAACCAUCUUGAAAUAAGCAUCCUGAUGCAUAGCUUCUUUCCAUUCUACCUCUUUGGUUACAUCUAAAAUGAUACCACUAAUCAUAGCGACUUCUAUUUUAUCUCUCGAUUAGUCCUUUAGAUUUGGUCUUUGCGAUAAGCUAUCUAGCAUAAUAUAUUAUCUUUCUUGCUUGUAAUUAAGCUUGAUAUCAAAAAGCUACAAUUGUUCUUCUUAAUGAUGAUGUAGUAAUUUUAUAUUUUUUAAAUGCAAAUCUAGUAGCAAUGAUUGAUGGUCAAUCCAAACAAUCACUCGCUUUCCCAAUAGAUAGUAUCGCCACAUCUUUGUGGCAUGUACAAUUGCUAAUUGCUCUUGAUCACGUGCAUAGUAAUUGUGCUUUGUCUCUUUGAGCUAGCGUGAUUCAUAUGCCACAGAUUGAAGGCUUCUCUCAAAGUUUUGUUGAAAGACCGCUCCAAUAGGAAAGUCAAAAACAUCAAUGUUAAGCGUACAAAGAAGAUUAUGAUCAUAUGACUACAAUAUUGAAGUAGUAAUGAGUGUUUCUUUCAACUUAUUAAAGGUAUUUUAUUGCUCCAAUUUCUAUUGAAAUCGAGCACCUUUUUCUAAUAGGUUUGUCAAUGAGUCAGUAAUGUGAGUAAAUUUCCAAACAAAAUGGUGAUAGUAUCUAGCAAGACCUAAAAAUGAGCAAACAUCAGAAGCAUCUUUGAAGGUUGGCCAAUCCUUCACUGCUUUUAUCUCAUCUUACUCCAUACACAUGCAUUCGGAAGACACCACAUGUCCUAAAAAGAUGACUUCUGACUUCCAAAGUACACAUUUUGAUUGCUUGCAACAAAAGCAAAUAUCUUGUAAUUACCACAAUACUUCUCAUAGGUGUUAUUCAUGCUCUUUAGGGAUUUUAUUGUAUAUAAGGAUAUUAAUAAAGAUGACCACAUACUUGUCUAAAAUAUCUCAAAACAAUCUAUUUAUUUGAUCCAUGAAAGAGGCUAAAACAUUAGUGAGAUCAAAGGAUAAAAUCAACCAUUCAAAAUGUCCAUAGCACGUACAAAAUGUCAUCUUUUCUACAUCUUUUCUUGCAAUUGGCAUUUGCUAAUAGUUGCUUCAAAGAUCCAAUUUACUAAAGAUAGUUACACCUCAAAAUUAGUCAAGAAGAUCAUCCACUUAUGAACGUAGAUAUGCAUUUUUAAUAGUCUGCUUAUUGAAGCCUCAAUAGUUGAUGUAAAGGCAAAGUCCACCAUCUUUCUUAAGUACAAAGAGUACAAGUGCUCUCGAUGGUGAUGUGCUUUCUCAAGUGAGGCCUUUCUCCAAGAGUUCAUGUAAUCUCUUUCGCGGCUCUUUAAGUUCUUUUGGUGUUAGGCAAUAAAUUGGUCAACUAGUUGGUUUGGCUCUAGGCAAUAGUUCUAUUUUAAAAGAGGCACCUCAAUCAGGAGGUAUACUAUUAGGUAGGUUGGUUUGAAAGAUAUCCUCAUAUUUCCAUAUGAGUUGUUGUGGUUGUUCUAUUCCUUUGGCUAUCUUUUCCACUACUAAGAUAAAAUUUGGAACCAGCAUAUAUAUAUAUAUAUAUAUAUAUAUAUAUGAGUUACUCAUGCUAUAUUUAUUUUUUUUAUAAAGGUUGUUCCUACGAAUAAGUCUUUGGUUGCAGAUUGUCUUUCCUCUUCACUUGAUGCAAAAGUGCAAAGAGUCACCUUGUAUCUUCUAUCUUUAAAAGAGAUUGUCUUUGUUAUCCAAUAAACUUGCUUAUUUUCCAUCUCUAGCCAUGGCAUACCAAAGAUAACAUCAUACUUUAGCUUUGUCACUUUAAAUCUCUCUCUUAAGACGUAGGCAUUUGUCAAUUUCAAGGUUUUUUCUUUAUACCUCUCACUCAAUAUGUUUUCUCAGUCAUCUGCAAGGUAUAUACUUUCAUCUUUGAUUACUUUAGUUUCAAUUCUAAGCUAAUUGAGAAUUUCAAUAAAAAUGUAAUUUUUUGUAGAGCUACAAUCUACAAGCACUCGACAUGGUUGUCGUCGUAGUAGUUCCAUUAGAUGCAUCAAUUGACUCUUUUUAUAGUUGUGUAAGGCUAUGCCAUUUUUCUUUGAAAGACAGUAGCUAUCUCUAGUAUUGACCCUCGGCGCCUUUAUUGAGGAACCUUAUUUUAUUGCUCUAACUCAUUAUCGACUUGGUGAAUUUCAAGAAUACAAACUUGCCUUGUCUUGUUGGUACUUGAAUUAUAAUGUUUUGGAUAACCUCCGAUCUGAUGGCCUAGCUCCCAAUAAUAGAAAUACAAUCCUUUUUGUACCAAUAUUUUUUUAUCUUUGUAGUGUUAAUGAUCCUUGUAAGGCAUCAAUCUCUAUUGGUUUUGAUUGUCGUGUCAUAAUAUUAGAUAGCGCCAUAGGACUUCAUGCUAUAGGUCGUGCUCCAUGAUUUCUAAAAUCUAUAGCAUUGUCCCUCCCUACAAUCCAAAUUUCUUUUUUAAAUUUUUGUGGAUCAUUUAGCUCCACUCUUUGCUAGACUCCAAAUUUCAAACCUUGUAGAAAUUGAUUGAUCAUCUCCACCUCUGAAAUAUUGCCAAUUUAGAGACAUAGGAACUUGAAUUGGAAGACAUAAUCUUAUAUCGACUUAGCUUGUAUAAGAUCUGCCAACUGAUCACAUACUAUCUUCUCCACAUUGAUGGAUCAAAAUUGAUUCCUAAAUUAGAUUUCAAACUCCUCUCAGUCACAAAAUCUACCUUAAGCUCCCUAACUUUGAAUUCAAUGUCGCCACCAAAUGGUUGCCGCAUCUUUCAAAUAGUUAGGUGCAUAUAUGAUUCCUUCAGUGGUAUUUGCUUCAGAUAAUUGGAGGUAUUGUUGCAUGUUGAAGAACCAUUGACAUACAUCUUCUUGUCUUGAAGUUUUAGAAUAUUUACUAGGCUUAUACAAUUUCAAGAUAGCAGAUAUCAACUCCUUUGUCCUCAAGGCUUCUAUUUGCCUUUGCAAAGUAGCUAUCUAGCCAAAGAGGUGUUAUAUUUGAGCUUCCAUCUGGGAUUGUUCUACCAUAUCUCUCAUGCUCUAAUUCCUCCGCUAGACUCAAUUACUCUAAUGUCUUCUCAUUUCUUGAUUGAUUGAUUGAUUUUUUUUUUUUUUUCAAAGAAGCUUAUGGUAGCCUCAACAUAAUACCCAUUGUGACCACAACGAAUUGACUUUGGACUAGAUGAUGACUAUUGACAUACUACAAAGACUAAUCUAACACUCGCUCUGAUAUCAAUGAAAUAAGUUCAAAUUAUCUAAAAAAUCCAAGAUCCUUCUUAUCCACAACAAUAUACAGCCUCAUCAUAAAAUAGGUCAAAAUAGACUAGAAUAGAUAUGAACGGAAUUAAACAAAAUAGGACAUGAAAGAAAAAAAUUAAAUAAACAGAAAUAGAAUAGAACAGAUUUACAUAGAAAGGUGCAGAACAAAUUUUUUUUAAGAGAAAGGAUCCAAAGCCAUAUCUGACCAGAUGUCCUAGAAGGCCUUAGCCAAUCCUAGUUAUACCUUGUCCUAUUACUUUGGACUUUCGAGAAUAUUCUUAAGUAAUGGAUUCCAUUUAGAUAACUACCUUGAACCUUUUUUAGAAGGUUCUAUGGUAGGCCCCAUCUAAAUAACCAUCCUAAACUCUUUCUAAAAUGUUCUACGAUGGAUCCUAUUUGAUCCACUAAUCUAAUUCCAAUUCUAGAAAGUUCGAUGAUUCUAACUAUCUAUACAAUUAUCUUAUCUAUACCCUAUUAUAAGAAAGCUUGACUCUUAUCUCUAUAUAUACUCUUAACUAGGUGCUAUAUGACAAUGUCUUAUGGGACUUCUAAAACGUGUUGACUUUGCAAGAUACAUAUUUUAAUUUGCAAGGUAAGUUUUUUAUAUGUGUGCCACAUUGUUAGCUUCUUCCAUAAGCUAGCAACAUGUGGUUAACUUGUUGAUCAAGUUUCUAACCUACCAAUCAACUACAAACAUUUGUAAAGUCAAAGCAAUAUCUAUAAAGCUUCUAAGAAGCUUCUUAAGAAGGUAUUAUGAAAUUUAUCUACUUCUACCUACUCCUACCUAAUUAUAUAGGUAUUUACUAGAGUACUUAUGUAUAUCCAUGACAAAAGUUGUAACAUUUUUACAAUUCAAUGACAAUAUCAAUGCUACAUGUAUAUUUAAAAGUGAAGGAUAUGCAAAUUGAUGCAAUUAUAAAUUCCUCACUAAACAAGGAAGGAAUUGAUGUUGUCAAGAAGGAUUGUACUUAUAUUGUAGAAAACUUAAGUACACUAUUUAAUAUUAUUCAAAAAAAUAAUGUAGUCACAAAAUGACAAAGAUGGUUAUUAAAAAAUAAUAUAUUAAUUUUUUUGAUUAAAAUAGAAUUUUUCUUAAAUAUACUAUAUGAGAAAUCAAAUAAAAAGUUAAACAAAAGAGUUUCAACAAGAAAACUAACAAGAACUUGAUUAAAUCAAAUGAGUAUAAGAUCAUUACUAAAAGAGGUGAAAUAAAGCUCUAAAAGUUGUGUUAUUAAGAUUGAAGAUCUCUUUAGCCUCGAUUCUAAAAUAUACUAAGUAUUAAGAAAAUUUUCAAGAAGUUUUGAUAUUGCUUGAAGACUUAGCAAUUUUAAGAAGCUUUUUGGAAAACUUCCUUGAUCUUACUAAAAAUUUUAAGAAUCUACUAGAAUAUUUUAUGAAUUUUUUAAAAUCUUCUAUUAAAAUAUUUUUAAAAUCAUUAAAAAUCUUUUAAAACUUAAUAGAAUAUUCUAAGAAUAUUUAUAAAAUUUUCUUGUUGGAUGUUUGUAAUAUCAUCUCUGAGUUCGAAAAUAAGAAUUGGUUUUAUAUUUGCAAUAUAAUAAUCAAAGCUUGAGCAUCAUCUUGAAGGUUUUUUUGUUUGAGUUGACCAUAGCAUAGGCGUUUCUUCCUUUAAGAAGGUCCAACUUCAUCUUGAAGAUGAUCUUGCAAAGGUUGCUAAAGUUAAAAUAGUUGAUCUGACUCUACUUUGAGAUUCAUGAUCUAAAAACUCUCUAAAUACUUUCCGACUCAAUAUAUUAGAUCAUAAAUUGGAUAUACUAAACUCUAAUGUUGUUGUGAGAAAUACUUGCAAAAGUCUACUAUUUAUGUAUAGCAUUGGCUAGAGAGCAUUAACAUAGAGAGCAUUAAUUGUAUCUAACACAAUACAAAGUAGAUACAAAAGAUAAUAUUUGAACAUUGAGCAUUGUUGGCAAUAUCCAUUAGCAUAAACAUUGAUGAUACUUGAAAUUUUUCUAUUUUCAAAAAGAUGAUAAGACAUAAAUAACAAAUAAAUACAAUCAAUGCAAGAACCAAUUAUAUCAUUACAUGGAACCAAAGAAUACCAUUAUAAGGAUUAAUAAUUAACAAUAAUAUACAAACAUAGUAUUAAUUACGUCCAUACUUUAAUACAGCCACUUUUACAUCCAUGUAAAUAGUUGUUGGAUGUAGGUUGAUCCUUCUUCUUUAAUUGUUUUCUACUUAUUCAAAGCAUCAAGUAUACACUGUUAUGUGUCUUUAUGUAAAGCAAAAUAUGUAAAAAAAUAAACUGGAGAACUUCCCAUGCCUAACCUAUUGCAUUCUCUUUCAACGGUGUGAGAAACAUCAACUUCUCACUUCCACACGAGGCUGUAGGAGCAAAGCGACCACGUAGCCAUGACGACUCCCCUGUGGCAGCCGUAGGUAUGGUCCAGUGCUUAACGCUGGUUCGCACACUCACAAGCCAAGAUGAGGCAGUGAGGCUCAAGCAACCAUCCCAUCGCCCCGUCUGAGCCCAAGCACCGAGGCACCCGGAAUGUUCGACGCGAGAGCACUUGCAGCACCGCAUCUCACUUCCAAAACUGGGAUCACACCAUGAAGAUCAAUCGACUGGACAAUCACACUGUGGAACCAUCCCCAAAACUACUCUCCCCGGGUCGGAACGAACCAACGAACAAAGGAAGGAACGAACGCGGGUGGGGAGGGAGGGGACGGUCACGUUCACCCGGUAGGGCUUUUAGCGGUGGGUGAGAAGACGGUCACGGGUCCUCCUCACGCGGCCACAGGCACCCGCCUCUCGGCCCGCUUUCGCUGUGUGCGAGUGAGUGAGUGUGCCUUUAGUGCGUGCUGCGCCCUACUACCAUCCAUAGCCAGCCAGGAGCUUCAUUCAGGCUUGGUGCAGCCCCGCUGCGAGUGCGGAUCCGUGUGCGAACCGCGACCCAGUGGACGCACCCCAGGAUUUGGUGGUCUGAGGAGGAAUUGGUGUUGCACUUGGGCGUGAGGAGAAGCCGCAAGGAUGCCGAAGAACAAGGGAAAGGGAGGAAAGAACCGGAAGAGAGGAAAGAACGAGGCGGAGGACGAGAAGCGGGAGCUGGUGUUCAAGGAGGAUGGGCAGGAGUACGCGCAGGUGUUGAGGAUGCUCGGGAACGGGCGGUGCGAGGCGCUGUGCAUCGAUGGGACUAAGCGGCUUUGCCACAUCCGGGGGAAGAUGCACAAAAAGGUGUGGAUUGCGUCGGGGGACAUCAUAUUGGUGGGUCUGAGAGAUUACCAGGACGACAAGGCGGACGUGAUUCUGAAGUACCAGCCGGACGAGGCCAGGCUUUUGAAGGCGUACAGCGAGCUGCCCGAGAACGUGCGUCUGAACGAGGGUAUCGCCGGAGGCAUGGACGAUGAGGAAGACGGUGGCGGUGACGACUACGUGGAAUUCGAGGAUGAAGACAUCGACAAGAUUUGAGGAGGGUGCGACGCUGGGUUUGUGUUGGGGGCGUACGCAGCGGAGGGCGUGGGAGGUGGGGGGGGGGGGGGGGGGGUGGUAACCCUAAGUGUCGAUGAUGUUUAUGUUCGUAGGAACAGGGACGAAGCUCUGGUGGACAAGUUGGUGAGAUUCCCGGUCUGCGAAGAGACGGAACGGAAGUGCGAAGUGUACAUGGCGAUGGAGUAUGGAGGGCGAUUUAGUGGAGUUAUGUGGUAGCAGGGCGUCCGUGGUUGGGGAAUAGGGUGGAAGGACCGGGAAGUGGGUGUCCUGGAAGUCCUGGAAGUGGGAUAUUUAUGAAUUCAGACUGCAUGUGUUUUGUUUUUGCGAUGUUCCGUCACUCACGUUGCUGGUGCUUGGAAGGAGGACCCGGAGAGGUCACAUCAAUAUUGUGCAAUCAAGUGGCUGAAUGCGUAUCAAGUGCAGGCAUAAAGUCUGUCCCUUUUGGUUGCGCAACAGUGUUUACCAACAGCCACUGAGAUGUAGUACCUUGUAAAGAGACUUCUAGAUCAUUGCGUUCAGUGCUAUUACAAUGGAAAGGUGAAAGAGAAUCAUGUAAAAACUAUUGAUUUUUAUGUAUUGUUGAGGGCAUUAUUCUAAACAAUUCAAGACUGUUUUUUCUGAGCUAUGAAAUUAAGACGGUCAUCCUAAUAACCUUGUACUAUUGUAUAUUUUACAAUCACUUAAGUUGCCAUCAUCUUCUUAGAUCUAGUUUUGGCUUUAUUUCUAUUUUUACACAGAUGUUGGAUGGCACAUUGUUUUGUUUUGUUGUUUUUUGUGUUUUUGACACAAAGAUGGGGUAUAUUCAGUGCAUGGAUACAGUGGAUCAUGGUUAAUGAAUUGACUUCUUAGCUCCUAAUUCCAAAGAGAUGGAAUGAGCAUGCUGAGUGAAGUAACUAUCAACUAAGACUUCUACUUUUAGGUAUAAUUAAUCCGUUCAUGAUUUUCUAAAAUUCCAUUUUAUUGUUUGGUUUGAUCUUGUGCCAAGAAGGUGUUUUAUCAUUCAUGAUUUGCCCCAUUUCUCAAGGAGUGUAGUCUCAUGUUUAAUAUGUACUGCCAAUUUCUUCCUAAUUGUUAAUUAAGGAUUUUUUUUGUAUUUUACUAAUUAAUUUCAAAACAUGCUUUUAUAUAGUCCACAAACAUAGAUCUCUAAGUAGCAACUAUAUUUUGUAAAAGUAUGUAAUUUGUGGAAGAGGCUUUCUUUCAAAGAUAGCUUAUUUCUAUAAGAAUGUUUUCUAAGAUCUUCAUUCCUACAAGUUUUAGGCGAGUUUGUAAUAGGAUGUGGUUCAAUUCUAAAUUUUGCAACUAACUAAUACUUCCAUAACCUAUGUAGAAUAGUUUCACAAUCAAUAUUAAUAGUUGGAUUAUAAUGCACAAUCAAUAUUAAUAGUUGGAUUAGCCUGUCUUCUCUAAGUAUUAACUAUCACACUUUUGUAUUAUAUAAGUCAAAUAUUUUUUUUUCUUUUUGGAAUUAGAAUUUAGAUCAAAUGUCAUUCUAGUUGAAAGAGAAGUCUUCUUCAAAAAGGAAAUUCUAUUUGUUGACAAGGUUUCUUUGAAGAAUUAUUUGGCCAAGUUUUGUUAUGUAAGAUACAAGAAAGAUGGAAAUUUAAGCCUAAGAUUGAAACUCAUUUGUCAUUAGAUUUUGCCAAUCUUAUUCUAAAAUUUUGAUCCACAUACCAUUUGUAAAUUGGAGUAAAGGUCCAUAAACAAUCAAAGUGCUAUUUUCAUAGAACUUUUAAAAUGGCGUUUAUUAUUCCAAAUCUAUUUAAUUGGUUGAUAUUAACAAUUUUAAGUUGAAGAGCACCUAUUGUCAAGGACAUGAAUCUCAAAGAAAGAAAACUCAAUACACUCUUAUAUCACUUGAAAAGAUUCAAAAGUCACUUAAAGAUGAUAAUAUAUUGAAUUAGAAUAGCUAUUGCCACAGACAAAAAGAUUGAAAAGUUUUGAAAUAAGAUUAAUGACUAGAAAGGCAUUGAUAAGAAUGAAGAAGGCUUUAGUCUUGCCUCUACAUAUAUAAUCUUAUUAAGAUCUAUGUAAUGAUCUUUUAUGAGACUUCCAACUCAUGUUGACUUUGCAAGACACGUAUCAUGUUUUCUAUAUGUGUGCCACAUAAUAAACUUGUUCCACAAGCUACCAAUACAUAUGACAAAUGGUCAUCUUAUUGACCAAAUUUUUAACCUAUUAAUCAAAUUUUAAACCUAUCAAUCAUAUGUAAAGUCAAAAUCAUUUCUACAAAGCUUCUAUGAAACUUCUUUAAAAAAUAUUAUAAAAAUGAUAUACUUUUACCUACUUCUACCUAAUUACAUACAUAAUUAUCAAAAUAAAUAUGUAUAUCUGUGAUAUCUAUCAUAUAUUUUGUAACAACAUUUAGUCACCUUUUUAAAGUCAAUUUGAUCAAAUCCUCCAAUCUCUCAACACUUAUAAUUAGACCAUGUUAUAUUUAUUCUUCUUAGAGAGAUAUCAUGCAAAUACAAUGUAAGAGAUCAAAUAAGAAGUUGAACAUAAGUAUUACAAACAUUUAACUGGAAAAUUUUAGAAAUAUUUUAGUAUUAUUCUAUUAGAUUUUAAAAGGUUCUAUAAGAUUUUAGAGAGAUUCUUAAAAUACUUUAGAUGGUUCUAAAUGGUUCUUAAAAUAUUCCAACAGAUUUUAGAAAAUUCUAAGAAAAUUAAGGAAAUUAUCUAAGAAGCUUUUUAGAAUUGCUUCAUCUUCAAGCAACAUGAAAACUUCUUAAGAAGCUUCUUAAAUUUGCUUCUUUUUCAAGCAACAUGAAAACUUCUUAAAAAGCUUCUUAAGGUUGCUUUAUCUUUAUACAACAUGAGAACUUCUCAAGAAGCUUCUUAAUACCUAAUAUAUAUUAAAGUUAAGAUUGAAGAGAUCUUCAAUCUUAAUAAUAGAUCUCUUAUAAUUUUAACUCACAUUUGUUGGUACUGAUCUUAUAUUCAUUUCAUUUAAUCAAGUUCUUAGUAGCUUUCUUGUUGAAACUAUUUUGUUCAACUUCUUGUUUUGUUUCUUUCAUUUUAUAUUCAUGACAAUUUGUCGAGAUUGCCUUCUUAUUAAUAUUAGAAAUUAAUCCUUCUUGAUAGAGAGUAGAUUAUCCUUCUUCUUGAAGGCAUCUAAGUACUUUAGAGAUUGUAGAGUAUAUUCCUCUAAAUUGGUAUUAUUUAAAAACUCCCCUUUUUUCUUUUAAGAUGAAUGGAGGUGAAGAUGUUAGUAUAGUUGAGUCUCUUGAGUCUAAAGAUAGAAGUUAUUAUGAACACAUUGAAUGCUUUAUCUUAUAGAAUUGCUGAAAUUGAAGAUUUUUGCAAGAUUUCAUGGUGAUGCAAGACCAAGAGAAAUUUAGCAUAUGAUGCAACUACUUUCUCAAACUUCUACAUCCAAGGAGGUGGUGGUACAUGUACCUCAACAAGAAAAUUUAUCUAUUCAAUAGUAUAAAGAGCCUUAGAUUAGUCUUUUAAAAAAGUUAAAUGACAUAUAUUCCAAGUUUCAAAGGAUUAUUUAUUAAAUUUGAUUAGUAACUUUUUUAUAACUUAAGCACUAUCUAAUAGAAGAAUCAUGAGUUAGUUUAGUUGGAACCUUAUUCACAAUUCAAGUCUUAUCUUGGUUUGUUCUUUUAUUUGAAAAAAGAUCUCUAAUCUUGAACAACUUUGAAGCUUUUUUAGAAGCAUUUGUAGAAGCAUUUUGAGAACAUGACAAGGCCCAAUGGAUGAUAAUAAAGAUUCACUUAUUAUUUUAGGAGUCAUAUUUUGUAUCAAUUUAUACAUUUGAUUUUAAGAAAUUGGCUUGUGACAUCAAUUAGGAUGAAGAAGUUCUUAUAAAUCAAUUUUAUUGGAGACUAGAGAAUGAUGUGAUAAAUCUAUUAUAAUUUUUUUUUUAAUCCUCAAGCAUUCAAUGAAGCUUUCAACCAAGAUUUGAUGUGCAAUUCUUAAUUAUUACAAUGUUGUCAAGAUCAAAAUUCAUGGAUUUUGGCAAAACAAUGCAUUAGAAAUUUGUACUUUCUUGCUUCAGUAAAUAUAUUACAUCCACACGUUGAAGCUAAAAAUAUUUAAAUUGAUGCAAUAUGGUUUAAAUCUCUUACAAUAGAAGAAAAGAAGCAUCAAUUUUAAUAAGGCCUAUUCUUAUAAUAAAAUAAAAUAGGUCAAUAAUCUUAGAAUUGUCCAAAGAAACAACUUAAAACUAAGACUAGGAGUUUAAUUGUUUAGAAAAGAAAGAAAUUCAGCCACAAUAGAAAGCAUAUAAUUGAACAUUUCAACACCUCAAAUUUAUCAAGGUCCUUCUUUCUCUGCCCAGUCUACAUGUUGUUCUAUUAUAUCUUUUUUUCUUAGUUCAAAAAAACUUCAAACAAAUGCCUUAUUAGAUUCAAGAACAUUUCCUUACUUUUUAGAUGAAGAAUUUUCUAAACUUCAUAAAAUCCCUUCAGUAUAAAAGCCAAAACUUAUAUACAUAGAAAUAAUAAAUGGUCAAUCUUUAUCUUCAAGUAAUAUUAUUCAUGAGACUAUAUUAUUAAAUAUAUCAUUUGAAGGCCAUAAUAGCAAAAUAAUAUUUAAUAUUAUUAAAAAUCCAUCUAAUCAUAUCAUUUUAGGACUUUUAUGGUUAAAAAGAUUGGAGAAUUUAUAAGGUUAAAUUUUAUACAUGUAUAUAAUCCAUCUAUAGAUUGAAGGCUUUAUAAGGUUAAAUUUUCCAUAGAAUUCUUUUGAAAAAAAUUUAUCAAAAAGUCAUCAAUAACAAAGUCAAAUUCCUUAUUUCUUGCAGCAAAAGCUUUUAUGAAAUCGACUAAGAAAGAGAUGCCAUUUUUCAUUUAUGCAAAUUUAGUUCAUAAAGAAGUAAGCUUGCCAAUAGCUAUUCCAAAAUAAUAUAAGAGAUUUUAAGAUAUCUUCAAAAAAAAAAUGUUGACAUAUUUUUGAGACAUCAUUUGUAUGAUUGUACCAUUGAGCUUUAAGAAAGAACUCAACCACUAUUUGGUCCAAUCUACAACUUAUCAAAAAACAAGCUUAUGAUAUUAAAAGAUUAUAUUGAUAAAAAUCUUGCAAAAAACUUUAUUUGACAUUCCAAAUCUCUAAUAGAUGUACUAAUAUUUUUCAUAAAGAAAAAAAAAAAUAGAUCUUUAUAAAUGUAUAUUUUUUAUCUUAGCUUCAACAAAAUAAUGGUGAAGGAUUAUUACUCGUUAUUUUUAAUAUCAAGGUUUUUGGAGCAACUUGGUCAAGCUAAGAUGUACAUUAGAAUAGAUUUCUAUAGAACGUACAAUUUGAUACAAAUUAAAGAAGGAGAUGAAUAGAAGAGAAUAUUUUUAAUAGAGUAUGGAUAUUUUGAAUAUAAUCUCAGGCCUUUUUUAUUGAUACAUGCUCUAAUUAUAUUAUAGCAUUUGAUAAAUGAUAUUUUUCUAGAAUUUUCAAACAAGUUUGUUGUUUGCUAUCUUAGUAAUAUCUUAAUUUUUUCUAAGAGUAUAAAAGAAUAUAAAAAAUAUAUGAGAUUAAUCUUACAAAAGUUAUAGAAUAUAAGAUUAUAUGCCAAAUAGAAGAAAUGUAUAUUCUAUUAGCCAAAAGUAAUAUUACUUGGAUAUGUUAUAUCUAAUGAAGGCUUAUUGAUGGAUCUUAAGAAAAUUUGAGCUGUAAUGAAGUGAAAAAUUCCAAAGACAAUAUGAGAUGUACAAUAUUUUCCUAGGUUUGCUAAUUUCUAUAAAAUAUUUAUAAAGAAUUACUUUCAAAUUACUGAUCUUCUUACUCAAUUGACAUCCAAAGAUAAAUUCAAAUAGAGACUUCAAGCACAAAAGGAUUUUCAAGAUUUGAAGGUAGCUUUUAAUACAACCCCAAUUUUAAUGCAUCCAAAUUUUAUAAAGGCCUUUUAUUUUAAGAUUGAUACUUUUGACUUUUUAUUAGGAGCUAUACUAUCAUAUAUAAAAAAAGAUGGGAAGCUUGACUCAAUUUUAUUUUAUUCUAAAAAAUUUGUAGCUAUGAAGAUCAAUUAAAAAAAUUUCCAAUAAAGAGAUUCUUGUGAUUAUAGAUUCUUUCUUAAAAUGGUAUUACUUAUUAGAAGGCAUUAAAUAUCUUAUGAUUAUAUAUACAGAUCACAAAAAAUUAGAAUAUUUUAUGUCAAAUUAGGUUUUGAAUUGCAAUCAAACAAGUUGGAAUAUGUCAUUAUCUCAUUUUGAUUUUGUGAUUACAUAUCAAUUAAAAAAGCAGCAAGAAUUAUUAAACGCUUUAUCAAAGAGAUCAUAUCUUAUUCCAAAGAUCAAAGAAAUAAUAUUUCAUUGAUAAUAUACAAUACUUUAAAUCAUAAAAAAAUUUAUCUUUGUGCUAAUUUUAUAGUUAUGUAUGUGUCACGGACAUUCACAUGUAAGCCAAUAAUUACUUGUAUAAAUAAAUAGAAAUAGAAGUAGAUAAAAGUAAGUUAAUUCUAUAAUAUCUUCUAUGAAAGCUUCCUAGAAGCUUUAUAGAUAUUUUUUUGACUUUAUAAAUGACUUUAAUUGACUUUUUGGAUUAAAAAUAUAGGCAUCAAGUUGGCCAUGUGCCACACAUGUUAUUAGCUUAAGGACCAAGCUAACUAUAUAGUGGAUAUAUAGAAAAACUUGCCUUAUAAUUUAAGGCAUGUGUCUUACAAAGUCAACACAUAUUGGAGGUCCUAUAGAACAUUGCCACAUAGCCCCUAGUUAGAUAGUAUAUAUAGAGACAAGAAUAAAGCCUUCUUCACUCUUGUCAAGUCCUUUCUUGCUUUUAGUCUAGUUUUAAGAGUCUUAAGUUUUUUUGUCUUUUAGCAAUAAGCCAUUCCAAUUUCUUUUUAAUAUAUGUACUUCUUUAUUUCUAUUUUUUUACUUUUUUUUGACACAGAUUUCAUUGGUUUAUGCAUCAUCUUAUAGUUCAUGUUCUUAACAAAUUAACAAGAGUACACUUAUAAUAUCAAAGCUUUGUCUUAUCUUGAUUAAGAAUAGGUUAUUUUUUUCUCAUGAUAACACAUAAGAAUAUUAGAAGUUAUAAAUUAUCUUCUUCUAAACUAAUAUUGUUCUUACUACUUUCUUUGUCCUCAAGUCCUUUCUUCUACUUGACUUGAGUGGUACUAGAUAUUUUUUCUGAGUGUUAUUAUAGCAGAGCUUGUUGAAAUGGAGAGUGCAAUGGCACAAAUGUAAGAGCAAUUGAGGAAAUUUAUGCUUCCGAUGCAUCAACUUAGCUUACUAUCACAAGGAUCAACAAGAAUGGUAGGAAGUGAAGAUAUAGAGAUGAUUAGAGCCGCCUUAAUAUAUGCACCAAAUCAUGUCCUUCUAUCCAUAGUAGACCAUCCUUUAAGUAUUAGAGAAGCAAGAGUUGCAAUGCUCGAGAAGUUUGAUGGUACAAGAUCCAAAUUUCAAGGAUUUGUCAAUCAAGUACAACUUGUGAUUGAACUUCAACCUUAAAGCUAUCUAAUUCUAGGAUUACAAGCUAGAUUUAUUAGUACACUUCUUUUAGGUUCAGCACUUUUAUGGUUUUCAUGUUUUUUUGAACGAUGAGAUCUAAUAUUAGAUGAUUUGAAGGCAUUUUUGGCCAAAUUUUGGUCUAUGUAUGAAGACCAUGAUGCAAAUCAUGUUGCAACCAACAAAAUCUAUAUUAUGCAAUAAAGCAAUCAAUUUGUAACAUUAUAUACUUCCUAGUUUUGACAACUUACAACUAAUAUCAAGUGCGAUGAUAUUGUACUUAUUAGCCAAUUUUUCUAUAGAUUACAAUAUGAAGUAAAAAAAUUGAUGUUCAACUUACGUGAUCCUCAAACAUUCAAUCAAGUAAUUAACUUUGCUGUAAAAUGUGUUAAUUGGUUUUUUGAAUUUCUAAUGAAGGUCCUAUCGUCUCCUCAGAACCCUCUCUUUGUUUUAUAAUAGAUGUAUAUUUAGGACCUAACAAUUAUAAAGCCUUCAUCUUAAUAGAUUCAAGAACCUCAGCUUGUUUUUUAGACGUAGAAUUCGUUAAAAAUCAUAAAAUAUUAUUAGUACAAAAAACUAAACCUAUUCAUAUAGAAAUCAUAGAUGGUCGUCCGUUAUCUUCUAGAGAUGUUACUCAUAAAAUACUUCCUAUAGAUGUAGCAAUAAAUGAUCAUAGUAAUUGUAAAUCUUUAAUAUAAUUAGAUCUCCCUAUAAUCCAAUCAUUUUAGGUUUAUUGUGGUUAGAAAACUAUAAUCUUUACAUAGAUUGGAUUUUUCAUACUCUUGACUUUUUUAAAAGUAUAAUUAAGAGUGAAAUUAAUCCAAUAAAAGUCAUAAGUUUAGUACAAUAAAACUUGUGUUUGUACGUGUGAGAGCUUUCUUGUAUGUUACCAAAGAAGAAUCACCUUAUAUUAUUUACGCUACACAUAUUUCUAAUGAUACAAAGACUUGAAGUGGCAUUCUAAGCCAAUAUCAAGAGUUUCAAGAUGUAUUCAAGAAGAAGAAUGUAGAUACUCUUCCAAAAUGUUGUCCCUGUGAGUGCUCAAUUGACUUUCAAGAAGAAGUACAAUCGCCAUUUGGACCAAUCUAUAGUUUAUCACAAAAUGAACUAGCUGAAUUCAAGAAAUAUAUUGAAGAGAAUCUGGCUAAGAACUUCAUACACUAUUCUAAAUUACUAAUAGAAGCUCCAAUCUUUUUUGUAAAGAAGAAAGAUGGAUCAUUGCAAAUGUAUAUCAACUAUCGAGGAUUCAAGAAGAUCACCAUCAAGAAUAGAUAUCAUCUAUUUUUGAUAUCUAAACUUUUUGAUCAAUUAAAUCAAGUUGAGAUCUAUACAAAAAUAGAUCUAUAGAGAGCUUACAAUUUAGUAAGUAUUAAAGAAAGAGAUGAAUGAAAGACUACUUUUUGAAGUAAUUAUGGAUAUUUUGAAUACAACUUCAUGCCUUUCCGACUUACAAAUCCAUCAGCAACUUUUCAACAUCUAAUAAAUGAUGUUUUUUGAGAAUUUUUAGAUGAUUUUAUUGUCUGAUAUCUGGACAACAUCUUGAUCUAUUCUACAAAUAGAGAUAAAUAUAAACUUUAUAUUUGUUGCGUGUUACAAAAAUUAAGAGAUGCGUGAUUCUAUGCCAAGAUAAAAAAGUAUGUACUCCACACUACUGAAGUCGACUUCUUAGGAUACAUCAUUUCAAAUGUUGGACUUGUGAUGGAUCUUAAGAAAGUUCAAACUAUUAUGGAUUAGAAGAUUUCAAAUAUGAUAAGAGAUGUCUAAUGCUUUUUGAGCUUUGCCAUCUAUUAUCAAAUCUUUAUUAAAGACUUCUUUUGAGUUGUAAUUCCACUUAUACGUUUGACUUGCAAAGACAAAUUUGAGUGGAGCAAAGAAGCUGAAGCAUCUUUUGAAGCUUUGAAGUCAACUUUUAUUUUUGCACCAAUUUUGUAUUGUGUUGACUUUUUUAAGGUAUUUUUUAUACAAGUAGAUGCAUGAGACUUUGCUUUGGGUGCUGUAUUAUUAUAAAUGGAAAUAAAUAAUAGACUUCACUCAAUAGAAUUUUAUUUUAGAAAAUUUUUAAUAGUCGAGAUUAAAUAUGAAAUCCACAAUAAAGAACUUCUUGCAAUCAUGGAUUUAUUUCAAGAAUGGCAUCAUCAUCUAGAAGGCGCUUCCAAUCCAGUCAUCAUAUAUAUGGACCAUAAGAAUCUCAAGUACUUUAUAUCAGCACGUAUUUUAAAUCGUCACCAAGUCCAUUGGAGCAUGUCUUUAUCAAGAUUUGAUUUCAAGAUCACAUAUCAACUUAUAAAACAACAAGGUUUAAUAGACGCCAUUUCUAGAUAUUCUUAUCUUACACCAAAAGAAAGAAAUGUAUAUUUUGAUCAACAAAAAAUGAUUCUCUUGAAGCUAGAGCAUUCUCAUCUUCGAGUAAUGAAAUCAACAUUGACUGUUAAUUCAAUCCUUGUGAAACAAAUCCAAUCAAGUAUGUCUUUUGAUCCUCUUGUUCACAAUAUUAAGAAUCCUUCUUCUAAGUUCCAAGAUACUUCUAAGUUUGAGUUCAAUAAUAACCUACUCUAUUUUGAAGGUCGAUUAUAUUUUUCAAAAAAAAAACAUGAUUACAUGUUGUUCAAGGACAUCACGACUUUUUAGUAGUAGGACAUUUUGGAUACAACAAGAUUUUAGAGCUUAUAUUUAGAGAUUUUUAGUGGGCACAAAUGUGGAAGGGUGUAAAAGACUUUGUUCAUUCAUGCGACGUUUGCUCAAGUUCAAAAACUCCUCGUCAUCAAUCUUAUGGAUUUUUUCAACCAUUAUCCAUUCUAAAACAACCAUGGUCUUCUAUUUCUAUAGAUUUUAUCAUAGAUCUUCUAAUCUCAAGUUCUUAUGACUCUAUAUUUGUAAUAAUAGAUCAUUUUACUAAGAUGGCACAUUUUAUACCAUGUAUAAAAUCUAUCAUAGGUGAAGAAACAACUAAAUUUUUUCUUGACAACAUCUAUUGUUAUCAUAGAUUAUCCAAGGAUAUUAUUUUCGAUAGGAGAACAGAGUUUGUAUCAAGAUUUUGGCGGAUUCUUUUCAAGAUUUUUAAUAUAGAUAUUAAACUAUCUUCGACAUUCUAUCUUCAAAUUAAUAGACAAAAGGAGCUUGUUAAUCAAGUUUUAGAGCAGUAUUUAAGAUGUACCAUCAAUUGUCAAUACAAUGAUUACACAACUCUUUUGCCAUUGGCAAAGUUUGCUUAUAAUAAUGUGGUACAUUUUUUGUAAAACAAACACCUUUCUUUGCCAAUUAUGGUUAUCAUCCACAACUUGAUACUUUUGACUUUUCAAAAGUUAAUAAUCCUGCAACAAAAGAUUUGGCAAAUUAUUUAUCAAAGCUAUAGCAACAACAAAGAUAUAGUUAAAAGAAGCUUAAGAACAUUAAAAGAUCAAUGCAAAUGUCUAUUGAAAGAAACAACCACCAUUCCACAUGGAUGACAAAGGAUGAUUACUUUAUUGUAAUAUCAAGACUACUCGUCUUUGUGACAAGUUGGACUAUUGUAAGCUUUGACCAUUUUCUAUUUUUGUACAAAUCAAUCUAGUUGCAUAUUGUUUAUACGUACUAAAGUCAAUGAAAAUCCAUCUAAUAUUCUAUGUAUCUCUUCUUUAACCAUAUAAGAAAGUAGACAUACCAAGAAGAAGACAAGUGCCACUUCUUGCUAUAAAAGUGGAUAAUAAUGAAGAAUUUGAAGUGGAAGAAGUCUUAGACUUAAGGCGGUGCCAAAAUAAGUUGAAAUAUCUUGUUCAUUGAAAUGGAUACAAUAUUAGUAAACACACAUAGAAGCCAAAAAAGAAUCUUGCAAAUGCAACAAAAAAGGUAGAGACUUUUCAUUGACAACAUCCAUCAAAAUCAAGAUGAAAAUCUUUUCUAUAAAAGAAACAAGAUUUAGGCAAGAUAACAUUUUACUUUCAAUCCUUAUUUGUAGCUUCUUUGUAUUUAUUAUGCUAUAGAAAUAGAAAAUCAACAACUAGCAAAUUCGAUUGAAAAGCCUUUGUUUGUUGAGCUGCCGGAUAAAAUAUUGCAAUUGUCACAACCUUCAAGAUGAAGCAAUUGAAAUGAAGAUCUUCAAGAAUGACAUAUUUUUUCUUGAAUAGAUGACAAGAUAUAACGCUUUUGGUAUCACGACCUUAGUAGAAACUCUCAAUGUGUGAUAAUUUUAUUAGAGGUAAAAAUAACUCUUCAUGGUGUUUCAAAUAUUUUAUUUGAAGGAAGUUAUGAAGGCCUCAAUAAUGACCAAAUAACAAGGUGGUCUUUCCACCUUGGUAUGAGAUAUUAUCAAUGGUUGAGAGGCCCUAUCAACCAUCUUCAAAGAGAACAAAGAUUUGAGUAUGUGGCAAAUACAAUUUUUUACAUUAUAGAUUUUUUCAACAUAUGAUGACCGCUUCUCAUAGAAAUCGUCUCUAGAAGGGAGGAUAAUAUCAUAGAUAUAUACAUGUAAGCCAAUAAUUACUUGUAUAAAUAGGUAGAAGUAAAUAGAAGUAAGUUAAUUCUACAAUAACUUAUAAAAAAGCUUCUUAGAAGCUUUAUAGAUGCUACAUUGACUUUAUAGAUAUCCAUUGUUGAUUUUUAGGUUAAAAACUUAGUCAAAAAAAUAAUCAUGUACCAUAUAUGUUGAUAGCUUGAAGAACAAGCUAAUUAUGUGGCACACAUGUAAAAAAACUUGCCUUGUAAGUCAAGGCAUGUGUCCUAGAAAGUCAACACAUAUUAGAGGACCUAUAGAACAUCGCCAUAUAGCCUCUAAUUAGAUAGUAUAUAUAGAGACAAGAGUGAAGCCCUCUUCACUCUUAUCAACUCCUUUCUUGCUUCUACUGUAGUUUCAAGAGUUACAAGUUUUCUGGUCUUUUGGCAAUAAGCUAUUUCAAUUUCAUUUUAAUAUAUGUACUUCUUUAUUUUUAAUUUUUUAAUUUUUCUUUCACACAUAUUUCAUUAGUUUAUGCAUCAUCUUAUAGUUCAUAUCUCUAACAUGACGAUUCAUUUUUUUUAAAUAAAUUUGUACAAUAUUAGCUAAAGAUUGAUUAGUAUGUAAUAUCAAGCAGUACCUUGACAACAACAAGUUCAAAUUUAAAGAAGAUCUUUUAUAUUUUAAAGAUUAUUUAUAUAUUCCAAAAAGAACAACAUAACUUUGUAUUCUUCAAUCUUAUCAUGAUUUUUUAGCUUUAGGACAUUUUAUAUUUAAUAAAACAUUAGAUCUUAUGUCUUGAGAUUUUUAGUAGCUUGAAAUGUGAAAAACCAUGAUGGACUUUGUCUUCUUAUAUGACAUUUGUUCAAAAUCUAAGAAUUCUCGACAUUGUCUUUAAGGACUUCUACAACCAUUAUCAAUCUUCAAGUGACCAUGGUGCUUAGUAUCAAUAGAUUUUAUCACUAAUCUAUUGCUAUCAUUUAUAUUUGAUUCUAUCUACGUUGUUGUAGAUUAACUUAUAAAUAUGGUAUAUUUUGUCUCUUAUAAAAAGGUAAUUUUUGAAGAAGAAAAAACAAGAUUCUUUUUUAGUAUUAUAUAUUGAUAUUAUGGCCUAUCUAAAGAUAUCAUUUUUAUUUGAAGACCUCAUUUUAUAUCAAAAUUUUUAAAAUCUUUUUUUGAAAUAUUAAAGAUGGAUAUCAAAUGUUUAUUUGCCUUCUAUCUUCAAACCAAUGGUCAAAUAAAAUAUAUCAAUCAAGUUUUGUAGCAGUAUUUAUAAUGUACCAUCAACUAUCAACAAGAUGAUUGGAUCUUAUAUUUAUCUUUAAUAAAGUUUGCUUAUAAUAAUAUUUUUAUACUUCAAUUUAAUAAGCACUAUUUUACUUUAAUUAUGGUUAUAAUCUAAAGUUUGAUUUUUUUAAGUACAUCAAAGGAUAGAAAUCCAAUACUUAAAGAACUUGCAAAAUAAUUGUCAAUGCUCUACCUAACUUUGAAGCUCCAUUUGUAAGCAACUGAAGAUUCUUACAAAAAAUCUUUAAAAGAAUCUAAAUAAGAACUCUUUACUUUUCAAGUUGGAAAUAAAGUAUGGCUUCUUUGACAAAAUAUUAAGAUCAAUGGACUUUGCAAUAAGUUCGAUUAUUAAAUUUUAGACUAUUUUAUAUUCAAAAGCAAAUCAAUCUAGUGGCUUAUUAAUUGGAACUACUCACAUCUAUAAAGAUGCAUCUAGUCUUUUAUGUAUCUCAUUUUUAGGCUUAUUUAGAAUCAAUUAUUUCAAGAAUAUUAAUACCAUCAUUACCUUGCAUUGAAAUAGAUAAUCUUAUAGAAAUUGAAAUUGAAAAGAUCUUUGAUUCUUGGCAAAAAAGAGGCAAGUUUGAAUAUUUUAUUCAUUGGAAUGGUGUUAUAUUAUGUGUUUUUUUGCUUGAAAAUAUAUUGAGCACACAACAAUAGAAGAUAAGUAGAAAUGCAAGAACAAUUCUAUCAAGUCUAAUAGAAUCUUUAAUAACCUUUUGUAGACCUUAAUAAUCUUGAUCAAAUUUUAACCAAUCAAAAAUAAAUUUAAAAGAAUUUAUUAAAGGAAUAUGACACCUAAGUCCUAAAUUAAUCUUUAAAAAAAAUUAAAAAACUUAAAAAAAUAUGAAAAUAAAAUUUUAAAUAUAUGACAAUAAUCUUAUAGAAAUAUUAGAAAAAAAAAUCUUUAAAGAAAAAAAAAAGAAUUCUAAAGAAAUAUUAAAAAUUCAUUUUUAAUAUUAGAAACCAAUCCUAAUACAAACCCUAGAUUUUAAACAAACUCUAUAGCAAAUAGAACCUCAAUAAUUAAUAAUUAAAUUAUUGAUGUGAAUUCAAAUUUUUUACACUUUUCAAUAUCUUAAUUAGAAAAAAGCAUAAGAAAGAUGAAAUCAAUUGUACUUAUCAAUUGAGAAAAAAAAAAAAAAAAAAAAAAAAAAAAAAACAAGAUAAUUUAAUUAAGUGUUAAAUGGCUUCUUACUCCAAUUUGAAUGUUGAAAUUCUAAUGCCAAUAUCUCCUAUUUGAAUCAUUGAAUUUCUCCUAAAUUUUAUCUAAAAUACUAGAAAUCAAGUCUAAUAUCCACACAAAAAAAAUUCACUUCAAUCUAAUUGAUAGAUUGCUAGAAAUCUUAGAAAUACUCACUAAUCUUCAAACUCCAAUUUUUGAGACCUCAACCCACAAAAAACUUUACACACUUCGAUCUAACUAUUUGAUUGAUCUUAAAAUUUACAAAUACAUUAACAACUAAAACACUAAUACUUUAUCCAUAAUUUAUGCAUAAAUAUACCACAAAACUCAAGAAACCUUUAAGUUUAUAAACAUAUUUUUAUUUCUCAAAAUCUAAACCAACCAAGAAUAUCACUAAUUUUGAAAAUCCCUCAAAAAUUCAAUAUUGACUCAAUUGACAUAAAAUCAAUUCUUAAAAAUCUUUCUUCAAGUCUUAUUUCAAAUCAUGCUCUUUAAUCUAUCAAAGAACUUAAGAUUCAUUGUAGGUGCACAAUUUUGUGACUUAUAGUUUGAUUUCAAUCCAAGUUGACAACUGGUCCUCUCUAGGUAUCAAUUUUUGGCUUUCUUGAGGUAUAUUUUGCCAAAAUCUACUCUUAGCUCUAUCUUAUACGUGCUUAUGUUAUUUCUUAUCUCAUUUACUUUGAUUUGGCUCAUUUAUGCCUCUACAAAACAAAUAGAAGUUCCUUCUAAAAAAAAUAAUAUUAAAACUAAAUCUUUUAUUACCUUUUUAUAAUUUAUCUUUAUUUUAUUUACUACAUCUUUCUACUAGACUCUUCUACAAAAAUAUCUAUAUUUUUGUUUUUCACUAUAUAAUUGUGUUAUCACACAAUAACAACUAUGAUAUCAAUGAGCAUAUGUGGGAAUCAAUAAAAAAAAUCUAAUAAAUAUCAUGCAAAAGGUUAAGUAUUUAAUCGAUGCUAUCUUCAAAAAUCUAAAAUAAUUUAUCACAUCAUUCUUUAGUCUCCAAUAAAAUUGAUUUAUAAGAACUUCUUCAUCCUAAUUGAUGUCACAAGCCAAUUUCUUAAAAUCAAAUGUAUAAAUUGAUACAAAAUAUGACUCCUAAAAUAAUAAGUGAAUCUUUGUUAUCAUCCAUUGGGCCUUGUCAUGUUCUCAAAAUGCUUCUACAAAUGCUUCUAAAAAAGCUUCAAAGUUGUUCAAGAUUAGAGAUCUUUUUUCAAAUAAAAGAACAAACCAAGAUAAGACUUGAAUUGUGAAUAAGGUUCCAACUAAACUAACUCAUGAUUCUUCUAUUAGAUAGUGCUUAAGUUAUAAAAAAGUUACUAAUCAAAUUUAAUAAAUAAUCCUUUGAAACUUGGAAUAUAUGUCAUUUAACUUUUUUAAAAGACUAAUCUAAGGCUCUUUAUACUAUUGAAUAGAUAAAUUUUCUUGUUGAGGUACAUGUACCACCACCUCCUUGGAUGUAGAAGUUUGAGAAAGUAGUUGCAUCAUAUGCUAAAUUUCUCUUGGUCUUGCAUCACCAUGAAAUCUUGCAAAAAUCUUCAAUUUCAGCAAUUCUAUAAGAUAAAGCAUUCAAUGUGUUCAUAAUAACUUCUAUCUUUAGACUCAAGAGACUCAACUAUACUAACAUCUUCACCUCCAUUCAUCUUAAAAGAAAAAAGGGGAGUUUUUAAAUAAUACCAAUUUAGAGGAAUAUACUCUACAAUCUCUAAAGUACUUAGAUGCCUUCAAGAAGAAGGAUAAUCUACUCUCUAUCAAGAAGGAUUAAUUUCUAAUAUUAAUAAGAAGGCAAUCUCGACAAAUUGUCAUGAAUAUAAAAUGAAAGAAACAAAACAAGAAGUUGAACAAAAUAGUUUCAACAAGAAAGCUACUAAGAACUUGAUUAAAUGAAAUGAAUAUAAGAUCAGUACCAACAAAUGUGAGUUAAAAUUAUAAGAGAUCUAUUAUUAAGAUUGAAGAUCUCUUCAAUCUUAACUUUAAUAUAUAUUAGGUAUUAAGAAGCUUCUUGAGAAGUUCUCAUGUUGUAUAAAGAUAAAGCAACCUUAAGAAGCUUUUUAAGAAGUUUUCAUGUUGCUUGAAAAAGAAGCAAAUUUAAGAAGCUUCUUAAGAAGUUUUCAUGUUGCUUGAAGAUGAAGCAAUUCUAAAAAGCUUCUUAGAUAAUUUCCUUAAUUUUCUUAGAAUUUUCUAAAAUCUGUUGGAAUAUUUUAAGAACCAUUUAGAACCAUCUAAAGUAUUUUAAGAAUCUCUCUGAACUCUUUUAUUAAAAUAUUUUUAGAAACUUUUGGAACCACUAAAAUCUAGUAGAAUAUUCUAAAUAUAUUUCAAAAAUAUUUCUUAUUAAAUAUUUUUAAUAAGAAGAGAUAAUUUUUUUAACAAAAUAAUUUCUUUAUUAAUAAUCUUAAUUUUUGUAUGGCCUAUAAGGAACCUACUCACAUUACAAGAAAGAGUUGUACGAAUGAUUAUAUGAUAUUCUUGGCAAUAAUAACUCUAUCUACUACAUUCUAUUUGGUAGAAUAUUAAUAUGUUAAUUUCUUAUUUAUUUGAUUUAUCAAAUAUUCAUCAUUCUCUUCUUUUAAAAAAGAGUGAAAAAGGCAUAUUUAGAAGUUUGCUUAUGGUUUAGGAGGCAAUUCAUGUCCAUCUAAAGUUCUUAGUCAAAGAAGUCUAGAGAUGUUUUUAUAUUGCUAGUAGAUUGCAAACUUAGACUAAUUAGUUUCAAGAUAUGAAUCUAAACUAAAUUAUUGUAUAAUUUUUAUUAUACUUUGAAUAUUUUUUCUUCACAUCUAGUUCUGAUUAUUAUGUUAUUAGUAUAUUGUCUAAUAGCAUGUUGGUUUUUAUUUCAAAGGAUAUUAAUGCCUUGUAAUUUUUAGUCUAUAGUGACAUCUUAAAUAAAAACCUUUAAUAUUUUUGUAAUAAUGAUAAAUAGAUAUGGUGCAAGAAAAUACUCUUAUUUUAUUCUUUUUUUUAAAAAAAGAAAAACAUUUUGUGAGAGAUCUAUUGGUUUUUAUUGACGUUCUUAUUCCUUGCAAUAGGAUUUUAAUCAUAUAUAAAAUUUUUCAUUAAAUCUAUGUUUCUCCAUUGAUUGAAACAAAAAGAUCUACUAUACUUUAUUGUAAGUUGUGGAGAAAAUAUUUAAUAAAAGAAGAGUUUAAUUGGAAGUUUUGGCACAAUUCAUGUUUUCUUAAGUUACUAAUUUAUUUUCAAAAAUAUAUCUAAGAGGUAGGAAUUCCAUUUGAUUUAGGUGGAUAAGUUUUAUUAGCAUAGAUUGUAAAUUUUUUUGAUACUACUUAUAUUGUUGAUGAAUAAUUAAUUAUAUUAAAAAAAAGAAUAUAAUUACACUUUCCAUUUGUUAUACAAGAUCAAAAAAUAAACUUAAUAGUUUUUGAUAAAAUAAAUAUAUAUAAAUGCUAAUUUGAAAUUACAAUAUAAAAUUUAUGAAAGGAUAAUAUUAUACUAUUGAUAUUUGGCCAAUGAGCAAAUAAGAUCAUGAACAUUGUGUAUUAUGUUAUGCACCAAUUGCUAACCAUAGAUAAAUUUAUCAUUAUUUAUUACUAUUUUUUAUUAAAAUGAUAAUUAAAUUUAUCACAAAUUACAAGUCAUCAAAGAAAAACAUUCUUUUAGAAAGUUAUCCUUAUAGAGCUCAUAAUUAAGUUUUUGAUGGUAAAAUUGUAUCUUUUCAACAAAUAUUAUUAGCCUUCACCUAUCACAGGCCAUUUUGCAAUUGCAUCAGCUUGUGUAAUUUUUAAUUUCUUAUUUUAAAAUAUAAUUAAUUUUAUAAUAUAUAUAUAUAUAUAUAUAUAUAUAUAUAUGAGAUUUUUUUAAAUAUUAGAAUAGAAAUUAAUGUAGUAAAAAUACAAUACAUACUUAUGGUUUCAUAAAUUAUUAUUUGAGAUUAUUAAUAUGAUUUCAUAUAUUGAAUCAACCAACAUUGAGUAGUAGAAUGUUUUAAUAUGAUAUUUUUUAUAAUUUUUAUAAUAAUUAGUUGCACUUAGUUAGAUUUAUGUGCAACACUCUAUUGACAUAAUAUGUCAUUAUUAUUGCUUAUUGUUAUUGAGCAUUUUUUUAUUACUAUAGCGUCUAAAAAAUCAACAUUCAAACUAGAAACUACAAGGAUUUUUCUACCUAGAAGUCCACUUUAAAAGGUCAUGGUUCAAAAGCCUUACUAAGGUCCCUUGCUUAGUAAAGAAAAGCCCUCUUUUGAAAACCUUGUCUUUUGGACAUAGUGUAAAGUGAGAAGAAUCCAUGAAAUGAACCAAAUCUUUUUUUAUUAUAAGUCUACAAAUAUCAAUCUAAGUUUAUUUUUUUAAACCACUUCUUUAAACUAGAUCCAAUAAAAAUUCUAAAAUAUAAUACUAUUUAUGCAAUGUUAGAAAAAAAAUGCAUUCCAUCUCAUUUUUAUUUUUUGUUUUCUCUUAUGGCCUUUGACUUAUUUCUCUAAAUAAAAUGCCACUUUAAAUUUUCUUCUGAAUCUCAAUUAAUUAAAAAAAAUUAAAGUUGAGGCCUCUCACCUUGUCUCUUAAUUUUAAAAUGAAUACUGAAGGAGAUAUAUUUUGAAAACAAUAUUCAUCCAAAUAAACAAUUUAAUAAGACUAAAAAUUUCAAAUGUGGUUGCAUAAGUUGAUAGACUAAGUAUAAUAACUACAGCACAAGGAGAGGUAGAGCAGCUUAAGUAAAGUAAAGAGAAAAAAAAUUGAAAAAACGAAAAAAAUGAAAAUUAAAACUUCUUUAAAUAAUGUGGUGGUGUUAAGAAAGUUUGCAUGCAAAGUAGAUUGUAAACAGCAGAUGCCACAGGAUUUAGUUUAUUUAGCCAGCAAAUUUUUUUAAUCUAAACUUGAGCCUUGCAGAUAAUAAUUUUUCAAUGAGAUUAUAUCUUUAGGGCUUAGUUUGGAGAUUGUUCUAUAGAACCCCAUUGCUCUUAAAUUACCAAAAUAAAAAAUAAUAUAAAAAAGCACACCAAAAUAAUUUGGACCUACCGAAAUUCAUGGUUUGCAUCAAUAUCUACUACAAACACUCACCCUCCUUUGCUCUCAACUUGAGAAUAAUUUGUGUUUGAUCCAAAUACAUGCCAAGUUUUAGAGUAUCACUCCCAGUCCUAUUUUAUCUCACCCACUAUUUUAUCUGUAUGCUAAAUUUGUAGUAAAGACACACUGGUUGCUAUGGCAAUGGCCACCAAACUUCCAACAACAAAACCUGUGACCUGCAAGUGUGAAAAGCAAGUGGGCCCUUUCCUCAAUGGAGCUCUCCCACAAUCUAUUUAGGUUCAGAAAAGAACUGUAUACAGCCACCAAAUUCAUAUGAUUCAUUCAAUUCAAUAUUCAGGACUCAUUGAAUCCUCACAACAGUAUCUGUGCAGAUGGGUGUGUCAGAGACUCAAAGGUCACCAGGUGGCUGCUACUCCGGGGGAUGACCUUAACUAUGUAAAAUGCUCUUGCAUGAUCCUCCGCUCUUGCAGUCCAAGUCUGUAAAGUCGACCACCCAAUCCCAACCACUAAAGCAAUUUAUCAUACCUGCAAAUAUGGGUAUGACAAAAUAAAUAAAUAAAUAAUAAAAGUAAAAAUCCCCAUGUAGAGAAAUAGAUUUUAGAAGGAUUUCAUAUUUUUAUACAUUUUUUUUUUCUAAAAAAAAAUACUACAAAUUUUCCAACUGAAGAUUUGGUUGUCAUAAACUCAUCAUGUAGGUUACCCUAAUUCCCACCAAUGAUUGGUUACAAAAUUGAGAAUGCUUGAUUCCAACUGAGCACUUUGAGUUGGCAUGAAAUGACCCAAUGGUGCCAUGGAGUUGAGGUGAAAUGUGCACUAAGUAAUAUGCAACCGUAAGGUGUUAGAACUGAUCGGGUGGUUCAUGUCAAGUUGGUUGGAAAUAGACCACCCUGAGCAGUGAAAAUGGGGGGCUGGUCGAGAAUGGGUCGUCUACCUUGGAGUGUAUUGCAAAUGCCAAAAGACUGUUUGAAAGCACUCUUGUCUAGAAGACAAUUGUCCACAACCAGCAUGUACAAAACUGCAGCAUCCAAAAUCAUGACACAACAGUCCUUGUUGUAUUUACUUGCGAGGGUGCAAGGAUAACAUUUUCAUGAAAUUUCAAACACACAUGAAUGGUUUGUUGUACAGUAACUUUCCAAAUAGAACAAAAACUACAUUGAAAUGUUCAAAUGACAAGAUGAAAGAUUGUUACAGACUUGUUGAAUCAGAUUUCUUUUAUUUUCAUUUCUUUUUUAAAACUUUUUUUGACUUGAUUUCUUCAUUGUUUGCUUGUCAAAUUGGCUGUCAAAUAAAAUUCUGAGUCACUGUUUGUACUCUUGUGAUCUCACACCAUAUUUUGUGACAAGAAUUGUAAUCAAACCAUUACAAAAAGAAAUAACCACUGGCCUACAUCCCACAUGUGUAUGUUAUGAUUCAUACUAUCAGCUCAAAAACAUAAAUAGAUAUUAUGAAAAAAAAAACAUAAUGGGCUUCUAAUGUGAGAAAAUAAAUGGAAGUGGAGUUUUUGUGAAUGGAAUGUUGAUAAGUAGUGUAUGUCCCUGCACAAUAAACAUGGUUUGUGCACACAAGUAAUUUCACAAUCUCUCAUUCAAUGAAGAAUAUUAUAGGGAUCUAUUCUAUUCCUUUUGCUUUUUUCUUUUAACGUUGGAAUGGUCAUCAUCAUUAUAAAUGUUGCAGACCACUGCAUGACAUGCCACAUCUGCACAGAGUAUGAUUGUCCAUCACCACACACACAAAAUAAAUGGAAAUAUGAAAAGAAAAAAACAAACAAGCAGUUCAUUAAUCACACAUACUCAUAAAUGCAUUGAGUAUUCAAUGGUUUUAUUUAUUUAUUUUUAUGUUCAUAUGGCCACAAUUCCAACAACACUGCAUAGGAGUAGAUGAUAAUGCAAGUUAAUGUGAAUGCAAAGUGGUUUCUAUCAAAGAUGGAACGUUUUUACAAAUCAGAGGCUAUUGAAUGAAUUAAACACCAUUCUUACAGCUAUACACCUUGCACUUUAAGAAUCUACUAUGGAAAACCUAAUCAUAUUCAAACAUACAUAGAAUAGUUAUGGCCAAGAGAUGAAAUUGUCCUCUAAGGCUGCAUUCUGUGGCAAACAAUCAGCUAAACAAAAAAUCGAAGAAGGAUGAACAAGCAGACCAAUCAGAAUACAUAUUUUCCUUUCCUAUUCAUUGAAACAAGCAUCUAUAUGAACUUUUGCUUCUGUUUUUUUUUCCUGAAAAGCUGCGAUCUUUUCACUCUCUUUACUGUGAGGAUUGCUUUUGAAACAAAACCCAGAAGUCAACCAACAUUAGUUCAUUACAGUGAGUGGAUAUGCGCAAGAUUUCAUGUCAUCAAGACAAUGUAAGACAAGCUGAUAAAGAGACGAGAGAUCUUUUUUCCUAUAGUAAUCUGCUUUCUUGUGAAGAGAUAGUAGUUAUGACUGGGUCACCCACCCACUGGCACCAUAAAUGUAUGCCCUCUCCCUCAGUCACGCUGAUCUGCUGUGCUACGUUAUAUCCCUCCAUGAGAAAUUUUCACUCUUAAGAUUGCUCACCAUUGCUCUAGGUUCACAGUGUCGGAGGCAAGUGAACCCAGAGGAUUAUUUCUUCUUUUGUGUUUGUUGUCGCAGGAAGUGUUACAGGGUCUAUCUACAUCGGUCCGCUGAAUGAAGUACUGGAUUUGAAGUGACUGUGCUCUCGACUAACAGUUGGGUUAUACCCAAACUUGGCUUUUCUGUUUAUUCUGGGCGAUGCUUUUGAAGUGAGAGAGAUUGUCAGUGGGACAUUCGCUCUAUCUGGUGAGAAGCUCCCAUUCGACUAUCAGUUCGUUACAGCGUCGCAGGACUAUGAGUUGAUAAUUCAGGCAUAGGUUUGGUUUUUUUUUCUGGGGGAGUUGCAGCUCGUUGUUUUGACGUGAGAGGUGUUUACGAUUGUUUGUAGGAUCGUGGCAUGCUGAAUUGUAGAAAGCUGGAAAGUGGAGGAUGGUUUUGCUACGUGCUCGUCUCUCCUGAUUUUCUUGUGUAGGGAGCUCAUACGGGGUAUGUCUCCAUGCUCUGUACUUCUUAGUACGUGUAUUAGAUUUCACAUGUUUUGGUGUAAUACUUAGCUCUUGAAGGUAACUUAUUAUAUCAUUCUGUUCUCCUCGUGGAAAUUCCGCACGUAGAAUGGGUGUGAUAACGGAGCUUACACAGUGUUAGAUGGUUGUGUAUCCCAUUGAGCGGUAAGGAGUAGGAACAGCCGUUCUGGAUGACUAAAUUACACGGUUGAUGGCGAACAGUUGGACCUCCUCAAACGACCGAGGCCUAGCGCUGCAAACUGACAGUUUCUCAAUAGUGCUAAAACUGUAUGAAUAGCUUUAAAACUUGUGGGCAAUUUUAUAAUUAAACCAGGAUUAGGUACCGAGAUUGGACUAAAAACUCUAGUUCUUUCACAAUAGCUGACAUCUGCCAACACAACGAAAACUGUUACUCAAACGUACCCAGUCGAGUCAGAAAUUAUACUGGCUGUAAGAGAAUAGGUCGAGUGAUUUACUCAAAUUUCCUUCAGUGUGUGGUUUGAUAUUACAAUAGACCCUCCGAGUCUACCACAUGUGGAGUGACUACAAAAGAUUAUUGCAGAUUUCACAUUUUUUUUGCCAGCGGUUCCAAUUGGAAUAAUUUGCUACGACUAUACAUCCGAAGACUCGGUUGGAGAGUGAUAGGAUAAUUCAUGAAAGCGACAAGGCUUAUCCUAAGUGAAUCAGUCAAGGUCCCGUGUAGAAUGUUUCGGAAGCUAAUCUUGCGUGGUCAGCAAUUGAUGUAGACGAUGGCAGCAACAGCUACUGUGCUGCUUAUUGGGCAAAUACGCACUUUCAGGUCUCUAGUACAUAUUGAUGAAGUACUGGAACACUCCUGAAGUGCUUCAAACAUAUGAGGAAGCAUACUUGGAUUCCAGGACUUAGAUGAAUUUUUUGAAUCAUCCUUUUUCCAGGAAUCACCGCAAGAUUUUUCUAUUGUUGGGGUGACAUGGGGAAGCGAUCAAUCAUCUUGACUGUAUUGCUGCUGUUCUUGGCAUCUGCUGUAGUGUCAGCUCAGAGGCUAGAAGCCAAUGAAGAAAUAAGCUUCUUAGGUUUGACAACAUCUUUCGCUCUUUUUUAAAACCUUUGAGAUCGUGGAAGUUUGUGUUGGUAUGGAGACGUUUGUGUGUUGUGUAAGAGUAUCCCAAGGGUUCUGUGACAAAUUCUCUUUCCUAAACUUGAAAAUCUUAAUUCAAUUGUUACUACAGUUGAGUUGAGCAUUCGUUCUUUGGUGCUGUUUAGAAGUCUCUUAAGCGUUGUAUUCUGGUUCGCGGAAGAUAUAGAAUUUGACUUUUCAAUUUCGUCACAGGAAAAUUAUUUUCAAAUGAUUCAGCGUGCAAGGAUGUGGAUUGUCAGCAAGGGAUCUGUUAUCCAAACGACAAUGCAUUACUUAGUAUCUUGUUUCCUUACAAGUGUCAGUGCUAUCAAGGCUGGGCUACUUAUGGACAGCUUGUCGGCUUCUCAGAUAUCCCAUCACUUCCCUGCAGCGUUCCAAACUGUAAGUGAAUUUGCACUCUUUGCAUGAGACAUGUGUAUGGACCAUCCGUCUCUUCAAGGUUGCUCACGAAUUUAACCUUCAAAAAAUUUGAGGAUGUGCAUCUACACUUGCAGGCUCUAGUGUGGUGUAGAGAUUUCAUAUUGCAGAUUUCUUUGAAAUUUGUUGUUCACAAUGCAAUAUGUGACUUGUAACAGGUUCCUUGAAUCUCGACUGCGCUGCAAAAUCUCCUGCUCCAGCUCCAAGUACUAUUACACCUGUGACCUCUGCUAAUACGUCUGGUGAGCUACCAUUCAAUCUUCUGUUCAUGUUCGAACUUGCAGUGGACUGAAUAAGCUGGUGAUGUACAACCUGCACCUAUUUAAGCUCGAGUAUUUUCUGAUUUCCCAUGACAUUGCUUGUUACAGCAUGCUUGGUGCCUGGCAUUUGUGGACACGGAAAGUGUGAAGUCAUCAACACUAAGGACAGACUCUUUCCUACAUUUAAGUGUGUGUGUGACCUUGGUUACGCAAAUGUGCUCAACAUGACUGCUGGAUUUUGCGUCUCUGAUUGUAAGAUAACAUUACCUUCUGGGUUCUCGUAUUUUCAAUUUGAUUUUUCCAUCUUUCUCUGUGUAAUGAGGUUUGUCAUUGCUCAACUGAUUUUACCUUGUGAUCAUACAGAUAGUGUGCAAUACUCGUACAUUUCUCUGCAUUCCUCUUGCAAAUAUUCCAAUGAGGCCUACGGAGUGGUCUGUAUGUUCGCUUUUUCAGUAAGCUUCAGUCCGCAGGUUCAUAGUGCAAGGUUUCUGUUGGCAGUCUUAAGAAGUGUUGAAAUUAAUUGCAGGUGAGAUUAACGGAGAUUGUAAGAACUUGAAUAUUACGCUACCUGGGUUAAAUCCACCUCCACCCCCAAACACACCUAUGACACCAGCGGACCAAACAGGAAACGCAGGUACACGUCCAGAAUCUUCUCCUCCUAGGGCGUCGGAGUCUGUACAAGGGGGCUCCAGUCCGUCUUCUAGUUCAGGUCACUCUCUUUCCGAUGUCUGAUUACAGUACUAAUCGGAACUGCUACCAUGUAUUUUGAUUGCUCAAGUACGCAGUGAUGUACAUCACAUGGGUCGGUUUGUUUAAUGUUGGCAGGUCGCAGCGUCAAGGUGAAUACUAUUGGUUUCCAUAUCGCAGCAGCUUUACUUGUGGAGCGAGCUUUACUGAGUAAACUCUUCUGAUCUGCGACAUACACACUCUUGUGGUACGCCACAUUUUUGUCACUUUUCACAAUCCAAAAUGGCGGAUACACUAAUGCAUCAGUCUGUAUUGGUUGAAAUUAAUAGCUACUGAGUUGAAAUAAAGCUCAAUUCCAGGUUGAAGUUUGAUCGGACUUUCUAAACACUGAAAAGUUGGCGCAAUUUUAAAUAUGUCCUUAUGACACGUUCUGUCUGUCACAAGAAGCAAUGACACGUUUUUUUUGCACAACUUCUUUCAUGUAUGGAGUAUUACGAUAAUAACACAAUACGUCUGAAACACACCACUAAGCCUGAUGGAGUAGACGCCAUAAUUUAUGUUGCAUUCUGCUGUACGCAAUCUAACCUCUGAACAGAAUGUUCUGGCCAAGCAACACAUCGGAAUACUAUUUGUAGCCUUGAAAUUGCAUCAGGUCAUAUCCAAAAAAAAAAAUCAGUAUGACUACAAUCAGAAACAUCUAUCAAUCAACUCCAAAGUGGCCGAAUCUGACGUGCAGCGACCAUCAUCACAUUGUAGAGUACAAUCAGGAAGCUCGACUGCCUUCUCAGAAAGUAGCCAGCGUAAUUGACUAUAAUAUAUCUUCAGUCUCCAUUGUGAUGAAGACAGGUGUAUACCACAGCGAACAGACCCUGCUUACUGCAGUAAAGCGAAAAUAGUUCCAAACCGCUGUUCAGGCUCAACAACAUGGCAUGUAGACAACCAAGCAAAUACAAGAAAACUUCUGCCACAUAUAACAUGCAUCUAUAGCCCGGAUGGUUGGACAGAGAAUGUGACUCCAUUUGAAUGUAAGCUGACAAACAGUUGCUGCUACAGAGUUUGCUGACAGCUUUUCGAAACAUCCUCCAUGCAAUUCACCGUGGAUAACUUUUACGUCAGUGCUCGUAUUUGGUAUAGCCGAUUCUUACAGUUUUGCCUCUGAUUUACGAGGAUCAAAAGCUUAACACCAGUCCAGUGUGAACCCCAACGGCUUCUCCUCUUCCCAAAAGGCACCCCCUGCCGCCGCUACCUACUCCUCCCCACAGAGGAUCUGCCAAACUGCUGAGCGAGCUAAGCAGGGCCAUCAGUUUCCUCUAGGGAAUGCGGUUCCUAAACGACUGUACUGCACAGUCUGAUUCUCAUAUUCGAUACUUCCUUCCAACCCCCGAAACCCCUUAGUCUGCAAUUAACUGAACCAUUUCCUCGAGAUUGAUAAAAUUUUAAUGCUAAUUCCUUCAACGACAAUGACAAUCGGAGUUUGUGCAUCUCGGGGAGAACAACAAAGGACGCAACCGCACUCUAUCUUCAGGUAGAAAGGCAAAUUCUUCCUCCACCUCGUUAAGACGUAGGCCAAUGCACAAAUGCAAACACCAUCCUCACCUUUAUCACCUCCCAAAACUACGAAACCUCUGUGGAUAAAAACUUCAUCAAGGUAAGGUCUGAUUUUCAGAGCGCAAAUUUAGCAAACAGCGCCUCCAGCUCGGCAGCCUCCGCAUCUGAUCGUGCCUAAUCAGGGAAAGUUGUAGUUCAGUUAAUUGAAUGAUUUCGGUCUUGUUUCGUCUACCUCUCCGUGUAACAAACAUCUCAAAUGAGAAAAGUAUAAAAAAAUAAAAUAAGGUUUCUCUAAAACUGUGGGAGAACAAGGAGACGAUCACCUUGGAUAAGAGCUCAAGCAUUUUAUUGAGGACUUUUAGCCUGUGUAUAGCAUACGCACUCGAGGCCGGCAGGCGUUGCACGCGCUCCACUUCCAAUUUAACCAGCGCAAUCUUCUGUGCGUCAUCCAUCAAGCCAGUUGGGGCUGCACCAGACCCAGCACACCGCAACAAGAACUUGAGUUGCACCACCUCAAUUUCUGCGCACGAGCUCACCUAAGCUCCUACAAAAAACCAAGACCGCUACUUAUAAACCCAAUACACAAUUCUUCGUUGAUUAUCUAAAUUCGAGCCGUGAGAAACCAAACCCUACAUCAUGGAUUCCACAAUCACAUCCACCGAAUACCGAUCAAUUUGAAAAUUCCCUAAAAACCUAAACCUCUUACUACCAAACAACUUAUCAUAUAAGCAAAUCCCAGAAGAAAUCGGCGGCAACCCAGAACCCAACACAUCAGUGCAGACGUCAACUCCCUGCGGAAAAUUUCCCGGGAUCUAUGGAAGGAGGCAUUUUUCGGAACGAACAAUUUGUCCGGCAGACUAGUUGUAAGAGCCACAACGUUGGCCAUCUCAUACUCAUGCAAUGUGGAUGUAAAAUAUGAUGUUCAGCAGCCACAUUUAUUAAUUUAGAUUUCUUGGAACAGUAAACACAAUCACUUCCCACAAAGGUUAUUAGUACAAGUUUGUCAAAAUAUUAACAUUGCUUCCAUUUUUAAGUUGAUUCUUUCAGUCUGUUAAAAAAUGAACACCAGUACCACACAAACUAAGUAAAAGUGAUAUAAAAUAGAUUUCAGAAUCAGGGUCAAAAAACAAGUAGUUUAGUUUUGAUAGUAUUUCAAUCUGUAUGUGUUUUUUCUUCUUCUUGCAAUUCUGAAUGUAUAUAAUAUGAAACAUGAGUUUAGUGUCACAUACGAGUGGCAAGUAACGAGUUUAUGCAAAUGAAUAAUAUGAUACAAGCUUUAGGACGACUUGACCGUGAUGUCGUAUUUAUAUGUAUAUUUACAUAUGAAAAUAUUCAUAUGUAUAUUUUCAUAUGUAUCCUUGGUUUAGAAUUUGUGUAUUGAUUGGAGUUUACAUUCUAAAUAUCACUUGAUGCAUCACUUUCUCAAAGAGGGGUACAAGCUGCAUUGCGUUAACUAAGCUUCAUUUCUAGCAAGUCCUAUCCACUUGGCUCAAAAUUUUGAUGGUAGGGCUUGUCGGCUCCAGGUUUGAUCGUUCGCCUCCAAUUCUGUGGAACUUUUAGGUCGAAACUGCUCAAAUCACAUUGUCGACUGUAAUCGUCAAAUGCUGUACAGGGUUCAAGCAUAACUUGAAAUAUUUUGCAGCCAUUCAUGGACGGAUUAAAACGCCUUGGCGGGGUUCUUCCGCCCCUUCACCUUGAUUUUGCAUUAAGAUUCCGUAAAAGACCGGAUCACAGCACUCGGUGAAGAGGCAGUGAGAAACUCCUCACUCCAAAAUGACCACAAAUUUGUCUAGUUUAAAACUAAGUCAUCCGUCUUAACUUAGUGAUGUAUACUCGUGUCGGUUCCAUCUUCCGUUGCUUGCUUGAAGUUGCUGCAGUCUUCGAUAUCCGGGGUGCAGAAGUUACUAGAGCCGGACAUUGAGGUAUAGUAGAGAUAUUUUUUCUCUUCCAUCCCCUCAUCGAUUAGAGCUCUAUCAAUGGCACUGACAACAGUUGGCCCAGUCGACUCGUUCUGGACUACUUGAUGAGAAUCUGCACCAUCCUCGCACAUCUCAUUUCUUGAACUUUCAUGACCGUUUCCAGGAGCAGCAGGGUUUGCAGUCUUUUUAGUCGAGGGGCUCCUCUCCAAAGAGACGCUGGCGAGUUGCUGAUCAAGUCCACCGGUAUCUGACAGAUCUGUGAAGGGCGGCAGGGCUUCGGGAGCACGAAGCACCUUGAGGGCUUUCCGGCUUCGAAUCUUCUUGUGGGAACGAACUUUAGGUGUCUGAAAAGACUCCUCUCCCCUCUUCGUCCACAGCUCUUGAUAAUUUAUGUCUUUGGGUUUUCGGGUAGCAGUUGGCUCCAUGGGUAGCGCUCUUACGUUAUCAUCAUCGUGCUUUGUUGUUGUUGCAGGGAUGUCACCACGCUUUGGAUGCGUCAUUAACUCUGAAAAAUGUCCCUCACCUAAAGGACCAUCGUGUUGAGUGAGACUAGAUUCGUUCGGUCGAACUGGAGAAUCUGCAGCGACAGCUUGAGAAAUAUCUUCAGAGUGGAUCACAAUGGUGCAUUCAGAAUUACAACGAUCCUCACAUUGAGGCAACAUCCCCAGGUUCCAUGACUUGCCAGCUCUGGUACCACUGGAAUCCUGCAUUGUCCUUGGCAAAUCCUUGAUGCUUGAAACUUGAAGCUCUUUACGCAACGCAAGCGUAUUUGAGGCGAUGGUGGUGCCCGUUCCGGUUGCAACAGCUUGCGCUAAGGCCACUUUCUCGUUUGCAACCUGCCCAACGGUCCGGUUGCUUCGCCUGCGCCUACGCUGGAAUAAUGCUGUUGCGAACGCCCUUCGAAUCACUGUCACCUGCCAACGCAGUACUUGUCUCUUGAGAACUGCUCCCUAUACGAUCAGUUUAGAGAUAUGAAACGCAUGAAAAAUUCGUGGUAAACCUACUCCUCAAAUCUAGACCUUUCACUAGCUUUAGAAGAUCAAGGCAAUUGGUCUGACCUGCGUGGCUGACUCGUCACGCUCAACUUGCAAAGCGGCAAGUGAUCUCCGCAAGUCCUGGCAUUGCUGUUGAAAUCUGCACACCACACACUUACGUAUAGUUAGGAUGAUGCACGAUCCAACUGAAUUUUUAAAAAAUCUCAGCACAACUCAGAGAGAACCGAGAUUUGAGAACUUGUUUCAGUAAUAAAGAUAGUGGUGCGUGAAAGUGGAGUAGGUGCACACGUGAGAGGGCGCACGUAGAAGCGCAAAGUGAUGGUAUCCUCAUCUGGUUGGAGGUAGCCUUCCUUCUCCAGAAGAUCGAUCCUGAAGAACUGGUAGUAACCCCAACACGCACCCACCUGAUCACAAAACAGGUCACUAAAAAAUGAGUUUCGACCUUAAUCUUAUUAUCUUGUGUGUUCGAUGUGCUUCAAGAUCAUUUAUAAAGGAUCAUACAUGAUGAUUCAGAAUACAAAGCCAUGCACUAAGACUUGCCUCAUAGUCGGAAGAGAACUUGCGAACGAUGCGCUGGUUUGGACGAGUCUGGUGAAGGAGCUCUAUACCAUACUCGUAAGUUACCGCUUCAUUUCCGCCAUCUACCAUCUGAUGCACAAGUGAUCCAAGCCAAGAUUGCCAGACGAUUACACACCCCUCAUUGUUUGCACAAUGUUGUAAAGUCAGUGGAGUACUUUGUUAAGCUCUAUUUGAAUUCUCGUGAAAGGAUUGAAUUGUCAAGGAAAACUACAAUACCCUAGUAGUAUCCGUGUGACUUAUGAUUAGAGACUGACCUCCAGAAAGACAGAGAGAUGAGUACCCAAAGAAGCGCCGCUGCCAUUUGGGUACACCUGCAACAGGAGCACAUUAUAGCCACGUGAGUUCAACCAAGACAUGUUUGAUGAAAUUCUCCAGUUUCGUGGACAAUUAAACAGUUGGUGAACAAAUUUCAACUGAAAAUAAAAUGAAAAUCACCUUCAGUCUCCACGUAAUACCUGAACCACGGAUGGGCUGCACAUACACAAAUACUGAACACCUUAGCAAGGACAAGAUAUAUCUUGGCAAUGACAGAGCUUUUCAGACGACAGAGUCUUCUAAUCCAUUUACAAAGUUUAGAUAGCCUGUCCUGGCAUCGAAGAUAUUUUGCAUAUUGCAAGCAACACGAAUUAACGAGCAUAAACCCACAAGAUCAUCAACAAUCUUGGCAGGAGAAAUGCAGGGGAAUACACAUACCUCACUGUACACAACAUCUUUGCUCGACAAGGCUUCACUGGAACUCGGAGUGCCACCAGGAGAGAAAACAGAAGAUCUGGGUAGGGUGAUAGUUUCCUUGUAUUUCUUCAAAAUGAGUUCUCCAUGCUCGUACGAGGGAACAACCUGCAAUACCGAAAUAUCUGAUGCUCUCGCAUUACAGUACAUCAAAGACUCCUGGAAUACUCUACAAACGCCAUGAUUUUUUGCAAACGAGAUAUAAAAAGACAAUGAAGAUCAUGGAUGAAUUAAAUAAGGAUACCUCUGACGUAAAUUCAGGAGGAAUAGGUGUGCACGAUAUAUGCGACAAAGUGCGCGUUCGGAUGUCCUGAAGAUCCAAAGCGCCACAAAAGUUGAUUCUAGGAAAUCUUAUCUACAAUAAAAUAUCAUCUUACUUGAACCCAUUUAAUAACUUGACACUCAACGAUGUUUUUUGCUGAAAGCCAUCAGUAACAAUCAACGGAACAAAAGCGACAGAGCAUGAUAAAGACCAACCUGCAGCAUGCGGCUCAUGUUAGGUUCUUGCGCUAUGAGGUCACUCUUUGGAAUACUGUUCAGCUGUUGAUCUAACUCGUGCAAUAUUGUGUCCAGAAGCUCCAUCUGUAUCCCAAUGAAUAGGUGAAUUCCACUAUUGUUCCAAACACGUGAAAAAGAGUCUAGAUAUUCCGCAUCAUACCAAUUGACGACUCUUGAUGUUCAAGACAGCUAAAAGGCAAUGGCGACACAAAAUCAUAAGACUAUGACGAACAAAGACUUACGGGAGCAAUUGCCUGAAAAGAAAGCAUUCAAUGAAAAUAAAUAUUUGGGUCCACCAAAACGAUUGCUUACUUCUUGAGUCAUAGAACCCUUUUGUGCGAGUAAUGCCAGUAGUUUACAUUUGAGCUGCUCUUCAAGUCGAGACUGCAUUGCACCAACCAUCAGUUUCUUCUGCAACAUCUCCCAAAGCGUGUGGAGAAAAAAUCAUCUACAAAUAAAAAGCUAACAAUACUAAAUCCGUAGCUCGAGUUAUAGGAAAUCCAACAAUUCACCUGCAUCCUUUUAAAAGCCAUUUGAAGCUCUGCAGCAGAUUCGUCCUUUGCCUGCCAGUAAAUGGAAAAGAACAUCCACGAUUCAGGGGUCACUGAUCUCCAAUGUUUAAUAAGAUUAUAUGAUACUAUAUGUAUAAAUUUUCAUUGCAAUCUAUGAAUGGUUCACCUUAAGCACAGUGUCGAUGUUUUUUUCAACUGAAACCACGAGAGCGGAGAGUUCCUUCUGGCGCUUGCGUAGCCCGGCAGCUUCCAUGCGAAUUUUCUUCUUGUGACGCCCAUAGGCAACACUCAGCUUCUCAAACGUGUGAUUUCGAUGAUCCUAUGAAGCACAUUGAAUGGGUUCUCCAGAUUUUUACUUGCAAUUCGGCGAAAAAUAAGUUGAACACCAAGUGCUGGUUGCUACUUAAAACAGAGAAUAUUAAUCCCAAAAUUUAAGACAAGGAAAGUACCUCAAUCAGGACCGCACAGUCUGGGCAUACGGGGACUGAGCAUGUCGUGCAGAAGUAGAGAAAGGGGCUGUCAUGGGCCGGACAGUACUGCUAUUUUCCCACCAAUCCAACCACACCAAAGUACGCCAAAUCAGAUAACAUCAACGCUACUACGACUAGAUACAGAAAUCAAUUAUGCAUGAAUGUACUUGUGAAAUGAACGGUUAUGAAGUUAAAUAUGUUACAGAGUCGACAAAAAGGGAAGCUUUAAUACAAGGUUUACUCCCAAGUCCAUAGGAUCAGAAUAAUGUGUAAUCAUCCAGGAGAGAUUGAACAAAAAGUUAGAGGAAAAGCUGGGCCAACCUUUUCUAUUGAACUGUCACCUAAAUUCCCUUGAAUCUUCUCAACUUCCUACAGUACAACAUAAAAAUAAUGCUAUCAGGUCUUCACAAAAGUGCAAAGAUAGGACAAACAUUUGAAAGACAUUGGUUGACUAUUUUCCACAUGCAAAAUACGAUUUGCUGCAUGAUCAACUGUAGCCUUUACGUGAACUAGAGUAUAUUUACCGAGGAAAUCUCAGAGAUAAAUCGACAGCUCACGAGUUGCGAUAGAAGGAGGGGCGCACGGCAGUGUGGGCACUCUGACUUUUGAUCUGUGAGCCAUCUCUGCGAAUAGAAAGAAACAAAUUAACAUCUAGAAAUUUGGUAGUGGUAAAGUUGUUCCACAAUACGAUGAUAUUAAGUUCCAUUCUGGAGGCUCUGCAGACACCUCUGGAUCAUGACGGCACUGACCUUGAUACACGACUGGCACACCAGCUUGGAACAACAUGGACACAGCUGGGCAUCCACAACCUGAAGAAAACAGAAAAUUGUGAGACUAUGUAGAAUAAGAAGUUUCUUUUUUUCUUUUUUUCUUUUCAAAACUCAUUACACUUGACUUGGGUGCUGGCUAUUCAUUUUCAAAGAACUUGUCUUGAGAAUCUUGCUCUGAGUUCAUCUUUUUAUUAUUUGAAUCACAACAGAAUCAUAAGACGCAACGAUGAUACUCUAAUGCACUUCAAGAAAAAAUCAUAGCCCGAACCUAAACAACAAGACAGACGAGAGAUGGAUCUGCUCACCUUUCCAAGACAGAUGAAGCACCGAAAAAUUUCUGCCAAUGUCGACGAUGAGUCAUUGACGUUGCCAGCAAAUGUGGAUGUGGCACCAUGACAAGAUACAAAAUCUACCGCUCUUUGGUUUCCCACUUUCUCAUUGUCGGAGGCCUCUAAAGAAACCGGUUCCCUGACAUCAACCGAUGGACCUGUUGCGUUUGUAAGGUCGACAAUGUCCUGAAGCUCUGUCGCCUGGGAAAUUUCAUGUAGCUGCUCGUUUUGGGGCAGAAACACUUGCUGUGAUACCGCAGAAGUGGCGGGGUGAUGCACGGGCGUGGAUCCAACCAAGAAGAGCCUCUGCAAAUGCGCUUGAAACUCAACAUGAGAUUUCAAGUUGCACGAAGCAAUCCGAACAAGAGAAAAUAAUAGCGGCCAGGCUACCCAGUCAGUCCCUAAUCAGGAGUUGGGAAAGUUCUCAAUCAAGUAGAGGUCGAAUCCAUUAUGACCACAAUCGAAAUUACCCGUUCGCCUUAAGUCAGGACGAGCACACUAUAAAGGCGCCGUGAUCUAAGCUCUCCUUAAAAUACAGCUCUCUCUCUCUCUUUCUCAUUCUCUCGCGCCAUCGCCACGUUUAGAGCGGGCGGAAAAAUCAGAUCAAGACGGCGGGAUUUUUAAGGUAGAAAAAAGUAGUGAGCGGUCUGCAACGGAAAACUAAUUCCACAAUUGCCAUUGUACGCUGUAAUUCUAGUUAGCAUCCAUUCCGAUCUUUGGUACCAAAAGCGCCCAUUGCCAGAGCCAUAAACCCUGGUCAGCCAACUUGGGUUUCUGUAACGUUCGCUUGCGCACCAAACAGUUUCGGUUACUCAGUCCCUCGAACUAUGAACAUUGAAUUGCUAAACAAAAAAGAUAUUGGAGAAAUGUUCCAGAGUAACAAAGGUGUCCUCCGAAAUCGAAGCACCCCAAGAAAAGAUAUGGCGACGGAGGUAUACCUGGACGGGUUCACUGAUGAUGUUUCCUCGCGAGUGGUGAUGGCUGCUGCUGCUCCAGGCGCCAUGGGAUCGAGGCCGGUGCCUCCCCCGGCUGCCAAAAAAAAAAGAACCGCAAUCUGUGCAAUCGUAGUCCGGAGCGCGGGUUGGUGACACUGUGAUGAUAGGGCCAGGGACCAGGGGAUUGCAAGUACUGCUGUGGCUGGAGCUGGAGCUUCUGCUUCCACCGCUUCCUCGUCGAAUGGUAGCCGCAUCCAUUGCGACAAACACAAUCUAACUUGACGAGGCGAGUGUGACACAGACGGACGCUCUUAAACGGAUAUGGACAUCCCCAUUCCCAAGAGUUCUACUAAAAGAUUAAUGCACAUCCAUGGCUGUGCAAAGGAUCGUUUAACCCCUUCUUCUCUAUUCAAGGGAAUUAGAAAAUGAAUACAGCAAUAAAGAUUUUCUGACUAAAUCGGCUGUGGUGGUGAAUCGGCGCUGAUUCAAACAAGAGUUGCAGCUAAGACGACAACGUAAAUGGUAAUGCAACCAACAAAGAGAACCUUCUGUGGUCUAUGCCUAUUCUCUCAGAGUGCCACUCUUGAUCAUGUAGCUCCUCUCCAUGCUGCGACAACUUGGGUUUUAUGAAUGCGAGCCUCAUGGAGGACAAGAGCUCUGACAUGAUAGCAUUGCAACAGAUUAUCUUAAUAGUCUCACUCUGUCUCUCUUGCUCCGAAAAACCUUUAAAAACCUCAAACUGUAAUCCUCGACUACAGAUCCACGAUCAACACCAUAGGUUCACUCCGCCAACCUCAUACGCACUACAUAAUCUGUAAGGACCCCACUAAGCGGAUACGCCCGAAGGUGAACAGGAUGCGACUUGGGUUAUUUGGACAAUAGAAGUGGCUCACGCUGGAGGAAUCGAGACCGAAAUGUGGCAUGUAGCUGUGGAAAGCUAUGAUACUAUUGUGACCAGCGGAUCGCAUAGCUUGCUUGCUUUUCAACAAAAUAGAAAAAGCAGACGCUGACUCCACCACAGUAGCAUCAAUCAAACUCAACUGCCUCAUGGCUUAAUCUUCCUUUCAGGGUCCGAAAUCAGUUGUCGUCAAAGACAACUAGCACUAACAGUGAAUAGCCAUGUCGCCUUGUGGGCCGCAGCCACCCAAAGACUGCACGGCGCUCUGGUCGCAGAAGUACAGCACAUGGACAGCCUGCCUGAUUUAGAAAACAGUAAUCACCCUAUCCGGGAAAUCCAGCAGUCUCCUUUGUCGCUGUAACUGCAUCAAAGCAUACUCUGAGGGACCCAAUCUCUGCAGAUUCUCCUCUCCGAUUCCACAUUGUUGAUUCUACCACCACCAGUGGGAAAGCACCCGAAGACUAAUACUCCUAAUCACCCCCAAAAUCAGCAACUCACAAACCAGAUGAGGACGAUGACUUCAUCAAAGUCAAAUCGAACCCUCGAGCCCGGUCCAAACUAAUAACAAGUAAGAGCAAGCAUUUACAAGGAUUCUGCUAGAAUCUAAACUUUCUAAUCUGGUAGUUAAACUCCUGAUGGGUUAUAAUAUUCAUAUAUUUUAUAAGUCGAAGUGCAUCCCAAGAGGCUCAAUUUGGAACGCUCUAGUUGUCGUUGACGGCACCCGGUCAUAAGUGAUUCUCUCACUCUCUAUAGCCUGACUCCCGGACCUAGAAAAGUGUAAAGUUUUUGGGGUUAAUCAAAUUCUCUCUCCAUAAUUUGGCGCUUGCAGCAAUUCUCGCUUUGUUUCUUUUUUUUCUUUUCUUUUUUUUCCUUAUCAAUCUCCUGCUCAUGUGGCCUUUUGAUUUACUUAGCAAUGGCCAUGAAUCUUUUCAUGAAAGUAUCAUGAAAUUUGUCAACUUGCCAGAGAGUCUGAUGACAACGACACAACAGCCUACACGCAAUGUAUACAUAUGUUUGAGACUUAGAAAGUUGCCCAGAAAGGAAGGGAUCUGACGCAACCUUCUCAACUCCUGGGAACUUUUUAUUAAAAACGCACAGCCCAAUCUUUCAAGAACCAAGUUUGAGCCCCAAAAAACCAAAAUAAAACAAAAUAAAUACAUAAAAUCAUAACAUUCCAAGGGGCGCAUGCGUGGAUUGCAAAGGAAAGAUGCUUCUCAUCAAGAUGAAAGCUGUGAAGUGAAGCGGAAUUCAAUUGCGAUUGAGAGUCAAAGAGGUACUGGAAGAAAAAAACACACACACACACACACACACACACGUGCGAGGGGGUGCAGAGGUGAUGAAUGUGUGGAGGUGAGUACGUUGUGGCGAUGGUGCGGAGGUGUGAAGCGAAAGCUAUGACGUCGUCCUUGGAGCGUUGUCAGUCAGGUCGCAAGGGCGGACGCAUCACAGUUAUAUCAUGGCAAACUCCACACCGCCAUCGCCGCUGGCUCUCUCGUCUUGCAAUUCCUGCAACGAGCUCUGCUCACAAAACCUGCAUCAGCUCUGCAAUUCAGGCAACUCUGACUGCUAUUUCUUUUACAAAACCUUCGUAAAUUUCAGGUCAGAAUCACGCUGACUUGAAAUGCUCGCUUCAUUUGUGUGUGUUUAUAUAUAUAUAUAUAUAUAUAUAGAUACACAUACACACACAAAUGAUUCGAUUCACCAUGUCUACUGUGAAUGAGAAAUAGCCAAUCCAUUUCGAAACGGUACUUUGUAAGAUUGAGCAAUACAAAAUAUAUAUAUAUAUAUAUAUAUAUAUAUAUUUUUUCUUUUCUUUUCAUACUUUUCGUAUUGUUACAGUGAAACCAUGUUUUCACAGUACUUUGGUCCUGUGACGACUUUUCUUUGACCGUCGGCAGGAUGAUUUGGGUGAUUAAAAUGGAAUGAUAUGCUCUGGAUUGAAGAUGGAGCACAAUUAAUAAACAAAUUAAAACGAUUUUAUAUCUGUCCUUUGGAUUAUAUUUUGGAAUUCAUGACCUUUCAUUGAUUUAUUACAAUUUUCGUUAUGAAUUUGACUACUUCAUAUUUCUGCACAUGACAUAAUUGUAACCAAAUCUGAUAAAACAAUGACAUGUAGGACAUGUAGGGAAAUAUGUGCAUGGGAUAGGUAACUAAAUUGUACCAGAUAGACACAAUAAUCAAAUGGGAAAAGCUAUCAUGGAUAACUAUUUAAAUACAUAAAACCAACAAAUAUAUAUAUAUAUAUAUAUAUCUCUUUUUACAUAUAUAUAUAUAUAUAUAUAUAUAUCUUUUUACAUAUAUAUAUAUAUAUAUAUAUAACAAUUACUUUAAACCUUAAAAUUAUAAAAAAUUUACAUCAAUCUCUAUAAUUAUUAAUAUUUUAACUGUCUUUACGUUUAACAUUGGAUUUAUUCAUUUAUUUAUUUAUUUUGCAACCACAUAUCAUUGUGUAUAUAUAUAUAUAUAUAUAUAUAUAAUAAAUUAAUUGAUAGGGAAGUUUAGGUGUAAGACAAAGACAUAGAGAAGUUUUCUCAUUGACCAAAAUCAAAGCAAUUGUUAACCAAUAGAAAGCAUUGCACAACCUACAAAAAGACCUCCAAUUUAUAGCUUUUCUACGCCCAACAACACGAGUUUCCGCUAUGAAGGUGUGUGCACACAUGCACACAUGUACCUUUGUACACAUAAAUUCAUCCAUUUUGGAAUCAUCUUUUGCCUUCAUUUUGGUGUGAUUUUAUGAUUUUCAUUAUGGCGAGAGGGAAAUAGAGGGAGCAAGCAAGCAUAUUCCAAAUGAGGGAGUGAAAUAUGGCAUAUCCUGCAUGAAAGCAAGAGCAAAGUGUAGAGAGCCCAUGUUCCUUCCUUCUCUCAGGGCAUGCAAAAUUUGUGAGGGAGAUGGGCAAACAAAGCCAAGCCAAGCCAAGCCAAUCUGAGGGGUCCUGUAAGAGGACAACAUCCCUGGCAGCGCCUACGUCCACAUCAGCCAUACAACAAACAGAACAGUUAAAAAAGCCAACACCUGCAUGGCACCCGAGGGUCAAGUUCACGUGGCAUUGCUGCUAAUACCACAGCUUGGGAUUAGCAACAUGGAUACAGCCCAUUUGGUGCCUGUGUUAGCACUUGGGGCCAUUUUCAACAUGCUGGGCAGGGUUGGUGGGAAUUGCUUUCUAAAUGGGGAAAUGGCAUUCGUCAAGCAAGAUGUGCAUUAAUGACACUUUGAAAAACAAGCCCACUCUGUGAUCCAAUUGUGUGAAUGGGAAGAAGGGGGGGGGGAGUACCUUUUGCAGCUAUUGCAUGGGAUUGUGGGUUUGUGGGUGCACAUGUUAGUUGUUGAAGACUAUUGUUAAUUAAAAAAACAACAACAUUAACUGCAACAAUUGUGACUGAGUUGCAUGACCUGCCUAUUAGCCUUAAUGAAGUUGUUGAACUGAGGAAAUUGAUGAUGAAAUCCUGGAAUCACAUCAAAUUUUUAUCUUUGCUGCACUGAAGUCGAAGUUUAGGAAAUUGGGAACAAUUCUUAGUGCAAUGGACUAGGAAAUGAUACUAUCAUUAAAAUUGCUGAUGAGAAGGGCAUUUAUAAAUAUUUAGCUCUUCACCAGUGUCAAAUUAGUCUCAACUUCACACAGAAUCAAUCUUUUUUUUUGGGGGGGGGGGUUUCUUCACAACAAGAUUAGUCUGUGCAAACAUGGAAUCAACAAGAGCAGAUUCUAUUCUCAAGGUCAAGAGGGGUCAAGUCUCAUUAAGAUGGUGCAGCUAUCAGAUACAUUAAAUAAGAGAAGAAAAAAUUAAAAAAAGAAAUAUAAAUAAAUCAUUAAUCCUCGAUUGUGAAUAUUAGUGCAACCAAAGACAAUAGUUGGAGAGACUUGAUAGAAUGGGACCCUCCACUGAUGAAGGGUGCCAGUGGACCCACAAACUCUACUGUGCUCAUCUCAGUAGACAAGCCACUCUAUUCAACAAUAAAAUAAAAUAAAAUAGAAGGCACUCAUAACCAAACAAAUGUAAAUGAUUGGAUGAAUUUAUACACUUAUUUGAUUUGCGUUCAUUAUUCAAUGAUUUCCUUGGUUCCACGAUGCCUGCAGUUCCCUUUUCAUUCAUUGUGCGAUUCAUUCCAUUAACUUUUAUUUAUUUAUUUGCAAUUCAGAAUUCACUCAAGUACGUGUUUCCUCAAAAUCAAGCAAUUUUUUACAUGAACUUAAAUAUUAAAAAACAAACAAACAAACAAAAACGACAACAACAACAACAACAACGACAGUGACAAAGUGCAACUAGAAGUAGAAGAAGAAGAGUUUAUCAGAAGGAGAAACAUAAAAUGGUGGUCUCUUGGGAUGUGCAUGUUGUUUGUUCAAUUAUUCUCCAUUGUUCAUGUUUUAUCUCUUUCUCUAAUCUUUAUGUAAUCAUAAGUUUAGUUUAUGUAUGAUUUCUAAUUCAAAUUUGACUAUAUGCGAGAGAAAUAUAUUUUUUUCAAAUCCAUUCUAGUUAUAGCUUGAUUCUAAGAUUUGUAAACUUUUCAGUUACAUUUUUCAAAAACUUAUUUCAAUGGCUUCACAAACGUCAUCCUGUAAUGCUUGAAAAUUUAUUUGACAAGUGGUCUUGAGAUUUUAGAGGUAAAUUCUGAUGUUAGUGAGGAGUCCUUUAACAAGAUUCAACAUUCAAGAAAACAAUUCUACAAAUUGUGAUGAAUACAUUUUGAGAUUGUUACUGUUGUUAUUAUAUUUUAUAAUAAUUAUUAUUUGAUUCUCAAAUGUUUGCCAUUCCUGUUAUAUUUUAUUUUGUGUCAUAGUUUAUAAAUCUUCAUUAUCUUAUUUUGUUUUUAAAAACGUGUCACUAGUAAUUUUAAUUUACAUGCAAAAAACGUAUCAUUGUGAAUUAUAUGAGUACUGAAAAACCUCAAGCACUCCAAUUGCCAAGUGUUUUUCUAAUUCUUUUCCUACAUUUCUGAUAUCAAAACCUCUCAAAAGAUAUAAUGUACUAUUUCUUAGGAUAUUUUUUAAAAAUAAAAAAUAAACCAAUAAUGUUGUAUCCAAACUUAUAACAUAAAGUGUAUAUGUAUGUAUAUGUAUAUUUUUCUUUUAACCAACAUACCAAUAUUUUUGAAUCUCUCUCACCAUGAAAACUUCAAAUCUACCCACUACGCUUAGAAGCAAGUGUUUGUUUGUUUUUGUUUUGUUUUGUUUUGUUUUGUUUUUUUUUUUUUUGUGUGUUUUUGUGUGUUUUUUUUGUGUUUUUUUGUGUUUUUUUUUUAAUCUUUUUAAACCUACGUUUAUACACCUUUGUUAUUGAAUUUGCCAAAAAGAUUCAUGAAUACAGAAAUUCCAAUUUGUUCUGGCAGCUGAUUUAACAAAUUAAAAGGUGGUUGUAAGUGUGUAUAUAUAUAUAUAUAUAUAUAUUUCAAACAAAAAUAACUAAUUAUAUGCAUCAACAUGAUUUCUAAAACCCUCAAAUACUACUCGCUUUUUGCCUUUGUUUAAUUAUGUUUAUACUUAAUGACAGUUUAUACAUACUACAUUACCAAACUAAAACAUUUGUCUGAUUUUCUAAAAAUAUAUUUACUAAUCAAAUUUUACUUUUAAAAAAGUGCACUUGAAAAUCGUGGUUGAAGCUAGAGCAUAUAUAUAUAUAUAUACACACACACACACACAGAUUUAAAUUUCAAGUAGUUAUUACUGUACUUGAAUUGUAAUUGCCAAAAUAAAUUCCUUUUUAAUGGAAAAGAAUUUAUUAUAACCUUAAUGAAUGCGAAAAAAUAAUAAAACAAUUAAAGAAUAAAACAUACCCCUAAACUAGAAUUGAAUCAUUUUCCUUUUAUCUCAUAAACAAUCUCAAUAAUAAGAUAAAUAAUGCUAAAGACUGAAAUGAUUUACAACAUGCUUGGUGUGCUCAUGUGAACACAAGCCUUGACCGUAUGCCAUGCCCAUGAUCUCCCUCAACAAUUACAUAAGUGGGCUUAGUCAAUUGCAAGUACAACUUUGAAUGCUGGACAAUCAGUAUCUUAAAACGCACUUAUGGUCACAAAUCUGUCAGUCUUGCAAUUCAUACAGUUCUUCAAUUAAUAAAUGAUAUUAACAGAGCGUGCUUUAGUAAACCUUCACUCCAAAAUGAAUCCUUCAUGCACAGUUUCAAAUAUGUGUGUAACUUAAGUUGGGUACAGUCUGGCAAGCUACAGAAAGCCAAAGUUGCAACAAUCGAAGCAGAAAACUUUCUUCCUGCGACACCAACUCUUUGUCAUGUUCUAGUCUGGAACCUUGAGAGCUGUCCUCUCAAAUCCAUUGAUAUGUUUGCUUCAAACCCAGUUGGUAGAAAAUCGUGACUCAGUGAAAGAAAAAAACCAGCAGCACAAUCUCUUACAUCCAAAGCAUUUGAUCAAAUACUGCGCUUGAUUGAGUGAGAGACACGCAGAGAGAGAGAGAGAGAGAGAGAGAGAGAGAGCAUUUACUCCAGUUUUUCACAGUAUCUCAUGAGGUGGUGGAAUUGUUCCAGCCGGACAAUCCAGUAUUUAUCCAUUAUUUUAUCUGUUUGUAUCUGUCGAAAACAUACGCAUUUCUUCCAAUUUUCGGCACUCUCCGGAACACAACGCGAAGACUAGAGUUCAUAUACGGUUAUUGAGAUUACUACAGGUUUUUAAGCACAGUUAAUGACCAGCUCCAGAGGGAAGGCACGACCCAGGUAUGAAAAGCAGUGCCUGGGACGGGUGAUGGUAGAAAACAUCACCUGCAAACCAUGCCAACAGUGCCGCUAAGUUUUAAUUUCGUUUCGACAAAUCAAAAAAAAGAGAAAGAAAGAAAGCUUUACGUGCAGGAACUCUGCUCGAAAGCCAAGACAGCCAGCCCCCCUUUUCCCGAGAAAGGUCGCGGAUUGCACAUCUGUUGGGAUUCAGAAAUCAUGGAACUAGAGCCGAAGGUGUGUGUGUGUGUGUGCCCACCUUGUUGAAGGGGUCCACGGAGAGUAAGACGAAAAAACUGUGAAGAUAGGCCGGUGAUCAUGGUGUACCAGCGCCCUCGUCAGUCACAGCUUCAACAGGCCAUCAAUGAUAUGUGCUGCGUGUAUGUAUACCCUGAGCAUGGGACCGCGCACAGCUAUCGACCUUAGGGAUCAAAUGUCCCGGAAACAACACCAUCCUCUAUGAGCUUGCUUCGCACCCACUUGGAGUCCAUCUCGUGCACAAGUGUGGUGCUGUUCUCGUGGUCCAGCAUCAUGCCCUGUGUGACUCAGCACCUGGCAACACAGCAAUCUUGCUUCGCUGCUAUGUUGGCGAUGGUAUUGUGGGCUUGUCCAUAAGUGUCCGCUGCAAUGGUGGCAAUUACAGGAAGAUGUCCGUUGUUCGCUUCCCUCGAACAAGCAUUGUGUCAACAGAAGUGUUUUCUCCAACAAAGCCAAGGUCGCUGCGAACGGCCAUCGCUGUGAUCAACUUGCCAGCUUUGCCAGACAUUCUCUCAACGCAAACCACCGACUGGAUUGAUAAGUGAGAUGAGAGACUUGUGUUCCUGGAAUUAAAAACAAUGCAAACACGUAAUGUAGGGGACGAACUUAAUUAUAAAAGGUCGUCACGGAGCAUCUACAUGGAGGAUUCGAAGGGCUAGGUUCUAACGUUACGCAGGGACUACUUUACUACAUGAUCCUCCCUCAUUAGCUCAUCAUCGUUUAUGCAGAACUAUAUGCUGGCUUGUUAUCUAAUUUAUGUCAUCUAGAAGAAGAUUUAGAUGAUAAUUGAAAAACAAUCAAACGGAAGCACAAAGGACCCGGAAAAUAAAAGAAAAGUGAUAAUGUACUAAGACGAGGUGUUGACGACUCCUCACAAAAUGAUCCCAAAUCACAAGCCAGACUAGUUUCUAACCUACGUUAGGCUGCUCUCCCACGUGCACAAAUUCAUUGAUCUCCUCUGAUAAGUUGAGCCAAUUCCACUCCACCUUGCGUACGUAGGCUCCUGUGCAGCCCGUCAGAGAAUUGAAAUCAUAAAUCCUCACAGAACCGUGAGAAACUUAGUGUGGGGUUGAAUUCGUCAGAGGAUGUACACUUUGCUGGAAAAUGCCACCUCAACGACUUCCGUGGUUGCUUCAUCGGUGACAUGCAAAUCGUUCAGGAAGUGGGGUUUGAUGCCAAGCUUGUCAAGCUAUGGUUUCGAUGCCAAGGCCUCCGCCAUGGACUAGAACACAUUGAAUCCCGACACAGGUCUUUUGUUAUCACAACACCACAAGCUUACAAGGAAACCAUGGCCUGAAGCCAAAAACCUCGCCUCCAGAGAUGAGGAUUCCCAUUAGUGCGGCCCACAAAAUGCAAACCCUGCAAUGAAUACUCUGAAUCCCACGCACGUCCACAAAGCUGAUUUUGACAUAGAAGAUCAUUUUGAUAAUAUAAAAAUAUAUGAUAGUUGAAUUGAGAUUAGUCAAAUAUCUUCCUUAAAUCUUCACUAAAUAUAAUUAAAUGAAUUACUUAAAAUAAACAACUUUGUUUAUAUGUACAUAUAUUUUUUCAUCUUUUAUGAAAAUAAAAACUUUAAAAAAUAUGAGAAUCUUUUAAAAAUAUACUCAAUAUCUAUAGUUUCAGAUUUUUUAUGUUUGUAAAUAUGAGCAUUAUUAUUAAAAAAAAAUACAUAGUCAAUGUUAAAAAAAGAAAAAAUAGUAAUUCUUGGUCUAAAUAAUUAUGAGUAAUAUAUAUAUAUAUAUAUAUAUAUAUAUAUAAGGAAAUUUAAAAUUUCAUAGUUACAUCUUUGGAUUAUGUUUAUAUAUUGAGAUUAUUUAAUCUUAGAUUAUAUUGUCUUUAGUAUAAUAUAUAAAAAUAUCAUUCAGUUGAUUUUCCAAUUUUUCUAUCAUAUUUCAUUCACAUUCCAUUGAAUGAGAAUGUAAGCAAGUGGAUACAUUCCUCCAAUUACAUAGUAGUAGUAGAGCUUGAAUUUGGUUGUCUCUACAUGUUUAUCACUAUGUUAUCUUUUGGCAAAUAAUGUUGGGAUGUGUAUCACUUGUCGUCGAAAUAAGGGCUUAAUGUUGAUGAUGCUAGGAAUGGUCUACUUGCGCAUUAAAGCAUGGAUGGGAUUGGAUUUCAUUGACAUCAAGCAUGUUUUACUUUGAGAUUUUUCCUCAUGAUCCAAGCAAGAGGAUUUAAGAGGAGUUUAAAGGACUGCUAGAGGUGCGGAAGGCACAUGACAGGUUUAUGUAUUUUGCCAUAGAUAGAAAGGCACCAAAGCUGAACAAUAAUUUUAAUUUAUUUCUUAUAUUUUUAUCUUAUCACAAUUUAUUUUAUUAAAAGAUUGUAGGAUUAGAAUUUUGUAUAUCUAUACAAUAAUAUUAAUUGUGAACACCUAUUUGCUUAAGUAAGAAUCAUAAAUUUAUAACCUUUUCGGUUUGAUCUAAUGGCCAUUUAAACUUUAGUAAAAUUUAUAAUAAGUGACUAAAUCCAUAUUUUUAUUAUUUUUUGCAUUAAUAGAAUAAAUUGAAUUUUUAAAUUUAAUUUAAUAAAUAAUAUUAAUGGUAAUUUAAUUUUCUACAAAAAUAUUCAUUUGCAUUUGUAUUUGGACAUUGUAACCUCAAAAGAAAAGAAAAGAAAAGAAAAGAAAAAAGAAAAAAAAACAUAUUCCUUAGCAAUUAAGAAUGGCCUAAAUAUAAUUCAAAAAAUCAAUUAUCUAUGCAAUAUACAUUAAUUGAAUAUAUGAUAAGGCAUGCUAGCACAAAACACAAAAAAUAAAUAAAUUAGCAAAUUAAACGGCUGCAAAAAGAACAAACACAAAUCAGUAAGUAAGAUAUGAGAAAGUAAGACAAGAGAUGAUAAAAUAGGGACUUUAUAUGAGGGCACAUUUAUAAAAUGAAAUCACAUUCCUCCUCCUAAGGUUCAUACCUCUUAUAAAACCAAACAUUGAACAAGAACAAUCAAUCCUAUGCAAAGACCAUUAAAAUCCAAUAUCAUUCACAUUUUAUCAUAUAUUUUAAAGAAUAAUAGAAAUAACAAUAAUAGAAGAAUGUUAAAUAGACCCAUGCUGAAUAUAGUAAUCAUGAUGAAGAAUAUAGUAAUCAUGAUGAAUGUGGUUGGUUUUUAUUGAUUGCAGAUCCAAUAGUGGACAAAUGAAUUUAGAAAUGAAUCUAGAAAUCAUUAUUUUUUUCAUGUUGGUUUUCAUCCUGGGUCGAUUUAACAUACCCAAUGAUAAUAACAACUACAACUAUUUCUUCUUCUUUCUUUCUUUCUUUCUUUUUUCCUAUGUGCAAAGAUCUUUUUGAAUGGUAAAACCAUUAUUUUUAUGUAACCAUUCUUCCGGCAACUGGAACAGAAAUGAUGCCUGGGAUUGGCAGACUUUGAUUGAGGUCCUAUGAAAGUUGUGGGGAAUCGCAGGGCUAAGAAUCACGACCUUUGAAUGACAAGCAUUCAUUCAUAUUCGCAGCCAAUCUUGCUCACCAGAUGUGAUGCAUAUUACCAAAGCAAUAUUUUUGUGGAUGCAGUUUUGGAGAAGUAAGGAACUAAGUUCAUUGGAUAGAAGUUUCGAUGGAUCGGUGGAAAGGGAGCUGUAUGAGAUCAUGACGGAGGCCUUUGGAUGGAUUUAAUCACUUGUAGUAGUGCUUGUCCAAAUUUAUCGCGUGAAACAGCCUGCGUCGGUUAGUCUGGCUGUUUUUCAGGGGGUGGAGCGUUGUUUUUUUCUUUUUUUUUUUUUUUUUUUUUUUUUGCAUUUUUGCAUUUCAGGUGUUUUUUUAGGUGUUUUUUUUGAGGUUGUUUGUGUGAGAUUGCUGAUAUUGUAGUGGGUUCGAGGUGGGUUGAUUGCUUCUGUGUCGAUAUUCCGAAGUGGGUUUUUAUGGACAAGGUUAUGCUCGGUGCAUAGGUCGCUGAAUUCAAAGUUGUGGAAAAGGACGGAGACUGAGAUGCUUUGAGAUGGGUGAUUUUUUAAAAGUGCGUUGAGAAGGGUUUUUCCAGAAAUCGGGAUUUAGGGUUUAGCGGUGGCUUCAUGUUGUGGAUAUCUGGCACAUGUUGUAGCGUGCCGCGUGGGUAGCGCGGCAGAUUGUUGAGACGAUGGCUGCUCAAGGUUCGCAGAGCUUGGUUGGGAUGGCGGAAGCGGAUGUGGGUGGUGGUGGCGGAGUUGGAGCCCCCCCUGCUGAUGCUUGGCUACAAGCGUGGCGUGCAAUUGCGCCGCAGUGGGAGCAGAUACGCGCCAAGGUUAAGGUGAGUGGCUUUGCAGAGUGGCAAUGUAUCCGCAUUUUGUCACACGAAGUGCCAAAGUUUACUCAGCGAUGGUACUACAUGUGUGGAAAUUAUUCCAUCCAGCAACAAUCGGAAUUUGACAUAAUUUGGGCAUCUACUCGUUUAAUUCCAAUUCUCUGAAGCGGCUUACAAUUCAAGAGCAAUCUUGUUCUAAAGAUUAAGUUCGGAGCUUGAUUUUCUACUUUUAUCGUGGUUUUCAUCUUGCAGAGGCCAGAUGACAUUCCUUGUGGUUGACGACUGUUUUCACGUCAAUUAAAAAUGGAUUUUCAAUUAUGGUUUAGCAUCGCAGGGUUUAGGUUUUAGGUAUAAUCAAAGUGGGAAUGCCGCUGGUUGAAAGGCAGUAGGUCAGAUUUUUAAUAUUUUCGCCCUUUGUUGGGCGGUUUGGAUGUUAGAUGUCGUGAAUCGGAGUUAACUUGUACUUUGUGUGGAUGGCUGUGGUUUUACAACAGACAGUCCCAGACGUUCCAAUAUUGAGAGUCAACCAGAUUGAUGCUGCAAGACUUGAUGUGGAGAUGACGGGUAUGCUCAAGGAGCAACUCAGUAGAGUUUUUUCUCUGUCACAGGUAUGCUCGUUUCUCGGUAUGCUCAAUUAUGCUUUCCCCUACUGCUGGUUACCUUACUCAGCAAGUGAUUAGGGGACGAAGACCAUCUCGGGAUGAAAGUCCUAAUUGACUUCCUGCUAUAUGCUCUGCCAUACGCUCUAUAUGACAUUGUCGUGAAAUGAGGGUGUACUAUAUUCUGCAGGAGGUUAACGUAUUUUCUUUUUUGCAGCCAGGUCUUCUGUUACGUUAUGAACCCGAGCUAAAUGCUUUCUUGGAAUUUCUAGUUUGGCGUUUUUCCAUUUGGGUGGAUAAGCCAACUCCUGGAAAUGCCCUGAUGAACUUGCGGUAUCGAAAUGAGCGCUCUUUCAACACAUACCUCAAAUUUGGCAAAGGUCAGUCUACAGUGUCUUAACUUAGCAUCAAUGGUCUAUGUGAUUUGUGACCUCCGCUUCUUCAUUUGUUACUGCUUCGCACCUUUACUGCCCCAUUGACACACCUAACGAGCCGAUCUUAAAGGUAGUUUAGUGCCAGGAGUCCUGCGAUCGUGGGCAAUUGUGAUGCUGAUGUCUUGAUGUUAUGCUUCUCUUUUUUGAGCAGUGAGAACAGGUUUGGAGGGUGCCGGGUUGACAAAAACACAGAAGAUUCUUUAUUGUUUACUCGUUGUGGGAGGUCGCUAUGCAUGGGCCCGCCUCCAACUCAUAUCUGCUUUCCAGCGUUGGGGAGACCGGCAAAGGGUAAUAUAUCCGAACAGAAAGGCCCAACUCUCGAAUAGCUGGAAUACUUAUAUUGAUAAUUACAUCAUUUCUAGUUGCAGGAAAUGAGUUGUAGCCAGCUAGCUUGUUUUUCGCAGCAGAGGCAAUUCCAGUUGUAGAAACAGUUAUUGACUCGGUUACCAACUUGCCAUGGCAGACAUCGUGGGCUCGUCGUGCAUGGUUGCUGUUGCAAAAAGCAGAGAGUUUGUAUAAAAUUGCGGGAUUUGCCAACCUUGUUCUGUUUCUUCACUCUGGAAGGUGGGUCCCUGUUUCUCAUACCUAAGUCAUCUUGAAAAAUGUCUUUUUCCGGUUUAGCUGACUUCGGUGUGAGCAUUAUUGCAUUGGCAGCAUCUGGAGUCUAACAAGUGUUUCUGUUGCAGAUAUCCAAGUACAGUGGAGAGGCUUUUGGGAGCCCGUUUGGUUUAUGAAAAACCUGAUAUGAAUCGGGCUGUUAGCUUCGAGUACAUGAAUCGACAACUUGUUUGGCAUGAAUUCUCUGUAAGUUUUUUUUUUUUUUUUUUUUUUUUUUUUUUUUUCUUCUUCUUCUUCUUCGAUCUACAUUAGGGCUUUAUAAUCAGGGAUAGUGAAUGAUACUAAGAAUUUUAGAUUGUAUAGUUUGCUUGAUAUGUGUUAUGUUGGCAAUCUUGGACCUGCGUUGUGCCUAACAACUAUUUCCCAUGUUCUGCUCCUCACCAAUCAUCAUUCUGUGUAUGCAGGAAUUGCUCUUGUUGAUCCUCCCUCUUCUCAACAUGAUGUCUAUUCGGAAAGUUCUCAUGUUCCCCUUCUCUACUCAAGCCCCUGCAUCUAGUCUACCUGAGGAUGCGUGUCCAAUAUGUGAGGCGUGCCCCAUCGUGACCCCCUACAUGGCUCUUCCUUGUUGCCAUUUAUACUGCUAUUACUGCCUUAGAACUCGAAGUCUUUCCGACAGGAAUUUGAAGUGCUCACGUUGCAGUGUCAGUGUAGUGGCCUUGAAGCGAUACCAAGUUGAGGCUGGUUUAGAUGGCUCUGGUAGCACUGAUGCAGCGUCUCAAUGAAGCUUUAUUUUUAGAUCGUUUGCUCCUUUACCCUGUUAUUUCUCCACUUGUACACAACCCACUUUGCAAUAUUCUUAUUUAAAUGUGUUUUAUGAGCACAAAUUUAUGGUUCGUUGCCUCUUGUUUAGACGUUCUCUCUUCCUCCUUUGGAUGUGUUGAAAUCAUUACUGCAGAAUAUAUAUCAUAGUUACAGUAUUUAGAGUCUAGAGUCUAGUGGAGAAGUAUUGUUUAUCCUCUUUUUUUUUUCUCUUCUUGUAUACGAGUCACAACCAAAUCAAUAGAUUUUUGUGUGUGAAGCUCUCUCUCCUUAGAAACCCUCUCUUCUUGUAUACGAGUCACAACCAAAUCAAUAGAUUUUUGCGUGUGAAGCUCUCUCUCCUUAGAAACCCUCUUGUGUGUAUGACUUAUUACUACUCUUGUGUGUAUAUGACUUAUUAUUACUCUUGUGUCUUUUUAAACAUUCUCAACACGUUAUCAGCACAAUUCUCUUCUACACAUUAUCACAAUUUUUUUGCUCUAGUCUUUGACUCUUCAAACUUGUUACUACCUUUGCUCAAUGUCUGUCUCAUGGUUUUGUUCUUCUUAUUGGCCCCUCACACCUUAGCUGCUUGCUUAGAGCACUUGUUCCACUCUCUGCCUUGCUUGCUUAGAAUACUUGAUCCAGCCCAAUUCCACCCCAGCUUGCUCCCUACUCCCUACGCCCCUGUCAUCGAACUGCCGUUGUCAUGUUGUAACACGAGUAUACAGUGAAAAUAAAAAGAAAGGGGAAUUUUAUUAAUAUUCAGUUACCUCGAAUAUUGGGAGCAUCGACCAACUCCAGUACAAAUACUGAGUGGUCAGGUUCAGUGACUCCGUUACAGUUAGCCGGGGCAUACUGGAAUGCCCCGUUCGAUUCCAAUAACGGGAGUCAGCAGGAAGAGAAGGACCAAUUCACACGACGGGUUCGAGGAGCCAAUUGGAUCCAAUUUCGAUAAUCCAAUCUGGGUCCUCUUACCCAAUAUGAGACCUGUAUUGGUGGGGCAACCCAAUGCAGUCUAGUUACGGGAAAUCCAGGUCUUACUACGGGUCUUAGCCAAUCUGACGCGAGGACCAAUUGGAUCCAAUUACGGGAACAUCCAGGUUACUACGGGCAUCCUUCCCAAUAUAGGACCUGAAUUGGUCGGGCGACUCAAUGUGGUCCCGAUUACGGGGUUCGAUUCUGUUUCAGGCUGUCCUGUUCUCUGUGCCGUCUCAGGGAACGUUGUUUUCGGUAAAUGGAUUUCUUAAAGGUAAAAACGGAGGAGAAAGCUUGGCGGCGAGAGCCAAUUUCGAAUCCAAGUUGAGGUGAGAGCCAAUUUCGGAUCCAAGCUUGAGGUGGGAGCCAAUUCCGGAUCUAAGACGGAAGAUUGAAGAAAUUCAGAGGAUAAGGUUAGGGGGGAUAUAGUUUUGGAGUGGUGGGGGGUUUUUUUUUUUUUCAAGGGGAAAUCGGGGGGGGAAGCGAGUUUUUUUUUUCAAGCUUCUGCAAGGUUACCAGUUCGGGUUUCAUUGGGGGUUUUUUUGGGAAGAUCAAGGGAAUUAGAGAGAGGAGCUUCAUGCUUCGGGUCGGGGAAGGAAAGACAUAGAAUUUGGAUUUUUCUUCUUCAUAGAGUUUUGGGAAGACUGAGGCAAUCGCGGCUGAAGUCAGUGUUGUAAUGGUGAAUCGGGAUUUUUAAAUAAAGUGGGUUUGAAUACUCUUGACUGUUUUGUAAAAUCGAGUUACGUCUGUGAUUGAAGGAUUAAAGGGGUGUCUAUAGGAUUGAGUAUGCGGAGUGAAUGAAAUUUAUUGGGUUAAUCUAACAGGACAGUCAGUGGAUACAAGAUCGUAAGUACAAAGGGGUAUUGAAGAUUAACAGUUUGGGUUGUUCGGAGUUCUCUGUAACGUCUAGAGACCUAUCGGUUGGGAAAAAAAAAAAAAAAAAAAAAGACUUCGACAAGCAGUCGAAGAGCAUCCGUAUAGAUUUACGGUACAUUGUUGUAGUCAUUUAUAUUCCAGCAGUCAAAAACUGAUAGACUGCUUGACUAUUGGCGAAUCUCCAUACUACCUUCUACAGCCAGACGCCCGGCGCGUUCUCGAGCAGGAAAGCACGUAAUACGACAAAAGUGGUGAACCCGACAUGAAAGCUUGAGGUAGAAGGUAUUGGAUUUCGGUUGAUUUUAUCUUUAUUUUUUAUGGAAAACGAAAAUAAAAAUUUUGAAGGAUUUUUGGGAGAAAUUUCUGGUGGGGAGUCUUCUAAAGGACAAGGUAUGCACAUGGAUCCGUCUAUUGCUAGUUUGUUUCAAGCCUUCUCAUUGUCAAUGCAGCAACAGCAAAGCAAUGAUCGAAAGGAAGCUUUGGCAACUAAAGCAUUGCAAGCAGUGGUCAAUAAAAUUGAUCAAUUUGAUGGGAGGAAUAUUUCAAGGUAUUUAAGAUAUUAUGUUUGUGAAAUGGAAUUAAAUCGGGUUUCUGAGAAGAAAAUGGUUGCACUAUUUGGACUUGCCACGAUACCGGAGAUAAGGGACCACAUUACAUCGAUUACGGAUCGUUGUGGGAAUUCUUGGGAGGAUUUUUCACAUGCAUUGAAAGACGAAUAUUUCUUGGAAGAUGCUGAUCGCGUUACUAAGAAGCUGUUUCUGGGAUGGAUUGAACGGCCCAAUAAGAAUUUGCAAGCAACAGAGCUACUAAGGGAAUUUGAGAGGCAGUACUCUCAAUUAUCGAAGGUAGAAAAAUUGACAUUGGAGCCGAACAAAGUUGAUCUAUUUCUUCAAGCUGCUGAUGGAGAAUUGCAAGAGAAAUUAGAACCCCUUCUUGAAGACAAAGAAGAAGAUGAAGGAUUGACAACGAAGUGGAAGAACGUUGAAGAUGCGGUGGGGUUGCUUACAAAAAAAGAAAGGAGGAAGGAUAGGAGUAAUAUUCCGAAAACAGUACAAGCACCCAAAGCUCCAGUACGUACUACACCACCGACAAUGCCUACAGUUCAACCUUCGACAUCCUUGUGAAAGAAAACAGAUAUGGGUAUGGAAGAAAUUAUACGAGGAAUGCGAGAUCUUCAAAUCAAAUUGGCAAGACUUGAAGAGAAUACUUCUAUAAACAAUUCGAAGAAUGUUUCAAAACAAGGAUAUGUACAAAGAUGCAUUUGGUGUGAUGAUGCUUCACACACUAGAAAAGAUUGCAAUGAAUUUAAUAAUAUGAUACGGCAGGGAAUUAUUUGCUGGAAAGAUGGGAAGAUAGCAUUGAAAGAUAGGGAGGAUCUUCUUCAAACCAAUUUUGGCAAGGGAGGAAUGAGAGCAUUGGUUCAAGAUUACUUAAAAGGGCAUGAAACAGUAGCACGAGAAAGUGCAAGUUAUGGUGCUAGAGUAGAUGAUGAAAUUGGUGGAAGUACGGAAACUAGUGAGUUUUGGGCUUCUGCCGUUUCUACAAUGCAAGAAGGGAAAUUACCUCGAGAAGCGUUAUUGAGAACUGCAGCUACAAUACGAGGAAGAACAGGUUGGGAGGAUCCUGUUGAGUCUCUUUCAGUUCAUGCAUAUAUUUCUAAGAGCCAACAUGAAGCUUUGAUGGAAGAAAAAAGACGAGGAAAUUUUGAUGAUACUAGAGAAGGAAAUUUUUCUAAGAGGCAAACUCGAGGAGACAAGGCUCGAGAGGCAGCUUCACAAGAAUUGCCUGUAAAGGAUACCUCAGCAUCAUUGGGAGAAAAAACAACGGAGACAAAAGAUAAGGGCAAAUCAAUUGCUUAUAAGCUACUUUCUGACAUUGAAGCGGCAACAAAUUUGAAAGGGGUGUUGGAAGAACGUAUAUUAAACGCUAAGGUGGAAUUCACAUUGAAAGAAGUCUUGGAAAUUGCAAAGAAGGAGUUUCAUGAUGUUAUCAUUGACAGCAUUAAGCGAAAGAGGCAAUUAAUGAGCGAAAUUGGAAUGAGUCAUGCUAUUGACGCAAGAAUAUGUAGAGAUGAAGAAGAGGUUGAUAUUGGUUACAAGCAACCAACAAAUGAAAAGAAUGGGUAUAAUCAGCGAGUACGUUUCGAAGAUUCUAGUGACAAGGAAAUGGAAACUUUGAGUCAUUAUACUCGAAAGCAUUGGGCAAGGGCAACUACUGAGGUAUUGGUGAAGGUAGGAGAUAUAGAAGAACCAAUAGUUGCUUUGGUGGACCAUGGUUCUGAAAUAAAUCUCAUGUCUAAAGAUCUUUAUAAGAAGCAAAAAUGGCCAAUUGAUAUGGAACAUGGAUGGGCAAUACGAGCAGCUAAUAACACACGAGGCGAAUUAUAUGGAGCUUGUCCAGAUGUCAAAAUUCGGAUUGGGGAUGUUGCGACGGAGCAACAUUUCUUCGUUUAAGAUACAACGUCUUAUCCGUUGAUUUUAGGACAACCUUAUAUCACGGCAACACGGAUGGAAACAAAGGUACUUGACGAUGGUUCUGCUUAUGCAAGGGUACGGAGCGAAGAUGGGAGGAAAGCUGUACAAUUUCUAACAGUACCUCCUAACCAUGAACGGAAUCGAGAUAGGUUGAGGGAAAAACCAUUGCCAAAGAUUGUUGAAGGAUUUAAGGAUUUUGGGGAGGUACCACUGUAAAGCGAGAUUAUGGAGGUACAAAAGAGGAGGUACUCUCGCGAGAUGAAGGUGCCUUUGAUGCGAGUUUUAUUGGUAUAUUGGAGAAUGGAAAUAUUAUGUAUAAGAAAGUUGAAGAUUUUAAAAGAAAAGAAAGAAAAAGAUUAUAUGAUAUUGAAGGACAGUUACGCAAGAUAGGUACAUAGCAAGAUGAUGAGAGGAUUUUGGGUGUUUAUGAAGAAAAUGGGUUGGAAGAUUCAUUGGAAUUGAUUACAUCUAUUGGGUUAGGGAAUAAUGAUAAGAUUGUUGAGAUUCAUUCGAGAGAGGUUUAUACCAUGCUUGAAUCUUUUCAAGCACCAGAAGUCACAAUAGAGACGAGAUAUAAAACGGCAGAUAAGAAGGUAAAGCCUGUUGCCGGACCAUUACCAGAGGAUUCUAAAGAACAAAUGGGAGAAGCAUCAAAAGAAGCAAGUUUAAGAGAUCCAAUGAGUAUUGGACAUUAGUUUACUGAAGAGACUUUUGAAGAAUUGAAGAUUGGUUCUGAUGGUUCUUUAUUGCCGGAGGAAAUUACUUGCUUCAAAAAGAUGUUGGCUAAACAAGGUAGAUCGUUUGCCUUCGAAUCUCAUGAAAUUGGGUGUGUGGAUCCAAAUAUUAUAACACCUAUGGUUAUCUUCACUGUACCGCAUGUACCUUGGAAUCUAAGGUCGAUUCCAGUACCGAGGGCACAUUUACCUAAAUUGGUCGAACUAUUGAAAGAAAAGAUAAAGAUGAAAAUAUUAGAACCUUCAUUUGCGCCGUAUUCUAGUCGAUGGUUUACGGUACCUAAGAAGAAUGGGUCACUGCGGUUUAUUCAAGAUAUGCAGCCGGUGAAUGCUGUAACUGUCAGGAAUGCAGGAAUUGGACCUAUUGUGGAUGAAUUUGCUGAGGCGUUUGCUGGAAGCGCGAUCUAUUCAAUGGGUGAUUUGUAUUCAGGUUAUGAUUAAUUUCAACUUGCCGAAGGAAGUAGAGAUAUGACAACGAUGAGGACACCGCUUGGAUUGGUUAGAAUGUGCACUCUUCCUCAUGGCACGACCAACUCAGUUGCGCAUAUGAUGAAUGGGAUGAAUAAGGUAUUGAGAGAUUUUAUCCCGGAAAAGACUAUGCCUUUUCUGGAUGAUGUUCCUAUAAAAGGGUGCAAAGAAGGAGACAAGGAUGAAACUUUAGAUACGAGGGGGUGUCGCAGAUAUGUUGUUGAUCAUAUACAAGAUUGUGAAAAGAUUUUAACUCGGCUUGGAGAAGUUCAUCUUACAUUAUCGGAUAUGAAGUGCGUAUUUGGAGUGCGAGAGGUUGUAAUUAUUGGACAUUUAUGCGGAUCUUACGGAAGAAAACCAGAUCCGACUAAAGUUGAUGCAAUUGGAAGGAUGAAAGAGGAUUGUGGUUCUUUAACAGAGGUUCGCAGGUUUUUGGGUGCAUGUGUAUUUUAUCGAAUCUGGAUCCCUCAUUUUGCUCACAUAGCGGAUCCAUUAUAUGAACUGUUACGCAAGGGUUACCGAUUUGAAUGGGAAGAAAGGCAUAUUCAGGCAAUGCAAAGAUUGAAGAAAUUAUUGAUGUCACCUCCAAUAUUGAGGAAGGUUGAUUAUAAGUGCAAUAGACCAGUGAUUCUUACUGUAGACGCUAGUCCAAUUGCCGUUGGAUGGGCUGUGGGUUAAGAUGAUUCGAAUGGGAGUAGAUUUGCAGUUCGAUUUGAGGCUAAAGUUUUAAGUAUUCGUCAGCGUGCAUAUUCGCAAGUCAAAAGAGAACUUUGGGGAGUCGUUUCGGCUAUGAAAGCUGAAAAGGACUAUUUGAUUGGGGCAGUAGUAGUAAUUGAAACAAAUUGCUUGCCAUUGCUUGGAAUGAUUAUUAACUGUUCAACGCCAGAUAUUGCAAUGUUGAGAUGGAUUGCUUAUAUUAAGUCACUAAAUCCAGAAUUUAAGUAUAUCACUGGAAAAGACAAUUUAGUAGCAGACAUGCUAUCUCGAGCAAGAUACGAGAGGGAGGACGAAAUGGUUGAAGACAUUGAUGAUGUCGGAUUGAAAUUCUAUUCAAUAUCAAAUCUCAAUAGAGAAGACAAGCUAUUUCUUGAAGAAUCUUAUGAAGGAGAAUUAUUGGAUAUUGGUCAUUAUUUGAAUACCUUGUCUAAGCAGGGGAAUUGGUCUACAGAAAAAUUCAAACAAAUAAGAAAAAAAGCAUAUGGAUUUUUACUUCAAGAUGGAUUCUUAUGGAAGAGACCGAAGAAAGGAAUUGGGAUGCCACAACGAGUGAUAGGCAAAAGGGAAGAAAAACUAAAAUUAUUAAAGGAGUUUCAUGAUAGUUUAUGGGCAGGCCAUAGAGGAAUCUGGGCUACUUUUGCUAAACUCAAGGAACGAUAUUGGUGGAAAAAUAUGUAUCGAGAUGUGCUCUCAUUUGUAGAGUCAUGUGAAAUCUGUCAAUCGUAUUCUAAUAUCCGACAUCGAGAUGGUCUUCAUCCUACGUAUCCUCUGGCUAUUCAUUUUAAAUGGGUUGUUGAUUUGGUUAUUAUGCCGGUUGGGUUAUGGCAGAUGAGAUAUUUGGUUUUAGCUCGUGAAGAUUUAUCAAAUCAAGUAGAAGGAAGAGCAUUGAGGACAAAAUCUACAGAGGGGAUUUGUAGGUUUUUGCUUGAAGAUGUCAUUUGCCGUUACGGGUGCGUAGGAAAAAUCACUACAGAUCGUGGAGAAUUAAAUGCACAAGAAGCUCGUAAGUUCUUUGAAAAAUGUGGAGUUAAACUAUCACUUACUACUGCUUAUAAUCCGGAAGGGAAUGCGAAAAGCGAACGCGGUCACCCGCCGAUUGUGAAAGCAUUGGUUAAAGCUUGUAAUGGGAAGGUUAAAGAGUGGCCACGGCUUUUGUCAUUUGCAUUAUGGGCUGAUCGAACAACACAUAGUUCGGUGACAGGAUAUAUGCCAGUAGAACUUAUGACAGGUCAAAAACCAAUUAUGCCGAUUGAAGAAAAGGUACUUACUUGGAGUAUGCUACCAUGGGAAGAUGGAUUGACAAGAGAAGAACUUCUGGCUAUUAGGAUUCGACAAUUGGAGCAAAGAACGGAAGAUGUCCAGAUAGCAUUGGAAAGGUUAAAAAGAGCAAGGUUACAAAACAAGGCGCGAUUCGAUAAGCAACAUCGAUUGAGACCAAAAGCAAUCGAGGAAGGUGACUGGGUACUUGUUUAUGACAAUAGUCUGGAUAAUCAACAUAGUACUUUGCGGAAAUUUUCAAAACGUUGGUUUGGACCAUAUGUUGUAACAACUGUUCAUGAUAAUGCGACUUACUCAUUACGGGAGUUAGAUGGUACAAAAUUGAAAAUACCAAUUGCAGGGAAGAGAGUAAAAAUAUUUAAACGAAGACACGCAGAGAUGGAUAUGGAAGACCUUAAUGAAGAUACAGAGAUUCUGCAGCAAGAAGAUGAAAGUGAUAUGGAUAAUGAAGGUGACAAAGACGAACUGGACAAAGACGUAGGGGAUAUAUUCUGAAUCAAACAGCAAUUGGGUAAAUUGGUGCAUACCGGAGGAUGCACAGGUUCAGAGGGGGUGGAUGUCGUGUUGUAACACGAGUAUACAGUGAAAAUAAAAAGAAAGGGGAAUUUUAUUAAUAUUCAGUUACCUCGAAUAUUGGGAGCAUCGACCAACUCCAGUACAAAUACUGAGUGGUCAGGUUCAGUGACUCCGUUACAGUCAGCCGGGGCAUACUGGAAUGCCCCGUUCGAUUCCAAUAACGGGAGUCAGCAGGAAGAGAAGGACCAAUUCACACGACGGGUUCGAGGAGCCAAUUGGAUCCAAUUUCGAUAAUCCAAUCCGGGUCCUCUUACCCAAUAUGAGACCUGUAUUGGUGGGGCAACCCAAUGCAGUCUAGUUACGGGAAAUCCAGGUCUUACUACGGGUCUUAGCCAAUCUGACGCGAGGACCAAUUGGACCCAAUUACGGGAACAUCCAGGUUACUACGGGCAUCCUUCCCAAUAUAGGACCUGAAUUGGUCGGGCGACUCAAUGUGGUCCCGAUUACGGGGUUCGAUUCUGUUUCAGGCUGUCCUGUUCUCUGUGCCGUCUCAGGGAACGUUGUUUUCGGUAAAUGGAUUUCUUAAAGGUAAAAACGGAGGAGAAAGCUUGGCGGCGAGAGCCAAUUUCGAAUCCAAGUUGAGGUGAGAGCCAAUUUCGGAUCCAAGCUUGAGGUGGGAGCCAAUUCCGGAUCUAAGACGGAAGAUUGAAGAAAUUCAGAGGAUAAGGUUAGGGGGGAUAUAGUUUUGGAGUGGUGGGGGUUUUUUUUUUUUUUUCAAGGGGAAAUCGGGGGGGGGAAGCGAGUUUUUUUUUUCAAGCUUCUGCAAGGUUACCAGUUCGGGUUUCAUUGGGGGUUUUUUUGGGAAGAUCAAGGGAAUUAGAGAGAGGAGCUUCAUGCUUCGGGUCGGGGAAGGAAAGACAUAGAAUUUGGAUUUUUCUUCUUCAUAGAGUUUUGGGAAGACUGAGACAAUCGCGGCUGAAGUCAGUGUUGUAAUGGUGAAUCGGGAUUUUUAAAUAAAGUGGGUUUGAAUACUCUUGACUGUUUUGUAAAAUCGAGUUACGUCUGUGAUUGAAGGAUUAAAGGGGUGUCUAUAGGAUUGAGUAUGCGGAGUGAAUGAAAUUUAUUGGGUUAAUCUAACAGGACAGUCAGUGGAUACAAGAUCGUAAGUACAAAGGGGUAUUGAAGAUUAACAGUUUGGGUUGUUCGGAGUUCUCUGUAACGUCUAGAGACCUAUCGGUUGGGAAAAAAAAAAAAAAAAAAGACUUCGACAAGCAGUCGAAGAGCAUCCGUAUAGAUUUACGGUACAUUGUUGUAGUCGUUUAUAUUCCAGCAGUCAAAAACUGAUAGACUGCUUGACUAUCGGCGAAUCUCCAUACUACCUUCUACAGCCAGACGCCCGGCGCGUUCUCGAGCAGGAAAGCACGUAAUACGACACCGUCGAACAGCAGUUGAGCUGCCGCCGCCUUAACGCCGUUGUCACCCGUCGCUGCCAUUGUCCGCUGCCACCCUGCCGCCCUACUACUACCGCCCUACCAUUGCUUGCUGCCACCAUCUUAUUGCUGUUCUACUACCUUAAUCUACAACCUCUUUAUAUAUAUAUAUAUAUAUAUAUAUAUAUUUGUUGUUUCAAGUUCAAGUUUAUGAUUUUAUUUGACUUUAUAUUUUAAUGUACGUUUUACUCAACUUUUCUACUUGAUCUUGUAUUUUCUUUACAGAUUUAUUUAUAAUGAGUGCUUUAACAUCUUCAAUUGCUUCUACUAUGGUUCCAACUAUUACCAGUGCAUCCCAACAUUUUCAAGCUCUUUUAUUUCCACCAUAGAUUGUAGAUUGAAACAAUUAUCUAUUAUGGGCAAAAGUGGCAAAAGCAAAUUUAUUUGCAGAACAACUCUUGCAUGCUAUUAUGUUUGAAGAAUCUCCUACAAUAAGUAUUUCUAUACCUCCUGCUAUUUGUUGGAAAGCACUUCUUCUCUUUCGUCGUCAUCUUGUAGUUGUAUUACAAUAUCAAUAUUUAGAAAUGGAAGAUCCUGCAGAACUUUGGAAGAAUCUUAAAUCUAGGUUUGAUCAUCAAAAGACCAUUUUUCUUUCAUGUGCACGUCAUAAUUGGACACAUUUACGUGUCUUGGAUUUUCCAAAUUUAAAUACUUUCAAUAGUGAAAUGUAUAGUAUUGUCUCACAAUUACGAUUAUGUGGACAAAGCAUUUCUGAAGAAGAAAUGAUUGAGAAAACUCUCUCUAUAUUUCCUCUUUUAUCUAUUGUGCUUGCACAAAAAUACAGGAACAUGAAAUUUCAGAGUCAUUCUGAUCUCAUGUCCUAUCUACUUCUUGCGGAGAAGCAAAAUGAGCUACUCUUGCGCAAUGCAGAAGCUCGUCCUAUUGGAACUAUAGUUCCAGAAUCUCAUGCAUUUAAUAUUUCAAAGUCUAAGAAGAAAUUAUAUAAACAUGGGAAACGUGCUUAUAAGUAUCAAGGUAGUCAUAGUCAAGACCAUUUCUACCUAUAUGGAAAGAAUAAAUGUUCUACUAUUAAUUAUAGUAGAAAACAAAAAUCAAAGAUGCGUUCUUGCCAUAAGUGUGGAAUGAUUGGACAUUUAGCACAUGCGUGCCGUACUUCAGAAUAUUUUAUUAAAAUAUUCUAAGAAAAUAAGAAAUUGCGAGUUGAGGCUCAUGAAGUUCAUACCAUAGAUGCGUCCAUGGAUUCAAUUGGUGUUGAUGACUUAGAGGCUUAUAUGAAUGAUAGAACCUCUAAUGAUGAAUCAAAUGAUGUGCUCAUUGAUUCUGCAACAACACAUACUAUCUUGCGAGAUAGACAAUUUUUUAUUGAAAAAUCUUCAACUUGGCAAACUAAAAAUAUGAUGAUCAUGUUUGGAGCAAAUGGGUUUUGUUUCCAAGAGGGCACGUCGAUGGUAAAAUUACGUGCAGGUUCCAUCAUAAAAUGUAAACAUGCGAUGUUUGCACCCUCAGCACCUCGGAGUUUGAUCAGCUAUCAAAAUGUGCAUAUUAAUGGUUAUCACCUCUCGACUGUCACUUUAAAUAGAAAAGAGGUUUUGGUUCUUAUGAAGAACCAUAAAGUUGUUGAAAAAGCUUUUGCUAUAGAAAAUGGUUUAUACCAAAUUGUGAUUCGGCCUCCUAUUAUAUUUAAUUUUGCAUCAUCUAUCUCAGAGAGUUGUGUUUCUCUCUGGCAUGGACGAUUGAGACAUCGAGGAUCCACAUUAUUUAGAAAGAUCAUUCCAUGUAUAACUGGGCACAAUUUAAAGCCUAUAGAUGUAGACUCUAUGGAAUUAUGUCGUGCAUGUGUGCAAGGUAAAAUAAUUACUCGGCCUUCAAUUUGGAAACUUCCACGAGAAUUACCACCAAUGCUUGAAAGAUUGCAUGGUGAUAUUUGUGGUCCUAUUAAUCCAAUAUCAGGACCAUUUCAUUAUUUUUUGGUCCUUAUUGAUGCAUCAGGUAAACAAUCACAUGUUUCAUUAUUAUCAACUCGAAACAUGGUGUUUGCCAAUCUUAUAUCUAUGCUUAUUCGCUUUUGGGCACAUUUUCUUGAUUAUCCUAUAAAAACAUUGCGUAUGGAUAAUGCAAAAGAAUUCGCAUCAAAGUCUUUUGAAGACUAUUGUACUGCAACAGGAAUCGAGUUGACAUAUUUUGUUCCAUAUGAACAUGCUCAAAAUGGACUUGCAGAGUCAUUUAUAAAGCGUAUACAACUCAUUACCUAGCCACUCCUCUUUCAUACAAAUCUACUUGCAUCUAUGUGGGAUCAUACUGUUUUACAUGCUGCAUCAUUAAUAUGCCUUUGCCCUUCUUCUCUUAAAAUUGUUUCACCACAUGAGCUCAUUUUGGAUCGUGUUCCAAAUGUAUCUUACUUACGAGUAUUUGGUUGCCGUGCUUGGAUUCCAGUACCAAAACCUCAAUGGUGUACCAUUGGAGCUCAUCGACAAGAAGACAUAUAUGUUGGUUUUGAUUCACCAAGCAUUAUUUGUAUUGUUGAUCCAUCAACUGGCACAUUAUUACGUGCACGUUUACAAAAUUACCAUUUUGAAGAAACUGUAUUCCCAUCUCUUCAAGGAGAAGUAUCCAAUCAAUAAAGAAAUAAAGUACUCAUAUUUGAAGUACCAGAAACGUUUAUAAUGAAUCCCGACCUUAGGACAUCUUUGGCAGAAACUAAAGUUGCUAAGAUUUUGCAUCUAAAAUGGAUCGCAGAUGAAACACCUGAUGGCUUCAAUGAUUUACCUAGAAUUACAAGAGUUCCUAUUAAUGAGGCUCAAAAUGCACCUGCUCAGAUUAUAGUGCCAUUGAUUACAAUACCUCAAGUUAUAACAAGAACAACUAAAAGAAUUCGUGGACCAAAUAAGCAACCAUGUAAGAAGAAAGCUAUAAAAUUGACUAAUCUUGGUAUUAUUUCUCAAGAAAUUGCCACAUCUUGUAGGACUACCAAUUCAUGAUGAUAUAUCCAUGCAUAAUGUAUCUUCAAUUCCUAUGAAAAACAAUCUUGGAAUUGGAAGGAAUAAGAACAAGUUGAGUAAAGAAUUAUCUAUUCUGUAUUGUACUACAGAUGAUAUUUGGGAUAGACCAUCUAUUAUGGUAGAUGAAUCAUUUGCAUAUAUGAUUAUAGAAGCCCUUUCUUGCGAAGAAGACGAUCUUAAACCUCAAACCAUCGAAGAGGCGAUGCAUCAGUCAGAUUGGUCAAAAUAGAAAACUGCUAUUGAGGAGGAGUAUGCUUCUUUGCGUAAGAGGAAAGUCUUUGAUCCAAUUGUAGACACUCUUACAUCUCACCCUAUGGGAUAUAAAAUGGUAUUAAUAUGCAAGCAAGAUGCUCAAGGCCAAAUAACCCGCUAUAAAGCAUGUCUUGUUGCUCAAGGAUUUACUCAACGAUUUGGCAUUGAUUAUGAAUCCACAUAUUCUCCAAUCAUGGAUUCAAUUACAUUUCGAUAUAUUAUUGGAAUGACAAUUCAUGCCACCCUUGAUAUGAAUCUAAUGGAUGUAGUAACUGCAUAUCUAUAUGGUUCUCUUUAUGCAAAUAUUUAUAUGAAAGUUCCAUGUGGCUUAGAAAUAGUAACUCCAAAUCAACCCACUCCAGGAAAAUAUCAUGGUAUUAAAUUAUGUAAGGCCUUGUAUGGUUUAAAACAAUCCGGACGCAUGUGGUAUCAACAUCUUUGAGAUUAUUUAAUUACAAAUAAUUUUAUAAGUGAUCUAUUAAUCCCUUGUUUAUUUAUCAAAUGAGAUAAAACUGGUUUUGUGAUCAUCACUGUAUAUGUUGAUGAUCUUAAUCUAGUGGGUACUACAUCUACAUAUGUUACAGCUACAAACCUAUUUAUACAUGAAUUUGAGAUGAAAAUACUAGGAAAAAUAACUUUCUGCAUUGGUCUUCAAAUUAUGCAUCUAACAGAUGAUAGCAUUUUUCUCUACCAACUAACAUAUAUUAGACGAAUCUUGCGAAGAUUUAAUAUGAUUGAUGUUUAUCCAUUGUCCACACCAAUGGUUGGAUGUGGUCGUGAUGGUCAUGAUCCAUACCAUCCAUGCUAGAAGGAAGAAGAAAUAUUGGGAGACCAAUAUCCAUACCUCACAGCGGUUGGAGUACUUUUGUAUUUAGCUACAUCUAUAAGACCAGAUAUUGCAUUUGCAAUUAGUGUUCUUGCAAGACAUAGUACACGUUCAACACUACGACAUUGGAAUGGCAUCAAAUAUUUAUUACUUUAUUUAAAAGGUACUGAAGACUUGGGAUUAUACUACACACAAUCCGUAGAUCCAAAAUUGAUUGGAUAUUGUGAUGCAGGAUAUAAAUCUGAUAUUGCAACAACUAAAUCUCAAACAGGAUAUGUAUUCUUAAGACAUAGAGUUGCAAUAUCAUGGAAAUUAGUAAAACAAACAAUAACUUCAACUUCAUCCAACUAUGUAGAAAGUAUUGCCUUACAUGAAGCAUCUUGAGAAUGUAUUUGGUUGUGAUCAAUUGAUAAAUUCAUUCAAACAACCUGUGGAUUUUCAUAUGAUGAUUCUCUAACUAUCUUGCAUGAAGAUAAUAGUACUUGUAUUGCACAGAUGCAAGUUGGUUUCAUUAAAGGUGACAAGACAAAGCAUAUUGAUCCAAAAUAUUUUAGUUAUACCCAUGACUUGAUUACUUAUCAAGCACUUAUAAUUAAGAAAUUUGGAUAUACAAAUAACCUUGCUGAUCUCUUCACCAAAGCUCUCCCAUUAAGCAACCAUCGUUGACUUACUUAUGGCAUUGGUAUGCAGUGACUUGCUCUUCUUGAAUAAAAAAAUUAAUGAGCUCUUUUUAUAUAAUUAAAAAAAUGAUUUUAUACUCUUUUUCUUUCAUCUAUGGUUUUGUUCUUAAAUAAAAUAAGGUUUUCCUAGAUAAGGUUUUAAUGAGGCAAUAAUUAUUGAUCUUGCAAGAUCACAGAAAAGUAUAGAUCAUAAUUCUAUACAAAUUUUAUAUUAUGUAAAUAUUAUGAUGAACGAAAAGGAGUGUUGAGAUCAUUAAAUAUAGCUAGUGCUUUCGACAAUAUUUACUAUAGAAUACAGUAAAUACUAUAGCUACAGUAUUUAGAGUCUAGUUGAGAAGUAUUGUUUAUCCUCUCUCCUUUUUCUCUUCUUGUAUACAAGACACAACUAGAUCAAUAGAUUUUUGUGUGUGAAGCUCUCUCUCCUUACAAACCCUCUUGUGUGUAUGACUUAUUAUUACUCUUGUGUCUUUCUAAACAUUCUCAACAAGAUGCAUACUUUGCUCCCUCACAUUUCCUUCAUAGAUUGUGUGACUUCAUUUUUUACAUAGUAGUAAUGUAGUUGGAACAGUUAGCCUUGGAUUAGUUACAUCAUUCACUAUUGGUCCUAUUUUUAUCAUGUCCUCAGCAUCAUUAUUGUGUUGAUGGAGCCUCUCCAACCUCCUCUUUGAAAGAAGGGAGCUAAACUACACAUGCAUCUAUUUUGUUUGGAAUGUCACUAUACUGGAAUUUGCAAACUUCAAUGAGUCACUAUUGGUCUUAUAUGUUGGAAUUUUUUUUAAUAUCCUUUAUUUUUGGUAAUAUAGAUUUUUUUUUUUUUUUUUUUUUUUUUUCUGCUUUUAAAUCAUAGAUAUUGCUUGUAUUUUCAUUUAUUAAAUUAUAUUUCUUGUAACUCACUAUUCUCUAGUAUAAUUAGGUGAAUCUCCUUCAUAACACUUUAUUAUAUGUCCAACGAAUUUGAGAAUAGGAAUCAAGAAAAGAAAAAUUGUACCACAGUACAUAUAAUUUAUUACAAGCCAUUAACUUUGAUUCAAUAUCUCAAAAUUUAAAAUCCUUGAUACCUUUUUAUAAUGUAGAUAUACAAUUUAUUUCUUUUGUUUCUUUUCAAACCUUAUGUUAUUAAGAAUAUUGCUUCUAAAUGUUAACAAAACUUUCUUUGCUUCUUUAUUGCCUUACAAAAUACUACAAAGAUUUUGUUCAAAACUUCUUCAAAAAAAUUCAUCAAGUGCAUAAAAGAGACUUGUACGUAGAAUUUGCUUUAAAAGUUUGCACAGAACCACAUUGUUGUGACCUUUGUUACAUCUUAUUGUUGUAAUUGUAAUAAUAAAAUAUUUUAUGUAAAUGCAAUUAAUUUUCACAUCUUCUUAACUUUGUUUGCAUUAAAUUAUUGAUUUGUAUCUUAAAAUAGAAAGUUUUUAUUUUGGGCACAUCUUCCAAAUUUGACAAAAAUAAUUUGGUUAAUGAAUCUAUGCACACAUAUUGAUGUAUAGAAUAUUAAUUUCUAAUACCUUUAGUUUGAAAUCAAUAUAAUAAUUGUAUCCAAAAACUAGAAAAAACCAAUUUAGCAAGCUAAAUGUUUGUAUAAUUGUUACAGUAAACUUAAAACACUGAUAUUUGUAUAUAAUAGAGAUGUUUUUGUGAUGAAAAUGUAUCAUGAAAAACUUACCAAAAAGUAUUAUAAUCUUUGAAAGCUAUGAAAUCUUUUUUUGGUUGAGAAUGAAGUUUUUGUAAUAAUUUAAACAUUCUCAACAAUUUAAAUUGAUGAAUAAAAUCACAUAAUUUACUGUUAUUUUCACAUGAAUUUAUUUUUCAGAGAAUGUUGUUUGAAAUAUCCAAAUCCAUACACAAUAUACACAGAAGUUGUAUUAAAUAAAAAGACGGGGGUCGGGACGGGUACUAGGGGAACGGGGAUGGGGGGAUAGGAGCUGGGGGACGAGGGUUUAUUCUAUUAAACUUAUUGUUUUUACUUUGUACUAUUAAGACUGAUUUUUUAACUAUAAAAACCAAGGAAAUUUCUUACAUAUUGCUUUAUACAUAGAAGAUUUAAUUAUAAAAACGCUUUAAAGAUAUAAUUUUGUGGAAGGUUUCUUGGAAAAAUAUUUUAUUUUAUUGAGAGUUUGACAAAAAAUAAAAUAAAAUAAAACAAACAAACAAACAAACAAACAGUGCAACUUUUUUAAUAUUGGAUAUAGGUACUAUAAAUAGUGAUAUAGCAACAACAUAUUUAUACUCAAUAAUAUAAAUUGUAUUGUUGUUCAGAUAUAUUAAAAUAAAUAAUGUAUUUUAUAAAUUUAGAAUGAAUUUAUGGUCAUUCUUUAUUUAAAAUAAAAUAUUUCUUUUAUAAUGUCACAGCUUAAAUUUAUUUGAAGAAAAAAAAUUGUGAAUUAUUGUGCACUAAAUUGAGUUACUGGACUAAAUCGAACUAGAAAGAAAAUAAACUAAUCUUGAACCACGUGUAUAAAAUGCGUGAAAUGGGCCUUUAAUUAGUCUCACAUCAACGGAUUAAACAAUAGUCACAGGAAUAAACUGGCCCCCCACCCCCACCGAGCCAUCCAUCGCAGUUAGUUAACUAGUUGUCACCGAAAUCUCGUUUCAGUAAAUCGUAAACAAUGGGGUUCAUGGAUCCAUUUGCUAAUCCAGGCCCCGUCCUCUCCACACGACCGUUGCCCUUCAACAAAUUCCCCAGUCCCUCCCUUAAUCUACCGUUACCCCUUUGCAGUGAAGCUCCAUUGCUUACUUACUUCCAAGCUGCUUUAGGCUUCUAGUUGUCUCAGUUUUGGUUUUUAUUCUAAUCCUCCCCUCGCCCUACUGCUUGUCCAGACUGGGUUGUAUUUGAGUCCUCCUAGAUCGCGCCUGCUCUGCGUGUUUGUGGUCCGGGAGUUCUGCUUCCAGUUUCGUUUCUGGGAAGGAUGUUCUCGUUUGUGCUUUUGGGGUCCUGUCGGUGAUGUUGCCGUGGCUUUACUAUACGUGGGUUCCUGCGUUCGGGGUCGAAAGAGAGUGCGGACAGGUGCCCGAGUUUGAGAUGCAUGAGUUUAGCCAAGGAUAGGUAAGUCCUGACGUUUUCCUUGCUCAGGUGGUUGUCUUCUGUAAUUUGGGUUGGUCCCCAUCUGCGUUUCUUUGGAUACGGUCGAUUCUUGUUGAUAGAGUGCUGCCAGUUAGCUUACCUUUGAGAGGGCUGUCUUGGUUUCUUUUGAAAUCUGCGGUGAUGACGAUAGUCAUAGUCCAGCACGUGACUCAGGCGGCUUCCGAAGGAUUGAAUGCCAAGUUCUCCGAUCUGUGCGAUCCUCACGAUCUCUUUAAUGUCCGCACUUCGAAGAGAGGUAUCUUGAAACUCUCAGCCAAGUCCAGAGGUUCAAGUACGGCAAUGCGACAUCUGCGCAAACAAGAGAGAAGGUUGUCUGCGUCCUCCUCUGCUGAUGGUGACGCUUUGCUGAUGGAGUUUGUGCCGCUCUCGAAAACGCCUGAUCUGUCCAAUGGCCGCCAUAGUCUCAGUAUCUUCAGGAUGGGGAGUCCAUCUCCGGCCUUACAUUCCCCUUGCAGUACUCCACGGAAGAAGAGCCGUGGUGUCACGAAGAAGCUUCUUAGAUUAUGCAAUAUGAGCUCCAGUGGUAACAAGUAUUUACAACUACCAGUCUACUAAGUUGAAUCAAACUCAAUUGGAAUUUACCGUUGUAAUUUCUACGGAUCGUGACUGACCUUGGCUUUGGGUAGAACUUGGUAGCAAGAAGCCGCGGGUUAGCUCCCUUCAUUCUGAGAGCAGAAUGCGGAUGGACCAUAUCCUAGCAGCACACCUGAAGAGUUUGGAAGAGCCCGGGGUAGCCAUGCCCAGAAAUUUUGUCUGUUCAGACAUUUCAGCAAUAUCUGGAAGCAUUUAGUCUUCACGCGCCAUGAAGCAUGUACAGUCGUACUAUACACAGUUUGCAGAUGCCUGUUUUUCGUUAAGUUUUGAGCGCCGUCACAGAAAUGUAGCUCUUCGAAGGAUACAGUGCGGUUAGGCUGCACCGACGUAGAUCAAGUACAAGAUCAACGUUUAUCGGCUUCAGGCUGGCUCAGUAGGAGUCCGACUCUAUGAACUUACUUUGUUUGACAGAGGCAAGAACUCUUCAGACAUUUGUACAAAUCUAAUAUUUUAAAUAGUGGUGAUUUAUGCAUUUGUGUGAUAAUCUUCGUUGGACUUGUUUGAAUCUCCGUGCAAUACAUCCUGCCUUCGCCUGUCCUGUCCCUAGCUAUCCCUACACCCAAUAAUGAACAGCAAUUCUUUGUAGCAUACAUCGGUACGUAUGUAGAACAGGAGACUAUUGAAAUUGGAAACAAUAAUGAAGUUAUGUAAUCUUCACAUUUCGGUAAAACAGCAUGUAAUCAGGUCUGAAUCACCAAUAACAUGACGAGGUUCGAUAUACGCUGGGAGAAAUUUUGUCACUUCUGCAUGGAAUCCACACUCCAAUCGAGGACAGAGAUUACCCACACUCACUUCUCAGUCUCGGAACAGUCUUCCAAGCCCAAGCUGCAUGCGUGUGUGCAAUCCCGUACCCAAGGUUGGGAUUUGUCCCUGACUGCAUCCAAUACAAACAGAAAACUUUCUGUUCUCACGGAAACUGCUGCUUGAGUGAGAACCUUCCCUCCACGUAACUGAGUACCGUCGCACACAGAGACCAACAUUGUGUGCCAUCAAAGAACAUUUGUUAUGGAGAUUUACUCCAGAUGCUAGCUGAAUGAAUCAUUCGCAAGACCAUGAACGAGGUAAAUUUCCUCAGCCAGGACCUAAAAAAACCUCCGACUGUUCGGUGCGAUGAAGAGGACAGACGCUGAGCAGGAAGGUGAAUCAACGUGUGCGAAACCAAUCCUUGCUUUGAGUUUCUGUGGAGUCCAUCGUUCCACAACUACAAAUACAUACCCAAGGAAAGAGCCGGAUUCAGUUGAACAAAAUCCUUGAUAAGCUGCAAGAAUAUUCCUCAAGAUUGGACGUGCAUGGCUCACUGAGAGGGUCACCAACUCAGAUGGCGACACAAAAGCAUUUGCCUCUGAAUUUGGUCAUAAAGAAGAAACAUCAAUGUAUGAUCAAUGUAUGAACAUGGCUUCACGCCACAAAGCUAAGGAAUUGAACUGUAUGAUUCUCUGAGAGAGAAAGAGGGCCCAAAAUGCAAAGCCGGUCAUUCUUCAGAAGCGAGCACCUCUAGUGUUGUUCUCAUUAGCUUUGUUGGUGAGGUGCAGAUUCAACAAAACGCGAAGUAAGCAGUUGUGGACAUCCACAACGGAAAACAGAAACUUAUUUGAGGGAAUAAAAAUUGGUAAAAACAUGCACACUUAUGGCUGAGAAAUGACAAACUCUCAACCCAAUUGGUUCAGCUCAUGACUUUGGCUUAAAUGAAUUCAAGAAAAUUAUGAAUUGGAAUUCGUAUGCAGUUUCAAAUUUUCAAAACACUUUCACGUUUUUGCUAUGACAUUUGGAAUUUCAGGAAAAUAAUAAGUUCAAAAAGAAGUGAGUAGAUUUCAAACAGACUUGGUGUAAUAAUCAAUCUGUUUUGGAAAAUUAUGUUAAUGUUUAAUUUCUCUGCAAUCGUUUCUAGUGUUCAAGUAGUUUCUUUUGAUUUUAGAAAUGAAAUCACUUUUGCAGCAAACCAGUAUGGUGGCCUUGUCAUUCUUAUUUCGGAAUAACAUGAAAAAUGGUUAGUUGUUACUUGAAUCAAUUGAAAGCUCUACAGAAUAUUUUGAAAUUUGUGUCUGCAUUUCAUGAUCAGUCUCUUGAUAAAUGUACAUGUAUCGUAUUUUCAACAUGAACAUCUUAUUGUCAAUUUUGAAUGGCCUUACUUUUAGACAUAGAAAUAAAUCAGUACACUAAUAUGAUACACGUAUUUGAAGAGUUAUUAUUUUGAAGUAUAAAAUAAUAUGUUUAACACACCUUGGUAAAAAUUUGCUAGUAUUAUUCAAUUUUAAAAAAUGAGUGAGCAUAUCAAAAAAAAUUGUUAAGAAAUAUUUAUUCCCAAAAGAUGUCAUUUAAAAAAAUUAAUUUACAUAAUUUAUGUAAUUUACAAAAAAUCUCUCACAAAGUCAAAAUUUGACUUAUCCAUCAAAUGUCCAGAUUUUGUUUUUUUUAAUAUUUGACUUUAAUUCGGAAACACUAUAACUUUAUUCGUUUCAACACAAGUUACAAAUUUUAAUUGUAAAUCAGUAUUUAACACUACAUUCACAACAUGCACAAACACAUUUGAAACGAAGAAAUGUGUUAUCAAUGUAUUAAACUCAUUUACAUGUGCACAUGUUGCAGUCUAUCUACAUACUUAACAGCACUUGUCAUUGACUAAUUUCUCUUAGUUUAACAUCAACCCCACAAUUCAAUACUCGAAUUCACAGUGGCGCAACCAAAAACAUUCUUCUCACAAUUUCCAAAGACAAAUCACACCGAAAUCCACAAUUAUUGUUUACUCAAUCUUAGCUGGGAUACUCAUGGACCACAAUACUCUUUUUUUUCGUUUUCUUACUAGAUUAUUAUUGCUUGAGACGGUGGGAUACUAUUUGGGACAUGCAACAACAAUCCAACAGCAUGUUCCCUUGUACACACAACGCCGAAGGUGGGUUUCAUUAUCAGAAAAGAUUCGCCGGGCAAUCUUCCUCUUCUUCUACUUUUUCUUCAUAUUAUUAUUGUUAUUCUGAUAAGUGUCCUUGCAGGGGCGGAGCUUUCGUUGCGGUGUUGGUUUGUCAUGGUGGAUCUCGACACGAGGUCAGGAUUUCGAUUGCAUGGAUAUCUGUUGGUGGAUGCCGAACCAGCCACAAGCCAAGCAUCGCGGGGAUUUGGCCGCGGAUGAGAAAGACGGGGCUUGGAAUGGACUGAAAAGGACACAAUUAUCUCAGAGCAGGGGCGCAGGGGGGGAGGGCAAACUUGUCUGUAAAAUUCUGGUGCCGGAGGAGAAUGCAAGACCACCCAACAAUCGGUCGAGCGCCAUCCUGGUGAGACGUCUUCGUCGUCCUCAACUCAAUGAGUCGCUGAAAGCGGUGCGUUUGUUGCAUGGAUCUCAAGUUAUGGGAGGGCCCAGAGCUUGUCAGCUUCAAUCUAAAGAUGCCACUAGCGUCAUCGCAGUGACGGCGACAUGGCCAGCGUUGGGUUCCUCGAGAUAGGGGCGGAUCUCCCUCGUCGCAGGGAGAUCCACGUACAAGGGAUAAUAGAAUCGAAUCGUCGAUCCUGGAAUACCCCCCCUCCCCACUAUCGACGGAAUUGCUUGGCACUGAUAUAUCGUCAGGGUGGUGAGCCAGAAAAUGAUCACGUACUAGGCGAUCGACGCAAAUUAUUGCGAUUCACGACAUGCCUCAGAUUGCGUAAUGGAGCAGCAGCUAUAUCGAGGCUUGCGCUUGCCAUGGCUUUCAGGAUGCCCAAUGAGGCAUGCGACGCGUUUGCGGCAUGCGAAGAUACCAGAACCUAGCUAUGUGUUGUAAAUGUUCAGGGAGAGAAUGUGUUGACACUGCAGUAGUUGGCCUUGCAGUGGAGAAAUGUGUUGACACUGCAGUAGUUGCAAUGGCAGCGGCUCCGAUUUCUUGUGAUGGUAUGACGUAGCCGCUGGCGCAUGUUAUAUACGAUGUCAACAUCCUCAUGCAUCGGCGACGGUUUGCUAGCAAAUCGGUCCAGCCCCCGAUACCAUCAUGAAGUUUGGAGUAGAACUGCCUCGGAAGCAGGGGGAGCGUGAUGAACUUCCACAUGUGCUGUUUCUCACUAUAAAGAAACAAGAGACGACGAUUGGAAGAACAAGCAAAAGCCGAUUGUUUUUCGUGUCACAUAUUUGCUCUACAGCUGGAAGUCAUCAAAUUCUCGUCACGUCCUGAGUUCUCUCAUUGUACUUCCAGGCUUGUAGGUGCACAAUUGACCAUGUACCCCAGAAAGGAUUCUUGGAAGUCUGGGGAUCUGCCAGUUUGUCCUUCUGUGCAGCUGGGAAGCAUCGCUGGAGAGAGCCUUCGGAACAGGAGCAUUUCUAGCAAAGUCAAUUCUAAGGAGGCUCCUCAGACGGUGUUGAUUAUCGGCGCUGGUCCCGCUGGCCUUGCCACGGCUGCCUGCUUACGGUCCAAGUACUGGAUCCCCUCUAUCAUUCUGGAGCGGGCGAAUUGCAGCGCGCCGCUUUGGAGAUACAUGACAUACGACAGGCUGAGAAUGCAUCUUCCGAAACAGUUCUGCCAGCUUCCGCUACGCCCAUUCCCAGCAGUAUAUCCGAAAUACCCGACGAAGAACCAGUUCAUCGCUUAUCUCGAGGACUAUCAGCGGCACUUUGGAAUCAGUCCAGUGUACAAUGCAACGGUGACAUCCGCGGAAUUCUCUACAGCUUUGGGAUUAUGGGUGGUCAUAGCGGAGCAGAAGUUGGAAGACAACUGCGAAACUGUGACGUAUACGACUCGAUCGCUGGUUGUGGCGACUGGCGAAAACGCGGAACCUUACAUGCCUGAUCUGUUCGGAUCGCACAAGUUCCAUGGCGUAAUCAGCCAUGGAUCGACCUAUCGCAAUGGUGUUAAGUACAAAGACAUGAAGGUCCUGGUAGUUGGAGCAGGAAAUACAGGGAUGGAGAUUUCGCUCGAUUUGGCGAAGUUCGGAGCCAAGCCGACUCUCGUAGCUCGCAGUAAGGUAUGUUACAAGUUUUGAAUGAAUUUUCUUUUAAUCAUAAAAUUAGUCAUUGACUUUGUAUCUUAUUGUCUCAUUGUCCUAGUACUUCAUGAUUUGCGUUCCAUAGUCUUGGCGAGUGGUUGAGUUAGUUUAAUUGAGCAGAUUUAGUAGCAACAAUUCCAAAUGAUAAUUUAAGGAAAACCUGUAUUGCAGUUUCAUGUGAUGCCUCGAGACCUGUUUGGGCUUAACAUUUCGGCCUUUCAAGUAAUGUUGAUGCUUUUGAAAGUGUUGCCGGUCUCGUUUGUGGACAAACUCCUCGUCAUCUUCUCCAGGCUUACGCUUGGUGACACCGACCAUUUGAACCUUGUUAGGCCCAAAGAAGGCCCACUGAAAAUGAAGGCCAGAACAGGACACACACCGGUCCUGGACGUGGGCACAGUGGCCGAAGUAAGGAACGGCUUCAUCAAGGUAAUGUUGGAAUCCUGUCAUGUUCUAAUUGAUGGUUUCAACAAAACUUUACAGUCAUGACCUCCUGAAGUAGUGACCGGUGACGUUGCAUUUUGACCAGACAUCUUAUUCGGUUGAAUACUCCAGGUUGCUCCAGCAAUUGAUCAGCUGACGAAAAGUGGAGCUAGGUUCGUCAAUGGCGUCGAAGAGGAGUUCGACGCCGUGAUCAUGGCUACGGGCUACACAAGUAACGUCUACGAGUGGCUCAAGGUGCGAACCAACGGAGAUCUUCUUCUAUCCUGUGCCAACCUAUUUCGAUUCAUUUCGCGUCGUUUGGAUCAACUGUAGGACAAAAUGUAUGCAGUUACAAGUCACAGUGGUAAUCGGCACCCACAGACCGAUUCUGAGUGUUGUAGACGAUAUUGCUAGUAUUUGAUGGAUUUCAGGAUGUGGAACUAAUGAGAACUAUUUUUUAUUGUCAGAUUGACGGCAUGUCUGGAAUAAACGGGUUUCCAAAGAGACCAUUUCGCAACGGAUGGAAGGGCGGGCGAGGCUUGUAUGCGGUCGGUUUCGGUAGGAAAGGUCUGAUGGGAUGCGCUCAUGACGCAGAACUCGUAGCGGACGACAUUGGGGCUCACCACAGAGAUAAUGAAAAGACCUAUUGAAAGAUUUUUACGAGUCUUUUUUGUUGGAAAAAAAAAAGAAAAAAAAGAAAAAAAGAAAAACUGUGAAAAAGGAGUGACUCGUAGAAAGCAAAUGAGUGUUAGCAAAGAUAUAAGAAAAUUGACUGUUUCCGCUUGCAAAGUUUAAUAAAGUUUGUGUAUGUUUGCUUAUUGGGGCGAAGACGACCAAUCAGUAACCACAUUGCAUUUCUCGCCCUUGACAGCAAUAACACGAACUAAUGAAAACUGAAUGAAGUAAGUGGAAAUGUACUCUUCCAAAGCAGUUUACAAAAUUUGGAAAUUUGUCAUUACAAGCAACGAAGUGUAUAUGCUAGUUAAGGAUAAUCUCUCAUACCAUGUGUUUCAAGGUACCACUGGUAUAGUGAGACAUGUUGAGACUUAUUCUUGUCUGUACACCUCACUUUGCCACUAGACUAGUGGAAGCAAUAUUUGAUUUACCAAAUUCGGCCAUGAUCAGCUACCGAAUGGAUGUAUUCUCUUCUAUUACCUAAUUUAAUGAAGUGGACUUGGCAAAAGUUUAUAAUCAUGCGUUUUCCUGGACAUUCUGACCAUGGUGUUUGAUCAGGGCCGAAUUUUUCGAAGCAUAGAAAUGAUUGUUUACUAGUACAGUGCAAUGAUUUCUCAAAUGUUUCAACAGCGCCUUCUGUUCAACGAUUGUUACUUGAUGAGACAAACUGUACAGCCAUUGAAGGUGUUGAAAUAGACUCUUAAUUUAAUCACUGCUCUAUCCAAAAACGCCAACUCAUGUAAUUGUCACAAAACAAAGCAUUGCUUAAACGAGGUUUAAAUAGCUUCAGCACUGCAGUGAAUGUUUGACACAAGCUAUUACAUUAUUUGAAUCCAUUUCAAGAUCCCCAAGCAUAGUUAAUCUCGAGCAACGAUAUGCACUUCCGCAACUGCCCUCGUCGAAGUUAAGACAUCUCUUUUGACGAUACUGGUGAUCUCACCAUCAAAAAUUGAAAUUACCGCAUACCAAACUGAGUUUAAUCAGUUCCAUGUACAGUUUUGGUGACCAACAAGUCCUGGAAACUACAAUUUUGCAACGAUCAAUAAUUGAAUGCUUGGCACAAGGUUUACUCCACAGCCAACGCUUCUCAAGUUCCACCUCAAGCAUUUCGUUAAUCGUUAGCUUGACUUCAAAUCGUCACCCUCGACGACAGACGAUAGGGAGAAAGAGAGCUUAUGGUCCUUCCAGAUACCAUCCUCUAGAUAUUUCUCAUAAAAAGUUGUCUGGCCAGUUUUGUGGACUGCUAUGACUGUCAUGCUUCGGGUUCCGUAAGGUGGAUUAUCCCAGUAUACAAAAAUCGGGCUAAAUGCAUGCUCAUGCGCUUCUGACAAGCCUGUCUUUGGUAGACGUGAAAUCUCAGCUCGUGUACUGUCCGUAAGUAAUUCAUCUAUUAAACAAUUUUCUGGAAUCACUUGGUCAGGAUAUUGAGAUAACAGAACCUCAAUCUUUUCCUUUCCACGAAGAACUUUUGGCCACGGAGUGUCCAGGUUAGCAUUCGACAGGCUAUGCAGACCCGGGGAAACCUGAUCACACAUUAAAAUCCAUCAGCAAGGCUAGUCUUAUAAUAUGUACAGGUUCAGAGGACUAUUCAUAGAAAUACCAUCUCGAUUCAUUAAAUCAGCAUUUACACUAAUUUUUCAACCUUGUUACUAUGCCGACUUAUAACAUUCAGGUUCGGAAACAAAAAUUGUAUCCUGGCAGCACUCAAAAGGAUAACAACUACUUGUAUGUGGUCAAAUUUCCGAGUCCCGCAUGCUAAGCUUUGGACUCCUAAACCCCAAACAAAUGCGUCACUGUCAUUAUGUGGGAGGCAAGAUUAUGCAUAAUUCGGCGAGAGAAAUUUCAAUUCCAUAGAACAAAAAAACAUAACUGGAAAAUGUUAUACUGCAUGUAUGACAAGGUAUGAUCAUUUCAAGAUUCAGACCUGCUUUACUUCAACGGGCUCCCCGCGGGGCCGAUUGGACAGAUACGCCAUCUCUUUGGUGUUCAUAUCUGCAACGAUUAGGUUGAAUCCAUUGUACUUAUCGGCUCGAGCAGCGACCUCCUCCAGGUACGCAGUGGGAGAUUUUGAGCUUUUCAAAAACAGGGUUGGAAGCUCUCCUCUGCUCACUGCCCCCGGUGUGUCCUUACCAGGCUCACGAAAAUUGGUCACAAACGCGAGACGCCCAGACUCAGAGAUCGCCAACCAUGUGCCACCUGCCUCUCCAUCCCGACCACCAAUAAUCUGCGGCUGCAAUCGAAUUCAAAACAAAAAUUGUCGUCUCUCCACGGACAUCUUCCCAAGGCAGAGCAAGGCUAAGCGAAUCGCACCAAGUACGAAGGAAAGAAAUGAAAAGAAAAGUCAAAAUACAACCAAGAUGGUUUCCUCGCUUGUUACAUUGACUACGCAGUACAAGGUGGAGUAAGUAACAAAUAAACGAAUGAAUUGCGACUUAUUUUUACACGAAAUCGACAUACGUGAUCACUCCAACGAUGGGCAGGGAGCGUGGGGCGGGAGUGAUACUCGUCCCGGUUGAGCGCCAACAGGAGCCUGUACUCUGCAUGAGCUUCCAGCAGCCAGAACGCUAUACACAUCUUCGAAUUACCCGAGAAACAAGAGUGAGUAGAACAACGAGAGCAGACGCGUGCGAAUCGAAGCAAAGUGGAAAUAAGAAUGUGGAAACAGGAAGAAGCAAGCCAGAGGCCCUGCACGGUCUCCGCUGAGACACAGCCCCCAAGGCGAAUUUGGAUAUGGCGCGUCUUUCAACACGAUGUAGCUCGCACUCCUAGAGAAAAUUCCUGCGAUACUCUUGCCACUCCGACACAAGUCUGUGAUAUGCUUGACAAAGCUUUGCUUUGCAAGGGUAAGCUGUGCGCAGCCCCUCGAUGACCCACCGGCGGACUUGCCGAGAGAGGUAAAACCUUGGUUCCAAAGGUCUCACAACACAGACAGACUCACCGCAAAACACCACCACUGCUACGACAACAACAACCGUGCAAACAAUCACCACCAAAAAUAUAACCUUUAUCCAAUUCCAACUUUGAUUUGAUGAACCCUAUUUAUUACUAGUGGAAACGUGUGCCGUUUGCCAAUAAAAAAAACAUUGUAAACUACUUGUUGUAAAUUAAUCUUUUGUUUGAAGUUUAAUAUGGAGUUUCUGUUACGUUCCAUGUCGUCCAGCGUUGUGGUACUUCCAAGCUCCAUGCUUAGUGACCUUUCAAUGCUACCCUUGGCAAUUAAGAGUUGAAUUAUUGCUUCACUUUUGAUGAAAAAAAUGAGAUAUGCAGCAAAUCAAAGAUAGUUUUUAUCUUUUGUUGGUUUAUCCCAAGUUGUUUUAUAUAAGAGAUUGGAAAAAAAAUCCAUUUUGAACUUGUAAGCCAAAAUUAAAGCAAAUUUUAAAAUAAAAUAAAAUUGGGUGGCCUUGUUAGUUACUUUGUAAUUACAUGUGGCUAAUGUAGUGUAUCAUAUUCAAAUUAUAUUAUUUAUUGAUGUAGUUUGGUAGAAACGUUUUUAAAUAAAAUAAUUUCAAUUAUGGUAAAAUAAUUCAUGUUAUUGCAUUUUAUUGAUUUGAGAUUAAUUUAAAUUUAAGGUAUUAAAUAUUUGUACAUUUGUCAUGGUACUAAUGAGAAUAUAUCAAGUAAUUUUAUUAAUGAAAUAUAAGAAUUAAAAUAGAUGUCUAUUUUUACAAAAUUUGAAUGAAAAAAUUACUCAAACAACUCAAUUGCCACAUUAGAAUUCAACAUAAAAAAAUCAAAUGUUUUACAUUCAAAUCUAUAUGAAUAUAUUUUCCUUUUAUUUCAAAAAUUAUCUCCACAAAAUAUAUUAAAAUAUCUAUAGUAUGUAAUAUGUUAAAAUAUUUUGAAAUGCUUUUAAAUACCAUGUCCUAUCCACAUCAUUGACUAUCUUGUCCACUUUCUUAUCCAUGUCACAUAUUCAUGAUGUGAGAUUUUACUUGUAAGUAUUAUGAUAUCCAUUUAUUAGAAGAGAAAAAUAAAUAAAGUAAUGUAAAUUGAUUGAACUAAUCUGAUUGAGUAAUCAUAUACCAACAAGUAAAAAAUAAGUUAUAAAAUUCUUCCAUAAAUAAUACUAUGUACAAAAAAAGAAGAUAAAAAUUAAUGUCUUUUGGUAUUGCUUAGUGGAAGAUCAUAGAAGGCUCAGGCUGCAAGCACACCUCAAGUUGUUAUAUGCACAUUCAUUAUGUUUAUAUACAUCCAAGACUUUUGAUUGGCUCAUCUAGAUGCCUUUUCCUUUGCGUUGGUGCAUGUCCCAAUCUUCCUCUUCUUCUUCCUUGCUCCAGUGCAAGUCCCAAUUUGCUCCUCCCUCUCUUCCUAUGCUAAGGCAAAAAAUCUCUAUCUAAUCAAUCACAAUGAAGAUCAUUACUUAAGAGGUAAGUAAGUGUCAAGGACAAGAACAUGAUAAAAACAAAUAAACAAGUGAAACUUCUCUCAAAGAAAGAUGACAAAAUAGAAAUAAUUUAAUAUGUAUAUUAAGAAAGAAACUGGAAUGGCUAUUGCCAAAAGCCAAGAAAACUAGAGACUCUUGAAACUAGAUUGGAAGCAAGAAAAGAAUUGACAAGAGUGAAGAAAGUUUCUUUCUUGUCUCUAUAUAUACUAUCUAACUAGGGACUAUGUGGCAAUGUUCUACAGGACCUCCAAUAUUAAUUGACUUUGUAGGACACAUUUCUUGACUUACAAGGCAAGUUUUUCUAUGUGUGGGCCACAUAAUUAGCUUAGUCUUCAAGCUAACAACAUGUGUGGCACAUGGCCAACUUCUCGACCACGUUUCUAAUCCAAAAAGUCAAUUAAAGACACCUAUAAAGUCAUAGAAGCAUCUAUGAAGCUUUUAGGAAUUUUUCAUAAUAAAUAUUAUAGAAUUAACUUACUUUUACAUACUUUUACUUACUUCUAGCUAUUUAUACUUGUAAUUUUUGGCUUACAUGCAUAUAUUCAUGACAUUACCCCCCCUUCUAGGGACGAGUUCUAUGAGGAGCAGUCAUCAUAUGUUGAGGAAAUUUAUGAUGUGGCAAAUUGUAUUCGCCACAUACUUUGUUCUUUGUUCUCUUUGAAGAUGAUUGAUAGGGCCUCUCAACCAUCGAUAGUAUCCCAUACCAGGGUGGGAAGACCAUCCAAUUAUUUAAUCGUGGAUAAGGCCUUCAUAACUUCCUUUAAAUAAAAUAUUUAGAACACCGUCAGGAAUUGUUCCUACCUCUAGUAAAAUCACCAAACAUCGGGAGUCCCUUCCAAGGUCGUGAUACCAAAUGUGUUGUAUCUUGUCAUCUAUUUGAAGAAGAAUAUGUCAUUCUUGAAGAUCUUCAUCUCAAUUGCGUUGUCUUGAAGGUUGUGACAAUCGUAAUGUCUUGUCCGGCAUGUCAACAAAUAAAGGCUCUUGAGUCGAAUUUGUUGGUUAUUGAUUCUCCAUCUCCUCAACGUCACAACUACAAAGAAGCUAUAAACAAGGAUUGAAAGUAGAAUGUUAUCUUCUUUAGAUCUUGUUCUUUUUACAAAAAAGGUUUUCAUCUAGAUUUUCAUAGGUGUCGUCAAUGAAAAGCCUCCACCGCCUUUGCUGCAUUUGCAAGAUUCUUUACUAGCUCCCGUGUGCAUUCAUUAAUAUCAUAUCCGCACCAAUCGACAAGAUAUUCCAAUUUGUUUCAAUGUCGCCUUGAAUCUAAAACUUCUUCCACUUCAAACUCUUUAUUAUUGUCCACUUCUAUAGGAAGAGGUGGAACUUGUCUUCUUCUUGGUAUGUCCACUAUCUUGUAUGGUUCAAGAAGAGACAUGUGGAAUACUAGAUGGAUUUUCAUUGACUCCAAUAGAUUUAAACGAUAUGCAAUUGGAUUGAUUUGUGCAAAAAUAGAAAAUGGUUCAAGCCUUUGAUAAUCCAACUUAUCACAAGGACAAGUGGUCUUGAUAUUACAACAAAGUAACCAUAUCUUAUUAUCCAUGUGGAAUGGCGGUUGUUCCUUUCGAUAGACAUCCGCAUUGAUCUUUUGUUGUUAUUGAGCUUCUUUUAACUACGCGUUCAUUGUUGCAUGUGGCUCGGACAAAUGAAUUGCCAAAUCUUUCACAAUAAGAUUAUCAACAUUUGAAAAGUCAAAAGUAUCAAGUUGUGGAUGAUAACCAUAAUUGCCAAAGAAAAGUAUUUGUUUUGUAAAAGAAUGUAAUGUGUUAUUGUAAGCAAAAUCUGCCAAUGGCAAAAGAGUUGUCCAAUCAUCUUGUUGGUAGUUGAUGGUACAUCUUAAAUACUGCACCAAAACUUGAUUAACACGCUCCGUUUGUCCAUCAAUUUGAAGAUGGAAUGCCAAAGAUAGUUUUAUAUCCACUUUUAGAAUCUUAAAAAGAGUUUGCCAAAAUCUUGAUACAAAUUAAGUUCCUCUAUCUGAUAUAAUAUCUUUAGGUAAUCCAUGAUAGCGAUAGAUAUUAUGAAGAAAGACGUUAGUUGAUUCUUUACCUAUGAUGGAUUUUGUACAUGGGACAAAAUGUGCCAUCUAAGUAAAAUGAUCUACUAUCACAAAUAUAGAGUCAUAAGAACUUGAGAUUGGAAGAUCCAUGAUGAAAUCCAUAGAAACAAAAGACCAUGGUUGUUUUGGAAUGGAUAAUGGCUGAAGAAGUCUAUAAGGUCGAUAACAAGGAGUUCUUGAUCUUGAGCAAACAUCAUAAGAUUGUACAAAAUCUUUUACUGCUUUCUACAUUUAAGGCCACCAAAAGUCCUUGGAUAUUAGUUCCAAAGUUUUAUUGUACCCAAAAUGUCCUGCUACUGAAAAAUCAUGAUGAACUUGAAGAACAUAUAAUCAAGCUUCACCUUUUGGAACAUAUAGGCAUCCCUCAAAAUAUAGUAGAUUGUUCUUGAAUUCAAACUUGGAAGUAUCAUGAGACUUUGAAAGAUUUUCCUUAAUAUCACGAAUAAGUGGAUCAGGAGACAUACUUGAUUGAACUUGCUUAAUAAAAGUUGAAUCAAUAGUUGUGUUGAUUUCAUUGCUCGAAGAUGAAGAUACUCUAGCUUCAAGAGAAUUGUCUAUUGUUGAUCAAAAGCAACAUCUCCUUCUUUUGGUACAAGAUAAGAUCGUUUAGAGAGUACAUCUGAUAAACAUUAUUAUUUUCUUAGUCGAUAAGUGAUCUUAAAUUCGAAUCUUGACAAAGACAUACUCCAACGGGCUUGGCAACAAUUCAAAAUAUGUGUUGACAUAAAAUAUUUAAGGUUCUUGUAAUCCAUAUGCAUUAAGACUACGCUAGAAGCACCUUCUAGAUAAUGACGCCAUUCUUGAAACAAAUCCACGAUUGCAAGGAGUUUUUUGUUGUGGAUCUCGUAGUUGAUCUAGGAUACUGAAAUGUUUUUGGAAUGAAAAGAUAUUGGAUGAAGUUUAUCAUCUAUUCCCAUUUCUGAUAAUAUAGCACCCAAAGCAAAGUUUGAUGCAUGUGUUUCCAUAAAAAAUGGCUUAAAAAAAUCGAUGCAAAAUAUGAUUCAUGCAAAAACAAAGGCUGUGUUCAAAGCUUCAAAUGCUACUUCUACUUCUUGAUUCCAUUGAAGUUUGUCUUUACAAGUCAAACGUGUAGGUGGAGCUGCAACUUGAGAGAAGUCUUUGAUGAAGAUCUAAUAGUAGUUGAUAAAUUCCAAAAAAAAUUUGACAUCUCUUACCGUUUUUGAGAUCUUCCAAUCCAUAAUAGUUUGAACUUUCUUAGGAUCCAUCAUAAGUCCAUCAUUUGAAAUGAUGUAUCUUAAGAAUUUGACUUGAGUAGUAUGAAAUACACACUUUUCUAUCUUGGCAUAGAGUCUUGCAUCUGUUAGUUUUUGUAACUUACGACAAACAUGAAGUUCAUGUUCUUCUGUAUUCUUAGGAUAGAUUAAGAUGUCGUAUAGGUAACACACAACAAAAUCAUUUAAAAACUCUCGAAAGACAUCAUUCAUUAGGUGUUGGAAUGUUAUUGGUGCAUUUGUAAGUCUAAAAGUCAUGACGUUGUAUUCAAAAUAUCCAUACCUUGUUCAAAAUGCAAUCUUUCAUUCAUCUCCUUUUUUAUUGGGUACCAGAUUGUAUGCUCCUCGUAGAUCUAUUUUUGUAUAGAUCUUAGCUUGAUUCAACUAAUCAAGGAGUUCAGAUAUCAAAGGUAGCGAGUACCUAUUUUUUAUGGUGAUUUUGUUGAAUCCUCAAUAAUCGAUAUACAUCCACAAUGAUCCAUCUUUUUUCUUCACAAAUAAAAUUGGAGCUCUUGCUGGAGAUUUGGAAUGGCGUAUGAAGUUCUUAGACAAAUUCUCUUUAAUAUACUCCUUGAGUUGAUCGAACUCAUUUUGUGAUAAAUUGUAGAUUGAUUCAAAUGGUGAUUGUGCUCCUUCUUGAAGGUCAAUUGAGCAGUCAUAAGAACGAUGUUCUCGAAGAGUAUCCGCAUUCUUUUUCUCAAAUACAUCUUGAAAAUCUUGAUAUUGGCUUGGAAUGCCACUUGAAGUCUUUCCACCAAUAGAAAUAGGUGUGGCAUAAGUGACACAAGGUGAUCCUUCUUUUGCAACAUACAAUCACUCUUGUACCUAUAAAUACAGAUUUAAUUGUAUUAGACUUAUGACUUUCCACUUGAUUAAUUAUGCUCUUAAUUAUACUUUAAAAAAAGUUAAGACUACGAGAAGUCUAAUCUAUUUUAGGAUUAUAUUUUUUUAGCCAUAAUAAAUCUAAAAUGAUUGGAUUAGAGAGAGAUCUAAUAAUAUUAAAUAUUGUAAAGCUACUAUGACCAUUAGUUGCUACUUCUAUAAGAAGUGUUUUAUAAGUAAUAUUUCCUAAAGACAACGGAUGACUAUCUAUGACUUCUACAUGAAUAGGUUUAGUCUUAUUCACUAAAAGUAUACAAUGUCUUUUAGCAAAUUUUUUGUGUAAGAAACAUGUUGAGGCUCUUGAAUCUAGUAAGGCAGAGGUUUUGUGAUGUUUAGGUCUUAGAAUAAUAUUUAUUGUAAAACAUGGAGAGGGUUCUAAAGAGAGAAUAUGACCUUCACUAGAUGUUCUACAAGGUUCCAACUGCACGGUCCCUAUUGUAGCUAGAUAAAUUUAUUUUUCAACAUAUUAUCUUCUUUGAUUAUUGUACUCCUCAUUAUAUAGUUGCGUCACUUCUUUGGACAAUGUUGAACAGUGUGCUUAGCUUCUCCACAAUAUAAGCACAAUCCUUCCUGACGACGACGAGUCUUUUUUUGCUGAGUAAGAGGUUUGAAGCGUACUGCAUAAAUUUGCAUAUCCUCUACUUCCAAAUAUAUGUAUUGAAGAGAUGUUGGUGUUGCCAUUGAAUUAUAGUAACGUUGAGAUCCACUUAUAUGGUUCUCAGAUCAAAAUUCAAAAAGACAUUUGUCAUACUUCAUAGCAAAGUCAAUUGCUUGACUCAAUGUUUGAAGAUCAGGUAAGUUGAGCAUUAAUUUUUUUACCUCAUAUUGUAAUCCAUAGAGAAAUUGGCUAAUGAGUGCAGCAUUAUUCUACUUGAUAUCAGUUGCAAGUUAUCAAAAUUGUGAAGCAUACAAUGUUACUGAUCGAUUACCUUGUCACAAAAUACGGAUCUUGUUGGUUGCAAUAUGAAUUGCAUCAUAUUCUCCAUAGGUGGAUGGAAACUCUACCAAAAAAGUCUCUAGAUUAUCAAAUAUUGGAUCUCAUCAUUCAAGAAAAGAUAAAAACCAUGAUAAUACUGAAUUUGAAAGAAGUGUAUCAAUGAAUCUAACUUGCGACCUUGGAGUUGGAUAGCUUUGAGAUUGAAGUUCAAUGACAAGUUGUACUUGAUUGAUAAAUCCUCUAAACUUUGAUUUGGUACCAUCAAACUUCUCGGGUAUGGCAAUUCUAGGUUCUCUAAUACUAAAAAGGCAUUCUACCAUAGGAAAAGGGACAUGAUUUGGUACAUAUGUUGAAGCAGCUCCAAUCAUUUCUAUGUCUUCACUUCCUGCCAAUCUUGUUGCUCCUUGUGGUGGUAAAUUGAGUUGAUGCAUUGUAAGCAUUAACUCCCUCAAUUGCUCUUGCAUUUGUGCCAUUACAUUCUUCAUUUCAGUAAGUUCUGCCAUGAUAAUACUUAAAAAAGAAAAGAUGUUGAAUAUCGCUCAAGACGAAUAGAAGAAAAGGCUUGAGAACAAAGAAAAUACUAAGGACAAUAACAAUUUAGAAGAGGGUAAUUUACAACUUCUAAUAUGCUUAUGUCUUAUCAAGAGAAAGGGAUAAUCCAUUCUUAAUCAAGAUUAGACAAAACUCUGAUAUUGUAAGUAUAUUCUUGUCAAUUCGUCAAGGACUAGAACGUAAUAAAAAUAAAUAAACAAGUGAGACUUCUCUCAAAGAAAGAUGAAAAAAUAGAAAUAACCUGAUUUAUAUAUUAAGAAAGAAACUGGAAUGGCUAUUGCCAAAACCCAAGAAAAUUAGAGACUCUUGAAACUAGACUGGAAUCAAGAAAGGAGUUGAGAAGAGUGAAGAAAGUUUCUUUCUUAUCUCUAUAUAUACUAUCUAACUAGGAAUUACGUGGCGAUGUUCUAUAGGACCUCUAAUAUGUAUUGACUUUAUAGGACACAUUUCUUGACUUACAAGGCAAGUUUUUUUAUGUGUGGGCCACAUAAUUAACUUGAUCUUCAAGCUAAUAAUAUGUGUGGCACAUGGCCAACUUGUUGAUCAUGUUUCUAAUCGAAAAAAUCAAUUAAAGACACCUAUAAAGUCAUAGUAGCAUCUAUGAAGCUUUUAGGAGUUUUUUAUAGUAAAUAUUAUAGAAUUAACUUACUAUUAUAUACUUUUACUCACUUCUACCUAUUUAUACAUGUAAUUACUGGCUUAUAUGUGUAUGUCCGUAAUAGUAAGUCUUUGACACAUCUUGCAUGAAAGAGCUUUAUUAAUUCUUCUACAAUAAAAACUUAUUUGUAUAUUUGUAUUAUGGUAGAGGUUUCUUGUAAAAGAAAUUGAUACAUUGAUAUUUAUUCUUGUUAUACUCUACUUCUAUCUAAAGUUCAAAAAUACUAUAUAUAGUUAUUUUAUAAUAUGACAUCAACAAAUAUAAAAAGCUUAAGGAGUGAAAAUGUUUGAUUUGCUUUAGAAAUAGGAUUGAUAAAGAAGAUGUUGCAAGCAAUCAAGAAAUAGAAUAUAGAAGUAAAGUUGGUGCAACAAAAAAUUGAAGCAACUGAGGCUGUACUUAUGAUUGUGUCUAAUGGAAGUGUAGAUGGAACUAUCUUCGAUUUUGGCAAUGAAAGUACAUCUCUUGAAGUUUCCAAAAAAGAUACUAAAGAUAGAAAUGAUGUUGAUGUAAAAAUCUUAGGUAAAGGGAUUUAUUUAAAGGAGAGUAAAACUCUUGCUUUAGAAGCUUGUCGAAGUACUAAAGAGAAGGAAAAUUUCAAAGUGGAAUUCAAAGAAUUGAAGUUACAUUUGGAUCAAAUUAUAGAGCACUUGAUAGAAAGGAACAAAUCACUUGAGUCUCAAUUGGAGGAAAUCUUGCAUAUUAAAGUUGAGCAGGUUCGAUCUUCAAAUGUUUCUCCAAGCCAUUACAAGGAUGUAGGUAAAAGCGGCAUAUCUAAUUCCAAAGAAUCAAGGACAUUUGAAAAUGUAAAUUUUGUAUUUUGUAUUUUGUAUUUUUUUUUUUCUUCUCUAGAAGCAACUCAUAGAAGCAAAUGAUAAAGUAGAGAUGCUAAAAGGCGAGUUGAAGAAGCAAGUGCAAAGUUUGUAUGCUUUAGAAGGUGCUGAUCUUGAUGUCAAAAAUAUUCACCCAACUAUAAGACCUUUCUACAUUCAAUGAAAAUUAGAAACAAGUGAAUAAGAAGUUAAAGGAUGAGGUUACUAAAUACAACAAAUUCAAUGCCAAAUUUGGUCACUUACUAAGUAGUAAAUUUUACAAGUUCAAAAAAAAAAAGAACAAUGUUGAAGUACAGUUCAAAGCAUUAAAAGGAGAAGGACCAAAAUCCAUGUAGAGAUAAGAAAAAAGAAAUUUGGAUGAACCAAUCAAAAGCUUUGGGUGUGUGUAUAGACAGAAUGGAUGUGCAUACAAUAACUUGGAGUGUGUGUGUAGCCUGAAUCAUCAUAGAAGGAUUAAUAUCUUAGAAUGGAUAUUUUAUUAUUAUUAUUUUUAAUAAGAUAUUUAUUUUUAACAAUUAAAAGAUGGUGUUGUACCAAAAAAAAAAAAAAAAAAAAAAACCACAUUAACUACUAAACUCAGAUUAAAUCAUUUUGUUUUUUGUUAAUUUUUUGUUUGUUUUCUUCUUCCUCUCUACAAGUGUGUUUUGUGAUCUUUAUUUUUAGUGUGUGUAUACACAUACACAAACAUAUCAUCAUCAUUAUCAUAAAGAAAGAUUAAAGUCCUUUGUAAUAUUAAUCCUAAUAUAUUUUUUAAAUUAAAAAUUUGUACCCAAAUAACUCCAAAGUUAAUCAUUUCUUAAAAUAAAAAACGUGCAGCAUUACUGUUGUAUCACAGUUAACAGUAUCAUGAAUAAAAUUUAGUUCCUGGUUAUUAAUUUUAAGUAAUUUAUUUAUUUAUUAAUAUUUUGGUUAGCACUAAAUAAAUAUAUAAAUGAAUACAUAGAAAAUGUAAGUUUCAUAACAUCUCCUUUUUUUUGUUACAAUGCAAAGAAUAUAAGUUAAAUAUAUGAAAAUAAAGAAUAAUCAAAAUUGUGCAAUUACUGUGAUUCAAUGUCUAUGUAGAAUUAAUUAUUUUGAGUUUUUCCAACAUAAACAUAAAGCUAAGAGUUGAAGCUAUAUCGAAGAGGAUUCAAACAUCUAAAAUACUUUGGGAACUCAAGGAAGUUCAGCAUCAUCACUCUUGUUUGUUUGGUUUUAAUAAUAAAAAAAAGGAGAAUUUGAAAUAAAACUAAGUUUUUAUUGAUUGACCCACUCAUUCUAUUCAUGAUGAUGAAAAAGAAAAAAAAAAAAAGAAGAAAAACCUCUAAAUUCAUUUCUCAACUAUUGGAUUUGCAAUCAAUAAAAACCAACCAUAUUCAUCAUGAUUACCAUAUUUUUCAUCAAAAGUCUAUUUAAUUAAAGCAUGGGUCAAUUUAACAAUCCCCUAAAUUAAAUACUAUAUAUAUAUAUAUUAUUUUAAAAUAAUAAAAUGAAUCUGCAAACGAACGGUUAAAGGUGUCCGGAAUGAAGGUGAAGAGGUAUUGUCUCAUUUAGUUAUAACCGAAGCUGGGAGCCGAAGCUAAGGCUCGUGUCCGAGCCGAAAUUAGGGUAGAAAGGGUUUUGCAGCCGCUCGCGAGAGCGGGGGGUUUAUGUCGAAUGAUGUUUUGGAGAUGGAGUCCACGGAAGUGUUUUGUGAUGAAGUGAUUCGCUUAGAACCGUGCUUCAAUACGCUCACGUAAUUCGUUUGCUAUACUAUCGACUCGUCAUAGAUUUGUAGAGGCGAAGCGCGUCUUGCCGUAAUGGCGAGAAAGAAGAAAGAGAAGCAGUUGUCCCAGAAGGUGAGUUGAAUUUAGCUCUCACGUCGGGGUUUUCGAGGUGAUAGGUUUUGUAGGUUCAGAUGUGCCGAGGUUGACAUUGUAAUUGUUGUGGUUUUUUAUUCUCUAGAGGAAGAAGCAGCACUUAGGGCUUCAUGUCUCCUCAGAGCUUAGCUUCGGUGAUCGCGACGAGAAUUUGGGCAACGCGGACGGAAUUAUUCCUCGAUGCAAGGAUAGUAUGGGCGUUGAUUGCUCGAAUAUGGAGAUGAUAUCAGGGCCGAAGAAGAAAAAGGAGAAACAGCUCUCUCAGUUGGUGAGAUAGAUGGACGCGGCUAUCACGUAUUCAUUAUGUUUUCGACUCGAGAAUGGUGUGUCGCGAGAUUCUGCGUCCCGUCUUUCUAUGUGUUUUUAUUGAUUCAAUUAAAUUACCGUCUUACGCUUUGCAGGAGCAAGAUAAGCAGGUGAAAUUGAGCAAGAACAUGCAGCGGAAGCUCCGCAGACUGCAGGUUGGAAUCUGAGUCGUCUUUUUCUCGUCUUUAAUGCUGCUGAGGAUUCCUUGAGCAUGCCAAAUGUUGCAAAGUGGUUAAUUCCGUAAUGUUACAGAGCUGAGGAUUAUUAUUUCUUGCAUCCGGAAGAUGAAAUUGGGUUAAUUGGACUGUGCAGGAAGAGGAGGAGAAGAAGAAACUUCGGGUCCAAGUCAUGGAGACUUUACAGUAUCCUUUUUCGUAGUUACGCUUGGGGAAGAUUCUGUGCAUUCCGCUCAGACCUUUGACAUUGGAUCGUCAGGGCACCAUCGCACUUAGUGAAUCACUCUUAUGUGGUGAAACUUGUUGUUUCCUGUUCGGACAUGGAGUACUUCAAUUUUACUACGCAAUAAUCACUGUCCGGGAAUGUGAAAUGUGCAACUGCAGUUGUCCUUGAUUCAUCGUUCUUAGGAAACAUAAACUGGCGGAUGAUAAAUUUGGUCUGCUUCAUUCCUCUGGAACGCUUGGGCAGGUCGGAACACUCGAUCUCUGUUUACUACCCGUUAUAAAGAUGUUUUAUGCUAGGUUUUAUUACAGGCUUUGUUGACAUCAGCAGAAAAUUUGAUCUUGAUUAAGGUCCUCUCUUAGUUUGGAUGGUGUAUUUUUAAAGUUCUGCGUAUUUGGGCCCCUUUUGCUCCAGCUGUUUGUAUUAAAGAGUUCACCAAUAAAUUUAGAUUGUGACUUCGUGUCAUUGCGAGGAGCUGUUGAGCAUUUCUCAAUUUCCUAAUUUUUGUUACCUUUUAUUGUAUGCGAAAGGUGUUUGAGAUACGAUUGUUAUGAACUUUGUUUCUGCCAAUGUCCUUGAGAUGUAAGGUAGCGUAAUGUAGUAAAUAUUUCUUGUUAACAGGAGGAAACAAUGAAAGAGAAGCUUCAGCGAGCAAUGAAUUACAAGCGAGCGGGGCUUCCGGUACCUUCGGGUAUCCCAUUGUUUCGAGAAAGACCUGGUGAUCAGCAUAUUGACCAGGUCCUUAUGGAGGAAGAAAAGUCUGAGCUAUUGAAAGGAGUAGCUUCAAAAAUUAGCAACAAAACUUCCCUAGCUAAUGCGCAAGCCAAUGAGGGAGUGUUCAAUUUAAGCAGCACUGUAGCAUCUAAGGGUUUGAAGAGGAAAAAAGAUGAUAGUUGUAUCGGAACAGUUAUGGUAGGAGACCAUAAUCAAAGUUUAGAUGUUAGUAUACCAUCUCGGAGGACUGAAACACACUGUGGUGGAGCCUCUAAUUCUAAGUGUCAGGACGAUCACGGCGAAGAGAUUCACAAGGGAAAUCUCGAAUUGACCCUGUCAGAAAUGCCUGGGAACGAGAUGGCCGCGUCUUUUCCAGAACUCGAGAGUGCAGAACGUGGAAACCCUGGAAAGAAGUGUAGGAAGAACCUUUCAUCAGAGAACGCUGCUCCAAUGCUCGAUGUUUCGAUGAGUACCUCCGUAGAGCCAAGUAUCUCAGCUUCUUGUGUAAAUAAUUCUGAUUCCUAUGAAAACCCCAAGAAGAAAAAGAAGAAAAAGCAGAAGAAGAAAAAGGAAGAGAAGCUUGUUGAAGCUUCCGGUUCAGUCGAUGAUGUAGAUAGAAUGGUAGAACUUGAAGAUUUUGAUAAAGCAGCAGUUUCUGGUGCGGAGUCUGAGGGUAUACUACCGAGUUUAAGACCUCAUGAUGUGUAUCUUAAAGAAUCUCUUAAUACUCAAGCCGAGAAAGCAGAUCUAAAGCUUCGAAAAGUAGCAGUCCCAAUAAGUCGACCAGAAGAUGUUGAGAGGGGGCGGGAAAAUUUGCCGAUAGUCAUGAUGGAGCAGGAAAUUGUAGAAGCCAUCAGUGAGAACGAUGUAGUAAUAGUAUGCGGUGAAACAGGUUGUGGUAAAACGACUCAGGUCCCCCAGGUUAGUCACGCCGUAUUGAUACAACUCCACUGUUGGAAUGUAAAGAUUGUUGGUGCUUGUCUUGCUUUGGAGAAACUGUUUUUGAAAGGAAUGGUUUAUCACCCCAUUCGUUCCGAUGGUGGACGGAAAUAGUCAAGUAAAAGUGUAUGCUGGUAAUGAUAGCUUUCGAGUCCCUCAACGCUGAGAUGCUUUUAGUCAGGAGACAAUGUCAUGUUUACAGUGUUGUGUUUAUCUUCUGUUCAGUUUUUGUUUGAGGCUGGUUUUGGUUCAAGCCUAUGCCCGGAGAAGUCUGGGGUUAUAGGAGUCACUCAGCCCCGCCGGGUUGCUGUGCUCGCAACAGCCAGGCGUGUAGCAUACGAGAUGAAUGUUACAUUGGGACAAGAAGUUGGGUUUCAAGUACGCCACGACCGAAAGAUUGGAAUCAACAGCUGUAUCAAGUUUAUGACUGACGGAAUUCUUCUUCGAGAAAUCCAGGUAUACGGGAGGAAGUUGCUGAAGAAUUUUCAAGGCAGGGUUAAGUACUUAUAGUUGUAAGUUUCUGUAGGUGUGUGUUCUAAGAUUCAAAUUAGCUCCUCGUUAUAACUUAAUUUCUGCACUGCAUAUUUUAUGAUUUUAAAAUUUAUUUUGGCUUGAUUGGAACAGGCUGAUUUUCUUCUCAAGAAGUAUUCUGUUGUAAUCCUGGAUGAGGCCCACGAAAGGAGUUUAAACACAGACAUUCUUAUCGGCAUGCUUUCACGCAUUUUGCCCCUCCGAAAGGUUUGAUUCAUGUGCUACAUUUGGUUUGUUGCAUAGAGUUUUCACGAUUGAGCGUGUUCUCAUGGUUUUCCGCAGUUGUUUUGAUGUCAUGUUAACCAUGCCCGUUCUAUUCAGUCGCUUUGUUCAUGUGUCUCCUUUAUGAAGUUAAACCUUGAUAUUUCUUUCAAUUACUUUUCUCAUUAGGCCGCUGUAGAGUCAGGGUUCAGGACUUGAAUUUGUCCCGCUUCAUGAGCACUGAAAAUGUUAUUUUUGCUGAAUUGUUCGACGAAGAUGGUCGGAAUUUGAGUGCACAUUUGACCACAUAGAGGCAUGGACGAUUUGAUGCAUUUGUAUCACAGAUCACGACCAUGUCCUUGGUACUUGAUCGUGCACAUAACAAUUUAAAUGGCAUUUCUCUACCAACUCCAACAAAGUUAUGCUGGAGGUUGGUCGUUCUUGUCUUGACAUUAUACUGCUCAAAGAACCUACCCGAAAGCUAUUUUAAGACAUGAUUGUGAAAACUCAUCCUCUCUGGAGACAUUUCAGGAUCAUAUAUUUCCACCGAUUCCUGCAAAUGUUCUCUGAACACUUUUCAGAGAGUCCUAAAGUUCUUCAGAUGUUCGGAGUUGAAGUUAAAUCUAUUGUUCUCUGAAAUUCCUCAUAUUUUUCUCCUUCGAAUUCUACGAAUGCUUGUCCUCAUGGUAAUCGCACAGAUUAUUCUUAUCGUUUGAUUUUGGACUGUUGCAGAAAAUGUACGAAGAGUACUGCCAAAAGAUGGAACAACUUGGAUCUAUUGGCAGCAUAACUACUUCAGAGGCUCCUGUAAUGCCACUGAAACUAGUGAUAAUGAGUGCAACUCUUCGAGUUGAAGAUUUCACAUCUAAUCGCAGAAUGUAUCCAAUUUCCCCUCCCGUUAUCCAGGUCCCAGCUCGACAAUUUCCAGUUACUGUGCAUUUUAGUGCGAAAACAGAGAUGAUUGAUUAUGUUGGCCGGGCACAGAAAAAAGUAUGUGCGAUACAUCGGAAGCUACCUCCGGGUGGCAUUCUUGUGUUCCUGACAGGACAGAGGGAGGUGGAAUAUCUGUGUCGUAAACUGCGCAGAGUAUUCAAACCAAAAAGCAACAAUGGACAGUCUAAGGUAGACAGUUACAUAUAUGCAUUUUUUUUUUUUUUUUUUUUUUUUUUUUCUUCUUCUUCCUUAUCAUGCUUCGCUCCCUUGAUGAAAUUGCUCACACGAGGCUUGUUUUGUUGAUAGUUUGGAUGUAAAACCUUUCUUUCAAGUAAUCGGAAUUAUUUAUUUCUCAAAGUGCUGAUGUUAAGAACUCUGCCAUCAUUGGUCAAAAUAAAAAACUUUUAUCGCAGUCAGACAUUGGAUUAUGAAUUUUCUGUAUGGAUUGAAGUUGACAGCUUUCACUUUUUCCCACAAAAGAACACUUUCCUUCCUCAGCUCCUUUGAGUACUGUGAUGCUGCUCCUUGUUGGAAUUCGGUCGAAUAAGAGUUUGUUUUCACCAUAUGCAGCGUUUUAUUUUACAGGGUGAACCAGAAGACUCUUCUCAGAGAACAGAUGUUCAAGGGCUGAACUUAGAGUCUAUUAGUAAGGCAAUGGAUGGUCAUCUAGACAGUUUCGAAGGUUAGUUCUUCACUGGCAGAUUUGCUCAGAAUUCUGUCUACUCGUAGGUUCGUUUAAUACCUUAUGCUUAAGUGAAUGCUGAGAUUAUUAUUUAAUGCUAGUCAUACUUGCUGUUGUUAGUUGUAAUAAUUGAGUUCAUAAUGUUUUGGUUCUGCAGUUAGCCGAUUCUUGGUUUAAGCUUGAUAUGACAUGAUUUGACAGUCUGACCACAUCUUGCUACCUGUAUUGAUUCAGGGAACGAUGGCGGUGGCCUUGGUGGUAUUGCUGAAGUUAAUGAAGACGAUGAGGAAAAGGGUGAGAAUGGAAAUUUCUCGGAAAGCGACGAUAAAGAUUUCUCGGAUGAUCAUGAUGAAGACAGUAUAAGUGAUAGCGAUGAAGAAGAUGUUGUGAAUCUUCAGUCGUCACUAGACGCUGUGGAAGAUACCAGCAAAAAAGAUGCAGAUGUAGAUCAAACCAGAAUAAACUCAACAGAAAUUGGGAAUGAUAAUAUUCUGACAGCUAAGCUAGCUCAGAGUACUGACCCUGGACCUCUGUACGUGCUGCCUCUGUAUGCCAUGCUCCCAGCAGCCGCACAAUUGCGUGUAUUUGCACAAGUUCCUGAAGGAGCGCGACUUGUUGUUGUCGCAACCAAUGUAGCAGAGACGUCCAUUACUAUACCUGGAAUAAGGUGAGCCACGUACAACAGUGAAUGUUACGCGAAUCAAUAUUUUGACGAUUUUCUUCCAGACGUCUAAAUCGCUAAUGAGCACAUAACGUAGGAUCUUAGUACCAGUUGCGUUGCUUCUGGUUGCAGUUGGUUAAUUUCAAAAAUAUCAUCAUUCAAUGGUUCCGUUUAGUUAAUUUGGCUGCAUCUCUAUUUCAUGGAUUUUGCUGCAUCCCAAGUCGUAUUAAAUGUUACUGGAAUAUUAUGUUCUAGGUAUGUGGUAGACACCGGCCGGUCCAAGGAAAGAGACUUUGAUCGAGCCAAUGGAAUGUCGAAGUAUGAGGUGCGGUGGAUUAGCAAAGCCUCAGCAAACCAACGUGCUGGUAGAGCUGGCCGUACUGGUCCAGGACAUUGCUAUCGGCUGUAUUCAUCUGCAGUAUUCAAUAACAUUUUCCCAAAAUUUUCACCGCCUGAGAUUAGCUCGGCACCUAUUGAAGGAGUAGUUCUUGUGAUGAAGCGCAUGGGGAUCUCUAAGGUUAAUUCUUUUCACUAUCAAUGCUUAUGUCAUACAUUUCAUAGAACGUGAAUUGAACAGAGGUCAUCUCUGACAGUUUUUAACAUGUUUUACUGUUUCUGUCCAGGUUAUUAAUUUCCCAUUUCCUACUCCUCCAGAUAGGCAAGCCCUCUUGGAGGCCGACAGGUGCUUGCGAGCCCUCUCUGCUCUUGGUCCUGAUGGCAAUUUAACUCCGAUCGGUAAAGCUAUGGCGGUUUAUCCAAUUAGCCCUCGACAUGCAAGAAUGAUAUUAGCAGCUCUGCAUGCAUCUCAGGGUAUGGAUGGAAGAGGACAUAUUGUGGUCGCAUUUGCGGUUGCAGCAGCGGCUGCUUUGAGCCUAGAGAACCCAUUUCUUCGAGAAUCAGGUAUUUAUUUAAUUAACCAGCUAAUCCUUCUUACCCUCAAGUCGUAAGACGGUUGUGAGGGCUCUAAAGCAGGAUCGCGCAAAAGCAGAUAUGGUUCAACAUUCCCUAGUUUCUUGUAUUUAUUAUGUUCUCUAUUUCUUAUUUAUCAGAAACUAAUCGAGCUCCUUUUGUUUUACCAGAAGCAGAAGCUGAAUUAGUCGCAGGCUAUAAUGUAGAAUAUUCUUCGAUGGGUUUUGCACUUUUAUUUUAGGGGAAUAUGCUAAUAUGAUCUUAAUGAGAUGUGGAGCUUUGCAUCUUACAUUCGUUGAGCUGCUGCCCUCUGCAUAAACCAGAAGAAGAAUGGGGUGUUUGAUUCUGGUGGUUUAUGUAAAAACAAUGUAUAAUAAUCGAAAUUGUUGGUUUCUUUCUGAAGCUCAAGUACGGAUGGUAGAAAAUGUUCCAGUUAUUUGUGUGAAAAUAGAACCAAAUUAUAUAUAUAUAUUUCAUUAUAGUUGAACACUAUUAUUCGCUUUUCUUAGGAUUAUGUUGGAAUCCUACACCAUACUAGCAACAUCGCGUGCUUUUUCAUGAUCUCGUGGGCACAGUUUGAUUACCCUUCUCUUAUGUAAUUCUUUCUUUCAGGCAUCGAAGUAGAGGACUUGGCGAUUGUCGGAGCUGAAAAGAACGGUAAUAAUCCAGCUGCGACGAAGGCCUCGGAAAAACAAAUAAAAUCUCAAGUUAAGGACGGUGAUUCUGAGCUCACAGAAGAGGAGAAGAAGAAAAGGAAGCAACGGCGAGCAGAAGCUGGAAGGGCUCAUGGAAAAUAUCGAAACACUAACAGUGAUGCGCUCAGUGUUGUCAAUGCACUUUGGGCCUAUGAAAAGGCUGAGAACAGGGAGCAAUUUUGUGAAAUCAACUAUCUCCAUGGGAAGACUAUGCAAGAGAUGUCAAAGUUACGUCAGCAAUUGUCUCAGCUAGUGUUGCAAUACAGUCUUGAUGCUGGUGCACAUGUGAAAGAACAGCAUGGCCUGAAAGACGAACCUGGGCUGACAAAGGAUUACCUCCUGGAAUGUGAAAAAGCUUGGCACUUGAAAGAUCAGCUAAAGUUGAAUGUUAAUCAAGAAAUGGUGAUUCAACAGGCGAUUUGUGCAGGUAAAGAUCUUGGUUGUUCUCCUUACACAAAAAUUGACCUUUUCAGUGUAAUUAGUUCGACUAGGCAUGAUUCUAUGUUUGCGUCUUUCCUUAUUUGUGUUCGGCUGGGACAACAGCCCACAGCGAUAUCAUCUGAUUCAUGGGCUUGGGCAGGUUGGUCUGAUAGGGUUGCCCACCGACUAAGUGCACGAGAACUUGCUUUGAUACCAGAAGAAGACGGAAAACGGAAAGCUGUCAGGUGUGAUUUAUUGAUUUUUUUUCCUUGGAUAAUUUGAUGUGUUUCAAUUUCUACUGGUUAGAUUCAGAUGGUAAAUUUAUUCACAUCCUUAGUUCGGAGAUCUGGAAUCAUACGUUUCGAAGGUCUGGUAGGUAGAAAAUUCUGUCAAUUUUUUUAAUUUUUAUUUUGUUUAUAUAUAGUGCUGUUUAUGCCUAGUGGUGUUGCUAAUAGCUUCCUAAGGUCUAACUCGAGAUAAGUUAACGUGUCUUAAAGCGCUAUCAUUCAUAGACGUAUGGGUGCUAGUUGAAUGCGCUACAUACUAAUUAUCCUUGCUUUUAACUGUCUAGGUAUCAAGCAUGUGCAGUCGAAGAAACUGUAUUCCUCCACCCAGCAUCAGCGCUGGCCAAGGAGGCUCCUGAGUUCGUCGUGUACAACGAGAUCAUCUCAACAGGCCGACCUUACAUGUGGGGUGUGACAGCUGUCAAAGCGAAUUGGUUAGUGUCACACGCUACUCCACUUUGUACGUUUUCGAAACCAGUUGCCGAUCCACCUCCUUGGUACGACCCUUCAUUAGACACAGUAAUGUGUUGGGUAUUACCUACCUUUGGGCCGCAUCGUUGGGAGCUACCUCCCCAUCCUAUACCACUAAAUAAUAGCAAAGCAAGAGCUUCUGUGUUUGCAGCUGCUUUACUGGAAGGUAAAGUAAUUCCUUCCUUUCGUUCCUUGCUGCCCCAUUUAGCAGCGGAUCCAGCAAUAAUCAUAAAGCCAGAGUCACAUGGCCAAGUUAGAGUGGGAGAACUAUUGCACAAGCUUGGGACAGGGUUGGAGACAGUUGACUCACGAAAGAAGCUAGCUAAGGCAUGGCAAAGGGACCCAAUGUAUUUGUAUUCAGAGGUCCUUGCCUGGGUGCAAAAUAAGGCACAUGCUGAAUUUAAGCAGAUAUGGGAUCAAUGUCUAAAAGACGCUACGAUGGAUGGGACUACGUUUCAAAGUAAGAAAUCCAAGAAGCGAAAGACGUAAGCAUCGCGGUUAUACCUAUGGGUUGGACAUUGAGGUGUUGGUGGAGUACCUGGUGAGCUAGUUCUGCGUGGACUUCCAGAUCCUCGAUGGUAAAAGCUAGCGUGCUCAAGUCACAUUGCUGGCUCAAUGACGUUCGCUUCAAUUUGUCUUUCAGACAGUAUGCUGACAAUGAUAUGAAGUAACACUGGCUGCUAAUCGCUCAGUGCAUCUCACUCUGCAGCAAGGAACACCUUUGGCUUCGGAGAAACGGGGAAAAUAGGGCCAAGGUUGGCUAAGAUACGUACUGCAAUAAAGCUGAGGCUUAGCAACACUCACUAGGAAUUUAAGCGCAGUCGCAAUGCAAGUGAAUGUAUAUUAGUACUCUAUUCGUAUGUAUUCGAAGCAAUUGAACAGCUAUUAGAAUAAGUCCUCCAAUCUGCAUCUUAAUCUCUGCAGGAUUGAACUCAAAACAAGCAUUUAAGUUCUACGAAAAAUAUGCACAUCACAAGAAAGCAGUAUUUCAAAACUAAACGGGUUAGACGGCGAAAUCUCAAGCACUCGGUACCAUCUUCGUUCGAAUGGUCCCAAUUUCAUCAGGUAAGUCCUCAUGGAGACCACUUGUUUUGUUCAAUCCUUUGACGGUGUUCUACAUGUACCUACAAAAGAACCCAGACCUUCCAAAAUGCAAACAUAGCCAACAAAAAUUGCAAGUCGGGAGUCAAGUAUUUCCCAUGGUAUUCCAUGCCAUGAAAAGCACAUGACAAAUUCCUAUAAAUCGGCCAUCGGGAUAACAGGAGGAGAAAACAUAAUAAUAAACUUAAAUCAAAAUACAAUCCUCACUUCCUUUUCAACUUUCAAAAUCUAUUUGAGUAAAAAAAGGCUUAUAACGGCGAAAAUAUUUGGACAGUACACAGGCAAACAUCAAAUAAGAAGCUUUGCAAACUUGUCAACUUCAAUGUAGGUUUCAUGGCGUAUUACAUCCGAACAACACGUGCAUCCACCAUACAACCUUCAACCAAUGUAUACAUUCUCAUUAAAAUUAUGAUAAUUGUUUUUCAUUCAUAGAUUCUAUCAGGCACGGGGUGUGUCUCCUUUCCGGAAGAUGCCCUUUAUUACAUGUUGGUGUGGCAAUCGGAGAGGUCGUGAACAAGCGCCCACCCUGAAGCUUGGCAAGGGGUGUCGGCCGCGUUCAGGGAUGCGUUCGCGUGCUGUACCACAAGCGGCUGUUGAAUGUAGCUGACGACGGGGAAUGGGAAUGGGAAUGCAGCGAGAGAGGGGGAUGCUGCGGAACGUGCAUGUGAGCAAGCGGUGGCACGUGAGAUCGAGGGUAUGAAACCUGUAGCGUCAUGCGGAGCUUUCUGCCCAUCUGGUGCCGACCAUUUCACCUCAACCUCCACGCAGGCUGCAGGUCAAAACAUCAUGGGUUGACAAGGCGCAGUGAGGCAUUCAUCCAGGUAAGAAGGCGGAGAGCGGCCUUGAUUGGUCGUCAUGCUGCCGCGUCGGAGCACCGUAGAAUGUGGAUGUGCACAUGUGCUUGCGAAAUUGUCAUUGACGGUUGUAUGGGUUGAACAGGGUUGGUUUGGAUGAAGAUAAAUCCCAGGGGGUGCCGACAUUUUCAUCUGGUGAGAUGCCGGAGGAGCUUAUUUUGGGCCACGGCAGCAAAUCGGGGCGCCUUUCCGAGGCGUAGCGACAGAACUAGUGAUUGGCAAUUGUGUGCCACGUCGGGGUGUGGGUCUACCACCGGGCUGGAAAGGCAAAAACUCAGCAGCUUCCGUAUCCACUUCUCAAUCACUGUCCACUCUGGCAAUAAUAUUAACGGGUGAUAUUACAAUGCUACAAUAUUUUCUAAAACUACAAUGAUUAUAUUGAAAGCAACGGUUACAUUAAAUGCUAUCAACACUCUUUUUUGCUCAUCAUAAUAUUUACAUAAUAUGAAAUUUGCAUAGAAUUAUGAUCUAUACUUUUUUAUAAUCUUGCAAGAUCAAUAAUUGCUACCUUAUUAAAAUCUUAUCUAAGAAAGCCUUAUUAUAUUCAAAUACAAAACCAUAGAUGAAGGAAAAAGAGUACUACAUCAUUUUAAGAGUUUAUUAACUUUUGCUCAAGAAAAGUAAAUUGAUGCAUGCCAAUACCAUAAGUAAGUUGGCGAUGGUUGUUCAAAAAGAAAUCUUUGGUGAAGAGAUCAACAAGAUUAUUUGGAGGUUCAAUUUUUUUGAUCAAGUGUUUAAUUAGUAACCAAGUGUCAUGGACAUAUACGUUUACCUCAAUAGUUAUUUAUAUGAUUAAAUAGAAGUAGGUAAAUAUAGAGUAAUUUCAUACAGUCUUCUAGAAAAGCUUCCUAAAAGCUUCAUAGAUGUAGUUUUGACUUUAGAUCUGUUUGUAGAUUAGAAACUUGGCCAAAAAGCUAACCAUGUAUUAGUAGUUUGUGGAACAAGUUAUCUCGAUGUAGUAGCUUGUGGAACAAGCCAACUACGUGGCACAUAUAUAGAUAACUUGCCUUGCAAGAUAAGACAUAUGGCUAGCAAAGUCAACACAUGUUGGAGGUCCUAUAUGACAUCGCCACAUAGCUCUUAAUUAGAUAGUAUAUAUGGAAGCAAGAGUGAAGCCUUCUUCACUCUUGUAAAUGCCUCUCUAGUCUUAGUCUUGUUUGAAGACUUUCUAGUUUUCUUGUUUUUGGCAAUAGCCAUUGUAGUUAAUAUUACAACACUUUUUGUGUGACUUUCUAGUUCUCUUCAGUGAUAGAAGAGUGUAUUGAGGAUUCUCUUUCUUUGAGACUCAUGCCUUAAUAGUUUGACAAAAGUGCUAACAUAUUGUUUCUGUCUUGUUUUAGAAAUAAGUGGAUUACUUCACUUCUAUUAUUGUAUUUUGAAGGUUGCGGACUACCCACCUUUAAACAAAAAAUCUUAUUUUUUGAUAGUGAUCCUUUCCUUAAAGAGAGUGGAUUAUCCCUCUUUGUGGGAUUUGUUUUUAGACUUUAUAGAUUAUCCUCAUCUAAUUUAACUUUUGAAUUCGUUUGAGUUGUCUAUGGAAGGAAAGUUUAUAGAUGCUACUCUCAACGGAAAUGAGAAUAGAUUUGUAACUAUCGUAGAUCUUCAUGAGCUUAUCAAUACUCUAAGAGUGAAAAUCUCACAUAUUUCUAAUGUGAAUCAUGGAAGUACUACAUCUACGCCUAUAGAAGAAGUUCAAAGUCUGUGGCAAGAAUUUGUGCAGUUGAAAGAAGCUAGUAGAUUAACGUCACAACUAGAUUUAGGGAAUUUUGCUUCUACAAGUAUGUCAAGGACAAGGAUUAGUAUGCCUGAAAAGUUUGAUGGAACAAGAUCAAAAUUUCGAGGAUUUUUGCAAUAAGUCAAGCUCUAUUUAAGAUUGCAUCCUUUUCAAUAUUUUGAUGGAUUUAUCCAAGUCGGAUUCAUAGGCAUACUACUAUCAGGAAGUGUUCUCUCUUGGUUUACACCUUUAAUAGAAAAAGAUUCACGAGUCUUUUUGCCUUGAUAUAGGAUAUUAUUUAUAAUUGAAAAUAUGUAUCAACCAUCUCCAAAUAAAACAAAGAUUAUAAUAUAUAGCAAAUACAAAUCAUUGCAUCUUAAGUUUUUUCAAUAUAUGAUUAUCGCUCCUCAUGGAAUUCAUUCUUAGAAGAGAAGGUAAUAUCAUGGAUAUAUAUAUUUAUUCUAAUAAUUACCUAUAUAAUUAAAUAAUAAUAAAUAAAAUUAUAUUAAUUUCAUAAUAUCUUUUAAAAAAGCUUUCUAAAAGCCUUAUAGAUAUUACUUUGACUUUAUACGUGUUUGUAAUUAAUUGAUAGGUUAGAAACUUAGUCAACAAGUUAGCCAUGUAUCACAUGUAUUGAUAGCUUGUAGAACAAGUUAACUAUGUGGCACACAUAUAGAUAACUUGCCUUACAAAAUAAGACAUGUAUCUAGCAAAGUCAACAUGUAUUGGAGAUCUUAUAGAACAUCACUACAUAGCUCUUAGUUAAAGAGUAUAUAUAAAAGUAAGAAUAAAGCUUUCUUUACUCUAAUCAAUAUUUUUCUAGUCUUUAGUCUUAUUUCAAGACUUUCUAGUCUUCUUCAUUUUAAGCUAUUCUAGUUCAAUAUAUUACCAUCUUUGAAUGUCUUUCUUAUCUUUUUGAGUGACAUAAGAAUGUAUCUAAUUUUCUUUCUUUGAAAUUCAUAUCUUUGAUAUACUUAAAUACUUCAUCUACUAAUUGUUGGAUUGGAUAAUAAAAAAGAAUGUGGAAUCUUGGAGGUAGAAGGACUAUUAUAUGGUGACAUAACUACUUGGUUUCUCUCUCAAAAACUGAAUAAAUUCCUAACUAUGAUCAUCGGCCAUGCACAUGUUGCAAACGUGGUAGAUGUCUCCUAAAUCUCCAAAUGUGAAUGGAGACAUUGAGCAAUGCAACGGAGCAUUGUUAGCACCUUUUACCAUUUGGUGGACUCUUCCCUUGCUUUAGAAAUACUAAAUGCUUGCACGAGUGGAAUCAAGCCCAGAACUUCUACACUACAAACUUCAAGGAGACGAUUCAACAAAGCAACCAGCAGGAAAGUCUAGAAAGAUCCGAGUUCCUUUCAGCUGCAUAGUGAAACUGGAUUGGCGAGAGAUUAGUUUGUACCAUUCUCUCGUGCUCCGAUGAAGCCAAACAAGUACAUGCCAUCAGCGUCAAAUGUGUAUCCUGCAUUGUAUCUGCAGCGCUCAAAAUUCAGGAUGGGCGGUGAAGCGGAGGUGAAAAACUUCUUCACUCUGAGGUAGUGAGCUUUUGUGUUGCUGUCCAUGCCCCCCGUCUCGUGGUCGCUGCCUUCAUUCUCCAUAUUUAUAGUAACGUUCAUCUUUGAAGACAUUUUGGAUGUAUGCUUUUUGCAACCCCGAUUCCACCCUAGCCUGCUUCUGGGCAGAUCACGUCGGAGCUGUGCUCUCUAUAACCUCCCCAAAACCUGUCACGACACAAUACCACUCGGUUCAGGAAUCCUUACACCUCGAGAGCCAGCAUCACUGAGACGCUAUUGCUGCAGGUCGAAGUGUAAGAUGUCAGACACACGUAACUAGACAGUCUUAGAUAACUAGAAGUCCAGUCUAACAUAGUACCCCUCUUCAUCAUAUUGAUAUCGGAAGUACGCUUUCACAACGCUGGAAUGCACUUGUUGAUACUUGAAAGUACUCUCCUACAAAGAACUGACUACUAGUCUGUAGUGUACCCGCACAAUUAUGGUUUCAUUCCACGCACCCUUUGCGAGUACGAGGAUCCCAUGAACGUUCUGGUCAUCAUGCAAGUAGCGUCCUUUAAGCGUCAAUUAAGUUUGUGGCAUGACCAUGCAUAAUCCGACUAUUGGAUGAGCUGAGAGCAGAAGAGGCGUGUUUAAAUGGAGUGUGCGGGCUGAAGUGUGAGGUGUUGUGCUGAGAAGCGUGGUUGAUUAGUCGAUUGUGGAGAUACCACAUUUGUGUUCAGUGUUGGAAACAAUAACAGUGACUAAUCAAACAUAACGAACAAACUAAGUGAAACGUCGCAACUAGUCAAAUAGGCGAGACCUAAACGGUCGCACCUCCCUCAAUAGAAUAAUAACAGUGUACACUCAAUUUUUAAUAUAGGUAAUAUAUUCUUUCUAUCAAAAAUUCUCAAGUUCACUUGCUUCUAAUAUGGUAUCAGAGCUAAGCUCUGAAAAAGUUUUAUGAUAUAUAUUUAAGAAAACAUUGCAGACAGAAAAAGGAAGCUUUGUAGAAGAGGUUCUAUAUAGAAAGUUGGGGCACCAACGAAUCCUCCUCUUGUCUUUAAAUAUGACUGCAAGCAACAUUACCAUGGAUAAGUGGCCUAAGUUUGAUGGCUCAUGGUAUUCCAUCUGGAAGAAAAAGAUUCAAAUGAAGUUUGAAAUGGAGAACUUAUGGGAUGUAGUUUCAAGAAAAGAAACACAACCAACACCUGUUCAAGAAGUAAUUGCAACAUCAACUUCACCAUCAACUAAUCAAACUGAAAUCCUUACUUGGAAAAAGAAGGAUCAUAUUGCUUUAGCAGCAAUUUGAGAUUGCGUAGAAAAUCCAAUUUUCUCUUAUGUCGGAGCAUGCAAGACAGCCAAUAAGGCAUGGCUGGCCCUUGAAAAUACAUACUCCACAAGUGACAUCAUCACUCAAUCCCACCUAUACGAAAAAUUCAUCACACAAAAGAUGAAAAUUGGAGAAUCGAUAACUCAACAUAUACACAACUUCAGAAGUCUGCUUCAACAAUGCACUUCUGUUGGAGUUAUCAUUUCUCCUCAAAUAGAAAUCCUCACUCUCAUGAGGUCCAUGCCAUCCCAGCAUGGCACCGUGAUACAAAUGCUUCGCACAAUGGGAAUUGUAACACUUCCUACGCUGAUUUCAAUCCUCUUGCAGGAAGAAACAACCAUGAAAAGCUCCUCUUCUGACUCACAUGCCCUCUUUGUAGGACGCAAAGAAAAGACAAAAUGGCAACCUCACAAAUCCAAUCCAAAAGACCAUAAGCUUUCAAAACAGCGCAACAAACCUAUAACUCUUUGUCCACAUUGCAAGAAAAUGGGACAUUGGGGUUUCGAGUGUUUCAAACACAAAACACGAGUUGCUGCAAAUUUAGCAACAAUAAAUCAUGAUAACAAGAAAAAUAACCAAACAUGGAAGUAAGAACAAGUAGAGAAAUUACCUCCUGCUUUCUAUGCCCAUGUUUACAUUAGACAAGCUUUUUGCUUGGCAAAAUCACCUAAGCCUGGAACCACCAAAGAUACACAAUGGCUCAUUGAUAUGGGUGCCACCCACCACUUGGAACAUAAUAAGUGACAAUUCAUCAAUUUCAAACCAUUUCUACAUGAUGACAACAAAGUAUACCUUGGCGAUGGCACAAUAUUAUCCAUCUAUGGCCAAGGAAAAGUAGAAAUCUCAAUGGCAAAUGGCGAGACACUUAGUCUCUCCAAUACCUUAUAUGUACCAGACUUACACAAAAAUCUAUUCUCCGUAUGUCACUAUGAUCUCGAAGGUAGUGGCAUCUUAAUAAAAAAUCAAAUGUGUAAUCUAUUAGCAAGAGACAACACAAUACUCGCCUCUUGUCCUCUUCAAGAUAAUCUUUAUCUACUAGGAUCAACAAAAUUUCCAGCCCAAAAUGUGGUGGUACAUAUCAUUGCUUAGUCUAGAGAAUCACAAUCUAUUUCCAUGCCUCCAAGUAUCGAUCAUAGAGUUUUCAUCUCACAGCCUUCAUUGACGAUCCUUUCCGGUUUUGAUCACGUAUGCUGGUUACCACAACUCUCUCUAGCGCCAUCUUCUCCCACUACGAGCGACUCUACCUGGUGGACAGUCGACUUCCAUGCCUUUCAACUAUAUAAGUGUUCAUUUGAUACUUAUAAAGAAGUUCGAGCAACCAAAAUUCGAUUGAGUGAUAAUGGCAUAGUACAAGCCAUUGGAAUCAAAUCCAUUGUUGUGAAAAUCAUUGUGAAGGACCAAAUCAAGAGAACCAAUUUAAAAGAGGUCUUACAUGUACCAAAGAUUAAGAAAAUCCUUCUUUUGGUAAGAAAACUUAUAUCACAUUGUUAUAAGAUUCAAUUUCAUAAGAAUGGAUGUUUUGUAAAGACAUUAGGUAGACAAUAUGUUGCCAAAGGCCUAAGAGAUGGCAACCUCUACUUCAUCAAUUGUAAGAAGGUGAAUGAAGUAGAAGUGGCAACAUUUGCUGAUUUUUCACAAGAUUAAGAUAAAUUUAAAAUUUGGUAUUAACGACUUAGUCAUUUGAAUGCCAAAAGCAUAAAAAAGCUCUAAUUCAUGGUAAGUAGCUUAGAUCUUGGUCAAUUCAGCUAUAAUGCCUUAGUACUUCCUUAUAAAGGAUGUAUACAAGGCAAACAACAAAAGGCUUUAUUUUUUAAAAGAAUUGGAAUACAUGCAAGCAAAUUUUUAGAAAUUAAGCAUUGUGAUGUUUGAGAAUCAAUGAAGACACCAUCAAUUAGAAGAACAAGACUCAUUUUCAUAUUUAUUAAUGAUUUUUUUUUUAAAUACGAAUUUAUAUCAUUAAAGUGAAGAAUGAAUAUUUCUCAAGGUUUAAGGAAUUUAAGGUGCUUGUAAAAAAAUAAUGUGAGUGCAAGUUCAAAAUAUUGUGUACUAAUAAUCGAAGUAAAUACAUGUCAAAAUAUUUUGAUGAAUUCUUAAAGAUUCAAAGUAUUGUAAGACAAUCAUCUACUCUCUACACUCUAUAACAAAAUGGAAUUGUUGAAAGAAAAAAUUGCACCAUUGUAGAGAUAGCAAGGAGUAUGUUUUAUGCAAAAAAUCUUAGAGAAGAAUGUUAGGCAGGAGUAGUGGUAAAUGCAGUAUAUACAAGGAAUAGGUAUUCAAUAGGUAUACUCACAUCAAUGACUCUACAGGAAACUUGGAGUGGUAAGAAAUCUUGUAUUUCAUACAUGAAGAUUUUUGGAUGUAUUGCCUAUACAAAGGUAUUAAAAUGUAUGAGGUCCAAACUUGAUAAAAAAGAUAUAAAAUAUGUGUUUAUUGGAUAUUGUGAAGGUACUAAGGCAUAUAGGCUAAUGUGUUUAGAAACCAAGAAGAUCAUUAAGAGUUGUGAUAUAGAGUUUUUGGAGCAUAAGAAUACUUGUGAAUACUUGGAGAUGUAUCCAAGUAGAAAUAAUAGUGUGUUUGUGGAUACAUCUUCAAUUUCAACAAAGGAAGAAGAAGAUAAUCAUAUUGAUGAUGAUUGAAAUUCAAAUCAACAUGAAGAACCAAAGAAGAUAGACCAUAGAGUGCUUAUAAUUGCUAAAACUAGCAAUGAAAACAAUGAGGAUAUUAAAGAUGAUGAUGAUGAUGAUGAUGAAGAAUACCAACCUUUGAAUGUAAAGAAACAAGUUUUUAGAAAGAAGAAGCUUAUAAGAAACAUUAGAGUGAAAGAAGGUGAAGCUUCAUCAAGUAAAAUGAGAUAUUUUUUGAGAGAUAGAAAACAACUUGGUGUAUGGUGGAAGAAUGAUAUCUUUUUUUAAAUAAGUUAAGAACAUACCAAUGUUAUACUUCAUGCUAAUCCAUUCAGUUUAUGUGAUGCAAUGAAGUCCAAAAAUACUAUGAAGUAGAAGAAUGCCAUGAAAAAAGAAUACAAAUCAUUCAUGGAUAAUUGAAUAUAGAAAUUGAAUCAAUUUCUACCAAAUUGAUCUUCAAUUGGUUGUAAGUGGGUGUUUAGAAUUAAAAAAGAUGCAAUGGAUAAUAUUGAGAGAUACAAGUCUAGAUUGGUUUUUAAAGACUACUCACAAGUUAUUGGUGUUAAUUUCAAUGAGACAUUUUUUGUCAUGGAUAUACAUAUUUACCCUGAUAAUUAUCUAAAUAAUAAGAAUAGGUAGAAAUAAGUCAAAAUAGAUAAUUAUAAUAAUAUCUUGUAGAAAGCUUUUUAAAAGCUUCAUAGAUGCUCUUUUGUCUUAAUACAUGUCUAUAGGUGAUUUGUAGGUUGAAAACUUGGCCAACAAAGACACCACAUGUUGACAUGUUGUACACUUAUAGUAUAAGUUGGACAUAUGGCUUACACCUGAGAAACUUGCUUUGUAAAUUAGAUAUGUAACUUGCAAGUUGGAUGCAUAUUAGAGGUCUUAUAGCAUAUCACCACGUAUUCUUUAGUUAAGUAGUAUAUAUAGAGGCAAUAGUAAGGCCUUCUUCACUCUUGUCAACUCCUUUCUUGAUUUUAGUCUACUUUUAAGAGUCUUAUGUUUUCUAGUCUUUAGCAAUAGAAAUUUCAGUUCUUCUUUGAAUAUAUAUACUUUCUUCUACUUUGUCACUUUUUUUUUGAUAUAGAUUCUAUAAGUUUAUGUAUCUUCUUUUAGUUUGUAUUUUUGAUAGAUUGACAAGAGUAUACAUAUAAUAUUAGAGCUUUUUCCUUUCUUGAUUAAGAGUGGAUUACCUCUUUUUCUUGAUAAGACAUAAGUAUAUUAGAAGUUACAAUUUAUCCUCUUCUAAAUUGAUAUUAUUUUUAGAAUUUUUUUUUCUUGAUUCUUGAGUAUUGUAUUUUGUGAAAAUAGGCACGUUAUUUUUCUUAUUAUACUAGUAUGGCAGAGCUUUCUGAAAUGAAGAGUGCAAUGGCUCAAAUGCAAGAGCAAAUGAAAGAGUUAAUACUUGCAUUGCAUCAACUCAAUCUACAUCCACAAAGAGCAACAAGAUUAUCACACAAUGAAGAUAUAGAGAUGAUUGGAUUUGCUUCAACAUCUACACCAAGCCAUACUAUUGAUCUUACAAUGGAUUAUUAUUCAAAUUUCAAAGAACCAAAAAUUGGAUUGCUUAAGAAGUUUGAUGGUACAAGAUCUAAAUUUCGAAGAUUCAUCAAUCAUGUACAAUUAGUGAUUGAACUACAACCUCAAAGUUAUCCAACUCAAGGAUCAUAAGUUAGGUUUAUUGAAACACUAUUUUUAAAUUCUGCUUUAUCAUGGUUUUUAUCAUUUCUUGAAUGAUGUGAUUGAAUAUUGGAUAAUUUGAAAGCAUUUUUAGUAGAGUUUUCAUCUAUGUAUAGAAAACCUAAUACAAUCCGUGUUGCAACCAACAAGAUUUGUGUCUUACAACAAGGCAAUCAAUCAAUGAUAUUAUAUGCUUCAUAAUUUUGAUAAUUAGUGGGAGAUAUCAAUUGGGAUGAUGUAGCAUUCAUUAGCCAAUUUUUCUACGGAUUACAAUAUGAAGUAAAGAAAUUGAUGCUCAAUUUAUUAGAUCCUUAGACAUUGAGUCAAGUAAUUGACUUUGUCGUAAAAUAAGGUAAUCGGUUUUUUGAUUUUUGAUUUGAGAAUUGUACAAGAGAAUGUCAAUAGUAUUACAAUUCAAUGAUGACACCAACGACUUUUCAAUCUAAGCAUUUGAAAGUAGAAGACAUAUAAAUUGAUGUAGUACAUUUUAAACCUCUUAUCAAAUAAGAAAAGACUCAUCGUCAUUAAGAAGGACUAUGUUUAUAUUGUAGAGAAGCUAAGAAUACUACUCAAUAUUGUCCAAAGAAAUGACGCAACUACAAAAUAAAGAGUACUAUUGUCAAAGAUGAAAACAUGUCAAAAAAAAAAUUGUCUAGCUAUAAUCUUAUACAAUUCCUAAUAAAGGUCCAAUUCUUUCCUCAAAACCUUCUUUUUGUUUUACAAUAGAUAUGCGUUUAGGAUCUAGUAAUCAUAAAGCAUUUGCUUUAAUAAAUUUAGGAGCCUUUUUUUGUUUUUUAGAUGAAGAAUUUGUUAAAAUUUAUAAUAUACAAUUAGUACAAAAAAACUAAAUCCAUAUAUGUAGAAAACAUAGAUAAUCAUCCAUUAUCUUCUAGAGAUGUUAUUCAAGAAAUACCUCCUAUAUAUAUAAUAAUAAAUGGUCAUAAUAGUAAUGUAAUUUUUAAUAUAAUUAGAUCUCCCUCUAAUCUAGUCAUUUUAGGUUUAUUGUGGCUAGAAAAAUAUAAUGCUGAUAUAAAUUAGAUUUUUCAUAAACUUGACUUUUCUUUGAACAUCAUUAAGAAUUUUUCUAAUCCAAUAGAAAGCCACGAGUUUAGUAUAGCCAAACUUGUAUUUGUAGGUACAAAAACUUUUUUGCAUGCUAAAAAGGAAAGAUCAUCUUUUGUGAUUUAUGGCACACCCAUUUUAAAUGAUGGAAAGAUUUCAAGUGAAAUUUCAAGUCAAUAUCAAGAUUUUCAAGAUGUUUUUGAGAAGUAGAAUGCAGAUAUUCUAUCGGAGCAUCAUCUAUAUGAUUGCUUAAUCAAUCUUAAAGAAGGAACUCAAUGCCAUUUGGUCCAAUCUAUAGUUUAUCACAAAAUGAGUUGGCUGAACUCAAAAAAUACAUUGAUGAGAACUUGGCCAAGAAUUUCAUACGUCAUUCAAAAUCUCCUACAAGAGCUUCUAUCUUAUUUGUGAAGAAUCAAUCAAAUUAAGCUAAGAUCUAUACAAAAAUAGAUCUACAAUGAGUGUACAAUUUGAUCUACAUUAAAGAAGGAAAUAAAUGAAAGACUCCAUUUCAAAGAAGGUAUAGACACUUUGAAUAUAACGUCAUGCCUUUUGGACUCAUGAAUGCACUAGCUACUUUUGAACAUCUUAUGAAUGAUGUUUUUUCAUGAGUUUCUAAAUGAUUUAUCUUCUAUUACUUACACGAUAUUUUAAUCUACUCUAAGAAUGCAGAAGAACAUGAAAUUCAUAUUUGUUGUGUAUUACAAAAAUUUAGAGAUAUAGGAUUGUAUGUCAAGAUAGAAAAGUGUAUAUUCCACACUAUUCAAGUUGACUUCUUAGGAUACAUCAUUUCAAACAAUGGUCUAAUGAUGGAUCCUAAAAAAAUUCAUACAAUGAUCGACUGGAAGACUCCAAAAAUACUAAGAGAUAUACAAUAUUUUUUAAGAUUUGCCAAUUACUAUCAGAUCUUCAUCAAGAACUUUUUUCAAGUUUCAGUGCCACUUACAUGUAAAGAUAAGCUUAAGUGGAGUAAAGAAACAGAAGCAUCAUUUGAAGUUUUGAAGAAAGCUUUUACUUCUGCAACAAUCAUGUAUUGCAUCGACUUCUCUAAAGCAUUUUUUAUGGAGACAAAUGCAUCUAAUUUUGCCUUGGAUGCAAUCUUAUCACAAAUAGGAGUAGUUAAAAAACUUCAUCUAGUAGCUUUUCAUUCAAUAAAAUUUUCAACAAUCAAGAUUAAUUAUAAGAUCUAAGACAAGGAACUUCUUGCAAUUGUAGAUUUUUAUAAAAAAAUGGCAUCAUUAUUUAGAAGGUGCUUCAAGUCCAAUCAUCAUAUAUAUGGAUUACAAGAACCUCAAGUAUUUUAUGUUAGCACAUAUUUUGAAUUAUCGCCAAGCUCGUUGGAACAUGUCUUUGUUAAUAUUUGAGUUCAAUAUUACUUAUCAAUAAGAAAAAAAAUAAGGUUUAUCUGAUGCCCUUUCUAAACAUUCUUAUCUUACAUCAAAAGAAAGAGAAGCAGCUUUUGACCAACAAAAGAUAAUUUUAUUAAAGCUAGAAUAAUUUCAUCUCCGAGCAAUGAAAUCAACAUUGUCUAUUGAUUUGACUUUUUUCAAGAAGAUCCAAGCAAGUAUGUCCUUAGACCUUCUUAUUUAUGAUGUUAAAAAUAAUUCCUCUAAAUCUUAAGAUACUUCCAAGUUUGACUUCAAGGAGAACCUACUCUAUUUUGAAAGAUGCUUAUAUAUUCCAGAAAGGGAAGCAUGAUUAUGUGCUCUUGAAGCUCGUUAUAAUUUCCUUGUAGUUGCAUAUUUUGGAUAUAAUAAGACUUUAGAGCUUAUAUCUAGAGAUUUUUGGUGGUCUCAAAUAUGGAAGGCUAUUAAAGAAUUUGUACAGACAUGGAAUAUUUAUUCAAGAUCAAAAAGUCCUUGUCAUCAACCUUAUGGACUCCUCCAACCACUACCUAUAUUAGAACAAGCAUGGUCUUUUGUUUCUAUGGAUUUUAUUAUAGAUCUUCCAAUUUCAAGUUCAUAUGAUUCUAUAUUUGUGAUUGCAGAUCGUUUCACUAAGAUGGUACAUUUUGUAUCAUGUACAAAAUCUAUCACAUGUGGAGGAGGAACUAAACUCUUUGUUAACAAUAUCUAUUGCUAUCAUGGAUUAGUAAGGGAUAUUAUAUGAGAUAGAGGAAUACAAUUUUUAUUGAGAUUUUAGAGAACUCUUUUCAAGAUAUUAAAGAUGGAUAUAAAACUAUCUUUGGCUUUCAACCUUCAAACUGAUAGACAAAAAAAAUAGAUAAAUCAAGUUUUAGAGUAGUAUUUGAGGUGUACCAUCAACUAUCAACAAGUUGAUUAGAUAAUUUAUUUGCCAUUUAUAAAGUUUGCUUACAAUAAUUUGGUAUAUUCUUUUAUUCAAUAAAUAUUUUUUUUUUCUAAUUACAGUUAUCAUCCAUGAUUUGACACUUUUGAUUUUUUAAAAGUUGAUAAUCCUAUAGCAAAAGAUGUAGCAAAUCGAUUGUCAAAGCUACAUACAACAAUGAAAGUAUAAGUAAAAGAAGCUCAAGAAUAACAAAAAGCCAAUACAGAUGUCUAUUGUAAGGAACAACCUCAAUUCUACAUGGAAGAUAAGAUAUUGUCACUUCAUCGUAAUAUUAAAACUAUUCAUCCAUAUGACAAGCUGGAUUAUCGUAGGCUUCAACCAUUUUCUAUUUGUGAACAGAUUAAUCGAGUUGCUUAUUAAUUAUACCUACCAGAGUCUAUGAAAAUCCAUCAUGUAUUCUAUAAGUUUUUACUUAAGCCAUACAAGACAAUGGAUAUAUAAGGAAGAAGACAAGUGCCACCACCUCCCAUAGAAAUAGACAAUAAUAAAGAAUUUGAAAUGGACGAAGUUUUAGAUACAAAGUGACAUCAAAAUAGGUUAGAAUAUCUAGUACAUUGGCAUGGAUAUGACAUUAAUAAAUACCCAUGGGAGCUAUCUAGGAAUCUAAAAAAUCUAUUAGCUAAGGUUAAAGCUUUUCAUCAAUAACAUCAAUCAAAACCAAGAUAAACAGUCAAAAAAUUCUUUGCUAUAAAGCAAAGCAAGCCCAAUGGAGAUUUCAUUCUAUCUUGCAUUAUUAUUUCUUUGAAUUUUUUAGUACUUAGGAGAUGGAGAACCAAAAACUAGCAAAUUCAAUUGAAGAGCUAUCAUUUGCUAAGCUAUCAGACAAGACAUUGUGACUAUCACAACCUUCGAGAUGGCAAAAUUGAAAUAAAGACCUUCAAGAAUGACAUAUUCUUCCUCAAAUAGACGACGAGAUACUACAUGUUUGGUACUAUGACUUUAGAAGGAACUCUCAAUGUUUAGUAAUAUUUUUGGAGAUAGGAACCACUUGUGAUAGUAUUACUAACAUUUUAUUUGAAAGAAGUUAUGAAGGCCUCAAUAAUGUUCAAGUAUUAAGGUGGUCUUCUUGCCUUGGUAUGGAACAUUAUCAAUGGUUUAAGGGACCAAUCAACUAUCUUCAAAGAGAGCAAAGAUCAGAGUAUAUAACAAAUACAAUUUCGUAUAUCUUAGACUUCAUCUGCAUGUAAUCACUGCUCCUCAUAGAACUUGUCUCUAGAAAAGGGAUUAAUGUCACAGACAUAUAUAUUUAUCGUGAUAAUUAUCUAGAUAAUAAGAAUAAAUAGGAGUAAGAAAAAAUAGAUAAAUAUGAUAUUAUCUUGUGGAAAGCUUUCUAAAAGCUUCAUAGAUGCUGCUUUGUCUUUAUAAAUGUCUAUAGGUGAUUUGUAGGUUGAAAUCUUGGCCAAUAAGGAGGCCACAUGUCAAUAUAUUGACCACUUGUAGUAUAAGUUGGACAUAUGGCACACACCUAAGAAACUUGCUUUGUAAAUUAGACAUGUGGCUUGCAAGUUAGAUGUAUAUUAGAGGUCUUAUAGCAUAUCGCUACAUAUUCUUUAAUUAAGUAGUAUAUAUAGAUGCAACAAUAAGGCCUGCUUCACUCUUGUCAACUCCUUUCUUGUUUUUAGUCUAGUUUCAAGAAUCUUAUGUUUUCUAAUCUUUGACAAUAGCCAUUCCAAUUCUUCCUUGAAUAUACAUACUUUCUUUUAUUUUGUCACUUUCUUUUUGACACAUAUUCAAUGAAUUUAUAUAUCUUCUUCCAAUUUGUAUCUUUGAUAUUUGUUCCCUUAGCCAAAUUCACGACCAUUAAAACUAUUAUUAUAAUUGGGACAACAAUAGACUUUAAGAUGCAUCAAAUGGAUGUAAAGAUGACUUUCUUGAAUGGAAAUCUAAAAAAAGGUAUCUAUAUAGAACAACCUCAAGGAUUUAUAGAAGAAUGCAAACAACAUCUUGUUUAUAAAUUGAAGAAAGCUUUAUAUGGACUCAAGCAAUCUCCAAGGGUAUGGUACCAAAGUAUUAAUAUAUUCUUUGUAAAUGAAGGAUUUGGAAGGAGUAAAUCUGAUCAUUUCUUGUAUAUAAAGCAAUCAAAUGAGUUUAUAUUGAUUGUCAUCUUCUAUGUUGAUGAUUUGAUCAUCUUAACCAAUACUGUAAAGAUGAUAGAUUUGUUGAAAGUAAAGUUAGAAAAUAAGUAUGAAAUGAGUCAUUUGGAAUAGCUUCACUAUUAUUUAGAAAUAGAGUUUAUGAAAGAUUGUGCUAAGAAGACCAUUACAAUAAGUCAAAUAAAAUACAUUAAAGAAUUGUUAAAAUUAUUCAACAUGCAAGAGUGUAAGCCUAUUAAAAUACUUUUGGAGGCCAAUUUGAAGUUGAUGAAGCUCAUAGAUGAAGAAUUUACUAAAAUUGAAGGUGAAAUUAAAGAUAUUCUAUACAACAUAAUAAUAGACUCAUUUAUGUAUAUAAUGGUUAGCUCAAGAAUAGAUCUUACAUAUGCGAUGAGUAUUGUAAAUCAAUACAUAUCAAAAGCUAGACCAAUCCAUUGGGUAACCAUCAAGAAGAUUAUGAGGUAUUUAAAAAUAAAUUUAAACUUAAAAUUGUGCCUUGGAAGAGAUAAUAUUGUAUUGCAUGGUUAUUAUAAUACGGAUUGGACUAGAGAUACAAAUAAUGGAAGGUCAACAAUAAGAUAUUUAUUCUUUGUUGAAGUGCAAGUAAUUUUGUGGAAUUCUAAGAGACAACCAAAAAUUGUAAGAUUAAUAAUAGAGGUGGAGUAUAUGACAGCAAGUCAUAGUGCAAUGGAGGCAAUAUAGCUGAGAUAACUUUUGAAAGAUAUUGGAGUAUUGCAAAUGAAAGCAACUUAUAAUAAAGUGUGAUAAUUAAGGAUGUCUUACAUUUGCAAAGAAUCCAAAGCAUCAUUUAAGGACAAAGCACAUUGAUAUUCAACAUCACUUUAUAAGAGAGAAGAUUAAAACGAGACUGAUUGAUAUAAAAUAUUGUGUAAUAGAAGACAUGCUUGCUGAUUUGUUGAUAAAGAUAUUAGUAAAGAAUAGACAUUACAUGUUGAAAAAAGCAUUAGAAUUGAAAGCCUUUUGACCAAUAACAAAGUGGAAGUCUUAAAGUAAGUAAAUAAAAAUGAAAAUAGAAUAAAUUAUCUUAUAAAAAAAUAUUAUCUUAAAUAAGUUAUUAAUGGUUAAAGGAUUGAUUUGUGAUUAUUUAAAGGAGAAUCCUAUGGAUAUAAGAUGAGGUCAAGGAUCAAGAAUCAAAGUCAAGAGGAUAAAGUAUAAACUAAAAAAUAUCCAAGGAUUAGAUAAGAAUAAUUAGUAUUUGGCAUAAGAUACCAUUGUAGUUAGUAAGAUAUCAAAGGAUCUUAGAACCAUAGGAUACUAUCAAAAGAAGUUACAUGCCAAAGGAUUCUAGGACCAUGUGUGUAAAAGUCAAAGAGUGGAAGUUUUUUUUUAGGGCAACAACCACUACCUAUAAGUAUUGGAUGUUAGAAAUGAGAGACAUCUUACUCCAUACUCUCUUUGUAUGGAAUCUUAUUGAUGUAAAGUGUUGUGACUUCAUAGUGCUUGUUCUUCAAUAAUAUCAUCCACAUAUAUAUCAUCCACAUAUAUAUCAUCCACACAUAGAGUGAGUAUGAUGAAUUGCAAGCCAUGGCUUAGAUAAUAGACAUUUCAACUUGCCAUGGAAUUUACAAAUCCAUAAUAGUUUCAUCUUGGAAGAAAAUUAAAAUUAAUGUCAAAAAUAUUGUCAUUCUCAUUGUAUAUAAUGUUUGUAUAAUAGUACCAUAUUAUAAUGGCAUAGAUUGGAUUAGAGUGAAUAUUUUCAUUUGAGAUAGAAUUAUAACUAAUUAAAUGGUAUUUUUGUAGGAGAUCUUUAAACUUAUACAAAUAUUGCAUGACUAAUUUACUAGCUCAUAUUUUUUGUGUUCUAAAAUUUUCUUUUAAAUGUGCUUGUGUAAUUAUGUCACUUGUAAAAUAUGUGUUUUUGAGAGCUAACCAUGCUUCAUUUGACAUUGUACAUACUCUAAUAUAUAAAAAGAUAGCAUUUUCUAUACAAUCCCAAAUAGCAAUGAAAGCAAUGUGAUUUUUUUUUUUUUUUUUUUUUUUUCUAAGUAUUGCAACUUGAUUUAUUGGAGGUGACUCUCUAUUGUAGCAUUUGCUUCUUGAAUGGGUAUUGGUUCUUUUUCUUUUCAACAUACAAGUUUCUACAUUUCUUCUAUUUCAAACUUCAUUUGGAUUUUUUGUAUCAUAUUGUAUACCAAGUACCAUCAAAUUUAGGCCAAUCCAUGGUUAAUAGACUAUCUAUAACCAUGUUUUUGUUGUUUUUCAGGAAGAAGGAUCUAUCUGUGCCCCAAUUUUCAGUGAAGAACGUCUUCACAACCUUUUCCUACUUUUUGAGAGACAACCUUUUCCUAUUUUUUAAGAGAGCUUGUUAACUACUUUUCUAGAAUUUUCUAAAGAUUCUUAAAAGCAAGCUUUGAUACCAUAUUAGAACUAGUGUAAUAACCUAAGAAUAGACGUGAAGUUCUGUACAUAGUAAUAAACAUAUAUAUAUAUAUAUAUAUAUAUAUUGAUUGAAUUUGUGUUACAACACAUGUGUUAUGUACUGUGAGAAGAGUUCAUCCAGGACAGUGCACUCUUCCAAGAGAGUGGGACUUACUAUCAUCGUAAUCUGGUUACGAAUCCGUUAUAGUUUCUUAUAACCGUUAUGGUUUCUAAUAAAUCAGCGGUCCAAGCAUGCGAAUUAUUUAUUUGAUGGUUUCACUACUCAAGUCGCUCACUUGUGAUGGGUCAUGUUGAGACAUGAAUCUGACGAGAAGUUGAAUGUCCAGCAUUUCGUUCAGUGAUCAGGUCUGGAGUUGCUGGUGGCACCAAUGUGAACUGUUACAGCGAUGAAUAAUCCAUCUAGAGUUUCAGGUUCUGGUUAGGUUGGUGUUACUAUGAGCAUGGCGUCUAGGACAAGGUUAUGAAUACGAGCUCAGUUUUGAGAUGGGGUAGUGUGUAAACGUUUCUAGCUUGCCUUACGAUCAUACGUUACACGGUAUAACACCGAUGUAUUGUGCAAUGGAAUUGGAUCUUUAUGAGACAACAUACUUUGGAGGGCACACUUUGAUCGGUGUAUUUUGAUUGCAUGGAGAUGAAAUUCAUCUUUUUUAAUGAGUUUUUAUGUGCAUUUUUUCUUCACACAUGUAGUUGUGAAAUUUUCAGGACGCGUACUCCGACUCCUGUUUUACUGCCUCGUUCCUCGUCGGAAGAGUUGUGCGGCUCAGAGAAUUGCCUCAUCAUUCGUCAGCUGCGUAAAGCUGGUCGUGCAUCCCCUCCUAGCGAUCGCACGUCACCAUCACCAACGAACCGCUCUGUGUCACCUCCUAAUGGCGAUGCUUGUCCGCCGAUGAGUCCCGAUCUUACAUCUAUUAGUGACCAUGCGUCGCUGGCAAAGAGUCCGGAUCUUCCACCACUUCCUGACCAUGACAGGGUGGCGUUCACUAAUCUUCCUGCACCUGUUUUCUCUCAUGCUUAAAAUCACACUGCCUUCCACUUUUUAGUGCAGUCUCAAACAUUUCAUUUUUUCGUUUUUGUAUUGAAUCGUUACGAGCAGGGUUUUCUUGUUAUGAGUAUUAUGCUCUUAGUACAUAGUUAAUACAUAUAGGAGUUUGACAAGUUUUCACGAUAUUUUUUGACUCAGUUUAGGGGUCGUGUAGUGAGCAGGCAUUCUGUUAAAUGUAGAGUUAGAAUACUUCAGUAUUUUCACGACACUUGAUUCAGAUCAUCUGUGCAUAAAUCUCUCCCUGUCCGUUUUGACUAGGCCAGUUCCAGCUCAAUUACGAGAAGCAUACUCAUUUGCUUAGAUGCCCUGUAAACGAUCACAUUAUUUUACUUGCUCCCUGCUAGUUGAGUCCUCAAACUCGGCACUGCAGUAGAAACACAUUUAUUACUUCCUUUUUCAACUAAUAAAACUUACAUAUUGAUACUACGACAAA
This 261121-nucleotide long non-coding RNA is filed under the name Physcomitrium patens. RNAcentral's name for it is "long non-coding RNA (PPAT_LNC002095)". The record is from RNAcentral. Lineage: Eukaryota; Viridiplantae; Streptophyta; Bryopsida; Funariales; Funariaceae.